This 302452-nucleotide long non-coding RNA is filed under the name Coffea arabica (coffee). RNAcentral describes it as "long non-coding RNA (CARA_LNC004371)". The record is from RNAcentral. Lineage: Eukaryota; Viridiplantae; Streptophyta; Magnoliopsida; Gentianales; Rubiaceae.
CGAAUUCUUGAUGAGAGGAAAGCCGAAAUGGCAUCUGCAAAUGGGAAUGAUGCUGAAGAGAAAGGUUUCUAAAAUCUUCUGAUGAUACAGUAAGGGAAGGAGGAAAGGGAGUAAUGGAGGGAUACAGAUAGGGCAAGGGAGAGGAAAGGGGAAAGAAGGCAGGCAUAGGAAGUUUGAGUAAGAGCAGCGGGAGAUAAGAUAUGACUUUGUCUUAAGGUUAGAAAUUAGGAAAAAGAAAAGGCAGAGGAAAGGAGGGGCGGCGCUGUCUUACUGUUGAAAAAACAAAAGGAAGAGGAUCCCGCACAAUGCGCGGAAAGGACGAGGGGGUCACAUGAGGACGACGAAGUCACGCGCGGAACGAUGAAACCCUUUGCACUUUUAUUACUUAUGUAGAUAAAACAAGAAUCAUCAAAAGGCAACAAUAGUAAACAACUAAAAUAUACCGAUUAUUAUAUGCUCAUAAAACGGAAUAAAAUGUCAACUAAUCUUACAAACUUAUCAUCCAUCAACCUUUAAUCCCAACUUUCAAAAUAACCCAAAUCAGCUAAGUACUAUGCUCCACGAAUAAUUGAAUUUAGUCCAAAAAAUCAACUUUAUUUCCAAUCCAAAGUCCAAUGAACAAACUUUAUUUCAAUACAAAGUCAAUCACUUUUAAUUCCAAAUCUCAAAAUUACCACACUUAAAUCACAAAGAUUAAGCAAUUCAAGAAAUAAUCAAAUUAAAAGUAAAUCCAACCUAAUAGCUAGUUUGGGAGGAUGGAAAUGAAAAGAAAAGAAAGGUUUUGAAAGGAUAAUAAAAUAUUUCCAUUGUUUGGGAGUAAAAAUGAGAAGGAAAGGAAAAGAAUUGGAAAGAUUUCACAUCCCUCCACAUUUUGGAAAACUUUCCACCCAAAUUGGGCAGAAAGGGAAGGAACGUGCGCUGGCUAUAAGUAACUUUUUAAAUAUGGCAAAACUACCCUUUAAAUCCUAAUACAUAACAUUUUAAUACCCGAUGAACCCUCUACUACAAAGCUCUCGGCAAAACAUCUAUUGUCAUCACUUUAUCUACCCAUCAUCAUCUUCCUCUGAGAAAUAGGUGAACAUCUCCUCUCAUUUUUUCCAACCAUCAUCUUCUUCCUCUAAGAAAUAGGUGACUUUUACAUCCUUCUGCAUCUUCGAUGGGCUUCUAAUCAGGUGCAUCUCUAUUUCAUUGUUAUCUUCUUUGCUAUUUUUUGUUGAGAUAUUGCAUAUAGAUGGGGAAGAAAGAUUAAUAAUAUCUUUUGGGUUUCUAUGGCUGCAUUGAAAUUCCAUGAGUUCUUGUACUACUCUUUUGAUUUUAGGGUCACACAAGUUUGUGACUUUGAUUUUUUUUUUUUCAGUCAUGGAAGCUUUUCUACUAGCUGCAUCUGUAAUAAACAAAUUCUACAGAUUUGGUGAACAUAUCUGAAGUUGAAAGCCAACAUCAUUCAGGUUUUGUAUCCAUCAUUGAUAUCCUAGUGAUUUUUUUAUAUUAUAGAAUAAAACAACUAACAUUAGUACUUUUAGAUGGAUAAGGAAGCAAAUGAUGUUCUAAACGAGUUUCAUAUUCAACAAAGAAAUCGAUAAUUAGCUGCUACUGAAGUUAUUUGUAGAGUGACAAAAUUGAUUAUGUCUCGGAGGGUUCAUAGUAGAAAUUAUAUAGAUCGACCUAUUGGAUACCGGUCUAUAGAAAGCCAGAAUGUAUGAGAGGAAAUAUUGAUGCAACUUAGACAAAUGAUAACGUGAAUAAAGUUAUCAGAAUGAGGCCUAAAACUUUUACACAUUUGUGUGAGUUGUUACAAACAAAUGGAGGUUUACAACCCACCCAAAGAGCAACAAUAGAAGAGCAAGUUGCCAAGUUUCUUCACAUUUUAUCACUUCCAGCAACGAAUGGAACAGUUUCAUUCUUUUAUCGUCGCUCGGCUGAAACUAUUAGCCGUCAUUUUCAUAGAGUACUUAAAGCAGUUAUACUCUUAGAAGAACAAUUUCUACGACAGCCUACAGGAGAAAAAGUACCACCAGAAAUCCUUAAUACUGAGAAGUUCUAUCCAUAUUUCAAGGUGAUGUUAUUUUCUAUACAGGUUGAAUUUUUAACUUCACAUAUAAACUCUUAUUAAAAAUUAAUAUACUAAAAUAUAUGUAGGAUUGUAUGGUUGCAAUUGAUGGAACUCAUGUCUGUGUCAAAGUGUCUAAUACUGAGGCAGCAAGGUAUCGUGGCAGGAAGAGCAUCCAACACAAAAUGUGUUGGCUGCAUGCUCUUUCGACUUAAAAUUCGCAUAUGUUCUACCUGGAUGGGAAGGAACUGCAUCGGACUUGAGAAUCAUAAAAAAUGCACUUAACAGAGGAGACAAAUUAAUUAUUCCUAAUGGUAAUUUUAAAUUUUUAAAUUUUUUAUAUGUAUAAUUGCAAAUAUUAGUAACUUGUUGAAGUCUUUAUAAGGAAAUUUUACCUUGUUUAUGGUGGAUUCAUGUUUAAAAGUGGACUGCUUACGCCUUAUUGAGGUUGCAUACCAUUUAAAAGAGUACUCAAAUCGGGGACCCCGAGAUUAUCGAGAACUUUUCAAUCUUUGGCAUGCAUCAUUGCGUAAUGCAAUAGAAUGGGCAUUUGGAGUUUUCAAAAAACACUUCCCGAUCAUAGGUGAUAACCAGCCAACAUAUGAUGUCAAUACGUAGUCAAAAAUUGUUCUUGCUUGUUGUAUUUUGUACAACUUUUUGAUGGAAGUAGAUCCAGAUUUGGAAUAUAUUGAUGAAAUAGAUGUAGAAUUGGCACACCAAUCUCCUUUCGAGGAUGAAAAUAUUGCAUCUACUAGUACUCAAGAAGAUUCAUCACAAGGCGAAUUUUUGAGAAAUCAAAUAGCCAUGCAAAUGUGGAAUGAUUAUGUAGUUUAAAAUUUUUGAAAUUGGUGCUGUAAACUUUUUGAAUUUUUUGAGCUGUAAACUUCCUAACAUGUACUAAAUGGUAUGUUUGGGUCUUGUUUUGGUGCCUGCACAAUGUAAUCAAGAUGUGGCAAUUGUUUAAAAUAUUUAUUUUUUGCUAAUUUUGUUUACUAUCUUAUCAUUACCAUUUAGCAUUUGAAAUGGGUGAAAAUUUGAAGAAAGAUCAGGAAGUUAAGAGAGAGCACUUGAAAUGGACAAAAACUAUGGAUGAUGCUUAUAUCCAAGCAUUAUUGAAUCAGCACUAUGAAGGGUAUCGAGUUGAUGGAACUUUCACAACAACGGCAUACAACAACAUUGUCAAGGAAUUGAAGGAUAAACUUGGCAAGGAUUUCACCAAAUGCCAUUUGAUGAAUUGAAUGAAGACACUUAAAUUGCAUUUCAAUGACUGUUAUGACUUGUUCAAAAAUGGAAAAUUUAGUGGCUUUUCUUGGAGCCCUGUGACAAAAAAUUGGAAUGCUGAACCUGAAGUUUGGGAGCAACUUUUAAAGGUAUGCGCUCAUUAAAUUUAGUUACAUUUUUUUGCUCAUUUUCAAUUCCUAUUGUAACAAUACUCCUAUUUAUUUAGGAAAAACCGGAUGCUGAAAAAUGGAGGACAAAACAAAUCCAUAACUACGACAAAUGAGAAGAUUAUUUGCUAAGCAUCGAGCUACUGGACAAGGUGCAAAAGAAACACACAAUAGAUGGGCCAAAUGAUACUGAAGUUGAAAGUUUUAUUGACGUUGAUCGUCUUCUCUCUCAAAAUGAGAUUACUAUAGAGAGUUUUGACAAUACAACUAAAGAUACUGGUGUGAAAGUUUCCAAAGCUUGCAACAAAAAAUCAGUACAAGGUACGUCAUCUACUCAAGGAAAAAAAAGAAAGCUGUCUGUUGUUGAUGAAGAACUUGAAAUUAUAAAAGGUGCACUUGAUAAUGUUGCUGAUGCAAUAAGGGAGGGAAAUUUUAUUUUCCAAAAUUCUAGAGAACGCUUCUACACCGAAAAUGAGAUUUACAAGGAGCUAACUAGUAUUGGAGUUGAAGCGGACUCUAUUGAUGGCUGCUAUCUCUUUUUGACUCAAAACCAAGUUAAAUCAAGAGCAUUUUUUGGUUGUCCAGCAGAAAGGCGCAAGAGUAUAUUGGAAAAAAUGAUGCAACAACAUUUUUUUCUUUUCUUUUCUCUCUUCUUCUUCUUCUUCUUCUUCUUCUUCUUCCUCCCCUUUCCCUCCCCGUUAUCUCUGCCUUCCCAGUUCCCAGCAGCCAUGGCCCUACGAUUUUUUUUCUUUUCUUUCUUUUUCUCUUUCUUUUUCUUUUUCUUUCUUUCUUUACUUUUUCUUUUCGUUCCUCUUUUCUUCUUUGAUGUGUGCAUGGAUCAGGGCCCACGCAAUGACCUAGUCCGAGUCCCAUUGGGCCCAGUCACACGUGCAUGGGCCAAGCUCUUCAAAGAAUCCCUCCAAACUCUCGUUCGAGUUGUCUAAGACCAACAUGGAGCCCAUAGAAAUAUUGAAAGCUUAGAAAGAGACAAUCAAGUAACUUACACCUUGAUCCAAGCCCAUGAAAAAUCAAGUGGGCCUCCUUGUGCGUCGACCGAGUAGGGCCUUAGUCUUUAUUACUUAUUCAGUUGGAUUAGUUGCUUAGUAGAAGGCAUGGGCCGGCCUAUCUUGGAGUCAAGAUGGCCGACUCCCCUCUUAGGGUUUCUUUAGGAUUUUUUUUUUGUGUUACCUUUAGCCUAUAAAUAGGCUAGCUUUGUAAGAUUAAACACACAAGUUUUAUGAAUAAAACUCUUAGUAUUUUCGUUUUCUUCCUAAGAGAGAAAUCGAGUCCUUAACUUGCUUUGGCAAGGGUUCUUGAGCAAUCUUGCGUCCUGUUCUUGAUUGUUCAGCCGAUCUAUUCCCCUGGAGUAUUCACCUUCAUCGGAGUGUCGUUCUACCGCUUUAAAUCAAAGCGUGCCGUCCGUGUUGAUUUAAAGUUGCGCAAUCCAAACGUAGGACAACCUUGCUAGAUCCUUGGGCAAACGUGCUACGUGUCUCGAAACGAGUUGAUCGAGGAACGUAUCAGUUGGCUUCAGAGCUUUGGUUGAGGUAUCUUCCGUUAUAUUCGUAGCUUUGUCUUAGUUUUCUUUUUCUUAUUUGAUUCCGCUGCCUUUGUUACAAAAUUCUGUUCGAGUAGCUAUAUCCUUGUUGCGUCGUUUGUCAAAAACAAAAAAAAAAUUCUGUCCGCAAUUUUUGUGUCUUGUUGCGUCAAUUCAGUCGUGACUUUGUUGUUCAAUUCUGUCCGUAUUCUUGUGUGUCGACAAAUUCCUGUUUGGUUAAGUGUUUCUUGUGUCAAAAAAAAAAAAAGGAAAUCUGCCCGCACGUGCCUUGUGCUUGUUGCCUUCGGUUUUGUUUUCUAUCCGCCGUUUGUGUUUGGUGUUGCACCAGAUUCUGGUCUUAGAUUGUCACCAAUCUGACCUUGAUUUGUGCCAUAACUUGGUGGAAGAAUUUCUGUCCAAGUAGUGCUACAAAUCUGGCCGUCACUUGGUUGGUAUUGUGAGUGGUGAACUUGUUUGUUGUACACCCCAAUUCUGCCCACAGGUGUGCGUUAUUGUUGCUAGCUCUAAUCUGCCCAGGUUUUGUACCCUUGUUGCAUCAAUUCUGCCCAGCAUCUAGUAAUAGCUGAAACUACAAAAAAAAAAAAACCCACGGCUAGGGUUUUGUGCGGCUAGGAGACUUGCGCGGCUAGGGUUUGCCUUUUGGUUGUCAAAUAUGUCCCAAGUGUUCAAUUGUGCGUCUAAGUUGUUUGCGUAGCUUCCUAAAACUGAUUUUGUGGCUAAACUUGUUUGGCGUUGGAAUCUUGAAGAGGAACUACAAGGUCUUAAGGUUUCUUGAAGUUCUUGAUUACUAUCUUGAAAUUCUUGGAAGUCUUGAAGAAAUCUUGCUAGUUUGAGGAAGUUGGGUUGUGUGUUUUUGCAUGUUGAGGGCUGACCUUAUUUCUGGAUUUUUAUUCCAGUUCGGCCAAGUCAUGAUAUUCGUUUGAUAUAAAAAAAAGAGAGAGAAAAAAAAGAAAAAAAAAACGAAAACAAGAAGAAAGCCAUUCGGGUGGAACAAACCAAACAAAGAAGGGCCGAACAAGAAAGAGGAAAACUUGGUUCGUUUAUUGCCAACUCAGAUUUGUUACAUCUUGGGGUACCAAAACCAGAAAAUUACACCAAGGAAAAGGAAAGGAACUCAAAAGUUUUGGCCUACCUCUUCUUGAAAAUCUUGAUCACCUUGAGCCUUCAUCACUUGUACCACCCUUUGAGGUUCUUGGAGUUCUUGAUUAUCUUGAGCCUUGAAAACUUGCACCUCUCUUCGAAUAAAAAGUUUCUUGUACGUUCUUGCAUCCAUACGGGGCUUUCUUGGUUUAGGAGUAAAUUUCUUGGGAGCUUCUUGAGCAAGUCGCUUGGGGGAUCCUUGAGUGACAUUGCUCACAUUAUCUUGGGAGGCCAUUAUCUUGAAACAAGAACCAAGGCUGCCUUGCCUUGCAAAGAGAGGGGGGCUGAAUUGUCUUGUUCCUUGAAGUGUGAAGGGGGCCGAAUUGCUUGGAGCAAGUUGCGGCUGUGAGGGAGAGAGUUUUAUAAGGGUGUAGCCGACUUGGGGAAGGGUUUUAAGGGGGAAAGAAUUCUCGAAAUUUUCGGUUGAGGGAGGAAAGAAACCAAACCUGUUUUGGAGUUUCCAAAGCCAACUUGAUUUCCAAAUUCAUUUAGGAAACUAAGUACACACUUGGAUAAAUCUUGUUCACUUGGACACUUCCCUAUAUUUUCUCAUCCACUUUAGGAAGGUCUCCUACAUUUUCUCAUCUAUUCUAGGAAACCCUCCUAUAUUCUCUCUCACCCACUUUAGGAAACCACUCUUAUACUCUAGGAAAGAUAGGGUUUCCUUCCCUUCUUGUAUUCCAUUGCCGCCUAUUUCCUUGUUGUCCGCUACCUCAAGUCGUCCAAACCAACCCUUUCUACGUCACUUCCCACGCCAAUUUUGAGUCUCAUCUCGUGGUUACUCCUAAGGAAAAGUUGGUGACAAUCAUUGGACUCGAGCAGCAUUUCUCAACUACCUAAACCGACAGGUAAAGGUACUUGGUAAGUCUAAUAGAGCGAGUUGAGUACUAUACACGAGCGUGAGUGAUACACUAAGGGAGUGAAGUGAGGUUGUACUUGCACUUUUCUUUGCCUUGUCACUAACCUUUACAGGACACCACGAGAGGCAUGGAGCAACCACAAGCAACCAUUGACCACUCCUUGUUGUUCGCCGCAAUGAAGAAUGAGCUCAGGCGAAUCAGUGAGCAACAAAUGGAGGAGCUGCACACUCGUUUUGACGAGUUAUCUAGGAGUCUCACACGAGGCUCUCGCUCGAGAUCCCACAAUUGGAGUAGCCAUGGCACCAAAGAAGCACAUAGCGAAGGCUACUCCGCUAAUGAGGAUGAGGAGCGACCCGAGAAGCCUAGAAGGGACACACCAAAGAACAAACUAAAGGGACUUAAGAUUCAAGUACCCGCGUUCAAAGGCAAGAGUGACCUUGAGGCGUACUUGGAGUGGGAAGGCCGCAUCGAAAUGUCUUCAACUGCUACAAUUAUAGCAAGGAACAAAAGGUCAAAGUUGCCACUGUUGAGUUCACCGACUACGCCCUAGUUUGGUGGGACCAAGUGAGGACCCAUAGGAGGAGAAUGGGAGAACCGCGGGUCCGAACUUGGCUAGAGCUCAAGGCAUUGAUGCGUAAGCGAUUCGUUCCAAGCUACUACAACCUAGAUCUCCACUCCAAAUUGCAAACCCUCACUCAAGGCAACAUGAGUGUGGAGGACUACUACAAAGAGAUCGAGAUGGCCAUGAUGAGGGCGAACCUUCAAGAAGAUAGUGAAGCGACCAUGGCUAGAUUCCUUCGAGGUCUCAACCCCGAUCUUCAAGAAGCCUUGGAGCUCCAACACUACGUGGACAUGCAUGACCUCCUUGAACUCGCUAUCAAGGCUGAGAGGGGAAAGAAACUAAGGCGAGGAGCCCGUACCUUCCAGUCUUCAAACUCGACCUCAUGGAAGGGCAACCAACCACGGAGGGCGACCCACGAGGCGGAUAUUCAGCCACACCAACUUCUUCAAGCCGAAUUCAAGGUAAUGUACCUAAUCGAAAUUCCAAUUCUACCCCUAACAAAGUUAUCGAUACAUCCAGGUCUACCUCGAAGGCACCACAUGAGACUCCUAAGACUAGGAGUAGGGACAUCAAAUGCUUUAAGUGCCAAGGGUUUGGACAUAUUCUGUCUCAAUGUCCAAACCAACGGGUCAUGCUAAUCACUCACAAUGGCGAGAUCGUGUCCGAUGAUGACGACUGUGAGGAGAUACCCGAAUUGACCAAAGGCGACUGCCUGGAUGACGACUCUGCUGAGAAAGAUUGCUCGCCUACACAAGGGGAAGUAGGGUGCUUGGUGGCACGACGAGUGCUAACCGCCGAGUUAAAGGAGGACAAGCAACUACAAUGGGAGAACCUGUUUUACACCCGUUGUAAAAUAGGUGACAAGGUGUGUAGCCUCAUCAUCGACGGUAGGAGUUGCACAAACGUGGCAAGCUUACUCAUGGUUAAGAGAUUAGGGCUUCCAACCACUAGACAUCCAUACCCUUAUCGCCUCUAAUGGCUGAGUGAGGAUGGAGAGGUACGUGUUUUCAAACAGGUACGCAUUCCCUUUUCCAUUGGGACUUGUUUGUGACGUCGUGCCUAUGCAUGCCACCCAUGUCAUCUUGGGUUGACCAUGGCAAUUUGACAAACACAUCACAUUCGAUGGAAGGGCCAACAAGUACACACUCUUGCAUGAUGGCAAACGCAAGGUCCUCACACCACUCACACUUGCACAAGUGUAUGAGGACCAACUUAUGUUGCAAAGAGAGUGUGAACAAAACCGUCAAAGGAGAAAGCAAAAGGCGGUCGACCUUGGCAAGGGCUCCACUUCUGCAAGUGAGCCAUCGGCCAAGGGUCAAGUAAGCACACCUAGUGUUACGCAUGACAAAGCACCCAUUACACCUACCACUAGGAGGCAAAACAUGAUUAUUAAGGCUAAGGACGUUAGGAAAGUUGUCAAUUCUGAUCAGUUUGUACUCCUCAUGAUUUGCAAGCAUGUGCUUUUGGAUGUAGCUGAACUCGAUGAGGCAUUGCCUUCGAGUAUGGUUGCUCUUUUGCAGGAAUUUGAGGAUGUCUUCCCUGACGAGGUCCCUGAUGGCUUACCACCCAUUCGAGGAUUGAACACCAAAUCGACUUCAUUCCUGGAGCACCACUACCCAACAAACCUGCUUACCGCAUGGACCUUGAGGAGACAAAAGAGCUUCAAAGGUAAGUUGAUGGCCUAUUAGGUAAGGGUUGGGUAAAAGAGAGUCUCAGUCCUUGUGCUGUGCCUGUGGUAUUCCUUGUGAGAACCCUCACUUUAAAAGUCAAAUUUUCUAAACUACAUGCCCUACUCUAAGAAUGAAACCACGGAUUAUAAGCCCUAGCAUUGUAUCCCCUAUGUGUUAUCGUAUACACUAAGAAAUUAAAACGUUUUUCUUGAGUUAGUUGUAACUAUUUCACCACUUAUAAUAUACCCUUGCAUAGCAUUCUACAUGUAUUAAAACAAUUUCCAUGCAUUACAUUUCAUAUCCUUACUUUUAGCUAAAACAAUUUUGUUGAGUUAGUUUCUUUUUCCACCACUUACAUUGUACCAAGUGCCUUACCUAGGAUUUAAAUUACUUAUUCUAUGCCCUUACAAUAUAUUUCUAUAUGUUAUAGUAAUUUCCAUGUAUAACAUUCCAUUUCAUUGUAAUUGAAGAAAAAUAUUUUCUUGAGUUUGUUUAAAUUAAUGCACCACUUGAAAUUGACCAAGUGUUCUUUUCUUAAGUAGUAGAGAUUUUUGUGUGAGAUUAGAGUUGUUAAACAAUUAUUGAUACAUUUGGAAAGUUAAGAGAACCAUUAGUCAAAGAUUAAGAAAGUCUAGGUUACUAAUGGAGCCAUGUGGCAAAACCCUAGCCAUGGGUUUGUUUAACUAAGGAAUUAGAAAACAAUUUAAAGACUAAACUUGGUUCCUUUUUAACCCUUGUUGGCCGAAUUUCUUAGCACAAAAAGGGGGAAGAGAGAGAGCUCCAUAUACUUACCUUGAACCCUAGAAAAAAAAAACCAAGAACAAAAAUCCAAAGAAGAAAGAUCUAGAGUUUGUGAGAAAAUUUCCUUCAAUCUUUGAGGUUGUUUCAAGCCUAAAGCUUCUAUUGUGGUGGUUUGUUUGGUGACCAAAGCAACUUGUAAGUAAGGUAUGUAAUCUUUAAAAUUUGGGUUUAUGAUGUUAUAUCAUCUACUUGAGGUUGAAAUGGUGAAAAACAACUUGUUAUGGUUGAAUUUGGGGUUAGUUUCUUGAGUUAAUCAAGUAAUGGUUAGGUUUACUAAUAUGCAUACCAAGUGUUUGAUGAAAUGUCUAACCCUUAUUCAUGUGUGUUUAUGAAGUAUUGAUAUGUUUUAAACCCCUAUUUAGUUGGAUCUAAUACUUGUUAUGUGCAAGGAAUGAAAAUAACAAGAAGAGUAGAAGUUAAAAUUUUUAAAGUGUGCUGACCGAAACUUUUUAAGCUUGCUGCCCGGUUUUUACUUGAUAUUUUCAUGCACAUUUUGGCUACAAAUGUGAGUGUUAUAUUUUGGGUUAUGUGUGUGGAGGUUUUCUACAAAAAAUUAGCCAAUUUGGUUGAAUAAAGUUUGAGUUAUAAACAAAGGAGGAAAACUGGACUAGGUCCAGAAAUUUUCUGUCCAGCAAUCUUUUAAGGUCAUAACGUGUUACUCACUGAUCAGAAUUGAGUGCCGUUUGUGGCAAUUGAAAGUAGACUAUUAGAGCUUUAAAACGGUACAAAGCUGAUUUUCUGGUUCAUCCCGAACGAUCCGUGGCGAGUCUGGAAAGUUGGCUGUCCGAGCGGUACUGUUCAUCCGAGACAGUCCAGAAAGUUCAUUUGGUUUCUUAAUUUGAGCCACUUAUGUUGGGAUUUUGGAAAUGGUUUCUUCUAGACAAAUUUAGCCUUAUGAACCUAGUUUCCAAUGCAACUAAUGGAACCUGAUUCCAACUUUCCCACAAUGAGCAAUGACCAUUUUCCCCAGGCUGCCCGGGCGAGACAGUUUAACCCGCAAUGAAGCCUUUGAGCUUUAGUGAAACUUUUCUUUUGCCAAACUUUCAUGUUCAUACUAGACUUGUUUCCCAUGAACUUUCACCGUGAUUUAGACCCUAUUUGCAUGCCGGAUUAAGUAGCUUAAACUACUCACUUGGCCUCUUAAUGAACCUAUACUUUAGUAGGGAACGAAUCCAAUUAUUAAUGUUUUCACUCGUUGACCUAGGUUUGGGAAACGACAGUGAUCGUAAUUGAGACGUUUGACGUCGAUUAUUACUUUUGCUUGACAGGUGAGUGUUCCACUACUUGCUACUUGUUAUGUGAAAUAUUUGUGUACUUGAAAGUAUUGAAUUGUUAUUGUUUGAGCCAAACACUGUUUUAAUUAAAAUUGAGGCGAGUGUGUACUUUAUUGCACUCGACUUUCCUUGUUUUUUUUCUUUUCACUGAGGCUCUACUUACUGAAUGAAUUAACAUGAAAUGAAAUAUUGCUAUACAUGAUUGUGCUUAAGUUGCGUGGAUGACAUUCCACCAACUACUGUUACUAUUUGGGUACCCAACCUCAUAGGUGAGUCGGUUGUAUCGAGCCAGCAAGGGCUUGGUCGAGAAGGCCGAUAAACCUUGAGGACUGUUUACUGUUCACUGGAAAUUGAAUCUUGCUUGGAGGUCCCUGGUGAAGCAUAGCCGUUGUGCUUGCUUGUUGUGUUGUCCAGUACCACCAGUGAUAAAAUCCCCGGCUUGAUACUGUUUCAUUGGAAUCCUUGAGCAUUGAAAACUCGGAUUCCUGGUAUACUCGAGUAUUAUCAAACUACUAUUUAUGGAGCACGGGUCCGAUGGGGGGUUGUUUGGUGGACUGAGAUUGGUGAAAGUGGUGUUCUACGGACCUAUAUACUGUUACAAGUGUUGACGGAGUGUCAACAGGAGGCAAUUAUGAUCAAGCCCAAGUGGACCUUUGGCUUUUGAAAGCCACCCGUAUCCUUGAAUUGAACUGUGAUUAAACUGUUAUUUUACUGUACGGUGUAUAGUUGGCUAUUUUGUAAUAUAAUGUGGCUAUGUGUUUACUUGUUUUACCUGGAACCUCACUGGGCUUUAGCUCACUCCAUUCCCUUUGUUUUCCUUAACAGAUCGGGAAAGGAUUUGAUCGAGGGAUUUCUUAGCUUUAUUUUGCCGUUCUUGCAUGUUGAGGUUAUAACUUUCAUUUAAGCAGACUUGUAAGCUUAAAUUCUUAAGGAUGAUUUAUAUUAUGUAAUUUUGAGUGAAGCGUGGUAAGUUGGCAUGCGAUGAUAUAUGUACUAAGCUGAAUUGUUGGAUUAGUGAUUAUGUUUGAGUUAGGGUUUCAAUCCCCUGCAUUGUCAAAUGUUAUAUUCGUUUCAUUAAUGAUAUUAGUACUUUGAACGACUGAGUCCUGGCGAGAGUUGGGCAGGCAGUCCGCUGAUACCCUAGGUUUGCCCUAGGGAGAGGUGGGGCUGUCACACUCGUCCCUAAAAAGGAUGGUACUUGGCGAAUGUGCACUGAUUGUAGGGCCGUCAAUGCCUUUACUGUCACGUAUCGCCAUCCCAUUCCUAGAUUAGAUGAUAUGCUUGAUGAACUCGAUGGUGCUGUCAUAUUCCCAAAAUCGACUUAAGGAGUGGCUAUCAUCAAUUAGGAUGAAAGAAGGCGAUGAGUGGAAACGGCCUUCAAAACCAAGCAUGGUCUCUAUGAGUGGCUAGUCAUGCCUUUUGGGUUGACUAAUGCUCCUAGCACCUUCAUGCAACUAAUGAACCAUAUCUUGAGGGAGUUUAUUGGCAAAUUUGUCAUAGUGUACUUUGAUGACAUUCUGAUAUAUAGUCGCAGCGAACAUGAGCACUUGGAGCAUGUGAGACUAGUUCUUGAGACACUUGAAAGGCGCAUUUAUACGCUAACUUAAGAAGGCACCUUUUGUAUUAAUGAACUUGUGUUUUUGGGCUAUGUAGUGAGUUCGCAGGGUAUCAAGGUAGACAAGUCAAAAUUGAGGCCAUCGAGCAAUGGCCAACUCUCACAUCCAUUCUUGAGGUGCACAGUUUUCUUGGAUUGGCGGGUUUUAUCGCACUUUGUCAAGGACUUCAGCACCAUUGCCGCCCAAUGACCGCGUGACCAAGAAAAAUGACAAGUUCUAUUGGGAGGAAGACCAAGAACAAGCAUUUCUUACCCUCAAAAACAAACUCACACAUGUACCUGUUUUAGUAUUACCAAAUUUUAACAAGACUUUUGAAAUCGAGUGUGAUGCUUCUGUGUAGGUAUUGGCGCUGUCCUCAUACAAGACAAAAGGCCUUGUGCCUUCUUUAGCGAGAAACUGGGAGGAGCUGCUUUAAACUACCAAUAUAUGACAAGGAGUUCUACGCACUGGUAAGGGCCUUGGAGACCUGACAACACUAUCUUCGCCCUCGGGAGUUCGUGAUACACGCUGAUCACGAGUCAUUGAAGUUUCUCAAGGGACAACCCAAGUUAAGCAAGAGACAUGCCAAAUGGGUAAGCUUCAUUGACACAUUCUCCUAUGUAAUUAAGUACAAACUGGCAAGACGAAUGUGGUAGCUGAUGCCUUGUCACGUAGACACUUCUUGCUUGCCUGUCUUGAUGCUAAGUUAUUAGGGUUCGAAAUGAUUAAGGAACUCUACACACAUGAUUAUGACUUUGGUGACAUAUAUGCUACGUGUGUUAAGAACCCACAUGGAAAGUACUUUUUGCAUGAUGGAUUUCUAUUUCAUGUGGAUAAACUGUGUGUGCCUAAUUCUUCCAUCUGUGAUCUUCUGGUUAGGGAGGCAUAUAGUGGUGUCUCAUGGGACACUUUAGCAUGGUUAAGACUCUUGCCAUGUUACAAGAGCAUUUCUAUUGGCCUCACAUGCGUCGAGAUGUGGAACGCAUGGUUGGUAGAUGUGCCACUUGUCACAAGGCGAAGUCUAAGACAAAUCCGUAUGGCCUGUAUACCCAUUGCCUAUUCCCCACUAUUCUUGGUAGACUUGUCCAUGGACUUUGUUUUAGAACUCCCUAGGUCGCCUAGGGAAAUGAUUCCAUCUUUGUAGUGGUUGAUAGAUUCUCUAAGAUGGCUCAUUUUAUUCCCUGUCACAAAACUGAUGAUGCAUCCAUAUUGCUACUUUGUUCUUUAAAGAAAUUGUCCGUCUGCAUGGCAUGUCUAGGACCAUCGUUAGUGAUAGAGAUGUCAAGUUUCUGAGUUACUUUUGGAAGACUUUGUGGUCUAAACUUGGCACUAGGUUAUUAUUCUCCACCACUAGUCAUCCACAAAGCGAUGGGCAAACUGAAGUUGUCAAUCGCACACUCGGCACACUACUUCGGGCUUUGAUUAAAAAGAAUCUUAAAACUUAGGAAGAGUGCUUGCCUCAUGUUGAAUUUGCCUACAAUCGAGCUGUUCACAGUGCUACCCACGACUCACCUUUUGAGGUUGUUUAUGUCUUUAACCCGCUGACCCCCCUUGAUUUAGUGCCCUUACCUUUUUCUGAGCACACAAGCUUAGAUGGGAAAAAGAAGGCUGAUUUUGUGCGCAGGUUACAUGAAGCCGUUUAGGCAAACAUUGAGCGGCGUACUCAACAAUACCUCCAGCAAGCCAACAAGCACCAUCGCAAGAUGGUUUUUGAGUCUUGAGAUUGGGUUUGGUUACACUUGCGAAAGGAGAGAUUCCCCAAACAGCGACAAAGCAAGUUGUCUCCAAGAGGUGAUGGACCCUUUCGAGUGCUCCAACGAGUUAAUAAUAACACUUACAAAUUGGAGUUACUCGGGGAAUAUAAUAUGAGUGCGACCUUCAAUGUCACGGACUUGAACCCAUUUCUUGAUGAGGAGGAUCCAAAUUUGAGGGCAAAUCCUUCUUAAGAGGAGGGGACUGAUGUGUGCAUGGAUCAGGGCCCACGUAAUGACCUAGUCCGAGUCCUAUUGGCCCCAGUCCCAGGGCUCUUCAAAGAAUCCCUCCAAGCGCUCGUUCGAGUUGUCCAAGACCAACAUGGAGCCCAUAGAAAUAUUGAAGGCUUAGAAAGAGACAAUCAAGUAACUUACACCUUGAUCCAAGCUCAUGAAGAAUCAAGUGGGCCUCCUUGUGCAUCGACUGAGUAGGGCCUUAGUCUUUAUUACUUAUUCAGUUGGAUUAGUUGCUUAGUAGAAGGCAUGGCCGCUAUCUUGGAGUCAAGAUGGCCGACUCCCCUCUUAGGGUUUCUUUAGGGUUUGUUUUGUGUUACCUUUAGCCUAUAAAUAGGCUAGUUUUGUAAGAUUAAACACACAAGUUUUAUGAAUAAAAUUCUUAGUAUUUUCGUUUUCUUCCUAAGAGAGAAAUCGAGUCCUUAACUUGCUUUGGCAAGGGUUCUUGAGCAAUCUUGCGUCCUGUCCUUGAUUAUUCAGCCGACCUAUUCCCCUGGAGUAUUCACCUUCAUUGGAGUGUCGUUCUACCGCUUUAAAUCAAAGCAUGCCGUCCGUGUUGAUUUAAAGUCCCGCAAUCCAAACGUAGGACAAUCUCGCUAGAUCCUUGGGCAAACGUGCUAUGUGUCUCGAAACGAGUUGAUCGAGGAACGUAUCAUUCUUCUUCUUCUUCCUUCCUUCCCCCUCCCUCUUCCCUUGCGGUACCAGACAAACCAACAGCCCUCUCCCCAAAUUUUUUUUUCUCUUCCCUCUCUUCUCCCUCUCUGCUCCCCUCUCCCCCUUUAUUCCCCUUCACCAUCCCCCUCUCCCAAAGCAGAGAACCAGCAGCCAUGGCACCUACAAUUUUUUUUUUACUUUUUCUCUCCCCCUCUUCUCCAUCUCCCUUUCCCUUUCUUACUCCCUCCCCUUUUGCCCAAUCCGGUCGUUCGAUUAGAUCGUAUCUAAGGAAGUGGGAGGGUGGCCAGGGAAGGAGAGGCGGAGGGGAGAGGGACAAGGAAAAAAAAAAGGGGUAGGCCGUCGCCAGAAUAGGUGGUCGGCGCCGGAAACAGUGGCCGAGGUGGUGGUGGUCGGCGGUGGAGGGGUGGCCGACGAUGAAGGUGUGGUGGAUAGGGGUGAGGGAGAAAGAAGAAGAAAAGAGAAAGUUUUUUGUGUAUUAGAUAUUUUGAAGUAUGUAGGUUAAAAAUUUGAUAAGUUUUUUUGGGUUCAUGUAGUUAAAGUUGUUAAAAAACUAGUAGUUAAAAAACUUGGCCAAAAAACUCGGUUCCAAACAGGCUCGCAGUUUCUGGUUGGAACAUAGGAUGGGGUGUUUUUGAUCCUUGCAGCUCUGCCUAAAAUAUGUGGCAGCUGCUGUUGUUUUUGUAAUUGGGAGCAGUUAGUACUCUUGUCCUAUGUUCUCACUCCGUAUCUGGAAACAUGACGAGGGUUAAGUUGGAGGAAUAUAUGCCAUGAGAUGUGGCCUUUCCUUUCUUCAUUUCCCAUUUUCCAAAAUUGUGACAAGCUUUAUAAUUGAAAAAAAAAUGUAUAAUGACAAUAAUGAUUUCAUGAGUUUUUCUUUUCAUUCUAUAGUUUUCAUUAGAUUGCAGCAAAUGAUCAAAUAUAUAUUAAUUUGCUUAAUUCACAUUUGUUUAUAGAAAAGGCAUAUUUGUAAAGUAAUUUGUUUGAGUAUCUUUUCCUUUCAUUUGUAUUCAACUCACAAACAAAAGAAAAUUAAUUACUUUCUUUUCUUUCUUAAAACUCCCAAACAACUAGAUAGAAACUUUGAUCCUUUCUUUUCUUUUCUAACUUAUCCUUUCUCUUCUUUUCUUUUCUAUUCUAAACUCCCAAACUAGCUAAAAAGUAAAAAGUUUUUACAAUAAUUAGACACAAUUUAUUCACAUCUGAAGCUAAAAGUGGUAAAAUACCAACAAAAGAAAAGGAAAGAUGUCAAAAUGCACAAUUCAAUAAGGACUAUCACUAUCGUAAGACUAGUAUUGAAUUAUAAAGGGAACAAUUUACCAAAAUCACAUAAUCACAAUCAAAGUAUCGCUAUAUAUUCUUCAAUCCUAUGGAAAUAAAUUGUAUAACUAAUAUUUGCUGAAACUAGACCACACUUUAUCACAACUCUAUUACAAUAAUCCAAAAGAGGAAAGACUACCUGGUGAAUAUAUAGAACUCUAGGGUACCACCAUCUGCUCUCAAACUCCAUCACAAUUCUCUGCUCUACUGCCGAUUAUUCUAGUAGAGGUGAGGAUGUAUGCUAUUAAACUUCGAGUAAGACAGAUUAGAACAGGUAGAAAGAGGAAGGGAGAGGUUCGUCGGCAUGACUGGAACGAUGGGAGUUUGGGAAGAAAGGAAGAGAGAGAUUGGGAAAUUGGAAAGACGAGGAGGAUUUUUGGAUGAUUACUCGUACCUCUGCCUUAUGUCCCAAUACGACAUUGUUAAGUAGCGCCGGGUUUUAAUUUCUCUAGAAAAUGAGAUGGCGAAAAAACACUAAGGGUUCAUUGGGAGGGGAGGUUGGAAAGAAAAGAAAGGGAAAGAAAAGAAAGUUUUGUUAGUUUUUAGUAGGAAAGAAAAGAAAGGAAAUGGAAGGAUGAAUAGUGAUUAAAAAUGUUUCCUCCCAAAUUGGAAGGAAAUGAGAAGAAAAACUUGUUAAUUUUUUUAAAAUGCCCAUUUUGUCUUUAAAAAGGUUUUGAACAAAUAUUUAAUAACUUCUAUAUUCAAAAUCAUUCCACUAAUUUUUAAAACUCCCAAACAACAUAACAAUCUCUUCUCUUCUCUCAUAACUUAAGCUUUCCCUUCUUUUCUUUUUCUAUCCUAAACUCCCAAACUAAGCCUAAAAGAACACUAAAAAGGAGAGGGAAUAUUUGAAGGGAAUAUAAAAUUUGUUAGGAAUAAGUUUUUUAUUCCAAAAAAAUUUAAAAGAAAUUUUUAUUGUUUUGAAAAUAUUGUCUUCAUUUUUUAAUUUCUAAAUUAUUUAAUAAGUUUUCUAAUGUGAGGCCCCAGUUCGUUCUACGUUGAUAUAUUCAUUAAUUGGGCGGUAACGUUUGGUUUUGGGAGUAUUUCGAAAACCCUAAGUAGGGAUUAAGAUUUAAACCCUAAGUUCCGGUUAAGAUUGAAAACCCGUUUUCCUACAUUUUCUUUAUUAGAAAAUGCCUCAGAUAAUUUUUAUUGAGUAAAUAGAGUUUUUAGAUGAUUUUUCUAGUAUUAGUUAGUUUUUGAGAAAUUAAGAACGUAUAUCGGACGUGGGACCCACUAGUGCGAAAAGUUCGGAAAAAUUCGGCCAAUUAGGUUAAAUUCCGGAUACUGUGUAAAAUUUAUCGGGUGUUAAGAGAUAAGUAGAGUGUGUGAAGUGAGUGAUGUGAGAGAGAAAAGGAAGAUAAGAAUGCAUUAAUGAGUGUGACAAGUGUCACAAUAUGAUUGGUUGGACUUUAAGAAUUACUAUUCACAAUUUUGACUUUUUUGACCAAAGGUUAAAUAUCUCAAAAAUCAUUCAAAAUUCACCAUUUUUCUCUCCUUGGUGGCCGGCUCUCUAAGCUCAAAGAAGGGAGGAAAUUUUCCAUCUCUCAAGCUUCCAUAAGCUUCAAUCUUCCAUAAACAAAAGCUUAGACUAGAUUUCACUCCAUAAAAUCUUAUCUUCUAGUGCUAGUAAGGGUUGUGGUGAAGUUUGUUUGAAGGUCUAAGGUGCCCAACAUCUUCCUCUCUCUUGGUUCUUGGUAAGUGAAGCUUGAAACACCCUACUACACCUAAUGAUGCUUAUGUUGUGCUUAUUAGUGAUAAGAGUGCUGAAAUUUCUGGUUUUAAUCUUGGUUUGAAGUGAUUUGGUGAAGUUUUCCAUUUUAUGAUGAUUUUUCUGGUUUAAUUGGAUUAUGAUGGUGUGGUUGAAUAUGAUGAAUGGUAAUAGCCUAUAAUGACUCUAGUGAGUGUGAAAUGUGGAUAAAUGCAACCAAUUUUGGAUUUGGUGUGAAAAUUGAAAAGUUAGGGUUCCUAAAUCCCCAAUUCUGUCCGGUUUUGGAUCAUAGGGUUAGAGGCAGAAUUUGACUUUGCUCAAAACAUGAAAGUUGUAGGUAUUGAUGUGUUUGAGGUGCCUACAAAAUUUCAGGUCAUUUGGAUUAAUGUAGAAUGAGAUAUGACGAAAUUACUGUAGCUGUUCUGCUUUGGUCAGAAUGCGAAAACUGCGUUGGUAUUUGGCUAUUUUGGCUGGAAUUAGUUUGGAUUUUGAAGUUGGUGUCUUCUGAUGAAAUGUAGCUGGAUGUCUUAUCUAACAUAUGCCUUUGGAAUUUCGGCAUUUGGACUUGUAUAGACUAAGUUAUAGUCAUUACAGUUUUAUGUGAUUUGCAAACCUGUUUUGGUAAUUCUGGAUUUGUAUUUUGCAUAUUUGACCUAGUUGUGCUAGGAUUUGGACUGAGUGGCCUUCUACAUUGUUGUACCCCUGUUCCUUAGCUUCGAAACGGUGGGUCUUACACCCCCAUCCGAUAACCGUAGUGAAUUUGGUGCCAUUACCGCAUAUUGAGGUCAAAUACGGUUUGUGAUUCUAGUACGUUUUUGGAAAGUUUAUGGCUGGAACUUUGGCUUCACAUUUGACUGAGUUACAAGCUGUUUGGGCUUCUGACCAAAACACCAAACUUAUAGCCCUAUAUCAGAGCUUUCUAACGCCCUUGGAAUUUCAUGAAUCGGAUUUAUAAAACCUGAGAUAUAGCCGAGCAAACAAGGCCUGCCCGUGAAAAUGACCAGAAAUCUGUUUUGGUCCUGAUGACCAAUUUCCGUUCCGAAUUUGGAUUGCCGACCUUCAUGAAAGUUGUUCCAUUUGGAAUGAACUAUCUAACUGCCAAUUUUCAGCUCUUUUGACCAUGUGUAGCAUAGAAAACAGUUCGUACUCAAAACUGACCAUUUGUGCAUUGGCCAGAUUUCGUAAGUGAUUGUGUUUGGUUCAUUUGGGACUGAAGCCUCCAGUUUCAGUUCUGGAUGUCUUCAUAACAGUUGUUGUUCAUCCUUUAAGCUUCGAUUUGGCAUCUCAUCCGCCUUAAUCCGAUAUUCGUAGCUCAACUUAUGGGUGAACUAGAAAUGAGUAUCAAAUCUGCCGUUUGCCGUUUCCGCACGCGUGCGUGUGCCCUUUCCGUACUUGCGUGUGCCGAUGUUGCUGUUUUAUUUGUUUUGGGCACGUUAGUGGCCGUUUAUGACAUCAUGUGAUGCAAUCUUCUAUUUCAGAUCGUGGUGAGCUAGGCGGAGCUGGUGGGCCCUACUAGCGAACACGCACGAAGUGAUUUUCACGUUUGUACUACUUUUGUACUUUGUGUAAGUAUUCAGGCCGGUUUGGUGUGUUUUCUUUGCUAUGUGUUUGAGAUAUGUGAAAAGGGCACUUAGGCGAGGGUGUACUUUAUCGCACUCGACCUAAACCCUAAUUUGAAUGUAUAAUUGUACUUGGCAUAUGUAUAUGAACCUUUUGGAACCAAAACCCUUGAGCUUGUGGCUCGGGGCGACUUUCGAAUAAAGUUUGUGAAGUUUGCAAAGUUUGUGAUUUUGAAUAAUUUUGUGAAAUUUGUGAGUUUGGGGCGAACUCUUGACCUGGUUGGACUAUUCGAGCCGGUUAGGGCUUGGUCGAAGGCAGUCCAACUUAGUCUGAGGUCACCAAGUUUGUAGGUUCAUUUUAUGAACCAAUUUUGUGAAUCCGGUUCACCGAGAAGGUGACCAAGUUUGUGACCCGAGCUUGUGACUCAAGCUCAAGUUUGUGAUUUCGUUCGCCCGGGCAAGUUUGUGAGGUGACUGGCCAGUGAGGGUGAUAAGGUGUCGGUGGGUGUACAAGUGAAGUUCUACGGACUAUUAUUUGCAGUCGACGGACAGGAGUGUCGCAGGAGAUCACGCAUGGCACAUGAGUUGGCUUUGGAGCCACCUGUAUCCUUAUUAUGUGAUGUUACUUUUCUGCUUUUGCUUUACUCUUAUUGUGUAACUGUUACGUGAAAUUUAUGCUUUCGCCCCUGUUUACUUACUAAGCAUAUAGCUUACCCCAUUCCUUUUGUUUUCCUUAGCAGGGGCCGACGCGGGGACUUUUGGCUCGUAUACUAGUAUAGUUAGUUUGGCUUGUAAUAGUUGAACAGUUAGGAUGUUUGUUUUUGUUUUGGUGGUUUGACUCGAUACUUUUGGAGAAUGUAAUUAUAACUCUUUUGGGAUUGUAUAUAUUGUAUUUAGUGCUCUUUCGAACUUUAAGUUUUGAGUCCUGGCGCGAGCUAGGCAGGCGGCCCGCCGAUACCCUUGGGUUCGCCCUUGGGAGAAGUGGGGUCGUCACAGUUGGUAUCAGAGCUUAGGCUUCAGAUCUCUGUAGUGUAUCCUAGGCUGAAAGUUUAGGAUGCCGGACUGUGGGAUUUGAUUUUAUUUGAAAGUUAAGCAAUUGAGGGAUAAAACCUAUAGCUGCUUCGCGUGGUCUCUGCGCGGGGUGAGCCUGAUGAAGUGGUGAAUAAGUAUGAAGGACUAGAUGCUCGGUCAAGCAUAAGUUAUGGAUCAUAAAUGUUAUAGGCCUUAAAUCUUUCUCAUGGUAUCUGAGGACCAUAGGUAGGUUCGUCAGGUAGGAAUUUCGAUUGUAGAUAGUUUACUCUUGGGACUGCAGCUUGAGAUGUGAAUUAUCUUAUUUCGGAUUCUUGUGCCUGAGUACUCCAGAGUUGAGGCGCUGCUAAGUACUUGAGAUUUGCAUUUUGGGGAACAUGAACAAGCUUUGUCUGGCUAGAGUGAGUACAAGAGAUCAACGGGCACUUUGGGAAGUGGAGUAAGAAACCGGACGAGGGUGGUUUUCACUGAGUGUGGGACGACAAGUCGCGUUUCUUUCAUUUGCCCUUGUAUUGUCCCUACAUGUCAUUUACUUGUGGUAUGUUAAUACCUGCAUCUAUAGUACUUGCUGCACUUGACUUUGUCUAACUUGAAAUGUCUCUUGGUGUAUAUGGUGCAUUAUAUUGCGUACAUUUUGGCGUGACUUGUAUAUAUAUGUACACCUUUUGAUCUUUUGAUUAUUUCGAGUUUUUCAACCCUUAGCUCGUUGAUUGCAAUUUCGAGGACGAAAUUGUCCUAAGUGGGGGAGAUUGUGAGGCCCCAGUUCGUUCUACGUUGAUAUAUUCAUUAAUUGGGCGGUAACGUUUGGUUUUGGGAGUAUUUCGAAAACCCUAAGUAGGGAUUAAGAUUUAAACCCUAAGUUCCGGUUAAGAUUGAAAACCCGUUUUCCUACAUUUUCUUUAUUAGAAAAUUCAGAUAAUUUUUAUUGAGUAAAUAGAGUUUUUAGAUGAUUUUUCUAGUAUUAGUUAGUUUUUGAGAAAUUAAGAACGUAUAUCGGACGUGGGACCCACUAGUGCGAAAAGUUCGGAAAAAUUCGGCCAAUUAGGUUAAAUUCCGGAUACUGUGUAAAAUUUAUCGGGUGUUAAGAGAUAAGUAGAGUGUGUGAAGUGAGUGAUGUGAGAGAGAAAAGGAAGAUAAGAAUGCAUUAAUGAGUGUGACAAGUGUCACAAUAUGAUUGGUUGGACUUUAAGAAUUACUAUUCACAAUUUUGACUUUUUUGACCAAAGGUUAAAUAUCUCAAAAAUCAUUCAAAAUUCACCAUUUUUCUCUCCUUGGUGGCCGGCUCUCUAAGCUCAAAGAAGGGAGGAAAUUUUCCAUCUCUCAAGCUUCCAUAAGCUUCAAUCUUCCAUAAACAAAAGCUUAGACUAGAUUUCACUCCAUAAAAUCUUAUCUUCUAGUGCUAGUAAGGGUUGUGGUGAAGUUUGUUUGAAGGUCUAAGGUGCCCAACAUCUUCCUCUCUCUUGGUUCUUGGUAAGUGAAGCUUGAAACACCCUACUACACCUAAUGAUGCUUAUGUUGUGCUUAUUAGUGAUAAGAGUGCUGAAAUUUCUGGUUUUAAUCUUGGUUUGAAGUGAUUUGGUGAAGUUUUCCAUUUUAUGAUGAUUUUUCUGGUUUAAUUGGAUUAUGAUGGUGUGGUUGAAUAUGAUGAAUGGUAAUAGCCUAUAAUGACUCUAGUGAGUGUGAAAUGUGGAUAAAUGCAACCAAUUUUGGAUUUGGUGUGAAAAUUGAAAAGUUAGGGUUCCUAAAUCCCCAAUUCUGUCCGGUUUUGGAUCAUAGGGUUAGAGGCAGAAUUUGACUUUGCUCAAAACAUGAAAGUUGUAGGUAUUGAUGUGUUUGAGGUGCCUACAAAAUUUCAGGUCAUUUGGAUUAAUGUAGAAUGAGAUAUGACGAAAUUACUGUAGCUGUUCUGCUUUGGUCAGAAUGCGAAAACUGCGUUGGUAUUUGGCUAUUUUGGCUGGAAUUAGUUUGGAUUUUGAAGUUGGUGUCUUCUGAUGAAAUGUAGCUGGAUGUCUUAUCUAACAUAUGCCUUUGGAAUUUCGGCAUUUGGACUUGUAUAGACUAAGUUAUAGUCAUUACAGUUUUAUGUGAUUUGCAAACCUGUUUUGGUAAUUCUGGAUUUGUAUUUUGCAUAUUUGACCUAGUUGUGCUAGGAUUUGGACUGAGUGGCCUUCUACAUUGUUGUACCCCUGUUCCUUAGCUUCGAAACGGUGGGUCUUACACCCCCAUCCGAUAACCGUAGUGAAUUUGGUGCCAUUACCGCAUAUUGAGGUCAAAUACGGUUUGUGAUUCUAGUACGUUUUUGGAAAGUUUAUGGCUGGAACUUUGGCUUCACAUUUGACUGAGUUACAAGCUGUUUGGGCUUCUGACCAAAACACCAAACUUAUAGCCCUAUAUCAGAGCUUUCUAACGCCCUUGGAAUUUCAUGAAUCGGAUUUAUAAAACCUGAGAUAUAGCCGAGCAAACAAGGCCUGCCCGUGAAAAUGACCAGAAAUCUGUUUUGGUCCUGAUGACCAAUUUCCGUUCCGAAUUUGGAUUGCCGACCUUCAUGAAAGUUGUUCCAUUUGGAAUGAACUAUAUAACUGCCAAUUUUCAGCUCUUUUGACCAUGUGUAGCAUAGAAAACAGUUCGUACUCAAAACUGACCAUUUGUGCAUUGGCCAGAUUUCGUAAGUGAUUGUGUUUGGUUCAUUUGGGACUGAAGCCUCCAGUUUCAGUUCUGGAUGUCUUCAUAACAGUUGUUGUUCAUCCUUUAAGCUUCGAUUUGGCAUCUCAUCCGCCUUAAUCCGAUAUUCGUAGCUCAACUUAUGGGUGAACUAGAAAUGAGUAUCAAAUCUGCCGUUUGCCGUUUCCGCACGCGUGCGUGUGCCCUUUCCGUACUUGCGUGUGCCGAUGUUGCUGUUUUAUUUGUUUUGGGCACGUUAGUGGCCGUUUAUGACAUCAUGUGAUGCAAUCUUCUAUUUCAGAUCGUGGUGAGCUAGGCGGAGCUGGUGGGCCCUACUAGCGAACACGCACGAAGUGAUUUUCACGUUUGUACUACUUUUGUACUUUGUGUAAGUAUUCAGGCCGGUUUGGUGUGUUUUCUUUGCUAUGUGUUUGAGAUAUGUGAAAAGGGCACUUAGGCGAGGGUGUACUUUAUCGCACUCGACCUAAACCCUAAUUUGAAUGUAUAAUUGUACUUGGCAUAUGUAUAUGAACCUUUUGGAACCAAAACCCUUGAGCUUGUGGCUCGGGGCGACUUUCGAAUAAAGUUUGUGAAGUUUGCAAAGUUUGUGAUUUUGAAUAAUUUUGUGAAAUUUGUGAGUUUGGGGCGAACUCUUGACCUGGUUGGACUAUUCGAGCCGGUUAGGGCUUGGUCGAAGGCAGUCCAACUUAGUCUGAGGUCACCAAGUUUGUAGGUUCAUUUUAUGAACCAAUUUUGUGAAUCCGGUUCACCGAGAAGGUGACCAAGUUUGUGACCCGAGCUUGUGACUCAAGCUCAAGUUUGUGAUUUCGUUCGCCCGGGCAAGUUUGUGAGGUGACUGGCCAGUGAGGGUGAUAAGGUGUCGGUGGGUGUACAAGUGAAGUUCUACGGACUAUUAUUUGCGGUCGACGGAGUGUCGGCAGGAGAUCACGCAUGGCACAUGAGUUGGCUUUGGAGCCACCUGUAUCCUUAUUAUGUGAUGUUACUUUUCUGCUUUUGCUUUACUCUUAUUGUGUAACUGUUACGUGAAUUUAUGCUUUCGCUGUUUACUUACUAAGCAAUAGCUUACCCCAUUCCUUUUGUUUUCCUUAGCAGGGGCCGACGCGGGGACUUUUGGCUCGUAUACUAGUAUAGUUAGUUUGGCUUGUAAUAGUUGAACAGUUAGGAUGUUUGUUUUUGUUUUGGUGGUUUGACUCGAUACUUUUGGAGAAUGUAAUUAUAACUCUUUUGGGAUUGUAUAUAUUGUAUUUAGUGCUCUUUCGAACUUUAAGUUUUGAGUCCUGGCGCGAGCUAGGCAGGCGGCCCGCCGAUACCCUUGGGUUCGCCCUUGGGAGAAGUGGGGUCGUCACAGUUGGUAUCAGAGCUUAGGCUUCAGAUCUCUGUAGUGUAUCCUAGGCUGAAAGUUUAGGAUGCCGGACUGUGGGAUUUGAUUUUAUUUGAAAGUUAAGCAAUUGAGGGAUAAAACCUAUAGCUGCUUCGCGUGGUCUCUGCGCGGGGUGAGCCUGAUGAAGUGGUGAAUAAGUAUGAAGGACUAGAUGCUCGGUCAAGCAUAAGUUAUGGAUCAUAAAUGUUAUAGGCCUUAAAUCUUUCUCAUGGUAUCUGAGGACCAUAGGUAGGUUCGUCAGGUAGGAAUUUCGAUUGUAGAUAGUUUACUCUUGGGACUGCAGCUUGAGAUGUGAAUUAUCUUAUUUCGGAUUCUUGUGCCUGAGUACUCCAGAGUUGAGGCGCUGCUAAGUACUUGAGAUUUGCAUUUUGGGGAACAUGAACAAGCUUUGUCUGGCUAGAGUGAGUACAAGAGAUCAACGGGCACUUUGGGAAGUGGAGUAAGAAACCGGACGAGGGUGGUUUUCACUGAGUGUGGGACGACAAGUCGCGUUUCUUUCAUUUGCCCUUGUAUUGUCCCUACAUGUCAUUUACUUGUGGUAUGUUAAUACCUGCAUCUAUAGUACUUGCUGCACUUGACUUUGUCUAACUUGAAAUGUCUCUUGGUGUAUAUGGUGCAUUAUAUUGCGUACAUUUUGGCGUGACUUGUAUAUAUAUGUACACCUUUUGAUCUUUUGAUUAUUUCGAGUUUUUCAACCCUUAGCUCGUUGAUUGCAAUUUCGAGGACGAAAUUGUCCUAAGUGGGGGAGAUUGUGAGGCCCCAGUUCGUUCUACGUUGAUAUAUUCAUUAAUUGGGCGGUAACGUUUGGUUUUGGGAGUAUUUCGAAAACCCUAAGUAGGGAUUAAGAUUUAAACCCUAAGUUCCGGUUAAGAUUGAAAACCCGUUUUCCUACAUUUUCUUUAUUAGAAAAUGCCCAGAUAAUUUUUAUUGAGUAAAUAGAGUUUUUAGAUGAUUUUUCUAGUAUUAGUUAGUUUUUGAGAAAUUAAGAACGUAUAUCGGACGUGGGACCCACUAGUGCGAAAAGUUCGGAAAAAUUCGGCCAAUUAGGUUAAAUUCCGGAUACUGUGUAAAAUUUAUCGGGUGUUAAGAGAUAAGUAGAGUGUGUGAAGUGAGUGAUGUGAGAGAGAAAAGGAAGAUAAGAAUGCAUUAAUGAGUGUGACAAGUGUCACAAUAUGAUUGGUUGGACUUUAAGAAUUACUAUUCACAAUUUUGACUUUUUUGACCAAAGGUUAAAUAUCUCAAAAAUCAUUCAAAAUUCACCAUUUUUCUCUCCUUGGUGGCCGGCUCUCUAAGCUCAAAGAAGGGAGGAAAUUUUCCAUCUCUCAAGCUUCCAUAAGCUUCAAUCUUCCAUAAACAAAAGCUUAGACUAGAUUUCACUCCAUAAAAUCUUAUCUUCUAGUGCUAGUAAGGGUUGUGGUGAAGUUUGUUUGAAGGUCUAAGGUGCCCAACAUCUUCCUCUCUCUUGGUUCUUGGUAAGUGAAGCUUGAAACACCCUACUACACCUAAUGAUGCUUAUGUUGUGCUUAUUAGUGAUAAGAGUGCUGAAAUUUCUGGUUUUAAUCUUGGUUUGAAGUGAUUUGGUGAAGUUUUCCAUUUUAUGAUGAUUUUUCUGGUUUAAUUGGAUUAUGAUGGUGUGGUUGAAUAUGAUGAAUGGUAAUAGCCUAUAAUGACUCUAGUGAGUGUGAAAUGUGGAUAAAUGCAACCAAUUUUGGAUUUGGUGUGAAAAUUGAAAAGUUAGGGUUCCUAAAUCCCCAAUUCUGUCCGGUUUUGGAUCAUAGGGUUAGAGGCAGAAUUUGACUUUGCUCAAAACAUGAAAGUUGUAGGUAUUGAUGUGUUUGAGGUGCCUACAAAAUUUCAGGUCAUUUGGAUUAAUGUAGAAUGAGAUAUGACGAAAUUACUGUAGCUGUUCUGCUUUGGUCAGAAUGCGAAAACUGCGUUGGUAUUUGGCUAUUUUGGCUGGAAUUAGUUUGGAUUUUGAAGUUGGUGUCUUCUGAUGAAAUGUAGCUGGAUGUCUUAUCUAACAUAUGCCUUUGGAAUUUCGGCAUUUGGACUUGUAUAGACUAAGUUAUAGUCAUUACAGUUUUAUGUGAUUUGCAAACCUGUUUUGGUAAUUCUGGAUUUGUAUUUUGCAUAUUUGACCUAGUUGUGCUAGGAUUUGGACUGAGUGGCCUUCUACAUUGUUGUACCCCUGUUCCUUAGCUUCGAAACGGUGGGUCUUACACCCCCAUCCGAUAACCGUAGUGAAUUUGGUGCCAUUACGCAUAUUGAGGUCAAAUACGGUUUGUGAUUCUAGUACGUUUUUGGAAAGUUUAUGGCUGGAACUUUGGCUUCACAUUUGACUGAGUUACAAGCUGUUUGGGCUUCUGACCAAAACACCAAACUUAUAGCCCUAUAUCAGAGCUUUCUAACGCCCUUGGAAUUUCAUGAAUCGGAUUUAUAAAACCUGAGAUAUAGCCGAACAAACAAGGCCUGCCCGUGAAAAUGACCAGAAAUCUGUUUUGGUCCUGAUGACCAAUUUCCGUUCCGAAUUUGGAUUGCCGACCUUCAUGAAAGUUGUUCCAUUUGGAAUGAGCUAUCUAACUGCCAAUUUUCAGCUCUUUUGACCAUGCGUAGCAUAGAAAACAGUUCAUACUCAAAACUGACCAUUUGUGCAUUGGCCAGAUUUCGUAAGUGAUUGUGUUUGGUUCAUUUGGGACUAAAGCCUCCAGUUUCAGUUCUGGAUGUCUUCAUAACAGUUGUUGUUCAUCCUUUAAGCUUCGAUUUGGCAUCUCAUCCGCCUUAAUCCGAUAUUCGUAGCUCAACUUAUGGGUGAACUAGAAAUGAGUAUCAAAUCUGCCGUUUGCCGUUUCGCACGCGUGCGUGUGCCCUUUCCGUACUUGCGUGUGCCGAUGUUGCUGUUUUAUUUGUUUUGGGCACGUUAGUGGCCGUUUAUGACAUCAUGUGAUGCAAUCUUCUAUUUCAGAUCGUGGUGAGCUAGGCGGAGCUGGUGGGCCCUACUAGCGAACACGCACGAAGUGAUUUUCACGUUUGUACUACUUUUGUACUUUGUGUAAGUAUUCAGGCCGGUUUGGUGUGUUUUCUUUGCUAUGUGUUUGAGAUAUGUGAAAAGGGCACUUAGGCGAGGGUGUACUUUAUCGCACUCGACCUAAACCCUAAUUUGAAUGUAUAAUUGUACUUGGCAUAUGUAUAUGAACCUUUUGGAACCAAAACCUUGAGCUUGUGGCUCGGGGCGACUUUCGAAUAAAGUUUGUGAAGUUUGCAAAGUUUGUGAUUUUGAAUAAUUUUGUGAAGUUUGUGAGUUUGGGGCGAACUCUUGACCUGGUUGGACUAUUCGAGCCGGUUAGGGCUUGGUCGAAGGCAGUCCAACUUAGCUGAGGUCACCAAGUUUGUAGGUUCAUUUUAUGAACCAAUUUUGUGAAUCCGGUUCACCGAGAAGGUGACCAAGUUUGUGACCGAGCUUGUGACUCAAGCUCAAGUUUGUGAUUUCGUUCGCCCGGGCAAGUUUGUGAGGUGACUGGCCAGUGAGGGUGAUAAGGUGUCGGUGGGUGUACAAGUGAAGUUCUACGGACUAUUAUUUGCAGUCGACGGAGUGUCGGCAGGAGAUCACGCAUGGCACAUGAGUUGGCUUUGGAGCCACCUGUAUCCUUAUUAUGUGAUGUUACUUUUCUGCUUUUGCUUUACUCUUAUUGUGUAACUGUUACGUGAAAUUUAUGCUUUCGCCCCUGUUUACUUACUAAGCAUAUAGCUUACCCCAUUCCUUUUGUUUUCCUUAGCAGGGGCCGACGGGGACUUUUGGCUCGUAUACUAGUAUAGUUAGUUUGCUUGUAAUAGUUGAACAGUUAGGAUGUUUGUUUUUGUUUUGGUGGUUUGACUCGAUACUUUUGGAGAAUGUAAUUAUAACUCUUUUGGGAUUGUAUAUAUUGUUUUUAGUGCUCUUUCGAACUUUAAGUUUUGAGCCCUGGCGCGAGCUAGGCAGGCGGCCCGCCGAUACCCUUGGGUUCGCCCUUGGGAGAAGUGGGGUCGUCACAUCUAAUAUAUAUACACACACUAUAUAUAUAUAUAUAUAUAUAUAUUAGACAAUCAUAAGUAUUGUUAACAUACUUUAUAUUUACACUAAAUUAUAACAUUGAAAAAUAAAAAAUAAAAAAUUGCAUUUUCUAGUAAACCUGAUCUAGAAGAUAUCAAUAUGUGUAUACGCAUAAACCAAAAAAUUUACAAAAAUACAAAUAUAUUACCAAUAAAACUAAAAAUAUUACAAAAGAAAACAAAAUGAAUAUAAGAAGCAUCUAAGAUUACUUCUUUUAUAUUUAUUAUAGUUUAAGAUGGUGAAAAUACCUAAAUACUAAACAUUUAAAUUAUUUAAUAGUCCACAUUAAUUACUUGAUAUGACUUGAAAUUAAGUAAAAAAUAUAUAGCAAACACGUCUAUAAUCUAAAUUUUGACUUCUAAUUAAUGAAUCCUUCCUUUCAUAAAGAUAAUACAAUACAUGGCAACAUAAAAAAAAAUACAGUACAUGAUAUCAAAAUAAGUUGAAUAAAAAUUUAGAGAUUAUUUAACAAGUUCAAACCUUUUUCAUGUGAUAUAGUUUACUAAAUACAAAAGAGGAAUUUUGUAGAAAAACAUAUAUGAGGCAAUACUAUGUAUUAAUAUUAAGAAAUUUAAUCAUUUAUAUGUAAGAUAAUUAUUGAUUGUUGGAUUUCAUUCACCAAUGUUAACAUUUAAUCAUUUAAGUAAUAGUAUAGUUAUUAUCACACCACAUGAAAAUUGUUAUAAAACUAUUUUGAUUUUACCACACAUUAGACAAAAACUAUGGUAAAAAGUGACUAUUUAUGACAAUUAUUAGCCAACCGUGGUAAAUAAUUAUAGAAUUGACACGGUAUUUUGCUAUGGCAAAACAAACUGUAGCAAAAAGUUUUUUAAUACCAUAGUUGCCAAAACUGUGUCAAAAACUCACCUUUUGUCAUGGUUUUAGCAACUGUGACAAAAAGAAAGUGAUACUAAUUAUUUUUUUUUGUGGUUAUUAGAUUAUAAAAUGUUAUCAUUGUAAAAAAAAAGAUUAUAAUUGUUAUCAUCAUAGUAUUAUUAUCAAAUCUCUCUCUUUCCACCCAUCCCACAAAAGUAAUUUUUGGAUUAGCAGGCUAGCAGCAUUUCUAAACCUCUUAGAGAUUCAUCAUCCCUAAAUCUAUCACAAUGAUAAAAAUAAUUCAUUACAUAACUCUCAGUUUGGGGCAGGAGAGGGGAAAGAGGGCGGCGUUGUUGCUGCAGCUGGUAAUGUGAGUCAAGCUCAACUAGAGCCCUAGGAGGCAGAGGCAAGUCUAGCCAAUGUUCCAAAGCUUGGAUUUUUUUAUGAUAGUGGUUGUAUUAGUGGUUAGAUAGAGCCCUAUAAGGUGAUAACGUGGCCGGCCAGGUUGAUUGAGAAGAUGGAGCCAAAUGAAGUUGGAAAAUUGGUUAGGAAUCAGGGGCUAGAUCAAUUACAUGCUAGUGGGGGCGAAAAGAGAAUUGCGACUAUAUACGGAGAGGGGAUGGAGAAAGAUAAGGAUAGAGGUAUUGGAAGUGAUGCGUCGGGGCUAGAGGUGGUGGGAGGUGAGGGGAUAUUGGUUGCCGAUGCUGGUGGUUAUGCUACAGAGAAAGCUUUGAACUUUGUCUCUACUAUUGAUUGCUAAGACAGAGAUGUGACACUACAAGAAAAAAGGUCAUUAGUGACAACAUUUACUAGUGAUAACAAAAAGUCAUCACAAAAUGAGGUUGUUUAAUCACGACAUUGAAGGUUGUCACAAUUGACUCCAAGCAGCUAAGUUUUCAGUGACAACCCUUAAUUGUUGUCACUAAACUACUUCGCGCCAUGGGACUUGGAAGGCGCAAGUUUUACGAUAGUGACAACUUGAUAAAAGUUGUCAGUAAUUCUACCUCUUUCUUUGACAACUUUUUGUUGUUGUCACUGUUUAUAUUUAUUGAUGACCAAUUUUUAUCAGUAAAACUAUAGCAUAAUUAGUGACAACAUAGUAUCAUCGCUAACUUGAAAAAUCUCCAAUUCAUUUAUUUAAUUGUGAGCCUCAAUAUUAAUUUAAUUUUUUAAAUUUGAUGAUUUAUUAAACUAUUCAUAGUUGCUCAAAUAAUAAUACGUUUUUAACUGGAAAAAAUUAAUGAAAGUUUCUAGUUAGGACAACUAUAUAAACCGUUAUAACUUGAGAAAGAGAACAUUUACCAAUUCUUUGAAUUUACCAAAAAUUUUUCAUCCAUUAUAAUUUUUUAAUAAAUAUAUUAAGAAGUAGUGAUUAGAAAUACAUUAGUAAAUUUAAAUAAAAAUUGAACCUAAAAUUGACUUGAAUUGUCUUGAUUGACCAAUACCCGAAAUUUGUUCAAACUAAAAAUGAAAAAAGUGGCGUGAGUACCAUACACUAAGAAAAGCAACCACUCUUACACCCCAGUCGGCCAGUCCCCACAUCCAGAUGCCAUCUGUACUUCUCACACUCUCAAUCCCUCAAUCAACCCCAUUAUUCUCAACCCCCUUUAUUCGUUUCCCGAAUCCCGAGUAGCAGCGGAGGCGGCAGCCGGACCAGCAGUGCCUCAUCAUCGUCGGCAAGCAGCUGGAGGACGGUGGUACUCUAGCCAACUACAACAUCUGGAAGGAGCCUGAAGGAGUCCACCAUCCACCUCUUCCUCUGCCUCCAUGGUGGCUCCAAGAAGCGCAAGAAGAAAACCCUACACCAAGCCCAAGAAGAAGAAGGCCAAGGCUGCCAUCCUCUAGUUCUACAAGGUCGAUGACUCCGGCAAUGUCCAGAGGCUCAGGAAGGAGUUUUAUUGGUUCGGAGGGCAGGGUUUGCACUAUUUUGCAAACCUUGUUUCUCUAAUUUUUCCCCAAUAAUUGGAUGGUGGUGGAGGGAGUGGAAUUGGGUGUAUGAUGUUGCUAUGAGUGGCUGCUGGUGAGAGAAAUAGUGGGUUAAGUGGUGCUGGGUGGAGUGGGAAUUUGGGAUCCUCAAGGCUCACGGUAUAUUUAAAAAAAAACAAUUCAAUAUCAUUUUUCUUAUUGCAUUCGCAUUAUUUUGUUUAAAUUUUUUAUAACAAUAUUAGUGAUUUUUUCUGGUUCAGAGGGCAGGGUUUGCACCUGAGAUUCCAGAGGAUCUAUACCAUCUGAUCAAGAAGGCCAUCGCAAUCAGGAAGCAUUUGGAGAGGAACAGGAAGGACAAGGAUUCCAAGUUCAGAUUGAUUCUGGUGGAGAGCAGGAUUCACCGCCUCGCUCGUUACUACAAAAAGACUAAGAACUCCCUCCCAACUGGAAAUAGUAUGCCCUCUCAUUCACCAUUUCCCUAUUGAUUUUUUUUUAAGUGUCAUUGAAGUCUGUCCAAUGGGUUUGUUGAGUUAAUUAACGUCUGUUCUUUGAUAAUGAAAUGUACUGUCGCAUUGCGUUUUCAUUAGCAUGUAAUGAGAUACUGGUCUGCUGGUUAGGACUUGUAGCAGUUUUAACUGUUGAGAAUUUCCUUCGCUUCUUUAAAUACCUCAUUGGUGAUGUGGCAGAGGAAAUGGGAAAUAGGUUAUCAGCCUGUGCGUUGGUUUUUUUUGCAUCCUUAGCAAACUACUGGGCAACAAUUUUCCCCUUAAAAAAUCAUAUAAACUGCCAUUCAUAAGUGUCCAGUAGUUUUGGAAAGAAUUGGUGUAUGGAGUUUGUUGAGGUUCCUUACUUAUCCAUGUUGUUAAGUAGUGCGCAUAGCUGUCCUGUGCUUCUGCAAUCAUGUUUUUCUGCAAUUGUUUCUUGAGUUUUUAAUAUCAUAGUAAAAAUAAAAGAAGUGUUUCUUGAGUUCUAAAGUUCUAUGUGCUUUAUCUCUUACUUUGCUCUUAUUUAGUUAUUGUCUAGAUGAUACUUUUUUUUCAGCUCUGAAUUCUGAAGGAUCUUUAAUACGUGGGAAAAAUAACCCAAACAACUGAUGACUGGGUUAUAAAGAGCAAGCUGAAAACCAUUCUAUGGAAACAACGAAACAGUGGAACAUGAGCCAUUUUACCAUCUACAAUUUGAUCUUAGUGUCUAGCCUCAUAUCUUACUGCAGAUCCCUGAACGAGACAGGCAAUGGUCAAUUGAAAAUAUAGGAUAGAAAGGAAAUAUUUUCUAUUCCUUCUUCCUCGAGUCCUUGAGCUGUCCUCUUUUCCGAAUCCUGAGGCAGAACCGCAGACACCAAGCAUCUAAAAUCCACUCGGGCAAGGAAUAUGCGAAAGCCCACAGAAGAGUAUGUGGCCAGUGAGGUGUGCAAUGGGGCUCAUAGCCGAUCCAACACAAAGCAGCCCGGGCAUAGCCAUCACUAGAUGGAACAAAGAAGGAGGAUCUUCUGAUUGAUGCCAUUUUAGUUGCCACGUACAAUGGUACCUGACACUACACAUCAAUUCCGCUCUUCUUGUACUUCACAUAGAGGCAUCUAGAGAGCUGAUCAAUGGAAGUACCUGCCUUGACGUGUUAUUUGGCCAAAUAUCACUUAGCAAACCAUUUGUAUGGUGUUAUUGAACUUGAUUAUGAUAUUCGAAUGCUUAAAAUGAUAUUUUGGCAUUUUAUAAUGUAAUGGAUGCCUUCAUUUGUUAAUUUUAAAGCAUUGUCAUUUUUUUUUAUUUUUAAGACAUAAUUUAGCAGGAAAAUCAUCAAAUUUCAUUGUGGUAAAGUGUUGUCACUGAAUUAGAUUUCUCCAUUGACAACCACCUAUUGUUAUGGAAUUGAAAAGUGUUUAGUGACAACAAAAGUUGUCAGUAAUUAGUUUAUAUCUGUUGAUACUAUGGAUUAGUUUUAGUGACGACAUUACUUUGUACAUCAUUGGCAAGAUACUAUGUCAUCACUAAAAUUACAACAAUUACUGACGACACUAGUUGUCGCAGAACAGUACCAUUCACUUACAACUUUUAAGGUUGUCACUGUAUACUUUUACCGACGGGCCUUCAAUGACGACUCUAUGACGACUAGAAAGUUGUCAAUAAAACUUAUUAGUGAUGACUUUUUCUUUUGUUGUGACGAAAAUAGCUUGUCAUAGCUUGUCACUAGAAACCAAUUUUCUUGUAGUGUGAGAAAAAUAGAGAGGAGAGAGAAAACCUUCAAGGAAAAGCUGUUUAGACCAGUUUGUUCCAGGAAAAGUACAUGUGCAAGUUACCUAACUUGUUUCCAUUAGUGUUGUCAGACUUGGACUGGACCAAAUGGUCCAACCGUGAACCGAUCAUCUUUUCGAGUUGGUUUGUAACACAAAAUUAUUUUGAUAAAAAAAAACUAGUCAAAAUUGUCAAAAACUGACUAAAUCAGUGGUCUAGUUCGACUGGUUUAUCCGAUUCUCAAACUUUUCUUAUAAUUUGAGUUAUCUAUAUUGUAACACUUUCAUUUAUUACUAGAAAUAAGAAAACGCCGUCCACUUAGUGUAAAUGUCAAAAUCACUCGUUUUCCUGAAUAAUCUCUAAAUCAAGAUGUUUUCAUCCCUAUGAUCUUAUAAAUUUAGCAUCAAUGAUUCCAACUUGCAUUAAUUUGUUUUAAUUUAGUUUUUCAAGUAGUUUUGGAGAAUGGAUAUAUUUUAGUCAUGAAUUUAUAUUUUUAUAUAUAAUUAUUAGGUGUAUAGUUGAUCGCAAGUCUAAUAUUUUUGGAACAUUUUCUUUGAUUGGCCGAAUAUAAUCAAGAAUUUAAUUUCAAUAUUUCUGAAACUUAUAAAUAUAAAAAAAACUAUGACAUCAUACUGAUGUGACCGAAUUUUUUAGAAUGGUCUGACUGAUUUGACCAAUUAACUCCUAAUCCAGUAGUUUAGCUGAGUUGUUAUCUGGUCCAAGUUUAACAACAUUGGUUUCCAUCUCUUGACGAUAAAACUAGACCAAAUGACCUAAAGGUUAUGAUUUUAUUAGUUUAGGAACAAUUUUGACUACAAAUAUUAGUUUGGUGACUAAAAGUGGGACUAGUCAAUGGUUUAGUGACAUACAAAUAUUCAUUUAGUGACUAAAAGUAGUACUAGUCUUUGUUUGGAUUGUAAAUUAUUUACCAAAUUUUAUUUACUUCUAUCAUCAAUACAUUUUCUAACUAUUUUUUUAUUUUACAUAUAUCACAUAAAAAAAGUGAUACAGCUAUUUUUUUUAAAUUGCUCAAAUAAUCUAUUAUCCAAACAGAUGUCAUUUGCUCUAAUAGAUUAUUCUGUUCAUGAGCAAAUAACACUAUAUCAAAAUUACCUGCAAAAACAUUACAAGCCACUAAGAAAAUUUAUAUAACAGGAAUAUUAGCCACAAAACUUAAGCCCACUUGGACCACCCCUAUUUGAAUCAUGUGUAUCUUUAUUUUUUCAUCACACCUAAAAGGGUUAGAAUUACUUCCAACCCUUAAACUUUGGAACUCUGAAGUGUAAGCCUUCAAAUUUAUGCCCUUGAUUUCAUCAGAAUUCAACAGUUUCUCUGCUCAACUCCCAUCUAGUCUUCCUCAAUUAAUGACCCUAAGGUAGGAUGCGAUCAACAAGGAGUUAACAUGAAACGAAUUAUCAACUCUGAAGGCUUAGAGAUGACAGCGAAGGUAGAAGUGUUUAAAUACAGAACGAAGGCCAAAACAUCAUCCUAUCUUUGUGGCGAUUAAGAUCAGGAACUUCCAUAAUUUCAGCUAGAAAGCUAUUCGAAUUUGAUUGAGUAGCUAAACAUCUUAAUGCUGUGAAACAACAUCCAUGUUUCAAAUUUUGAAUGCUCCGAGGUGGGAGUGAUCAUCAAGGGGUUUCAAAAAGGAUUAAAAACAAGAAAGUCCCCUAUGGUAUAUCUAAUACAUAGAAAAGCCCCCAUGGUUUCAAAACAUACAAAACGACACCCGAUAUUUUGAACUAAAUUGUAAACUAACAGAAUUCGUUAAACUUAACGAAAUCCGGUAAACUUAACGAAAAACUUAACAGAAUCCAGUAAAUUUAACGGUAAACUUAACGGAAUCCGGUAAGUUUAAUGGCUGAGACCAUCAUUUUCAUUAAAUUCAACGAAUUCUAUUAGUUUACAAUUUAGUUCAAAACAUGAGGUGUCGUUUUGUAUAUUUUGAAUCAUGGGAGGCUUUUUUGUGUAUUAGAUAUACCACAGGAGGCUUUUUUGUUUUUAACCCUUUGAGAAACGAAGAUUAAUUUAACAAUGUUUAAUUUGUGUAUGGUAGCAGAGAGAUGGCCAUCAUCACAUCGGUCUCUUUAAGCCGACUCCUGAGUGAGUCUAUGAGCUCACUCAUUUCAUUGCAAGAUGGUUUAAAAAUGGACAACUUGUGCUUAGAAGUCAUAUAGGCCAAAAGGUUUCGAACACGAGGAAAUAAGGAUUGAUAACUCGGAUAUUGUUUUCCCAGCUGCUGCCAACUUACUUCAAUGGUUCAGUUUGCUGUUGUUCAACAAAAAUCAUUUCCACAUUUCUUCAAAAAGAUAAUUCAACUUUGUUCUCACAAGAUGAAUUUAUACUCCAAACAUUAAACACAAGCAUUCUUCCAGUAAAUUCAAAGCGUGCAACAGUUAUGAUGUAUGCGCAAAAAUUGUUAAAAAGCUACUUGCAGUAGGAAAAUAAGAAAUUUCAAAUAAAUAGAAGAGACUCAUGAAAUUGGUUCUGCAGUGACCAUUGACCAAAGUAAUGAAAUUGAAAGACCUUUCAUGCCGUAAAGGCCGCAUAUGCAACAUUAAGCAAGAUGUCAGUGCAGUUUAGUCAUAGAAAUAUAGAAUGAAGAUCAAUGAAGCAUAUGCAAUAAUCAUAUCUCAUCCACUUCAGAAAUGUGACAAACUUGAAAACCAUAUCUGCUGAAGUGCAAGUUAGAAUUAUCUUUGUUGUAAAUGGAGACAAAGCUGUUUUCUCACUCCAAGCGCAAGGAAGACGAUUCUUCGAAAGUUCCAGAACACAAUUCUCCCUAGAUUUAUUGAAUCAUAAGAUUGACCAAAUAUCAUGUCAGUACAUGGAUCUAAAGGGAAAAACAAAUAUGGAAGAUCUAUAAUGAAAGAAAAGGUAUAUCUUCAAGAUGUCACAUUCAACCAAAUCUCAUGUCAAAAGGUCGUGCAAACAAAAGUCCUAUACCUGCAGCACUAGUAUAGAUGUGACUACUUUUAAGUAACCAGGAUCCUCAGUCUUUAUGUGCAUAACCAUAUAGGGGCGACACUCUUAAAUUUAGUUGGGAUCUAAGAUGGGCUCCUUUAAAAGGGUGUAAAUUCAAACUUGCAAAUUGUAUAAAAGUGAACAAAUUAUCAACAAAGUGAUUAGCAGCAGCUUUAAAAAUGACUUUGUACAUUUAAGCAUAUCACAAAUUGUUUUCGUUUUGCCUAUUUACACACAGUUUUCUAUGUUAAAGUGAAUGUCAACUCCAAUAAAAAUCUAACACUUUAUUAACCUACCUUCUAUAUUGCAUUUGCCAAAAAAGAUAAAAAUAAAAGAAAGAGAAGAAGAAAUUCUUUCUUCUACUUAUAUUGAGUUAGUUUAAAUUUAUCAUGAAUUAAAGUCUAAAGAUUUGACUGCUUACUCCAACCAUAGCAAGUUAUGCAAAUGAAGCAAGCCAAUCAAAUUAUGUGCGGUAGUUAUUAAUUCAUUUUGGACUGCACAAUAUCAUGUCUUUCUUUUCAAAUUUCCAUGUAUCAUAGAAGACAGUCAUUUGAAAAUGUAUCAGGCACUAAAGUUUGGGGACUUUUAUGUGCCAUUUUGUUGUUUGAUGUUUGCAAGUUUACUUGCUGGAUAUUCCUAUUAUAUAACAUCAUACCCCGAAAAAAAGUAAAUAUCUAUUAAUAGUCUAAGGCAUUUCUUUCACAAAUGUAAUAGCUGUGACAGCCCCACUUUCCCCUAAGGCGAACCAAAGGGUUCGGCGGACUGCCUGCCCAGCUCUUCGCGGACUCAGUCGAUCACUUCAAGCAACCAUAAGAAUAUCUAACCACGAUCCAACUUAAAACCAAACGUAUAUACAAUAAUAUCUCAAGAAGAAGUACAACUGUCAAAUAUACAGAGGUUCUCAAAUCACCAGACAACCAGCCCGUGCCAAGCACUAGGGCGAGAACCAAGACACAAGAAAACCAAGGGCUAGACCUAGCUAGUCUAUACCUGCUCUCGUCCUUGCUCGCCUUCCCCUGUUAAGGAAAAUAAACUAAAGGGGUGAGCUAUAAGCUCAGUGAGGUUCCGAACACAUAGGCAACAAGAAGUUCAAUGCAUUCAUUACAUGUUACCAAUAAUUCAAAUACAAAAGAAAGCGAUAAACACCUUCAUUAAAAGGAUACGUGCUCACAAGGAGCCAUUCGUUCAUUCAUUCUCCCUUCGUUCCCUUAUACCUUCAAUCAUUUGAAAAUGCAUUUGUAUAUAAGUAAAACCCUCAUUCAUUCAUUCAUUCGUUCAUUCAUUCAUUCACCAGGCUCCACCAACCUACAAGGUAAUACUCGAGUAUACCAAAACGUUCACCCAGGUCCCUAAUCGCCGACCGAGUCCGCUUCUGGUUCGAGACGACCGGUAACAAGGGGCAGUGGCCAGUUCAGCCAAAAGGCUUACAUUCAUGCACAAAUAACAUUUCAAUCAUUCAAUCAUUGAAAUUUUCACAAUCAUUUAGGCGAGUGCGAUAAAGUACACACUUGCCUAGAAGACUCGUUUUAACAAUCAUUGAAAGCAUAUAACAUGUUAUCAAUCAUUCAUACCAGCCAAAUAAUCAUGAAACAUAUCAAACAGGGAACACUCACCUAUACACGCAAAAUAACGUCCACUUCUCAAUCACCAAUGAAACCUAAAAGUAAACAAAGAACACAUUACAAUUCAUCUAGCAUGAUUUGGAUGAAAUCAAGAAUUACCCGACUACUCGGGAGUAAAUGUAUAAAAUGACUUUUAAAGUGUCAAUAGAGCAUAUGGAUCCGUGGACGGAAAUUACUAGGGUUCAUAAACCAACCGUGAAACCAAACUCAAAAGGUUAUGAAAUUUCCGGCAGAAAACACUUUAACCAACAACAAAUCGAAAUCCAAUAAGGUAAGCUAAGAAGUAUUGUUUCCGGAAUCGUUUAUCUAGCUCAAAAUCAAUAGACUAUAUGCCUUGAUGAAAAUCAUGAAAAGGUGGCAAAACUAUCUCACUUUCACUCUUAAAACUUCACUUAAAAGUUAUUCACUUGUGGCCAAGAGAACCCUAGGUCAACCUCUAUAUUUUGGUAAACAGUAAGUAAACGUUUGGAAUUUCAACCCAAAGAGGUAUUAGGUUUUAGAAUGGUAAAAUGAUCAUUUUAUUUGCCAAGCGGAAAUAUAUAGGUUCAAAUAGAAAUUUAGCCCUCGGCCACCUUUUGAAAGAGCCGGUAACAUUUUCAGUAAAUACGUCUAAUUCGUCACAAAAUACAUUCGCAAAAUCACUUUAACUUGCUCACAUUACAAGAAGAUAAACGGACGGCAUGUCCUUUGUGUUUAUCUAUUUUCCAGCCAUUAAUGGCUUCAUUAUUUCCCUCAAAACAGUCCCAACAUCUCAUAUAGAAUAAUCUCAUGUCCAAAAGCCAUUCACUAGGCUUAAAGUCAUAUAAAUACAAAAAUAAAUACAAAAAUCAAGCUAGAAACAUUUCUGGAUAAAAACAGUUUUUGACACCAUUUUGCGGUUUUGGCACCAUUGGCGCUACGGUUAUCGGGUGAAGGUGCAAGACACACCAUUUCGAAACGAACAGAUAGGGCUACAAUGUUACAGAAGGUCACUCAAUCCAGUUUCGAGUGUAACCAGGUCAAAUAUGCAAUAUACUACACCAGAACCGCAAAAACAGGUUCACAAACCGCGUUCUGGUUCCAACAUCAUAAGUCAGGCUACCUAAGUCCAAAUCAGGUGAUUCCAAAACCAUCCAAAAGCUAAGAUACAAGGCUAAAAUUCAUCAAAAGACAUCAACAACCGAAUCAGAAGUAUUCCCAGCCAAAAUAACCAAUUACAGAAGCAAUUCUCAAGUUCGAGUAAAACCAGGGCAGCAGGGAUAUUUUGGUCUUUUCACAAGCUAUGAUGCUCCGAUUGACCUAAAAUUUUGCAGGCAUCUCUAAAAUAUCAUUCCCUACAACUUUUAUGUUUUAAUCCAAGGCCAAUUCGACCUCUAACUAUGUGCUAAAAUGCCGGGCAGAAUGAAGAACAAUGAAACCCUCACUUUCCAAUUUUCUUUCCAAAACAGAAAUUUCUUGCAAUUAACCACCAAUUCCAUAUUAUAGUUUCAUUCAAUAUCAUUUCCAAUCAUCAUACAUGGCCACAUAAUCAUAUUCAUAUGAAAACAGAAAAAUCCCAAAUAAAUAUAAAACUUCACCAAUUUCUCCCAAAAUCAAGAAUUCUUCCACCAAAUUGCAUCUUUAACCAACACAAGUCAUUAAUUUGACAUUAUCAAAACUAAAGAAAGAGUUUCCUAGUUACUCACCUUGCAAUCUCAAGAAAGUAAGCAACUUGGCACCAACUUCUUCCAAACCACUUCACAACCAACCUCAAUAUCACCACACUAAGAGGUUUUAUGGAAAAAUUUGAAGAUGCAACGGUUGAAUUGAAAGAUUGGGCAAGAUUGGAGCUUCAAAAUUGAGAGAGUUUUCUUUUGUUUGAGCUUGAGAAGGGCCAACCAAGAAGCUUGGGAUUUGAAGUGAUUUUUGGGUCAAUUUUAGUUAAAUUGGUAAAGUAAAUAAUUGGUCAAAGUCCAAAGGUUAACCACUAAGUGACACUUGUCACUUUCAUUAAUUACUUGCCUAACUUUUGUCUCUCUCACACCAACCACUUGGUACCCUCUAAAUAUCUCAUAACACCCGAUAAAUUAAACCCAGUAUCCAAAACUUAACCUAUCUGGCUAAAUUUCUGAACUUUUCGCACUAGCGGGUCCCACGUCCGAUAUACGCUCUUAAUUUCUCAAAAACUAACCGAUACUAGAAAAAUCAUCUAAAAACUAUAUUUACUCAUAAAAUUAAUCUAGAGAAGUUUUCGAAUAAAGAAAAUGCAGAAAAACGUGCAAGUAGAUAAAAACAACAACCCUAGAAAUUAAGAAAAGUACGGGUCCUCACAAUAGCUCCAUUCAUGUGGCCUAGGCCCUUCGCAUUGAAAACUACAGAUGUAUAGAGGAUCAGACGAUCAAACUGAAGGAAUCUUUAGACGCAUGGAAAUUCAUGGAGUCUCAAAUUUAGAAGGUGAAAUCAUAAAGCAUAUAAGAGAUAAAUACCUGUUCGGUUAAUUGGGAUGUGUCAUCCCACAUAUAAAAUGCAACCAAGUAUAGGAUAAAAUAAGAUGAUUAAUUCAAUUCUGUAUCAUCCUAUGAAUCAAACGGACCCUUAUUUUUUAAGAUAACUACAUCGUUUUAAGUACACACUUCAGAACAAUCACUCCAUAUCCUUAUAAUUGUUGAAUUAACUAUCACAUCUCCAAAAUAAAUUGUUACUUUAAAACACUUUUUUGACACAGUUGAACCCUUUUAGAAUACUACUUUCUUACCCAAAAAAAAUAUCUUUUUAUUAGUUGCACACAAAAAUGAUCUCAACACCUUUUUUGCAUCAGUAACACAUUUCUCAAUCACUUUUUUAUCUUACAUAUAUCACAAUAAAAAAAAGUGUUACAAUAUUUUUUUUCUAAAAAAAUUAUCUCAAAUAAUCCACUAUUUAAACACACUCUGGGUGUGCCCUCAAGCACUAGUGUAUAUGAAAUUCAACUUUGCAACUGUGGGGUAAAGGCCCUUAAAUCAUCUCUAGCUUGUGAGUCAAGCCAUGAGGGAAACAGUGUUCCCAUUUAAAACCAUGUUUGAGUUUUCCAUUUAAAACCAUGUUUGAGUUUUGUGGCAAACUUUGAAGAGGCUCUAGUAAAAUGAAGAGUCAAUUUUUUGCUUUUGUCUAGGUCGUUCACAAUGACGUAGUUUGCUCUUCCCAUCAAAUAAGUGGUGUUCGACUUAUGCAUCGAGUUACUCUUCUGACUGGAUUACUUUGAUAUCGAGCUUUAAACUAGUCCAAACCAUAUUAGUCACUCAGUUAGUCCAUGUUGGACCAUAGAUUUGUGCAAAUUAUAUUUACUUGCUAUUGAGCCACACUCAAUGCGUGUGCUCCUUGUUCAAAAAUAUUAUUAUUUAUUUGAAUCAAAUAAAUAGUGUAAGUAAAUAGAACUAACCUUAAAAAUGCUUGGACACGAUGCUUUUAGAUUCUUUAAAAGUAAAAGCUAAACAUUAAAAUGUGCCAAUUAAAAUAGAAUUACUAUAUAUAUAAAGCCAAAGGGAGGUGUUGGUAUAGACAAAAUCUAUCACUUAAUGUUUUGCCCAAUAAACCCUUAUUUCUUAACCCAUUUCCCUACAACCACUCCAUAUCCUUACAAAGUUACAAUUGUUGAAUUAAUUGUCACUUCUCCAAAAUAAAUUGUCUCUCUAAAACACUUUUUUGGCACAGUUAAAACACUUUUAGACUAAUAAGUUUUAACAAAAAUAAUUCUCAUUUUAAGAGCUUUUGAUUAGUUACACACAUACUGGAUCUGCCCUCAAAUACUAGUAUAUAUGAAAUUCAACUUUACAAUUGUGGGUAAAUACCUUAAAUCAUAUCUGGCUUUUGAGUUAAGCCAUGAGGGUGCAGAGGCCCCGUCCUGGGCCUGGACACGUGGCAGCCCAGGAAUGGCAGAGUUGGGCUUGGACCCCAGGCCCCUGACAGUUGUCCUGGAGCACACCGCCACUAGGGCACCAAAAGGCUCCAGGGAACAAUCCCGCAGAGGGCGGGGAGAAUCCCCCUCGGCGCGGGAUUGAGGCUAUACCGGGUAAGUUUCGAAGCGUACGGAGGUCGGACUCUCGAGUAAGUAUAAAUGAUAACGCUGACCAACUACACAAGGUACGCUCACUAUUGGCAAAACACCCCGACUGUUUUACUUCUCGUGACUCUCACUCACCGGAAAACUAACUUGACCGUCGGAGUGCCCCCGGGGACCACUUCGGGGCUCCCCUGUUAGUCACCCUAAAGACUACUUCUUGUUUGUUUUGCAGGCUGGGAUACAUUCCUCUCAUCAGCACGCCGAGCUCAUCAGGUCAGCUCGGUCCGGCGAAGCUCAGUGCUUCUUCAAUUGGCACCGUCUAUAGGAACGAAAGGUAAAAUGUAGUUGUGUUGAUGGCGAGAACGCGUUCAAAGCGAACCAUGGAGACCACCGAUCCCGGAGCCGGCGAGGGAUUCCGGCGAAGGGAGACCAAGGCUGCACGGGAAGCCGGGGACUCUGCCCUUUCUGGGGAACGGAGACAGCAGAUCCUACAGUUCGUGUCGGAGAAUCUCCCCAUGCUAGAAGACAUAAUCCGACAGGUGAAGGAGGGAGGCAAAACUGGAGGUGCGCAGAUCUCCAAGGCGAAGAGGAAGGAGAAGGAAUCACCCCCCGACCCCUCUGAGGAUGAGUCCCGAGACUAGCCCCCCAGGAGGAAACGGCCACGGACUCCCCCUCGCUCACGGGCCUCGGUGGUCGGGGAUAGCGAGAGGUACUCCCGCGACUGGUCCGCUGGGGGCCGACCGAGAAACCCCUCCCCAGGCAGCCUACGCGGAACGAGCCCGAACGCUCCGCCGACCGAUCUAUCAAGAGUCGCCCGCGCGACCUUCCCCAGUGGAAACCUGUCCGGGACGAACUCGAGCAGAUCUUGCGGCUGCAAUUGUACGAGGACAACAACACGGCCUCGCCCUUUAUUUGCAGGAUAGAGGACUACCCGCUAUCUCAGAGAUUCAAGAUCCCGAACAUCGAGUUGUACGAUGUUUCGACCGACCCGGAAGACCACCUCUCGGUCUUCCUUACGCACAUGCGUUUGCAGACAGCUGCGGAUGAAGUCCGUUGCAAGACCUUUUCGAUAUUCCUGAAGGGGAGGGCCCGACUUUAGUUCCAGGGUCUGGCACCGGGGUCCAUCCGAAAUUUUCCCGAACUGGCCAGGCAGUUCGUCGCCCAGUUCGUCUCUUCGAAGACUUAUUCGAAGAACGCGGCUCACCUGAUGGCAAUCAGGCAGAAGCCGGACGAGUUCCUAAGAAAUUUCAUGGCCCGCUUCAACACGGAGAGCUUGCAGAUCAGGGACAAGGAUGAAAAGGUGGUGAUGGCCGCCUUCAUGAAUGGCCUCAGGGCAGAGGAGCUCUUCUACAAGCUGGCCGAAAAGCCUCCUGGAGACCUGGAAGAGCUCUUGACCAGGGCGCACGCAGCCGCUAACGCAGAGGAGGCGGCACGCCUAAAGAGGGAGUCAGAUCGAGAGCUCGGCAAUCGGAGAGAACGGGGAAAUCCUCCCGAAAACAAGGACGGCCCAGUCAAGAAGAACGUCUUUGACCGACUCUCAAAGGAAGAAGCCCCCGAUCAGCCGCCGCUUCUGGAAAAAGACUACACCCCCCUGACUCAGCCUAGGGCCCAGAUCCUGGCCGUCAUGGAGGCAGAGGGCCUAGGGGAAUGGCCGCCUAAGAUGGGAGCCCCCGAAACAAAAGGAAUCAGGACCGGUACUGUACCUUUUACCGUGACGUCGGGCACGACACGGAUGGGUGUUGGGUCCUGCGGAAGGAGAUAGAGGACCUGAUCCAACGCGGCUUCUUGGGACAAUUCGUGCGGCAAGGUCGACCGGGCCAGAAGCUGAGACGCGCCUACUGCAGAGACAGGGGCGAGGGCCAGCGUCGCGACCGCCUUGAGCGGCGUGACGUGCUUCGGAGCCACUCCCCGACCAGGAUACCCAGAACUUAGCAGGAGUAAUGAACACCAUCGCUGGGGGUCCCAGGGGGGACAGCCACGCAGCUCGGAAGAAUAGACGACCUCCCCCCGAGGGGGAUGAUUCCCUGAAGCGCUUGCGCAUGGACGAAAAGAUCACCUUCGGUCCAAGAGAUGCGGUUCCCCUGGCGUCCGGGAACCACGAGCCCAUCGUGAUAGACGUCGUCACCAACGACUAUCACGUGAAGAAGGUGUAUGUCGACCAAGGGAGUGCGGUGGACAUCCUGUUUUACUGAGUCUUCAAAGAGCUCGGCUUGGAGGAUGGACAGUUGACCCGAUUCGGACACCCCUGGUGGGCUUUACCGGACCACCCAUCAAUCCGGAGGGAAUGAUCACUCUGAUGGUCACGGUAAGGUAGUCGCCAAAUGCCGGACCAUUCUUGUCAAUUUCUUGGUGGUCAAGCAGCCAUCCCCGUAUAAUGUAUUCUUGGGUCGGCCUGCCUUGAACGCCCUCCGAGCUAUUCCCUCUUCGCUCCACCUCAGCGUCAAGUUCCCUACCCCGGGAGGGAUAGCCGAGGUGCAUGGAGAUCUAGAAGUGGCCAGAGCUUGCUACUUGGCCAUGCUCCAGGGACAUGAGAAGGUGGUCGCCCAGACGACUAGCUUGGAGCCCUACAUCCCGGGGGAGGAGGCCCGACAGUUGGGCACAUAGGACGAGGUCGAGGAGCUCUCCUUGAGGGAGGAUCGGCUUGACCAGGCCCUCCGCAUCGGUGCGCUGCUACCCUCUGAGGAGAAGGAGGGUUUGAAGGCCCUGCUGAGAAAGUAUUUCCAGGUUUUCGCGUGGACGGUUGAAGACAUGCCCGGGAUUCCGACUGACCUGGCCAUCCAUCACCUCAACGUGGAUCCCCGUUUCAAGCCGGUGAAACAGAAGAAGAGGAGUUUCGCCCAGAAAGGAAUAAGGUGAUCAAGAAGGAAGUCGGCAAACUGCUGGAAUCCAAGAUCAUCAUAGAGGUAUACUACCCGACCUGGUUAGCCAAUCCCAUCCUGGUGAAGAAGGAGGACCAGUCUUGGAAGAUGUGCGUGGACUUCACAGACCUCAAUAAGACCUGCCCAAAGGACUGCUUCCCCUUUCCGAGAAUCGACAGGUUAGUAGAAUCUAUUGUGGGUUUUGACGUUUUGUAUUUCCAGGAUGCGUUCAAGGAUACCACCAGGUAGAGAUGGCCGAGGAGGAUCGGGAAAAGACUUCCUUCAUCACUGAGGAAGGAACGUACUGCUACCGGACAAUGCCGUUUGGAUUGAAAAACGCUGGAUCCACCUACCAGCGCCUGGUCAACAAACUAUUCCAGAAUCAGAUCGGCAGGAGUAUGAAGGUCUACAUGGACGAUAUGAUCGUCAAGAGUCGAAUUGACCGGCAGCUCGUUCCCGACCUGAGGGAAAUCCUGAACAUCCUGUGGGAAAGCCGAAUGCUGCUGAACCCGAAGAAGUGUACCUUCGGGUUAGGUCGGAAAAGUUCCUAAGCUUUCUGGUCUCUCGGGAGGGGAUCCGGGCCAACCUGGAUAAGCUCCAGGCCAUCAUGGACAUGGCUCCUCCGAAGAGCGUCAAGGAGGUCCAACGGCUCACGGGAAGGAUGGCCGCCCUGAAUAGAUUCCUCUCACACUCUGCGGUAAGGGGGCUACCCUUCUUUCGAAUUCUGAAAGCACCUAAGGACUUUCAAUGAAUUGAGAAAUGCUAGAAAGCCUUCGCCGACCUAAAGACAUACUUGACUGAACUACCCGCUCUGACCGCCCCGGAGUAGGGAGAAACCCUGUUCCUAUAUUUAUUUGCUUGCAACGAGGCCGUUAGCACGAUUUUUAGUACGGGAGGACAAGGGGCUCAGAGGCCAAUAUACUACGUCAACCGUGCUUUUGCAAGGGCCGGAAACGCGGUACACAUCGGCAGAGAAAUUAGUCCUCGCCUUGGUGCAUACCGCCCGGAAACUCCAACCUUAUUUCCAAGCCCACAACAUUGUUGUCUUGACGGAUCAACUCUUACGUCAGAUACUCACAAAACCUGAGGUCUCGGGUAGAAUGACCAAAUGGGCCGUCGAGUUGGCCGAGCACGACAUCGGCUAUCAGCCCCGCACCGCUAUCAAAGCUCAAGCCCUGACAGAUUUCCUUGCUGAGGGUGCCAGUUUAUCCGUGGCUGAGCCGAGCUCUUUGCCCAAGGAGGUACGGUUGGAAGAGUCGUGGGUACUAUUCGUGGACGGGGUCUCAAGUAAAGAAGGGAGUGGAGCUGGCUUGCUGCUCACCUCGCCACCGGGGAAGAGCUGACCUAUGCGCUCAGAUUCGACUUUCCGGCAUCUAACAAUGAGGCGGAGUACGAGGCCUUACUGACAGGGUUGCGGAUAGCCCACCAGAUGGGUAUAGCCGCGAUCAAGGUCCGGAACGAUUCCCAACUCGUAGUCCACCAAGUCCGUGGGGAGUACGAGGCCAAGGAGGACGUCAUGAAGAAAUAUUUGGCUAAGGUACGAGAGGCGAUAACCCUGUUCGAUACUUUUGAAAUCGAGCAGGUGUCGAGAUCGCAGAACAAGCGCGCGGACGCCCUAUUGAAGCUGGAGUCCUCCUCGUUUGCUCACCUGAGCAAGGAAGUCUUGUGAAGGUCAUCAAGCAAAGAGGCAUUGAUCAGGUCCAGGUCUUGGCUAUAGACAACCCGCCCUCCUGGAUGACUCCCCUCGUGAACUUUUCAGCUUGGGUGUCCUCCCGGAAAAAAUCGAGACUCGCCGACUCCAGCUCAGAGCUGCCAAGUAUGCCUACUCUGGGGGACCUUCUACAGGAGGUCGUAUUUGUCUCCCUGGUUAAAGUGCGUAAUCCCUGAGGAGGGCGACUAUGUCCUCCGUGAAGUUCAUGAAGACUUAUGUGCGGCACAUGUGGGAUCCCGAGUUUUGGUCAAAAGAGUGCCUACUCUUGGGCUACUAUUAGCCCUCCGUGUUCCGAGAUGCCGCGGCGCUAGUCCAGCAAUGCCGAGCUUGCUAGGUGCACGUCUCGUUGCAUCACCAGCCAACACAAGAGAUGGUCCCUAUCCACAGUCCUUGACCCUUUGCCCAGUGGGGAAUAGACCUCUUGGGGCCUUUUCCCCGAGUUCCUGGGAGAUACGAGCACCUCGUGGUAGCCAUCGAUUACUUCACAAAGUGGAUAGAAACGGAGCCUUUGGCCACUAUCUCUGGAAGAGCAGUCCAGAAGUUCUUCUGGAAGAACAUAGUCUGCUGUUUUGGGAUUCUGCAUGUUUUGAUAUCUGACAAUGGGCGACAGUUUGCUGAAAACCCCUUCAGGAGCUGGUGCGCCGAGCUCGGGAUCAGCCAACACUUCACGUCGGUCGGUCAUCCCCAGGCCAACGGUCAGGUAGAGAAUGUUAACCGAACCAUUCUCUAAGGGUUGAAGACUAGGUUAGAACUAGCCCAGUCUAACUGGCUAGAUGAGAUUCCUAGUGUCCUUUGGGCCUACCGCACCACUCCGAGGACGGCCACUCAGGAGAUCCCGUUUUCCCUGACUUAUGGGCAGAAGCGGUGGUGCUCGCGAAGAUCGACCUCCCCUCGCCUCGACACAGAACUUCGUUGCGUCAGCCAACGAAGAAGAGCUGAGGUGUAACUUGGACAUUCUGGAGGCCAAGCACGAGGAAGCGGCGAUACGGAUGGCUAAGUACAAAAACCAGCUCCCCCGCUAUCAUAACACAAAAGUGAGAAACACGCAGUACCAGUCAGGACACCUCGUCUUAAGAAGGAACUCCCUUAGCCGAGCCAUAGUUCCAACAAGCUCGACCCGAACUGGGAGGGACCGUACAAGGUCCUAGAGGCGAGCCGAGCUGGGUACUGCAGGCUUGUGAAACUAGAUGGAGCGGAAGUACCCCGUACUUGGCACUUCUCGAACUUACGGUUGUUCGUAGGUUAGAUUGAGUUAGGGUAUUUUACUGUCUACUCUUCGGAAUCCACAUACAAGUUUAUCAUUAAAUAAAUAUUCGCCUCUAAGCUUUCAUUACUGUUUACCUUUUAAGUUUAAAUUCUGCACUAGCACACUCAGGCAAUGCUAAGUGUCCUAGUGGGGGCUGGGGAUGAAUGGUAACGGAUGGAAUGCCUUUAAAGUUUAAUGCUCGACCUAGGAGGUCGGCAUGGAAUGCCUUUUAAGUUUAAUGCUCGGCCCAGGAGGUCGGCAGGACUAUCUUUAAAAUCUUGACACUCGACCCAGGAGGUCGGCAUGGAAUGCCUUUAAAGUUUGAUGCUCGGCCCAGGAGGUCGGCAGGACUAUCGUGAAAAUCCUGACGCUCGACCCAGGAGAUCGGCAGGACUAUCUUUAAAAUCUUGACACUCGACCCAGGAGGUCGGCAUGGCUGCCUUUAAAGUUUGAUGCUCGGCUCAGGAGGUCGCACAGCGGGAGUUAGUUUGAUGAAGUUUGUUGAUUCCCCAGUCUGAUUGUCCUUGACAAUUUAGUUGUUAGAUAAAAAUGUGAUAGAUGCUCGGCCGAAGAGGCCGGCACACUACCUUGAUGGAUCUAUUUGGUGCUCGACCCAGGAGGUCGGCAUAUGGCUUUUGAUUGUUAGAGUUGGCACAGGCGAGAAUUGCAAAUCGAGAUUAGAUAAUUUCAUUCGAAUUACGUAUAUACAACCUAUCUAUUACAAAGCCUACCGAGCUAUAAAAGGAAAAUGGAAAGGGUUUCUGGAGUGGUCGCUACCCUUAGGCGGACAAACCUCUUGCAGGUGACUGCUGACAUGAGAAAACACGGCAGCAGGUUUCAUAUACUAGAAGAGUUGGUGAUGCUAGAUAUCCACACCCUUCACACUGGGGAAGAUAUGCUUUCUCUCUAUUCCAGAUGGAGAGCUCAGCGCCUCUUCAGAUAUGAAAACCUGGCUAUGUACAGCUCAGCCCCCCAUAAACACCCCUAAGCACCGGCUCCUUCCCGGAAGCCCUGCUGGGAGCCUUGUCCUCCUCCAAGGAAAGCUCUGCCAGCUCGGCUCCCACGUCAAGCCUGCCCACCAGGUCCUUCAGGGCAUGCCCUUGCAAUACCUAUCGAAGAGCCAGUCUAGCUUCUCCUCGGCGGCAGGAUUGUAUUCCUUUAACGCGGCCAAGUCGAAGCCAGGCCGGCCAAGCUCCUUCAUUUGGUCCAGGACUCGCGUAAAGCCGACCUGAAAGAUGGGCUGGUUGAGGAGGGCAACAUCCUCAGCAAAUUGUUCGGAGGAGAUGAACUCCCAAACAGCCUUCCUGCGCUCCCGACUGACGGUGCCGGAGAGCUCGAUGGCGUGGUCCUCUUUCAAUUUCACCACACCCGUCCUCUCCUGGUCCAGUUCUGACCUGGUAGAGGCUAGCUGGACCUGAGCCGUUUCCAACUCCUUCUCGGCCUUGCCCAGCUUGGCCUUAAGGGAGUCCGUCUCCUUAAGGGCCUGGGCAAGCCUUUGCUCUAUCUUCAGAUUCUUUUUCUGUAGUUUUUCCAAGUCGGGAGAUAGCUCGGAGAAGCGGGUCGCCAGGGCAGCUCCAGCAGCAUUGGCCUGAGGAGAGGAAAAGGAAAUUAGCACAAGGCGAGUCUUAAUCGGAUGCGCGAGUGGCCUAAAAGGCAGGGAACUUACUUGAGCCUGGGCAGUGAAGUAUAUGUCCUGGAGCUCAGACGAGCUCGCCAGCUCCAUCCACCUCUUGUCACGCGGAGGACCGAGCCCGUGACUAGCUCGCGAGCCACCUCAGGGAAUUGGGCUCGGUCGUUGAUGGAUAGCCCCAACGAUGGACAGAAAUGGCGGGGUCGUGCAUGGAGGGGGCCUGGCCCGGUUUCAUGGGGGCGACGUGGCCGAAGUGCCACAAACUGGGGGCAGCAUCUCCCGCGCGUGCUCCUCCGCAGAUCCAACCCCCAAAUGGACCGGACCUGCAUGAGGAGCGCUCCCCGACUGUAGACACCAAAUUUUUUAAAUAUUUUUUAUCCUAAUUUUAUUUUUAUUUUUAGUAAUAAUUGUUAUCUAUUAUUUUAAUUCCAUAAUUUUAGUUCUUAAACCUUUAACAUUUGUAUAGCAUUUCAGUAUUUUCAUAUUAUCAUUAUCUAUUAUCUAUUAUUUUAGUUUUUUUAGUUUUGCAUUCAUUUUUACCCUUUUAGUCGUUUAUUUUUAUUGUAAGACUUUUUAGCAUAAAAUUUGUCAAAAAGAGAAAAUUAUGCAUGGAAAGUAUGUUUUAUUUCUUUUUACUGUUUAUUAAUUGGAAAAAGAAAAAGAGGAAAAGAGGAAAAAUUAUUUAUCCAACACAGGAAAAAUCUUAGCUUUUUAUCUUUUGUUACUAAUUUUGUACAUUUUAUUUAUGUUUCGUUUAAAUCGUUAUUCUGUAUUAUUAUUGUUUAAUUAAGUGAUUGAAAAAAAAAGGAAAAGUCCACAUUUUGGUUUCGGCUGCAGCAAAAAGGAUUUGCAGCUGCAUUUCUCAGCUAUUUUUGCCUGGGGUUGGCUCCGUUCGAUGGAUAGUACACACCAUCUGGCUUCAUCUAGACCAUCGGGGAUAGGGUUCAGUUUUGGGGUUCCUAUAUAAAAGCAAAGAGAGGACUGACGGCUAAAAAAAAAAAUCUGAAGGAUAAGGAAUCUGGGGGUGACGGCUAGGUUUUAGAAAAGCAACAAAGGGAAAAGGGGCUAAGGGAGGACGGCUGAGAAAAUAAAUCUGAUAACGGCUAGAAAAAGAAACCAACGAGAGAGGUUUACGGGCUGAGAGCUGGAAGAGGGAAAGGCAAGGAAAAACUAGGAACGAUAUAGAGAAUAAGCGAGGUAGGGGUGGACCAAAAAGCGAGAAAAGGAAACCCGGAGUUGCUACGGGCUGAAAGGAAGGAAGCUACUGAAGAAACCAGGAGAGUUUUCAGAGAUCAACUUCUGCUCGUUUUCUUCGGACUCAACCCUGCCCAAGAAUCAUCAUCAGGUAAUCAUAACUCCAUUUCUUGUUCAUUCUAAUUCUUGAACGAAGUAGAAUACAUGAAAUCUGUGCCUUUUGGGUUCUUACUAUUGCUUGGUAUGACUUUAUCUCUCGAUGGAUAAUUUUAUCUGGAGUGGGAGAUCUGAGGCACUAAUUUCAUGUUGUUGUGCGGAUUGUUGAUGGGGAUGUGAUUCUUAUGGGAUUUGAUUGAUGGCCAUGUGAAUCUGGUUUGAAUGUUGCCAGCAUUCUUGAGAUUGAAUCUGUUGUUGCUGUUUUCUUGCAUUUUCCCUUGCAUGUUAGAUGGUCUUUCUGCUCUUACCAUUUGGUUUCUAAAAUCUGUUUUUCACCCAAGAGACAAUUAUAUCUGCCCUUUGUUGCGUUCAGUCUAACACUCUCUGUUUCAUGGCUCGAUUUUGUUAUUCAAGGAAGCUUUAGUUUUUCUGUUUUGGCUGGGAAAUUCGUGGUCAUGACCUGGGUUUGGGGACAGCAAUUUGGGGUUUACUUGUAGCUUGAUUGAUAUAUUAUGUACGCAUGUACUGCAAGCCUUUUUCUUUAUGUUUCGAUUGUGUUUUUCAUACCCCGUCAUAUAGUUGGGUCUUUUAGGAUAGGCAGUUGCAUUGCCAUGAGUUUAAUAACGCUGGGUUGGAAUUUCUGGUUUCGAAUUUUGCAUAUUUGAACAGCCAGUUCACGUUACCUUUCUGCAUUUUUGUGUUCGAGAGUGUCUGUUUGGUGCCUCCCCUCUCCUUGGCCUCAUAUUCUCUCAUUUCUGGCCUUGGACAAAUUGGGAACUGCAUUAAAUCAUUUCCUUGGUAUGUUCAAAUUGUAUAAGAAACUAAAAGCUGCAUUCUCUUCGCUGUUUUCUUUAUCGAAGCAGCCCGCAAAGCUGAGCUUCCUCUCGUGUGUUUAGAUGUUAAGCUCUAGUGGACUUUUGUUUAGAUCAAAGUUUUUGAUGUUUGGUUGAAUUUGUUUUUGUUUGAAGUCGUGUUUUGAGGCUAAGAUCCGUGCUUGAAAAGUGAAAGCUGGUAGCUAGUUUCAUUGCAGAAUUUUCUUAGCAGCAGCCGAGAGUCAUUGCAGCAAACUUGGAAACAAAAGGAAGCAUGUUUCAUUUUUUUAGUUGCAGAAGUUUAAGCCUUUACGUAGUUGCAUGGAAGUUGCAUGCAAAUGGCUUUCAAAAAUUGCACCUUGACCCCUAGUUUGCUAAGCAAUGCUACAAAGGCCCAACUAUGUUCUAUUUUUUUGCGAUUAGGUCCUAGAAUAAUUGCAAUUUGAACCACCACUUGGCUCUUUCUUCGCUCUUGAACCUUUAGAGUUCCUAAAAUGUUUUAAUUGGGCUUGAAUGAUUGGUUAAUGUUUGCAAUUGGGUCCUUGGUAGUUUUCUAUUUUUAGAAAUUUGAUUCAUAGUUUACUUUUCUUGGAAAUUAUGAAUUAUUUGGUUUCAUUUAAGUCGCAACUAAGGAAGAAUUUGGUGGUUUGUUAGUACCCCUUUUGAAGUUUCUAAGGUGUUCUGAGUUUCCUUUUUGCCUUUUAUUCUACUUAUCUUUAAAGUGGUGCAUUAAUCCCUUACUUUGAUGGUUUUAGCCCAAGUUAUCUCUUUCUUUGGUGACUCUAGCCCAAGUUAAGUCUUGUUCACUUUACUAACAUCACAAACGGGGAGGUAUAACUUCUUUUAUCCUUUUUUGUCUCUCCUCUAUGUGAUCCAACGUGCUAAGUGAGAAUUGCAUGUCUACUUUGCUUUCCUUGUCUUUCCUUUAAUUCCUUUCACUUAUUUCAUUUACUUUUGCUUUUAUUAAGUUAUUCUUUUAUGAGGUAUGUGUACACCUCUUGGCUUGUAAUAGAUAGGGCUUGGAGAGCAUUUUUAUUCACUUUUCCCCUUCCCCAUUUGUUUUAGUUAGCCAAUGUAAUAGGUUCAUUAGCUUGGUUGCUUGUUUUGUUGCUACGUGUUAAUUUGCUUUAUUAGGCUCUUGCAUUUAGUCGAGCAUGCUAAAUGUUAUGUGCUACGUGUUUAUAGGUGAUUGGCAUGUCUACUCGCUUUCUAUAGUCAUAGAUGAAUGUGAUGGAUGAAUGCGUCACCGUAGCUAGUCCAACGCUGGUCAUGAUUUUUUCCCUCGAGCUCUCGCAAGUCCAAUGCUUGUAAGAGAAUUUUAGAAAAGGGCUAGUCCAAUGCUAGACCCAAUAGGCCGUCCCCUCUCGUUGGUACAUACUUGCAUGUCUCACUACAUUUCAUGCAUUUUUCUUAGGUUUUUAGCAUUUGGCAUGCUUCUCCAAUCCUUUCCCCUUCAUCUUAGGUUUUUGCAUCCUCAUGCUAGUUAUAGGGUACAUUUGCUUGAGAGUCCUCUUUCGGUAAGGGAAACGAGCGAGUGUGGCUACAAAAUAGCCUUAGCACGCUAGUUCUUCCUUCUAAUCAAAGGGAAAAUUAAAAUCGUGAAGUUAAGAGUCAUUCCCGUACCCGACUUGAUGCAUUCCUCUAGGUUCAUACACUCUCAUUUUUAUCAUAUCACUUCCUCACUUUCUUUAUCCAUAUUCUCUCACUACUUAUAUUUUUCUCAAUCCACAUGCCAUGUUUGCACAUUUUUCUUCUUUUCCUAUCGCUUAUUUAUUUUUCUACCUCACAAAUUGCACCCAAUUGCACUUAUAUAUUUACUACUAUUAUACCAUAUUUUCAUCGACUUGCACACAUACACCUUCAUUUUUCUCAAUUGGCACACUUGCACUUUUCUUACAUUUGCACACUUACACUCAUACUUGAGUCUUCAUUUGCAUUAUUCGUACCUCUAUGAGGGCUUUCCUUACUGGCCAUCACAAUUCAUGUGAUUGGAACCAAAAACCUCAUAAGAGACAUUUUAGAUUUAGGAUUGUUUUUCUUUUUUUCGCAUCCAUUAGUCAUAUCCAACAUGCAACACAUAUUUGGGUAGAAGAAUUAGGAAAAGAAGGGCUAAGUCACGCAACUAGCUUUGGCUAGGGUAAGGGAGUGCCUUAGGCUUUGCCUUUGCCUUCUCCCUUAUCAAAUGUGACCCCCGAUCCCUUUCUUUGGUUACGUAGACCUAAAAAAUUCUUUAAAAAGGGUUUGUUUACUUUUCUUUCCAAAAAAAAAUCACUUUUUGGGUGACUUGGUACACCCUAACUCUAUACCAAGUGGCGACUCCUUUUCUAUCUAAAACCCUUUGUUUGGCCAAACCGUCGCAUUUCACAAUCCCACGGCCUUUUAUUUUCACUUUCACACACGUUCACAUACAUAUCCCACACACUACUUUCACACCUCAAAAAGUGGGGCGCGACAGCUUGGCGACUCCACUGGGGACCUCCUAAGUGGGUCCAAGCAUUUGAUUUAGCCAUUCUUUUCCGUUUUCUACCCUUGUUAUGCGUAGCAUUUGGAUAUUAGGGUUGCAUUUUCCAUUUUAGGACCUUUUGCCUCGCGCGUAUCAAACUACUCCCUCACUCACGUAUGUAUGAUUGGUUGCUUGGAUGUAUGUUUUACUUGUUUUAUCUCGCACUUUGCAUUGCAUUUGGGGGGGUGUGUCACCUUUAGAGCCUCGCGUUGGGUCUCAACCCUUUCCCUCAAAAUAGGGAACACUUCAUACGUGCACGUUUAUUUACUGUUAUCCCAUUUUAUUUUAUUUUCGUGGGCUCUUUCCCACACCGCCUUGUAGGACUAGGAAUGGUUUCUCUAGGUAUGUGGAUGGUGUGCUCUGCGCCCAUAGCAGUACCUAGGGGAUCGCUCGAGCCACCGACCGAGGGUCUUGGGAUUGAUGACCCAUUCCCUUAGGUCUGAAGGCUUGGGGACCUUUUUAAACCUUAUCGAGUCUAGUUGCAUUAGUGAGCCCCAGCCUCAUGCAUCCAUGUUAGAGUUUUCCUAGGUUAGAGUCAGCCUCACCCUUUUUAAGCACAUUAGGCACGAGGGAAGGGGUUCCACCCCUUUUACAUGCUUUUAUUGUAUUUCUUUUCUUAAUUGCUCCCAAUAUGUUAUGUGUACUAUCAAUUGCACUAACCAUUUCGUUGUUUUUUUUGCUUGCAUUCAUGUGCCUUAGCAAUAAGAGGCCUCUUUGGCUCUUUUUAGUGACUUACCCACUAGAUAACUCACAUGUUUAAAUUUCAGUUAUUACACUUAAUUUUCAAUAAGUACAUUUCAUUUUUAGACCUUUUCCCCCCGAUGCAUUAUUUAUGUCCUUUAGGCCAUAUUUGUCACAUAUUUACAUCGCUUUAAUAAAUGGCAUCAUGCAUUAAACCUUAGAAGGAACGCCAUUUAGGCAAUUCCAUGUUAGGGAUAAGCCAACCUAUAAUCCCAUGGGUAUUUAACCCUAUUUUUGGGAUCUGCACGUUUACCCUUUUUGCAAAAUAACCUAAGGGGUAAAAUCCCAAGGUAACGGUAUCUAAGUGAAUUCCCCAUCCAGAUGACGCAGUGUCGAAUGCUCAACCAAGUCCCCGAGAGCUGAAUCAGUGGAAGAAUAACCUAUCUUAUGAGAUUGGAGGGCUAUUCCAAUAUGUGGGGCAUCUACCAAGCCUUGUCGACAUAAUACCCAACGUGUCUGCUAUCCAAGCAUUGAUCAAUUAUUGGGAUCCGGAUGCCUCAGUUUUCCGGUUUGGAAUGUGCGAACUCACCCCAACCCUAGAAGAGUUAGAGGGAUUGUUGCAAGUACGGGAAAAGGCAGUCCUAUGAUAUACCCGAGCGGGGAACGAGAGAGCAGUUUUGCAGAUUUUUGGGAUUGAGGAACAAUAGCUUAGACCAACACCCGACGCUAGAUCUUGUCCACUGAGGUUUUUAUAUGACCGGUUUGGGGAAAAGGAGUCUUUUGAGCCAUCAGAUCGAUUUCUUUAUAACAAGGGGCAAUGGGAAGAGAAGCGUGUGCAAGCUUUUGGUUUGGUUUUGAUCAACUUAUUGCUAUUCCAAAUGGAAAGGUGACAUUUGCAACAAUCAACAUGAUUCAAAGUCUUUUUUUAGGAAUUCGUGGAACGACACCAACUUUGAUACCCAUUGUCAUAGCGGACAUCUUCUCAGCCCUUACCAAUUGCCAAAGGAAAGGGGUUUCUUCUAUGCUUCAAAUUUAAUACUUCAAAUGUGGAUCAUGGAACAUUUGGCGAAGAGAUCACUUAACCCUUUGGGUUCUUGUCUCUUAGUUGAGAAUUGGAUUGAUUCACAUCGAGAGAGAGUCAGCCGCUACUACCGCGUGAUGUCGUCAAGCCAGUUUAUUGAGGAGUUCAACAAUUUGACACCAGAAAAAGUGCAGUGGGUUCUAGAUUGGACCAGGUUAGAGACCCAGCUUUUAGGACCACUCAACAUGACUUCAUCCCUCUAGCUGGAGUUAAUGGUCUAGUCGCCUAUAUUCCACAAAGGGUUAUGAGACAGUUUGGAUACCCGCAAAGCAUUCCUAUGGUACAAGGGGUUGAAGAUCUCAGAUUGGGUACGGUGACCGAGAGUCGAAGUAUGGUAUUAGAGGCUUGGAAAUUUGCAAGGUCUUGAGAAUUUGCAGUUGGAAUUGGUAAACAAGAUGGCACCUGCAGUUAUGCCUGGGUACAAUGAAUGGAUCAAACAAAGGUGGAACAUGAUAGGGCAAGGCAACAAUCAGCAUCAGCCAGUCCCGAAGAACAAAUGGAGAAGCUAAGGAAAGAAUUAGAGGAAUCUCAAGCCCAGCUUAUAAUGGCCAACAGAGUUUUAGAAGAUACCCAAGUGCAGUUGAGGAGGGAGAAGAAGAAGAAUGAGAAACUAGAGGAAGCCAUAGACGCCCUUGAUAGGAUUAGGGAAGGAGCUCGUAAGCUCAGUUUAGGGAGCUCUAGAGAGUCACAAAGUACAAGUCUCUUGAGACAUAGGGAUUUUGUAAACAUGGUUACUAAGACCAUUGACGAGGUUGUAAAGAAAGAUUGAACUCUACAUUUUGAGAAGCUUUCCAUUUCAAAGUUCUAAAUUCACUUACAGGUUUGGAAAUGGGAUUUUACCCCGAAGGCUUGCAUCAUGCUAGGCCUACCCUUGGCACAAAAAGGGUCCCCCAUAGGACAUGCAUCUGAAUUGUUUGAACAAUUACUAACUCAUGUCUUUUUCUUUUUCUCUUUUGAAUAAGUUGCAGAAAUCUAGUAACGAUUGGUUUAUCUAAAGAUGUCUUUUGCAUCCUCAGGUAAAGUUUCAAAAUAGCUUCUCGGAAAAGCCCCAUUAUUACGCGAUCCCGAAGUAAAGCCCAAAGGAAUCGUGUAGACAUGAGUACUCAGCCAGAAUCGUCUGAUAAGACCGCUGCAACUACCCAGCCGGAAGCCACAAGUCCCGGGGUUCAGUUGACUGAAUUACUCACCAAAUUUGGGGAAAUGGCAUCUGAAAUGGCCGCCCAAAAGAAGUUGAUCGACGAGCUCAUUAGUAGCGGAGUGCAGCCCGAGCCUGCGCCCGUCAAACAACCGGAAUCCGAACCAUUUGUCAUUCCUCCAAUUCAAACCACUUUUGAGGGAGUUUUCAACCCGCAGUAUACUUAUACUCAAAAUCCUCCGUUCUAUCCUCCUAUGGGCAAGGAUUUCAGCCUCAAGGUGGUCCAAACAUGCCUCUGGAUCCACAAGCUUUUUAUCAGACUACCGCAGAGCCUGUUGUGCCAGAGCACACUGUUCAAACCAAGCCAGAAGUGGGAGAGUCGUCUGCCCCGGUGGAUAUGAAGCUACUUAAGCGGUUGGAUCGUUUCGAUGAGUUCAUCAGGAAAAGCCAAGGUUUAAGCAAACAAGGGGUGUUAGACUACGAUGAUCUGUGCCUGUUUCCAAAUGUACAGCUGCCCGUAGGGUUCAAGACCCCGAAGUUCAAUAAAUAUGAUGGUACAGGCAACCCUAAGACACACUUGCGUUUGUUUGCCAACAAGUUGGGCAGACCGUGGAUGACGAAAACUUGCCAUUAAGGUUAUUUCCAGAGAGUCUAGAAGGAGACGCCCUCGAUUGGUAUUCCAACUUAAAGCCAGAGGAGGUGAAGACUUGGCUUGAUCUAUCCAACGCCUUCAUCAGACAAUACGAAUAUAACUGCGAGCUAGCACCGACCAGAACUACUUUGGAAGGCACAAGAGGCGACCAUCUGAAGAUCAUAAGACAUACGCCAAAAGAUGGAGAAAGAUAGCUGCCAAGGUUGAGCCUCCGAUGACCGAAGAUGAAAUUGUUCGCACUUUCAUAAAGGCGCAUGAUCCUCCACACUUUGAAGAAAUCUUCCGUAUGACCGGAUGUUCAUUUGCUGCGAUUGUGAAUAAACUCGAAGAGUAUGAUGAUUUUGUGAGAUCCGGAAAAAUUGUUAACGUCUCUGCCUUAAAAUCACAAGUAGAAGCUUUGCAAGGGCAAGGGAGCAGUGGAAAGAAGCCGCAGUUUAAAAAGAAAGAGGGGGAUGCAACUUUUAUCUGGAACCAGAACCCUUCACCCAAACCCCGAUACCAACACAAUCCAACCUACCAACCACAUUACCCUUAUUAUUCAAACCCGCACCAUGUAUAUACUACCAAUAUCCACCACCCUCGACCUCCCCAAGCUAUCCUAACCCACCUUUAGCUCCUUUUCAAAUUUCUCAACCAAAUCCACCCAAAACCGACCUCGCCCUCCAUAUAACCCAAGAUUUCCUCCCCCAAAUAGACCUGUUUACAGCCAUCCUCAACCUCCUGAACCUUACAACCGAAGCCUAGCCGUACAUUUACCAAUUUAGGCAGGCCUCUAGACCAAUUGUAUGACCAGUUGAAGGCCGCCGGAAAAUUGGUAUGGUACCCCUCCUACCUAUCCAUAUGGCAUGCCGCUUGGUAUAACCCACAAGCCGUCUGUGCUUAUCAUUCAGGGGCACCCGGACAUUCAACUUUGAUUGCAAGGCUCUUAAGCAUAAAUUCAAGAUAUGAUUGAAGCGGAGAGAUUGUAAUCAGGAAAAGGAGGCACAAGGGCCGAAUAUAAAUAGGAACCCCUUGCCGGAACAUACUAAUACCAUUGGGGUCAUUCUGGACGACGCAGAGUAUGAGGAGCAAGUCCAAAAAUUGGCAAGGGAAGCUGAGGUGUUUGGGGUCACAGACCAACCAUUUGUAAUAGAGGUGCCGUUUGAGGAGAUAAAAGACCUUUUAUUUUGGAUUCACUCCAGCUGAGAGCGAGGCUUUGGAGCCAGUGGUCAUCGAAUUCCCAGAGCAGGAGCCUGUUCUAAGUUUGCAGCGAGUGCCAUGGAACUACGAUGAACCUGUCAUACAAAUUAGGAAAAAAGUCAGUUGCCAAAGAAGAGGUGUCAGUGGUCACUAGAUCAGGGAGAAUUGCAAGUCCGUUUGGAGCUACCGUUCCGAUUCAAACAAAUAACCCCGAGCUGCCCGCUAAACCAACAAUUACUGAGAAGGAAGCCUUGGAUUUUCUUAAAAGGCUCCAAAGAAGCGAAUAUAAUGUAGUCGAGAAGCUAAGCAAGUCGCCCGCCCAAAUAUCCAUGUUGGAUCUGCUCUUUUCUUCGGAUAUGCAUAGGGAUGCGUUGCUCGAAGUGUUGACUAAAGCUCAAAUCCCUAAGGACAUUUCGGUUGUUAAUUUCUCACAUAUAGUUGGGAGUGUGUUAUUUACAAAACAAAUCACUUUCUCUGAUGAUGAAUUACCGGCAGAAGGCAUUGGACAUAACAAAGCUCUGUACAUAGCUGUGAGGUGCAACGGAAAAUGUUGCCAAAGGUGUUGAUUGACAAUGGAUCUGCGCUUAAUAUCUGUCCUUGGAGUACCUUGGAAAAGCUAGGGUUGCAAGAUAUCAAGCUAAGGCCUUCAGGGACCAUAGUUAGAGGUUUUGAUGGAGCACAAAGAGAACCUAUAGGAGAAGUGGAUUUAGUAGUCGAGAUGGGGCCCGCACAGUUUCAAAUAGCCUGCCAAGUUAUGCACUUUCCUAGUAUUUACAAUAUUUUGCUUGGAAGGCCGUGGAUUCAUAAGUCCGGGGCUGUGCCUUCUUCAUUGCAUCAAUUGUUGAAAUUCAUAGUAAAUGACAAAUUGAUAACUAUCUUUGCCGAGGAGGAUUGCCUCGUAAUUGCUGAUUCUGGGUCCGAAGAAGAUGGUAGCCGAAACGCCACAGUGACCCCUCAUAGCACAGCUGAUAUCGUCUCCGUAAGUUGGAUAACAAAAGAGGAACGAGCUCUGUCAAAGGCCAGUGUCAUGAUGGCUAAGGAAAUGAUCCGCGGAGGAUAUGAGUUUGACAAAGGACUGGGACGUGAUCUACAAGGAAUUCUAAAACCAGUGCAAAUUGUGGAGAAAAGGAUUCAUUCGGUUUGGGUUUCCGACCAACCGCUAAAGACAUCAAAGAAAUGAAGGAACGCAAGAAAGCAGAGAAAGAAAGCAGGUAAAAGGCCUUUGAUAUUCCACCACUGCAUUAUACUUUUCCACGACCAACCGAGGUGAUCACGUCAGAGAUUAACCCAGUUGACGAAAUCGAAACUAGUCUGGCCCAAUUGUUCGUUGGGGCAACAUUUGAAGACAGUUUCCCAUAUAAGGCCGAGUUCCUGACAUCCCUGAAGGAUCAAUUUCCAAUUGGACAACCGAGUUUCUGCCCAUUCAGAAGGAGUUUCGGUAAAACUAAAGGGGUUUGUUAUUCAUGCGAAUUCAUGAAAUACUUCUGCAUCUGUAAAUAGCUAAUGAAAGCAUCUUUAUCUUUGACUAAAAUUUGCACAUGUAAAUAUUGUUUCCACUUGCUUUCUUUUUGUUUCGCUUUCAAUCAAAGGUUUUAUGAAAAUGCACAAGUGGUUCUUGUCAUGUUGUUUUGUUUAUUCGUUGUCAUAUUGCUUAUUCAUUUGUUUGUUGUAUGUUUGUUUGCUUAUUAUCCCACAUUCGUUAAUUCUUUCAGAUGGCCAAAAAUAAAACUAUUUGACCCUUUGGAUAUCACUAUUCUGGAAUUCAAUAAUGGCAAUCUCUAUAUCACUCACGACUUGGAGGUCUGGGAAUCUGAGCUUCAAAGCGAGAGUGAUAAUGAGGAGGUAUUCGAUUCUUUUGCAAAGGACUUUGAACAAUAUGAGGAGAAACCAAAACCGAACCUGGAAGAAACAGAAAAGGUUAACAUUGGCACUAAAGAUGAAGUUAAGGAGGUGCAAAUUAGUAUUCAUUUGAAUGAGAGGCAGAAAAAGGAGAUGCUUGAAUUCUUGACUGUGUUUCAGGAUGUAUUUGCAUGGUCCUAUGAUGAUAUGACUGGUAUUUCAACUGAUGUGGUAGUGCAUAAGUUGCCCACAGACCCUACUUUUCCACCCGUAAAGCAAAAACUCCGAAAAUUCAAACUAGAUAUGAGCCUCAAAAUAAAAGAGCAAAUUGAAAAACAUCUCAAAACCAACAUUAUCAUUGUUUCCCAUUACCCUAUUUAGCUUUCGAACCCAGUCCCUGUUCCAAAAAAGAAUGGAGAGGUGCGAGUUUGUGUUGAUUAUAGAGACCUCAAUAAGGCCAGUCCUAAAGAUGAUUUUCCUUUGCCAAAUAUUCACAUUCUCUUGGACAAUACCGCUGGGCAUGAGAUUGAAUCUUUUUGUGAUUGCUUCGCUGGAUACCACCAGAUUUUGAUGGCAGAAGAGGAUAGGGAGAAGACUGCUUUUGUAACAGCCCCACCUCUCCCUAAGGCGAACCAAAGGGUUCGGCGGGCCGCUUGCCCAACUCUCGCCGGGACUCAGUCGAUCACUACAGUCCUCAAUUAAAUUACAAUAUAAAAACCAAAUAUCCAUCAAACUCUCGAAGAAUUACAUCAAAUUCUCCAAUGGUUACAUAUUACAAAUGCAGCGGAAACUGAUUCCAAUCGUGGAACGUAUAUUUACAUCCAUAUCAAUUUCAAAUAUAUAUACAAGACCAACUCGUACAUAAAAUAGAUCCAAACUUAAACUAUACACGAUAUAAGCCAUCCAGUCACGUGAAUAAGCACUCCAAGCUUUUCUUCGCCUUGAGCCCUGUGGGGGGGGAAAUAAAACAUUUUUGGGGUGAGUUAGAAGCUCAGCGAGUAACCAUUAAAAUCAGUAAUCAAUUCAGUUUCACAGUCGUUCAUUUCAGUGAUGUCAUGAUUUCAAGAUCAAAUGUACAUUUAUUGCUCUCGUGAGCCAGCGAAAUCGUUGUACUUAAACACCCAACGCUCCAAACAAACAUUAAACAGUAAACAGUCAGUGGGGAGCCAUUUGCUCCAGAUGAACAGUACACAGAGGUGGAGACGUUGGUGUUCAGCACACGAAUUCCAAGCACUCAUUUAAGCCAAAACAUGUCAUGGGCCACAUGCAAGCACUCAUGAUAUGCAAUCAAGUAAAUAGUGCAAGAAACGGUUCAUAAGAAGCUUUAACAGUAGUUUGGGGUCACUCACCUCCACGGCUCAGAAACCAUCCAUCAUGUAUCAUUGCCUUGCUCAAAUCCAAGUCUUAGAUCACAAACUCAAUGCAAACAAGUCCUUUAAAAGUUCGGACUGCACUUCCCCUGAAUUUGCUUACUUUCCCAGCCAUCAUGGCCUCAUUAUUUCCUCAGCCAGUCCCAAAGGUACACACACAACAACAAGUUCAUCCAAUAGUCAUUCAGCAAGCUCCAAGUAGUACAAAGACAAGUCAAGCUAGGGAAAAGUCUGGAAAUGAAAGUUAAGUUCAAAACUAGAAAAACAGGUUUUGAUGUCAUUUUACGGUAAUGGUACCAAAGGCACUACGAUUGUCGGAUGAGGGUGUAAGACCCACCGUUUCGAAGCUAAGAACCAGGGCUACAACAAUGUAGAAGGUCACUCAGUCCAGUUCCUAGCACAACUAGGUCAAAUAUGCCAAAAAUACCAAACCAGAACCACUAAAACAGGUUCACAAAUCACACAAUGCUGUAAUGAACACAACUCAGUCUAUACAGGUCCAAUUGCCGAAAUUCCAAAGGCAUAUGUUAGCUAAGACAUCCAGCUACAUUUCCUCAGAAGACACAACAACAAAAUCCAAACCAAUUCCAGUCAAAACAAACGAUUACAAGCGCAGUUUUCACAUUCUGAGCAACCCAGAUCAGCAAUAGUAAAAACAACAUAUCUCACUCUACACUAAUCCAAAUGACCUGAAAUUUUGAAGGCACUUCAAACUCAUCAAUACCUACAACUUUCAUGUUUUGAGAAAAGUCCAAUUCGGCCUCUAACCCUAUGAUCUAAAACCGGACAGCAUUAGGGGUUUAUGAACCCUAACUUUUCACAAUUCAUUCCAAACCUAAAAUUGAUUGCAAAUAUCAACAAUUCACACCUACUAGGGUCAUUAUAGGCCAUUGCCAAUCAUCAUAAACAACCACACCAUCAUAAUCCAAUUAAACCAGAAAAAUCAUCAAUAAAAUAAAAACUUCACCAAAUCACCUCAAACCAAGAUGAAAACCAGAAAUUUCAGCACUUUAAUCACUAAUAAGCAUAACUUAAGCUUCAUUAAGUGUAAGAGGGAAUUCACACACACACUCACCUAGUAACCAAGAGAGAUAGAGAUGUUGGACACCUUAGCUCUUCAAACAAACUUCACUAAACUACCUACUAGCACCCAAGGAAGGAAUUUUAUGGAGUAAAAACUAAUUUAGGCAAGUAGUUUGGAUGAUUUGAGCUAGGAAUUUGCCAAGAUGUUGAAGAGUUUUGUCUUUCUUCUUGCUAGAGAGGGCCGGCCAUCCAAAGGUAAGAAAUGGUGAUUUUUGGGCAAUUUUUAAGAUAUUUAACCUUUGGUCAAAAAAAGUCAAAAAUUGGAAUAGUAAAUCUUAAAGUAAAACCAAUAAGAGGGUGACACUUGUCACCUCAUUAAUGCAAUCUUAUCACUUCUUUUUCCUCUCACAUCAAUCAAAUCUCACUCUCUACUUAUCUCUUAACACCCGAUAAAUUUUACACAGUAUCCGAAACUUAACCUUAUUGGCCGAAUUUUUCCGAACUUUUCGCACUAGUGAGUCCCACGUCCAUUAUACACUCUUAAUUUUCCAAAAACUCUCCAAGGCUAGAAAAAUCAUCUAAAAACUAUAAUUACUCAUAAAAAUUCCUCAGGAAAAUUUCCUAAGCCAGGAAAUGCAGAAAACAUUCUAUUAAAGGAAAUAAAACUCUCGGAAAAGAUUAGGGUUUUUACGGGUUCUCAAACUCUUUUUUUUUUUUCGGGGCGUCACAGCUUUUAUCACCCCUUGGGGCACAUUUUGCUACCGAGUGAUGCCCUUUGGUUUAAAAAUGCCGGAGCUACGUAUCAAAGGACCAUGACCACCCUGUUUCAUGAUAUGAUCCACCGGGAGAUGGAGGUCUACGUGGAUGACAUCAUAAUCAAGUCUAAAAGGGCAGAGAACCAUUUGGUUGAUUUGAAGAAGCUGUUCGAAAGGUUGCGAAAGUACAAUUUGAAACUAAAUCCUGCAAAGUGCGCCUUUGGGGCACCAGCUGGUAAAUUGUUGGGCUUCAUUGUUAGUAAAAGAGGCAUAGAGAUAGAUCCAGCAAAAUCAAAGCAAUUCGAGAUAUGCCAGUGCCGAAAACUCAGAAGGACGUGAAAAGUUUCUUAGGAAAGAUCAAUUUUAUUGGGAGAUUCAUUGCCCAACUAACUGCCACAUGCGAGCCGUUGUUCAAAUUGUUGAGAAAGAAUGUGCCAUUGUAUUGGAGUGAAGAAUGCCAACAAGCUUUUGAUAAGAUCAAGGAUUAUUUGUUACAUCCGCCAGUCUUGGUGCCACCCAAGCCGGGUCGACCAUUAAUCAUGUACCUAUCUGUGCUUGAAGAAGCAGUUGGUUGUGUCCUCGGGCAGCAUGAUGACUCCGGAAGGAAGGAGCAAGCCAUUUACUAUCUAAGCAAAAGUUCACGCAGUAUGAGGCUAAUUAUUCAUUCAUUGAGAAAAGCUGCUGUGCAUUGGCCUGGGCAGUUCAAAAGCUGAGACACUACCUGUUGAGCCAUACCACUUAUCUUAUUUCCCGAUCUGAUCCUUUGAAGUAUCUCUUGGAGAAGCCGAUGCUAACUGGACGUCUGGCUAAAUGGCAGAUAAUUCUCUCAGAGUUCGAUAUUGUUUUCACUUCACAAAAGGCUGUCAAGGGGCAAGCUAUAGCGAUCAUUUGGCAGAAAAUCCAAGGGAUGAUGAUUAUCAACCACUUCAUACUUAUUUCCCUGAUGAGAGAGUCUUAUUUGUAGGCGCCACAGACGAUAUAAGUGAGCAAAGCCCUGAAUGGAGGCUUUUCUUCGAUGGAGCUUCGAAUUCUCUCGGAGCUGGAAUUGGAGCUGUUUUGGUUUCACCCGAAGGGAAGCACUACCCUGCCGCUGCCAAAUUGCAAUUUGCUUGCACAAACAACAUGGCUGAAUAUGAAGCCUGCAUUUUUGGUCUCAAAAUGGCUUUAGAAAUGGAAAUCAAAGAGUUGAUAGCUUUCAGUGAUUCAGAUUUGCUCGUGCACCAAACCUUGAAGCAGUGGAUAACCAAAGAUUCAAAAAUUCUGCCCUACCAUUGUAGUCUGCUCACUCUGGCCAAGCAAUUUCAAAAUUUGGAGUUCAGACAUCUCCCGCGAGCCCGAAACGCAUUUGCUGAUGCUUUGGCCACCUUAGCUUCUAUGAUCCAGUAUCCAGAUAAAUUGAGGAUCGAACCAAUCCAGAUUCAACUUCAAGACAAGCCUGCCCACUGUUGGGUUGUAGACAAGUCCUCUGACAAUAUUCCUUGGUAUAAUGAUAUUAAGGAGUUUCUCAAAACUGGGUCUUACCCUCUGCAUGCUAGUACAAAGGACAAGAGUUUUCUGCGUAGAAUGGCUUCAAAAUUUUUCUUAAGUGGAGAAGUUUUGUACAAAAGAACCUCAGAUUUGAACUUUUAAAGUGCAUUGAUGAAGACGAAGCUCAAUAUAUGAUGAAAGAAGUGCAUAGUGGCGUUUGUGGACCUCACAUGAAUGGCCAUUUGCUAGCAAAGAAAAUCAUGAGAACCGGAUACUUCUGGCUUACUAUGGAGCGUGAUUGUAUAGAUUUUGUCCGGAGAUGUAUAAAAUGUCAAAUGCACGGUGACGUUAUACGCGCUCCACCCACUGAAUUGCAUAGUAUGAUCGCCCCAUGGCCCUGUUCAAUGUGGGGUAUGGACGUGAUUGGUACAAUUGAUCCUCCCGCUUCAAAUGGACAUCGAUUUAUAUUGGUGGCAAUUGAGUACUUUACUAAAUGGGUUGAAGCGGAGUCAUUCAAACAUGUAACGAAGAAGGUAGUUGCCAAUUUCUUGAGAGAUCACAUCAUCUGUCGCUUUGGAGUACCCGAAACGCUUAUUACAGACAAUGCCAAGAAUCUGAACAAUGACAUGGUAGAUGGACUAUGCGAGCAGUUCAAGAUCAGACACCGCAACUCUGCCAUUUAUAGGCCUCAGAUGAAUGGAGCUGUAGAAGCCGCAAACAAGAAUUUGAAAAAGAUUAUCCGCAAAAUGACUGAAAGGCAUCGCGAUUGGCAUGAAAAGUUGCCUUAUGCAUUAAUGGCGUACGGACUUCUAUCCGGACAUCGACUGGGGCAACGCCAUAUUCACUCAUGUAUGGAAUGGAAGCUGUAUUACCAGCUGAAGUUGAAAUUCCUUCGCUACGAAUCCUCAUGGAAGCUAAAUUGGAGGAGGCUGAUUGGAUGAAGCAGCGCCAUGAGCAAUUGACUUUGAUCGAUGAAAAGCGGCUCAAUGCUAUCUGUCAUGGUCAGUGCUAUCAGAAACGUGUGGCCGGGCUUACAACAAAAAAGUCCAUCGGCGUGCAUUCGAAGAAGGUGACAAAGUACUAAAGCGGAUUUUGCCAAUGCAAGAUGAAGCUAAAGGCAAAUUUGCUCCAAAUUGGCAAGGGCCGUUCAUUGUCCAAAAGGUAUUACCUGGCGGAGCACUUAUUUUGGCAGAAAUGGAUGGACGAACAUUCCCUCAACCCAUCAACUCAGACAUGUGCAAGAAGUUUUUCAUUUGAUCAUGCAAAUUUUCUUUAGAAAUUCAUGCAAACGGCGAAAUGCAAGUCAGGCCAUCUUCUUUUACACUUAAAACAUUUUAUCCUACUUGUCCCCUUUGAGCCAUCAGAAUUGACAAAUUUUCGCUUGAUAACCCCUGAGAAUUGCAAACCCCACACUGGGACAAAUUUAUUUUGAAAGAGAGAUGAUCAAAAAGAAAAGAGAACCCACACUGGGGCAAAUUUAGUUUUAAAAAAAAUGCAAAAGUGAGGAAAAUGCAAUGAAGAAAAUGCAAAUCAAACUGGGGCAAAUUUUCCUCAGUUUCGUUCAAAAUUGAAGACGAUUUCAAAAUAGUGCAAUCUCAAGUUAUUUCACACCUUGCAUCAAAAUUUGCUUUCAAGCCUCAACUUUUCUUGAAAAACACCCCACCUGACCUCAUUACAAAGCCCAAAGUCCUGGCUUUCGUCACUUGUUGUAUUUCUAUUAGGAAAUUUGUUAAUCAACUGGCAAGUGAUGCCAUAAUGCCUUCGCCUAAUCUCACAAGGGAAGUGCAUUUUACUGAUGCCAGAAAUCUUUAACUCAUAUUUCUGAGUCGAUCAUGGUUGAGAUAUUUCAUUGUUCUUUAGGUGAAAACCCGAAAGGGCGCCUAAAAAAAAAAAAAGGAAAAAAAAGAAAAAGAAAAAAAGAAAAGAAAAAAAGAGAAAAAACAAAAACAAAAAGGGUGGGGGCAACCUUGGUGAAAACCGAAAGGGCGCCAAGGCAGGUUUUCUCAACAGACGAGCACGAGAAGGAACAGCUGGUGACCUGGUUCAUUUAGACUUUUCCUCAUGUUUGUGAUACUUCUGCCAGUAUCGAAUUCCGAAGCAAAUAUAUCCAAAGUCUUGAAUAUGAUAUUCGUUGGCCAAAUUUGUAUUUUUCUUUACAAAUAUUCUUUUGCAAAAUGUAUCUUUAUAAACCUCUUGGUUUCUCUCGAUUAUUUGCGUUCGACUGCUUGUGGUUGUCUGCAUUCUUUUGCAUGCUCAUCUUUGCCUGACAUAGGAAAUCAUCUUGCAUAUAUCAUUGAUUUUUAUAUGACAAAUUUUUCAUGCAUCAUUCUUUCACCAUUGGAUUCGAAUGGAUGAUAAACCCUAAGGUUUGUGCAAGGAUAGGGGAUUCAAUCAUCUAUUAAAGUGAGUAAAAUGCAACAAAGCUGCUACAUAGAUUUGGUGACGUGGUAAAUACGUACUUUAUCAGUCUCAAGAAUUGAAAGGUUUCAAAAUUACAAGUUCACUAAGCAGACGCCGCAGAACAGAGGCAAAAGCAUCACAAGACUCAUGUUUACACGAUUCUCAAGGCAAACCGGAUCAAAUGAUGGUGGCAAGUCCAUUAUUUCUUCUUUUCUUGCAGGAACGUUGCGUUUACAAACGAAAACAACCACUCUCCUUUUCGCACCUAAAUCGAUGUCAGAAAAAGCUCCCAGUAAGCAAAGACGAAGUGAUAAUGUUAUUGGCAAAGCUUGAUCAUAAGAAACAACAUCAGCUAUCGCUUCAGCUACAGAGAUCAAAUCUCCCUCUUGGUACAAAAGUUUGAACUACUCCCAGGUAAAAACUCAAUUCAUUGUUUAAACCUCCCAGUGAAGUCCCGUUUUAAAUUCUUGUUCGGGUCAGUCCCGUUUUAAAUUUCUUGUUCGGGUCAGUCCGUUUUAAAUUUCUGUUCGGGUCAGUCCCGUUUUAAAUUUCUUGUUCGGGUCAGUCCGUUUUAAAUUCCUGUUCGGGUCAGUCCCGUUUUAAAUUUCUUGUUCGGGUCAGUCCCGUUUUAAAUUCCUGUUCGGGUCAGUCCCGUUUUAAAAAUUUCUUGUUCGGUCAGUCCCGUUUUAAAUUCCUUUCGGGUCAGUCCCGUUUUAAAUUUCUUGUUCGGGUCAGUCCGUUUUAAAUUCCUGUUCGGGUCAGUCUCAUUUUAAAUUUCUUGUUCGGUCAGUCCCUUUUAAAUUUCUUGUUGGGUAGUCCCGUUUUAAAUUCCUGUUCGGGUCAGUCCCGAUUUAAAUUUCAUGUUGAGGUCAGUCCUCGUUUCAAUAACGACAGUCAUUCAAGUAGUUGUAGCCAAAUAACACAGGUAAGUAUUUGGUGUCUAUUUCUUUGUCUCAAGUUUUUCCAAAACUCAGACAAAGAGGGGCAAACUGUAGACACCAAAUUUUUUAAAUAUUUUUUAUCCUAAUUUUAUUUUUAUUUUUUAGUAAUAAUUGUUAUCUAUUAUUUUAAUUCCGUAAUUUUAGUUCUUAAACCUUUAACAUUUGUAUAGUAUUUCAGUAUUUUUAGAUUAUCAUUAUCUAUUAUCUAUUAUUUUAGUUUUUCUAGUUUUGCAUUCAUUUUUACCCUUUUAGUUGUUUAUUUUUAUUGUAAGACUUUUUAGCAUAAAAUUUGUCAAAAAGAGAAAAUUAUGCAUGGAAAGUAUGUUUUAUUUCUUUUUACUGUUUAUUAAUUGGAAAAAGAAAAAAAGGAAAAGAGGAAAAAUCAUUAAUCCAACACAGGAAAAAUCUUAGCUUUUUAUCUUUUGUUACUAAUCUUGUACAUUUUAUUUACGUUUCGUUUAAAUCGUUAUUCUGUAUUAUUAUUGUUUAAUUAAGUGAUUGAAAAAAAAAAGGAAAAGUCCACAUUUUGGUUUCGGCUGCAGCAAAAAGGAUUUGCAGCUGCAUUUCUCAGCUAUUUUUGCCUGGGGUUGGCUCCGUUCGAUGGAUAGUACACACCAUCUGGCUUCAUCCAGACCAUCGGGGAUAGGGUUUAGUUUUGGGGUUCCUAUAUAAAAGCAAAGAGAGGACUGACGGCUAAAAAAAAAACCUGAAGGGUAAGGAAUCUGGGGGGUGACUGCUAGGUUUUAGAAAAGCAACAAAGGGAAAAGGGGCUGAGGGAGGGCGGCUGAGAAAAGAAAUCUGAUGACGGCUAGAAAAAGAAACCAACGAGAGAGGUUUACGGGCUGAGAGCUAGAAGAGGGAAAUGCAAGGAAAAACUAGGAACGAUAUAGAGAAUAAGCGAGGUAGGGGAGGGCUAAAAAGCGAGAAAAGGAAACCCGGAGUUGCUACGGGCUGAAAGGAUGGAAGCUACAGAAGAAACCAGGAGAGUUUUCAGAGAUCAACUUCUGCUCGUUUUUUUCGGACUCAACCCUGCCCAAGAAUCAUCAUUAGGUAAUCAUAACUCCAUUUCUUGUUCAUUCUAAUUCUUGAACGAAGUAGAAUACAUGAAAUCUGUGCCUUUUGGGUUCUUACUAUUGCUUGGUAUGACUUUAUCUCUUGAUGGAUAAUUUUAUCUGGAGUGGGAGAUCUGAGGCACUAAUUUCAUGUUGUUGAUGGGGAUGUGAUUCUUAUGGGAUUUGAUUGAUGGCCAUGUGAAUCUGGUUUGAAUGUUGCCAGCAUUCUUGAGAUUGAAUCUGUUGUUGCUGUUUUCUUGCGUUUUCCCUUGCAUGUUAGAUGGUCUUUCUGCUCUUACCAUUUGGUUUCUAAAAUCUGUUUUUCACCCAAGAGACAACUAUAUCUGCCCUUUGUUGCGUUCAGUCUAACACUCUCUAUUUCAUGGCUGGAUUUUGUUAUUCAAGGAAGCUUUAGUUUUUCUGUUUUGGCUGGGAAAUUCGUGGUCAUGACCUGGGUUUGGGGAUAGCAAUUUGGGUUUACUUGUAGCUUGAUUGAUAUAUUAUGUACGCAUGUACUGCAAGCCUUUUUCUUUAUGUUUCGAUUGUGUUUUUCAUACCCCGUCAUAUAGUUGGGUCUUUUAGGAUAGGCAGUUGCAUUGCCAUGAGUUUAAUAAUGCUGGGUUGGAAUUUCUGGUUUCGAAUUUUGCAUAUUUGAACAGCCAGUUCACGUUACCUUUCUGCAUUUUUGUGUCCGAGAGUGUCUGUUUGGUGCCUCCCCUCUCCUUGGCCUCAUAUUCUCUCAUUUCUGGCCUUGGACAAAUUGGGAACUGCAUUAAAUCAUUUCCUUGGUAUGUUCAAAUUGUAUAAGAAACUAAAAGCUGCAUUCUCUUCACUGUUUUCUUUAUCGAAGCAGCCCGCAAAGCUGAGCUUCCUCUUGUGUGUUUAGAUGUUAAGCUCUAGUGGACUUUUGUUUAGAUCAAAGUUUUUGAUGUUUGGUUGAAUUUGUGUUUGUUUGAAGUCGUGUUUUGAGGCUAAGAUCUGUGCUUGAAAAGUGAAAGCUGGUAGCUAGUUUCAUUGCAGAAUUUUCUUAGCAGCAGCCGAGAGUCAUUGCAGCAAACUUGGAAACAAAAGGAAGCAUGUUUCAUUUUUUUAGUUGCAGAAGUUUAAGCCUUUACGUAGUUGCAUGGAACUUUCAUGCAAAUGCUUUCAAAAAUUGCACCUUGACCCCUAGUUUGCUAAGCAAUGCUACAAAGGCCCAACUAUGUUCUAUUUUCUUGCGAUUAGGUCCUAGAAUAAUUGCAAUUUGAACCACCACUUGGCCCUUUCUUCGCUCUUGAACCUUUAGAGUUCCCAAAAUGUUUUAAUUGGGCUUGAAUGAUUGGUUAAUGUUUGCAAUUGGGUCCUUGGUAGUUUUCUAUUUUUAGAAAUUUGAAUAAUAGUUUACUUUUCUUGGAAAUUAUGAAUUAUUUGGUUUCAUUUAAGUCGCAAUUAAGGAAGAAUUUGGUGGUUUGUUAGUAACCCUUUUGAAGUUUCUAAGGUGUUCUGAGUUUCCUUUUUGCCUUUUAUUCUACUUAUCUUUAAAGUGGUGCAUUAAUCCCUUACUUUGAUGGUUUUAGCCCAAGUUAUCUCUUUCUUUGGUGACUCUAACCCAAGUUAAGUCUUGUUCACUUUACUAACAUCACAAACGGGGAGGUAUAACUUCUUUUAUCCUUUUUUGUCUCUCCUCUAUGUGAUCCAACGUGCUAAGUGAGAAUUGCAUGUCUACUUUGCUUUCCUUGUCUUUCCUUUAAUUCCUUUAAUUCCUUUCAUUUAUUUUUGCUUUUAUUAAUUUAUUCUUUUAUGGGGUAUGUGUACACCUCUUGGCUUGUAAUAGAUAGGGCUUGGAGAGCAUUUUUAUUCACUUUUCCCCUUCCCCAUUUGUUUUAGUUAGCCAAUGUAAUAGGUUUAUUAGCUUGGUUGCUUGUUUUGUUGCUACGUGUUAAUUUGCUUUAUUAGACUCUUGCAUUUAGUCGAGCAUGCUAAAUGUUAUGUGCUACGUGUUUAUAGGUGAUUGGCAUGUCUACUCGCUUUCUAUAGUGCAUAGAUAAUGUGAUGGAUGAAUGCGUCACCGUGGCUAGUCCAACGCUGGUCAUGGUUUUUCCCCUCGAUCUCUCGCAAGUCCAAUGCUUGUUAGAGAAUUUUAGAAAAGGGGCUAGUCCAAUGCUAGACCCAAUAGGCCGUCCCCUCUCGUUGGUACAUACUUGCAUGUCUCACUACAUUUCAUGCAUUUUUCUUAGGUUUUUAGCAUUUGGCAUGCUUCUCCAAUCCUUUCCCCUUCAUCUUAGGUUUUUGCAUCCUCAUGCUAGUUAUAGGGUACAUUUGCUUGAGAGUCCUCUUUCGGUAAGGGAAACGAGCGAGUGUGGCUACAAAAUAGCCUUAGCACGCUAGUUCUUCCUUCUAAUCAAAGGGAAAAUUAAAAUCGUGAAGUUAAGAGUCAUUCCCGUACCCGACUUGAUGCAUUCCUCUAGAUUCAUACACUCUCAUUUUUAUCAUAUCACUUCCUCACUUUCUUUAUCCACAUUCUCUCACUACUUAUAUUUUUGUCAAUCCACAUGCCAUGUUUGCACAUUUUUCUUCUUUUUCUAUCACUUAUUUAUUUUUCUACCUCACAAAUUGCACCCAAUUGCACUUAUAUAUUUACUACUAUUAUACCAUAUUUUCAUCCACUUGCACACAUACACCUUCAUUUUUCUCAAUUGGCACACUUGCACUUUUCUUACAUUUGCACACUUACACUCAUACUUGAGUCUUCAUUUGCAUUAUUCGUAACCUCUAUGAGGGCUUUCCUUACUGGCCAUCACAAUUCAUGUGAUUGGAACCAAAAAGCCUCAUAAGAGACAUUUUAGAUUUAGGAUUGCAUUUUUCUUUUUUUCGCAUCCAUUAGUCAUAUCCAACAUGCAACACAUAUUUUGGGUCGAAGAAUUAGGAAAAGAAGGACUAAGUCACGCAACUAGCUUUGGCUAGGGUAAGGGAGUGCCUUAGGCUUUGUCUUUGCCUUCUCCCUUAUCAAAUGUGACCCCCGAUCCCUUUUUUUGGUUACGUAGACCUAAAAAAUUCUUUAGAAAGGGUUUGUUUACUUUUCUUUCCAAAAAAAAAAAUCACUUUUUGGGUGACUUGGUACACCCUAACUCUAUACCAAGUGGCGACUCCUUUUCUAUCUAAAACCCUUUGUUUGGCCAAACCGUCGCAUUUCACAAUCCCACGGCCUUUUAUUUUCACUUUCACACACGUUCACGUAUAUAUCCCACACACUACUUUCACACCUCAAAAAGUGGGGCGUGACACUGACGUCAGCAGGAGAGGGGGUUGAGUUGGGUGGGCGUGAGCCUUUUCUCGGUGUCGCGCCCCACUUUUUGAUGUGUGAGAGUAGUGUGUAGGAGAUGUAUGUGAACGUGUGUGAAAGUGAAAAUAAAAGACCGUAGGAUUAUGAAAUGCGACGGUUUGGCCAAACAAAGGGUUUUAGAUAAAAAAGGAGUCGCCACUUGGUAUAGAGUUAGGGUGUACCAAGUCACCCAAAAAGUGAUUUUGUUUUUGGAAAAAAAGUAAACAAACCCUUUUUAAAGAAUUUUUUAGGUCUACGUAACCAAAAAAAGGGAUCGGGGGUCACAUUUGAUAAGGGAGAAGGUAAAGGCCAAGCCUAAGGCACUCCCUUACCCUAGCCAAAGCUAGUUGCGUGACUUAGCCCUUCUUUUCCUAAUUCUUCUACCCAAAGUAUGUGUUGCAUGUUGGAUAUGACUAAUGGAUACGAAAAAAGGAAAAAUGCAAUCCUAAAUCUAAAAUGUCUCUUAUGAGGCUUUUUGGUCCCAAUCACAUGAGUUGUGAUGGCCAAUAAGGAAAACUCUCAUAGAGGUCACGGGUAAUGCAAAUGAAGACCCAAAUAUGAGUGCAAGUGUGAAAAUGUAAGAAGAAUGCAAAAUAAAAUAAAAAUACAAAUACAAAUAUAAGUGCAAGUGUGCAAGUGUAAGAAAAGUGCAAGUGUGCCAAUUGAGAAAAUGAAGGUGUUUGUGUGCAAGUGGAUGAAAAUAUGGUAUAAUGGUAGUAAGUGCAAUUUGGGUGCAAUUUGUGAGGUAGAAAAUAAAUAGAAGAAAAAGAAUGUGCAAACAUGGCAUGUGGAUUGCGAAAAAUAUAAGUAGUGAGAAAAUGUGGAUAAAAAAGUGAGGAGGUGAUAUGAUAGAAAUGAAAGUGUAUGAACCUAGAGGAAUGCAUCAAGUCGGGUACGGGAAUGACUCCUAACUUCACGACUUUAAUUUUCCCUUUGAUUAGAAGGAAGGACUAGCGUGCUAAGGCUAUUUUGUAGCCACACUCGCUCGUUUCCCUUACCGAAAGGGGACUCUCAAGCAAAUGUACCCUAUAACUAGCAUGAGGAUGCAAAAACCGAAGAUGAAGGGGAAAGGAUGGAGGGGCAUGCCAAAUGCUAGAAAACUAAGAAAAAUGCAUGAAAUGUAGUGAGACAUGCAAGUAUGUACUAGCGAGGGAGAUCCCUAAGGCUCUAGCAUUGGACUAGCCCAUAUCUAUGAAUUCCUACUAGCGUUAGACUAGUGGAAAACGGGACAAUGAGCCACAACUAGCGUUGGACUAGUGUGGUGACAUGCAUUCAUCCAUCAUAUUCAUCUACGACUAUAGAAAGCAAGUAGACAUGCCAAUCGCCUAUAAACACGUAGCACAUAACACUUAGCAUGCUCGACUAAAUGCAAGAGCCUAAUAAAGCAAAUUAACACAUAGCAACAAAAGCAAGCAACCAAGCUAAUGAACCUAUUACAUUUGCUAGCUAGGCACACGUCUUCAGUAGGUCUUCAUCAAAUGCUCUCCAAGCCCUAUCUAUUACAAGCCAAGAGGUGUACACAUACCUGUUUCAAGACCAGAUUUCUAUUUUCGUGGGGAUUUCUAUUUUUGACCCUGAAAAUGCAUGAUUUGGCUUUGGAGGUCCCCAUAAUAAAUGUAAGUAUAGGUCUUGGCUUUGAAACACCAUAAGAUUCGUUUCAAUCCGAUAAGUGUAGCUUCAGUUGUGGUUGUUACGCCGAAAGGUGUAUUUUAUCGCCUAUGAUUUGUAUGUGAAAUUGUGGUUGAUUGCUAUGUUAUUUGGUGUUUGAUUGUAGGAUGGAAAGUGAAGAAAUUAAGGGGAAGUGCUGUCUGUUUAUUUUCUCGAAGUUUGAAUAAGUGAAAGUGAGAUUUAAAAUGUGAUUUGGGGAGGCAUUGGACUUACUUUUCUUAGACUUACUUAGGUCCACUUUAAUGGCGUUAUCUGAGCUACCUUUUAUUUGAACUUCUACAUUUUCGCAUGGUGAAUGAGACAACUGUUUUAAGCAUGAUACUUAGCUACAAAUGUCAAGUUUUGAACUUCAAAUGGUUACUCAUUUCUUUCCGAAACAAAGAAGAAUUGCCUAGGGUUUCUCGGCCGUAAAACCUAAUUUUAUCAAGUGAGGCUUUAGGUGUGAAUUCAGGGUUUAUUUAUUGUCUUUUUCUCGCUGUAAAAUCUAAAUGUACACUUUUACUUUAAAACUCACAUUUAUAUAUUGUAUUAGUAAGUAUUCAGAUUUUCUUUGAAUUACUUAAACUUUUGAUGGUUGAACUGUGAUAGUUUCUCUUGGUUAUAUUAGGGUUCCUUGGUGAUUGAGGGUAUCACCCGGAAGAAUACUUUGGAUAAUCUUUUGUUUAAAUAGGUGAGUGUUCUUUGUUUGUUAUGUUAUUAACUAUGUUACUUGUUGUGGAUAUUUGAUUAAAUGAUAGAUGUUUGUUCAAAAUGAAUUUUGUUAGGCGAGUGUGUACUUUAUUGCAUUCGACCUAAAUGAAACGUGAAAUUUUCAAUGUUAAGUGUUUACAUGUUAGUUGCACAUGUAUGUAAGCUUUUUGGCUGAAUUGGGGCCUUGCCCUUCGUUGCCGGUUGACUCGAGCCAGAAGCGGAUUCGGUCGGGCAAUUUGGUGACCCUGGGUGAAAGCUUGGUAUACUCGAGUAUUACCUUGUAUUCUAGUGGAGCUUGACCAACGUCCAGGAGGGGGUGAAUGAAAUGAAAGAAUGAACAAGGGUUUUACUUACAAAAAUGUUGUGACGCCCCGAAAGAAUGAGUGCGAGAACCCAAAAAAUUUCUAAGUUUCUAGGGUUUAUUUUACUGAUCGCCCGCCUUUUCGACAUUUUCUUUAUUAGAAAAUUUCCCAGAUAAUUUUAUUGAGUAAAUGUAGUUUUUAGAUGAUUUUUCUAGUAUCAGUUAGUUUUUGAGAAAUUAAGAACAUAUAUCGGACGUGGGACCCACUAGUGCGGAAAGUUCGGUAAAAUUCGGCCAAUUAGGUUAAGUAAUGGAUACUGGGCUUAUUUUAGCAGGUGCUAAGAGAUAACUAGUGGAUAUUAAGUGAGUUGGUGUGAGAGAGACAAUGGGAUAGAUAUGCAUUUAAUGAAGUGACAAGUGUCACUUGGAGAAUAAGUCUUGAGUUUGACUACUAUUCAUCCUUUUACCAUUUAAAUCAAAAAAUUGACCAAAAUUCACCCUUAUUUUUCAAGCUUCUUGGCCGGCCCUUGCUCAAGAAAAAAGAAGAAUAACUACUCAAUUUUUUUACCUUCAAUCUUGCUCAAUCUUUCAUUCCAACCGGUUAAUCUUCAAAUUACUCCAUAAAACCUAUUAGUUUAGGGGUAUUUAGGUGAUUGGUGAAGUUAUUUGGAAGCUUAAGGUGCUAAGAGGUCUCUUUCUUUGGUUACUAAGGUGAGUGACUCUGGAACCCUCUCUUCUAUCUAAUGAUGUUUAAUUAAGGACUUGUGGUGGUUAUAAGUGUGAUUUGGUGGAUUAUUUCUUGAUUUUAGUUAAGAUUAGUGAAUUUUUCUAUUUAUGUGGGAUUUUUCUGUUUUCAUAUGAUUAAUAUUAUGUGACCAUGUAUGAUGGUCGGAAAUGGUUUAGAAUGAAGCCUUAGUGUUAAGAUAGCGGCUAUUUGCGGAAAAUUUUCGCAUUGAACGGAAAAUUUUGGAAUUAGGGUUUCGAUUACCCCCUUUCUGCCUGGCACUGUUCAUCAUAGUUAGAGGCCGAAUUAGCCUUGGGUUAAAACAUGAAAGUUGUAGGAAAUGAUAUUUUAAAGAUGUCUGCAAAAUUACAGCUCAAUCGGAGUAACGUAGCUGGUGAAAAGACUGAAAUACUCCUGCUGCUCUGUUUCUAUCCGAACUUGAUAAUUGCUUCUGUAAUUGGUUAAUUUGGUUGGGAAUACUUCUGAUUUGGUUGUUGAUGUCUUCUUAAGAAAUGUAGCCAGGUGUCUUAGCUUUCGGAUGGAUUUGGAAUCACUUGAUUUGGACUUAGGUAGCCUGAAUUAUGGUUCGUUAACCAGAAUGCGGUUUGUUAACCUAUUUUUACGGUUCUAGUUUGGUACAUUGACAUUUUGACCUAGUUUCACUACCAAAAUGGACUGACUGACCUUCUUCAACAUUGUAGACCUUUCUGUUAGCUUCGAAACGGUAUAAAGUUCAUCCAAAUCUGAGUCCCGUAGCUCCAGUUAUGACCAAAACAAGAUCAGUUGUCAGAACUGCCUUCGAAUUUGGACAGUUCUGACAGGAAUGUUUGGACCCAUUUUCCUCCAUGCUCUGUAUCGAUUCAGCUUCUAGUCUAAACAUGAAAGUUAUAUCCUUAUGUCCUAGCUUUCCAACGCCUUUGGAAUUUCUUGAUUUAGAUUUGUGAGCUGUGAGUUAUGGUCCAGCAAACAAACCCUGUUCGUCACCCUAAGACGUAAGUUUCUGGUACUGUUUUCCAUAAUUUCGACCUGCUUCCAUUCAGAUCUAGAUUAAGGUGUCUUCAGGAGAAUUGUAUCUCUUCCUCAUAGCUUCAAAAUGGUGUCUCGUUCACCUUGGUCCGACAUUCCUAGCCUAACUUUUGAUCAAAACGGUUGGAGAUGGCAGAUUUGGCCAUUUCCAUUUGCCGUUCCGCGAGCACGCGUGCACCCAUUUUGCCGUUUCCGCACUUGCAUGUGCCGAUUUUGCCGUUUUGCUUGUUUUGGGCAUGUUAGUGGCCGUUUGUGAUAAUAUGUGAUACAAUCUUCUAUUCCAGACAGUGGUGAGCUAGUCGGAGCCGGUGGGGCCCACUACUAGCGAACACGCGCGAAGUGCUUUUGCUCUUGUACUACUUUUGUAUUUUGAGUAAGUAUUCAGGCCGUUUAUGUGUAUAAACUACUUAUGUGUUUUGAUGUGAAAAGGGGGACUUAGGCGAGGGUGUACUUUAUCAUACUCGACCUAAACCCUAGUUUGUACCUAUGUUUCUCCAUGAGAUGUGUAUAUAUGAAUUAUUUUGGGUUUGAACCCCUUGAACUUGGAGCUCGGGGUGACUUUCAUGAGUUCGUGAAAUAUGUUGAAGUUGUGGGUCCGAUCUCAAGAUCUGGAUGGACUAUUCGAGCCGGGCGGGGCUUGGUCGGAGCCAGUCCAACCUAGUCUGAGGUCACCAAGUUCGUAGGUUCCCGUUGUGAACCAAGUUUGUGACCCGAGCUUGUGACUCAAGCUCAAGUUUGUGAUUUCAUUCGCCCGGGCAAGUUUGUGAGGUGACUGGCCAGUAAGGGUGAUAAGGUGUUUGGUGGGUGUACAAGUGGAGUUCUACGGACCUUAUUUAUGGUCGACGGAGUGUCGACAGGAGAUCACGCAUGGCAAAUGACUUGGCUUUGGAGCCAACCUGUAUCCUUCCUUUGUAUUGUUACUUUUGUGCUUGACUUGACAUUUUGUGAAAUAGUUGUUUCUUUAAAUGUGAAAUUUACGCUUUUACCCCUAUUUACUUACUAAGCUUCUAGCUUACCCCUUUUCCUUUGUUUUCCUUAGCAGGGGACGACGCGGGGAACUUCUUGGCACCUUCAUUAGUUUAGUUAGGUUUGAUUGUAAUAGUCGGACAGUUAAGAUGUUUGUUUUUGUUUUGGUGGUUUGUAUAAGGACCCUCCUUAGGGUCUACCUUCUGCUGGUUGUUAUUAUAAUGUAUUAGAGUAGUUUGACUCGAUACUUUUGAAGAUGUAAAUAGAACUCUUUUGGCGUCAGAUAUAUUGUGAAUAGUACGCUUGUGGGUUUAUGUAGUUUUAUUGUUUUGAAAUUUUGAGUCCUGGCGCGAGCUAGGCAGGCGUCCCGCCGAUACCUUAGAGUUCGCCCUUGGGAGAAGCGGGGCGUCACAAAUGCAUUUUCAAAUGAUUGGAAGAAUAAGGGGAAUGACAGGGGAAUGAACGAACGAACGAAGGUAUGGCUCCUUGUGAGCCCGUGUCCUUUUAAUAAAUGUGUUAUUAUCGCUUUCCAUUGUAAAUGUUUCUUGAAUUAUUGAUACUCUAUGUUUAAUGUAUUGGAUUGAUUGUUUGAUUAUGUGUUUGGAACCUCACUGAGCUUUUAGCUCAUCCCUUUAGUUUUGUUUUCCUUAACAGGGGAAGGCGAGUCAGGACGAGAGAUUUGUAUCGACUAGCCUAGUCUAGUUUCUUGAAUUUGGUAAUGGUUCUCGCCCUAGUGCGUGGCACGGGCUGGAUGUAUGCAGAUUGAGAACCUUUGUAUAUUUGAUGGUUGUACUCCCUUUUGAGAUAGCAAUGUAUAUAAGUUUUGUUUUAAGUUUUGGAUCGUUGUUAUGUUUAUUCUUGUGGGUUUAUUCUGGUUUUGAUUGAGGAUUGAAGUGAACGACUGAGUCCCGGUGAGAGUUGGGCAGGCGGUCCGCCGAACCCUUUGGUUCACUUUAGGGGGAGGUGGGGCUGUCACAAAGAUGGUACCCUAAAAAAGUUUCCAUUAUGGUGCUACUCUAAAAAAGGAAAAAGAAAAAUAAUAAAAACUCCAUCACGGUAGAGGGCAUAUAUGAAAAAAUUCAUCAAAACAUCAGGGUAAUAUUUGUCUCGACAUAAAACUCAACAAGGAAUGAUCUUUCACUGAGUCAAGACAUUUGUAGCUUUCCAAGAUAUGAACCGGCCAAUCCUUGCGUAUACCAGGAAGUCACAACAUAUUGGCACGAGGAAAAAGCAAUAUACUGGACCUUUAUGAUCAACGAUACUGGAUCCUAGUUUUAAAAUACUUGUCUAUAAGUGGGGGAAAGUGAAGAAAUUUAACUUUUAGUCAUGUUUCUUGCAUAAGUUAAAACUCAAGUAAAUGGUCAAAAUGAUCACUAAACUAUUAAAAAUGUUCAUCGAUUUUUUUUAAGCAAAAAAAGUUACUCAACUCCCUAAAAUGAGCCUCUAUGAUCAUUUUGACCAAUUUAGCCUGUAAAUCGAGAUCCUAUUCUUGCUAACAUAAUUUUUUAUUAAAAAAAACCAAACUUUAGGGGUGGAUCCGUACUUUGGCUAAACUUCAUAGGAGAUAAAUACAAAAAAAAAAAACCACCAACAACAUCAUCCUUCUCCUCUUCCUCCUCCACCACUACCACCUACUCACCCAAAGCUAUUGUUUCACAACACCACCACUGCACCCUCUCCCCUCCCCUUCCUUCCCCUCCUUUAAAAUGUUCAUUUUAGAGAGUUGAGUGACUUGUCAAAAGAAAAGUUCGGUGAUCAACUCAUGCCAAUUUGUAUCCUACAAUCACCAUUUUAACCAAUCACUCCAAAAUAUAUGUCGUUGCUUCCAUAACUAUGGAAACUGAAUGCAUUAGGCAUGGUGCUUAGGCCCACAACCGCUGGUAGAAAAAAAAUGGAUUGAUAUAUAUACCCGAAAUCAUAUGUUACUAAUGAUUAAUUUGACUUCAGAAUAAUUGUGAUUUUUGGUCAUUAGGCCAAACAUAAGAUGCAAUUUUAACUACAGUGCAUCUUGGUUGCAAGAUAAGAGUUCAAACAUUUGUACCUUAAAUCCACUGAAUGCUAAACAAUAACAUUUAAUACAUAGACCCACAACAGUUGGAAGAAAAAAAAUGAUUGGUAUAUAUCUGAAAUCAUAGGUUUUUUUUUAUUUUUAAAUAUUUUCAGUAGGGGAGGAGUGAGAUUUAAGAAGUAAAGAAGAGGCAAAGGAAUUUGAACCCAAAAUCUUUGAUUCCUGGCAUCUCAAUCUAAUCAUAGGUUAUUAAUCUGUUUCUCCACUUAUUUAUCGAAGUCAACGUCAUUUUACUAUGGGAGGAUCCAACUGCAAAGGAACUAAAGAAAGCUACAUAGUCCCUACCUAUGCUUACAAUGCAUAAGACGAAAUUUGAUUUGCACUCGUUUUCUCAUUUUUGUCUGCCUCCUUAGGAACAUAUUUGUAAUUUGUGAAAAAAAAUCUGGCCCAACUCUAUUGCAUCUAGUAUAAAUGAUUUAUGCCUUAUGGGUUGAUAAAAUUACAGUUUUGUCAAUUUUGUGUUUGCAGAGGCCCCGUCCCGGACCUAGACGCGUGGCAGCCCAGCAAGGGCAGAGCUGGGCCUGGACCGCAGGCCCCUGGCACUCGUCCUGGGGGCUCACCGCCACUAGAGCUCUGAGUGGCUCCAGGGAAUAAUCCCUCAGAGGGCGGGGAGGAUCCCUCUCUGGGCGGGAUUGAGGCUAUAUCUGGCAGGUCCCGAAGCGUACGGAGGUCAGACCCUCACGCAGGUAUAAAUGGUAACGCACACCAACUACACAAGGUACGCUCACAUUAGCACAUUACCCCCAGCUGCUUUACUCCCCGUAAACUUCAUUCACCAGAGAACUAACUUGACCGUCGGAGUGCCCUCGGGGACGACCUUGGGGCCCCCUUGUUAGAUCACUCUCUUAUUAGUCUUGCAGGCUUGGAACCAGCUCUUCCCAUCAGCACGCCGAGCUAGUCAGGUCAGCUCGGUCCGGGGAAGCUCAGCACUUCUUUAGUUGGCGCCGUCUGUGGGAACGAGAGGUAAGUGCAGUUGCGUUGAUGGCGAGAAUGCAUUCCAAGCAGACCGUGGAGAGCGCCGGCCUUGGAGCCGGUGAGGGGUCCCGGCAAAUGGAGACCGGGAUGGAUCCGGGCGCUGGGGACUCAGCCCUGUCAGGGGAACGGAGACAGUAUAUUUUCCAGUUCAUGACGGAGAACCUCCCCAUGUUGGAAGACAUCAUCCGGCAGGCGAAGGAGAGGGGCGAAGCUGGUGGCGCAUAGACCUCCAAGGUGAAGGGGAAAGAAAACGAACCACUUCCCGACCCCUCGGAGGAUGAGUCACGUGACCAGCCCCCAGAAGGAAAUGGCCACGGACUCCCCCUCGCCCCGAGUCUCAGUGGUCGGGGAUAACGAAAGGUACUCCCGCGGCAGGUCUGCGGGGAGUAGGCCGAGAAACCCCUCCCCGCGCAAACUUGUGUGGAACGAGCCUGAUCGCUCUCCCGACCGAUCUAUUAAGAGCCGGCCGCGAAACCCUCCCUAGUGGAACCCUGUUCGAGACGAACUCGAGCAGAUCUUGCGGCCACAGUUGUACGAGGACAACUACACCACCUCGCCCUUCCCCUGGGAGAUAGAGGAUUACCCACUACCCCGGAGGUUCAAGAUCCCGAGCAUUGAGAUGUAUGACGCUUCAACCGACCUGGAAGACCACCUCUCGGUUUUCCUGACGCACAUGCGUCUGAAAACAGCCGCGGAUGAAAUCUGCUCCAAGACCUUUCCCAUAUUCCUAAAGGGGAAGGCUCAGCUCUGGUUUCAAGGUCUGGCACCGAGGUCUAUCCGGAGUUUUCCUGAACUGGCCAGACAGUUCGUCGCCCAAUUCGUUUGCUCGAAAGCUUAUUCGAAGAAUGUGACUCACCUAAUGGCUAUCAGGCAGAGGCCCGACGAGUUACUGAGGAAUUUCAUGACCCAUUUCAACGCGGAGAGUUUACAGGUCAGGGACAAAGACGAAAAGGUGGUCAUGGCCGCCUUCAUGAAUGGGCUCAGGGUAGAGGAGCUCUUCUACAAGUUGGCCGAGAAGCCUCAUGGAAAUCUGGAGGAGCUCUUGACCAGGGUGCACGCGGCCGCUAAUGCAGAGGAGGCGGGCCGCCUGAAGAGAGAGUCAGAUCGGGAGCUCGGAGAUCGGAAAGGACGGGAAAAUUCCCCGAGAACAAGGAUGGUCCGGCCAAGAAGAACGUCUUUGACCGGCUCUCGAGGGAGAAAACCCCUGCUCCGCCACCACUCCCGGAGAAAGGCUACACCCCCUUGAUUCGGCCUAGAACUCAGAUCCUGGCUGUUAUGGAGGCGGAAGGCCUGGGAGGCCAGCCGCCCAAGAUGGGGACACCUCGGAACAAAAAGAUCCAGGACCGGUACUGCACUUUCCAUCGCGACAUCGGACACGACACGAAGGGGUGUUGGGCCUUGCGGAAGGAGAUCGAGGAUCUGGUCCAGCGCGGCUUCUUGGGACGAUUCGUGCGGCAAUGUCACCCCGGCCAGGAGCCCGGACGCACCUACCGCGGAGAUCGAGGUGAGGGCCGGCAUCGCGACUGCCCUGAGCAGCGUGACGCGCUUCGUGGCCACUCCCCCGAUCAGGACACCCAGAACCUAGCGGGGGUGAUAAACAUCAUCGCUGGGAGUCCCACGGGGGGGGACAGUCAUGCAGCUCGGAAGAACUGACGACCUCCCCCGGGGGAAUGUUUCCUUGAAGCGCUUACGCGUGGAUGAGGAGAUCACUUUCGGACCAAGGGAUGUAGUUCCCCUAGCGUCCGGGAACCACGAGGCCAUCGUGAUAGACAUUGUCACCAACAACUAUCGGGUGAAGAAGGUGUAUAUCGACCAAGGGAGUGCGGUUGAUAUUAUGUUUUAUCGGGUGUUCAAGGAGCUCGGCUUAGAGGAUGGGCAGCUGACCCCGGUUCGGACAUCCCUUGUGGGCUUCACUGGACUGCCUAUCAACCCGGAGGGAAUGAUCACCCUGAUGGUCACGGUAGGGCAGGCCCCCAAAUGCCGGACUAUCCCUGUCAAUUUCGUGGGGGUCAAGCAACAAUUCCCGUACAAUGUGUUCCUGGGUCGGCCUGCUUUGAACGCCCUCCGAGCUAUUCUUUCCACGCUCCACCUCAGCGUCAAAUUCCCUACUCCGGGAGGGGUAGCCGAGGUGCACGGUGAUCCAAAGAUGGCCAGGGCUUGCUACUUGGCCAUGCUUCGGGGAUAGGAGAAGGUGAUUGCCCAGACGACCUGCUUGGAGCCAUACAUUCCAGGGGAGGAGGCCCGGCAGCUGGGCACCGAGGACGAGAUGGGGAGGUGCCCAGGUGAUCCGCAUCGGCGCGCUGCUGCCCCCGGAGGAGAAGGAGGGUUUGAAGGCCCUGCUAAGGGAAUACUCCCAGGUCUUUGCAUGGACGGUUGAGGACAUGCCCAGGAUUUCGACCGACCUGGCAGUCCACCACCUCAAUGUGGAUCCUCGUUUCAAGCCGGUGAAGCAGAAGAAAAGGAGUUUCGCCCCGGAGAGGAACAAGGUGAUCAAGAAGGAGGUCGGCAAGCUACUGGAAUCCAAGAUCAUCCUGGAGGUACAUUACCCGACCUGGUUGGCCAAUCCCGUCCUGGUGAAGAAGGAGGACCAGUCGUGGAGGAUGGUGUGUGGACUUCACAGAUCUCAAACAAGGCCUGUCAAGGACUGUUUUCCCCUGCCAAGGAUCGACAGGUUAGUAGACUCUACUGUGGGUUUUGAUGUUUUGUACUUUUUGGAUGCCUUCAAGGGAUACCACCAGAUAGAGAUGGCUGAGGAGGACCGGGAAAAGACUUCCUUCAUCACCGAGGAAGGAACUUACUGCUACCGGACCAUGCCAUUUGGGCUGAAAAAUGCUGGAGCUACCUACCAGCGCCUGGUCAAUAAACUGUUCCAAAAUCAGAUCGGUAGAAGCAUGGAGGUCUACGUGGACGACAUGAUCGUCAAAAGCCGAACCGACCAGCGGCUCAUUCCAGACCUGAGGGAAAUCUUGGAUAUCCUGUGGGAGAGCCGGAUGCGACUGACCCUGAAGAAAUGCACCUUCGGGGUCAGGUCGGGAAGGUUCCUGGGAUUCUUGUGUCCCGAGAAGGGAUCCGAGCCAACCCGGAUAAGCUCCAGGCUAUCAUGGACAUGGCCCCUCCGAGGAACGUAAAGGAGGUCCAGCAGCUUACGGGGAGGAUGGUUGCCCUGAGUAGGUUCCUCUCGCGUUCUGCGGUCAGGGGGCUGCCUUUCUUUCGAAUCCUGAAAGCUCCCAAAGACUUUGAAUGGACUGAAGAAUGCCAGAAAGCCUUUGCUGACCUGAAAGCAUAUCUGGCCGACCUGUCUACCUUGACCGCCCCGGAGCAGGGAGAAACCCUGUUCCUAUAAUUGUCUACCUGCAACGAGGCCGUCAGCGCGGUUUUGGUGCGGGGGACAGGGGGCUCAGAGGCCAAUAUACUACGUCAGCCGAGCUUUGCAAGGGCCGGAAACGCGAUACACGCCGGCGGAGAAACUGGUCCUUGCCUUGGUGCACGCGGCCCGUACGCUCCAACCUUACUUCCAGGCCCAUAGCAUCGUCGUCAUAACGGAUCAGCCCCUACGGCAGAUACUUACAAAGCCCGAGGUCUCGAGCAGGAUGACCAAGUGGACUGUCGAGCUGGCCGAGCACGACGUCGGCUAUCAGCCUCGCACCGCUAUCAAGGAUCAGGCCUUGGCAGACUUCCUUGCUGAGGGGGCUAGCUUGACCCUGACCGAGCCAAGCCCUUUGUGAGAGGACAUACGGCCGGAGGAGCCAUGGGUGCUAUUAGUAGACUGGGCCUCGAGUAAGGAAGGAAGCGGAGCCGGUCUGCUGCUCACCUCGCCCACUGGGGAAGAGCUGACCUACGCGCUCAGAUUUAGUUUUCCGGCAUCCAACAAUGAGGCUGAGUACGAGACCCUAUUGACAGGAUUGCGGAUAGCCCACCAGAUGGGUAUAACCGCGAUCAAAGUCCGGAGCGACUCUCAGCUCGUCGUCCACCAAGUUCGCGGGAAAUACGAGACCAAGAAGGAUGUCAUGAAGAAAUACCUGGCCAAGGUGCAGGAGGCAAUCGCCCUGUUCGACACUUUUGAAAUCGAGCGGGUGCCGAGAUCACAAAACAAGCGUGCGGACGCCCUAUCGAAACUGGCGUCCUCCUCGUUUGCACACCUGAGCAAGGAAGUCUUGGUAGAGUUGGUCAAACAAAAAAGUAUCGAUCAAGUCUAGGUCUUGGCUAUAGAUAGCCCAGCCACCUGGAUGACUCCUCUCAUCGACUUCCUUAGCUCGGGUGCCCUGCCAGGGGACAGGACCGAGGCCCGCCGACUUCAGCUCGGAGCUGCUAGGUACGCCUAUGCCGGGGGAACCCUCUACAGGAGGUCGUAUCUGUCCUCCUGGCUAAAAUGCGUGACUCCAGAGGAGGGCGACUACAUCCUUCGUGAAGUUCACGAGGGCUUAUGUGCGGCCCAUGUGGGAUCCGAGUACUGGCCAAAAAAGUGCCUUCUCCUAGACUCCUAUUGGCCCUCGGUGUUCCAAGAUGCCGCGGCCCUGGUUCAGAAAUGCAGAGCUUGCCAGGUGCACGCCCCACUACGUCACCAACCAGCCCGGGAAAUGGUCCCCAUCUAUAGCCUCUGGCCCUUCACCCAGUGGGGGAUAGACCUCCUGGGACCUUUCUCUCGAGCCCGGGAAGAUACGAGCACCUCGUGGUAGCCAUCGACUACUUCACGAAGUGGAUGGAAGCGGAGCCUCUGGCCACUAUCUCUGGGAGAGCAAUUCAAAAAUUCUUCUGGAGGAACAUAGUCUGCCGCUUCGGGAUUCCGCAUGUCUUAAUAUCCGACAACGGGCGCCAAUUUGCCGAAAACCCCUUCAAGAGCUGGUGCGCCGAGCUCGGGAUCAACCAGCACUUCACAUUGGUCGGCCACCCACAGGCCAACGGCCAAGUGGAAAGCGCUAACCGAACCAUUCUCCAAGGACUAAAAACUAGGCUGGAACUGGCCCAGUCUAACUGGCUAGAUGAACUCCCUAGUGUCCUCUGGGCUUACCGCACUAUGCCCAGGACGGCCACCCACGAGACCCCGUUUUCUCUGACUUACGAGGUAGAGGUGGUGGUACCCGCGGAGAUCGGUCUCCCCUCGCCUCGGACACAGAACUUCGUUGCGUCAUCCAACGAGGAAGAGCUGAGAUGUAGCUUGGACAUACUGGAGGCCAAGCGUGAGGAAGCGGCGAUACAGAUGGCUAAGUAUAAAAGCCAGCUUGAUGAGAAUAUAAAGACCAAGGCCCAUUCAAGCACAUGGGGAAUUGAAAGAUUCAAACGAAGACUAGUUGAUUGCACGAAUGCUUGAGUUUAGUAGGAUUAUUUGAUUUUCCUCGUUGAUUUUGGUUAUUUCUUGCUUUAGAAAGUCUAGGAAAUUAAACUAGUUUAAUUGCGGCCCAUUUGUUAGUAAGUAAGGCCCAAAAUCUUUCUUAAGUAUGUAGGGUAGUUUGGUCAACUUUUGGAUUAGGGUUAUUGCUUGUAAGGGCUAUAAAUAGCCCUACUUCCUCUUUGUUUCAGAUCAGUUUUUUUGGCUAGUAAAUACAAUUAGUGAGUUUUCACUUUCUCUUUGGCAAGAGAGUUUCCUUUGAAUACUUGAGAAUCUUCUCAAGUUAUUCACCCGAACUUAUCAAUCGAGUAUCUCCUUGAUUGUGGCGUUCUACUACCUCCAAUUUGGUUCGUUAAUUCGAGUAGUUACGGGUUGAGAUAAUAUCAAAAUUGUUCGUGACUUCUAGGGAUUAGUUGGGUCAAAUUUCCGCUGCCUAAGCCAUGGUGUUUUGGUUGUCUAGAUCGGGGUUUCACAUCACAGCUCGCUCGCUAUCACAACGCCAAAGUGAGGAACAUACAGUACCAGCCGGGAGACCUUGUCUUAAGAAAAAACUCGGUCAGCAGAGCUCAUAACUCCAACAAGCUCGACCCCAAUUGGGAGGGACCGUACAAGGUCCUGGAAGCGAGCCGGGCUGGUUACUGCAAGCUCGCGAAAAUGGAUGGAUCAGAGCUACCCCGCACUUGGCACUUCUCGAAUUUGCGAUUGUUCGUAGGAUAAACUAGGCCAGGAUGUCUUAUUGUCUGUUCUUCGGAACCCACAUACAAGUUCAUCAUUAAAUAAAUGUUCGAUUUUCAAGUUUUAAGUUCUUCGUUAUCAAUGCUGUUUAAUUUUUUUUUUUAGUUUAAGUCCUACACCAGCACACUCAAACAAUGCUAAAUGUCCUAGUGAGGGGCUGGGGUAAUGGACAGAGGGCCUUGAAAGCCCGAUGCUCGGCUCCAAGAGGUCGGCACGGAGGUCCGAAAGUUCGGCGCUCGACCCAGGAGAUCGGCACGGCUUCAAAGUUUAUGCUCGGCCCCAGGAGGUCGGCACGGCCCCAAGAGGUCGCGCGGCUUAAAGCUUCAAAAUCUGGAAGUUCGAUGGUGCUCAACCCCAAGAGGUCGGCACGGAUGAAUGAUCGACCCCAGGAGGCCGGCACGGCUUGAGGCUUUAAAAUCUGAAAGCCUGACGCUCGGCCCCAAGAGGUUGGCGCGGCGUGAACUAUUUUGGAUUUGUUAGAAUUCGAGAGUUCGACGUUCGACCCAGGAGGUCGGCAUGAAUGCCUUCAAAGUCAAACAUUCGACCCAGGAGGUCGGCAGGAAUAUCCUUAAAGUCUGGUGCUUAGCCCCAAGAGGCUGGCACGUCACCUUGAUGGGUCUAUUUGGUGCUCGACCCGGGAGGUCGGCACUUGGUUUUGAUAGCCUAAUUGCCUUUGACAAUUUAGCUGUUAGAUUAAAAAGGGGGUAUAUUUGGUGCUCGACCCAGGAAGUCGGCACAUGGCUUUGGUUGCUAGAGUUUGGCGCUGGCGAGAAUUGCAAGGUAGUUUCCUUCGAGUUUUAUAUAUGUAUUCAAAGCCUAUCUAUUACAAAACUCCAAGUCGGUAGUUUCCUUCGAGUUUUAUGCAUUCGAAGCCUAUCUAUUACAAAGUUGCAGAGGCCCCGUCCCGGGCCUAGACGCGUUGUAACAUCCCGAAUAUUAGGAGGUUGUUUGUGAAGAAAAUAUUAAAGUAUAUUUCUUCGGGUUUGAUUUAAAACCUUAUUUCGUUUUAAACGACUAGAAACCCUAAUGUUUUAAUCAAAAACCCUAGUUUACUUGUGACUAAACGGUUUCUUAAAUCUUUCAUAUUUUACUAGAGAUUCUAAUGUUAAUUAUUGAAAUUGUAAAUUCCUCACGUUUUCUUAAAAAAUUUCCUUUUAUUUGAAAAUUAUUAUUUAUUAAGGCCCUACUACCCAAUUGUUCAACAAUAAGUGCAGAUGAACCUGGAAAUAGGGUUUUACACUUCGGUUUCAAGAUUUGAGCAAAAUUAGGGUUUUCGCGGGAGUAUGAGCUAGAACUUGAGAGGAAAAAGCGAGAGAAAAGUGAGGAAGAAAAAGGAGAGAGUAGGGCCGAAACCCUAGGAAAGAAAAAGGCAACAAGUGGGUCGGCUAUGAGAGAAGAAAAUAAGGGGAAGCUAAGCUUGCUAGCAAAAGCCAAAGAUGUAAGGCGAGCUUUGUCUUCCAACCAACUCUUACUUAUGCUUGUGUGCAAAGAAGAGUUGGUCAAUUCAUCCAUACCUACUGACUCCUUGCCUUCUACUAUUUUACCUCUCUUGCAGGAAUUUGAGGACAUAUUUCCUGAGGAUGUACCUGAUGGACUACCACCGCUAAGGGGAAUCGAGCACCAAAUCGAUCUCAUUCCUGGAGCACCAUUGCCUAACAAACCAGCCUAUAGAAUGGGUCCUGAGGAAACAAAGGAAUUGCAAAGGCAAGUGGAGGAAUUGCUAAGGAAAGGUUGGGCUAGAGAAAGUCUAAGUCCAUGCGCUGUACCAGUGAUUCUCGUGCCAAAGAAAGAUGGAGCGUGGAGAAUGUGCACCGACUGUCGAGCAGUCAAUGCAAUCACGGUAAAAUAUCGUCACCCUAUCCCUAGGUUAGAUGAUAUGUUAGAUGAAUUGCAUGGUGCCAUUAUAUUUACUAAAAUUGAUUUGAAAAGUGGUUACCACCAAAUAAGAAUGAAAGAGGGAGAUGAGUGGAAAACCGCUUUCAAAACUAAACAUGGUCUAUACGAGUGGUUAGUAAUGCCAUUUGGUUUAACUAAUGCACCUAGUACCUUCAUGCGUUUAAUGAACCAUGUUUUGAGACCUUUUCUUGGGAAAUUUGUUGUGGUAGAUAGGUUCUCCAAAAUGGCUCACUUUAUUGCAUGUCAUAAGACGGAUGAUGCUUUACACAUUGCUGAUUUAUUCUUUAAAGAGGUUGUUCGUUUGCAUGGCAUACCUAGGACUAUAGUAUCUGAUAGAGAUGUCAAGUUUUUGAGCUAUUUUUGGAAAUCUUUAUGGGGUCGGUUGGGAACCAAACUGUUGUUCUCUACCUCUAGUCAUCCUCAAACGGACGGACAAACUGAGGUAGUCAAUAGGACUUUAUCCACACUCCUACGUGCAAUCAUAAAGAAAAAUAUCAAGUCAUGGGAGGAGUGUCUACCUCAUGUUGAGUUUGCAUACAAUAGGGCUGUGCAUAGUGCUACACAAUUCUCGCCUUUUGAAGUUGUGUAUGGUUUGAACCCCUUAACUCCCUUAGAUUUGUUGCCAUUACCUUCUUCUGAGCAUAUGAACUUAGAUGGCAAGAAGAAAGCUGAAUUCGUGAGAUCAUUACAUGACAAGGUUCGUACCAACAUCGAGAGGAGGACGGCCCAAUAUGUCCAACAAGCCAAUAAGCACAGGCGCAAGCUUGUCUUUGAACCAGGUGAUUGGGUCUGGUUACAUUUGCGCAAGGAGAGGUUUCCAAAACAACGGCAAAGCAAGCUGUCACCACGAGGAGAUGGGCCUUUUCAAGUUAUUGAGCGCAUCAAUGACAACGCAUACCGCUUAGAUCUGCCUGGUGAGUAUACUGUUAGUGCUACAUUCAAUGUUGCUGAUCUAAUUCCAUUUAUUGCAGGGGACGAGUACGAUUUGAGGGCAAAUCCUUUUCAAGAGGAGGGGAAUGAUGCGGUUGAGCACGAGGCCCAAAGUGUACAAGUAAACCCUGUGAAGGUGCCCCAAGGCCCAGUGACACGAGGACGAGUUAAGAGAUUCAAGGAGUCCCUCCAAGCCUUGGUACAUGCCAUCCAAACCCAAGAGAAACCGGGCAUUGAAGGAAUUGAGUUGGAACAUCCUUGCACGACUACUAAAAUGCUGCUUACAAUUGAAGAUGCAAGUGUUCAAGCUCCAAACGGCGGGCUGAGCUGCAGUUAAGUACCCGAGGCCUAUGAUCUAUAGUUAGUUGGGCUAGCUUUCGGUCAAGUGAAGGCCCAAGGGGCUGGCCGAACUUUCCUUGUUAUUUUUCCAGUUUAUUAGGUCUUAGUCACGGCUAUUAAUAGCUUCAAGCCGCAUGUUACAUUCAGUUUUUGAGAGUAUUGAAUAAAAUUUUCAGAAUUUCGUCCAUUCCUUGUGGCAAAUUCCCUUAGCUUGUGAAAGCUAAGUUGAACAUCCUAGAGUUGAUCCUAGGCUGUUCUUGACUUAUCAAUCAAGCACACAUACUUGAUUGUGGCGUCCUCUACCGUUAAAUCUGUUCUUGAGUGGUCCAAGUUCAGGUUCAACUCCAUCCAAUCUUCAUCGUGUUCCUCUAGAUCCGAAGUUGCUUCCGCGUCUCGCAUCAUUAUUUCUGCUAGUUCCUUACAUUUUCGUGCAUUUCAUAGGCUAAAGUUGUUUCUUUUUCGCCGUUUUUCUAUGUUUGGGUAUAGCCAGGGCUGAUGGCUCUUGCUUUUCUUACCAUUUUGUUUCUAAAAUCUAUAGUCAACUCUGUCUUUUUUCUUUUGCAUUUCAUCCGACACUCUGGUUUCAUGUCUGGGUUUUGUUAUUCGAAGAAGGCUAAGGUUUACUUCUGUUGGGGCUGAGAAAUCCGUAGGUUUGGUCUAGUUUUGGGGACGGAAGUUUGGGGUCUUUUCUAUAGGUUUUAGCUGAUGGGUUUGUUCGUUCACAGCUGUUGCUUUGCUCGUCUUUGUGCGCAAUCUGGGUUGGAGAAUUCUAGGGAAUGCAUAGUUUAUGGUUGGGUCUUGAUGAUAGGAUGCAUAAGGUGUUGUUUUGGUUCGAGAGAUUGCCAUUCGUUUGAAUUUUGUUGGCCGCAUAUGUCCUGAAUCCCAUUGUUGGAAGUUGCAAAAAAAAAAAAAAGUUGCUGGAAAAUGGAUUUUAGCUUGCCGAAAGUUCUUAUUGCAUGAUUUGUGUUGGGUUGAGUCCUGUGGAAGUAGUUGGUAGGCCUGCAUUUCCAUUUGAGUUCAUGAUUCACAGCUGUCUUCCUGCAUAGUUGAAAGCUGGAAAUUGCAGAAAAAUUUCAGGAGUUGCCGAAGACUUUAUUACAGAAAGUUUACUUUUUCCGUAGCUUGCAUGGAGUUGGCCUAGAAAUUUUUCAUUCAAAAAAACCCUUUUAAACUAUACUUUAGGUCAAAUUGUCGUAUUUUCAAGUCCCAUUUAGACCCAUGUUUGUCAUUUUCUUUUUAAAUUUAAAAUUCAUUUUCCAAUCAAAAAUUGAAUCAAAAGCCAUUUUCCUAAACUCGUCUUUUAUUUUUCUUUAUUUAAAAAAUGGGGCGCGACAUCUCUUGGCGGGUUGUGGGUAUUUUCAAACUGACCAAGAGACAUGUGAGCUGAAUUAUCAUAACCAUGACGUCUGCGAGUAUCAUUCAAUCAAAGAGGGCCAAUGUGUGGUGGCGUUCGAUUUGAGGAUUCAUACUACCAACCCUUGUUCGUGUCAUUCAUUUCCAUCCAUAUUUGAGGACAAAUCCUUCUCAAGUGGAGGGGACUGAUGUGUGCAUGGGUGGCGGGACCUUGAAGGUUUAAAGGAUGUUAAUCAAGUUACCUACACAUUGAUCCAAGCCCACGAGGAGCCAAGUGAUGGUUGUUAGUUUGGGCUCUAGCCCGCUAGUUAGUCUUUGUAGUUUUUCCAACUAAAGGGAGUCGGCCACCUGGUGGGCCUUUUUUAGUCUUGAACCGUCAAGUUAUUGUUUGGAUUAGUUACUAGUUGUAAGGCUUGUUGAGUCAUGGAUUUGGCCCACCUUGUCCAAGGAUGGCCGAACCCCUUUUCCCUUUCCUUUAGUCAUUAGAUUUUCAUUAGUCCUUUAGCCUAUAUAAAGGCUUGCUUUGUAAGGUUUUAGGGUAGACGUUUCAUCAAUAAAGUUUGAUUAUUUUCGAUUCAUCUUGUUAAGAGAGAUUCGAGCCUUCUACUUGCUUUGGCAAGGGUUAUUGAGCAAUCUUGCAUCUUGUCCUUGAUUGUUCUACCGACUUGUCCACUUGAGUAACCACCUCGAUUGGAGUCGUUGUUCUACCGUCUUAAACCAACUCGUGUCGUCCGUGUUGGUUUUAAGACCCGCAAUCCAAGCGUAGGACAAUCUCGCUAGAUCCUUGGACAAACAUGCUACGUGUCUCGAAACAAGUUGAUCAAGGACCGUAUCCUAGGUUGUUUCUUGACUUAUCAAUCAAGUACACACACUUGAUUGUAGCAUCCUCUACCGUCGAGUCCGCUCUUGAGUGGUCCAAGUUUGGGUUCGAUUUCAUCAACUUUGUAACGUGUCCUCUAAGGUCUAAGGUUUGCUUUCGCGCGUCGUCUCCUUGGUUCCUGUAGAUCAAGGAUCACAUCAGUUGGUAAUCUGAACUAGUUAGAGGUAUCACGUAUAUCCCCUUUUCUUGUUUUUGCAUCUGUUUUCGUCCUCCAAAAUUUGUAGCGACAGUGUUAGGGUUUGUGUUGGGUCGUUGGUUUCUUGUUGUCAAGUCCGAAAUUUGUUUUGCUUAUUUUCAUUGUCGUGUUUGUUUUCUUAGUUGUUGUCCGCCUCUUUAAUCGUGUUUGCACAAGUAUUCUAUCCACAGUUCAACCGUGAAUCUGGUCUAGUUGUGUUAGAGUUGUGGAGUCGCAAAACAAAACAAAAAAAAAAAACAUAUUGUGGCAACUAGGGUUUUGGCCUCUUCUUGUCGCACCUUAAGAUUGAUUUGUUCUUGUGUUGCAAUCUGUCCAGAUUUUCUUGUUCAUCAAUUGCUACUAGUUUUGUUUAGAUUGUGGUAUAAUUCUUGUUGAUUAUUGUUGUUGUUUGGGUCGUGAAAACAGCCUCACAAAAGUAAAAAAAAAAAAAAGUGUCAGAUACCUUAUUGUCCUUGAGUCGUUUGCUGGAAAUUGUUUUUGGGACUGCCGAAUGUGUUUUGUCCUUGUUCUCGGACUUUGUGUUGCAUCUUGCCAAAAACUUGAACACCAAAACAUAUUUGGGGAAGUUCUUGAGCUUCUUGAACGAAUUUCUUGAAAUUCUUGGACCACCAAAGACUACCUUGGGGAAGUUCUUGAAACCUUCCUUCCAAACCGUGGGAGUUCUUGAUACUUGAACCAAUCUUCAAUCUUGUCUUGGCAAAUCUUGAAUUUAGAUCUGAAUUCAAGGAGCUUUUGGAACUGGAAUUACAUUACUUGAAAGAAUCUGUUAAGCCAAAAAAAAGGGAUACAAAAAAAGAAAAGAAAUGAAAAAGAAAAGACAAAAAAAAAGGGAAAGAAAGAUAUUGGCUCUAGUUUCCUAAUUGUGAACCAAGUUCCACCUUGACUCCAACUAAUCCUAAUUCUUUUGGGAUUAAAAGCAGCCAAGAACCCAUCAACCAAAGGCCCAAGUUCCCUUCCAACCAACCUAAAACAGCCUACCUUGUACCCCAAAUCCGUUUCCAAAACCCAAAGCCAACUGCCACACCUUGUAAGCCAAAACAACCUGUAUUCUUGAAUCGGUUGAGUAGUGCAUUGUGAUCCGAUUUGAUUGAAUUUUAAGGACUGACCUAUACACCAAAACAACACCCUUAAAGUACCAAAAACUCAGCAAGCCUUGACCAAAAACAUCAAGAAAAUCGUAGCUCAGAUUUCCAGCAAUAAGUUACUCUUUCUUAGGGUCUUGUCUAGGUUUUCUUAAAAUUUCAGCCUUGAGUUGCUAGUCCAUCUUGUGUCCAGUUCGUUAGUCUUCAUAUUUAAGUCUUGGUUAGCGUGUUCACCUCAUACUUGUCCACUCAUUGCUGCUAUCUUGUGUCACUUGUUGACUAGUCAAGAACUAUCCUUAAGGUGACGCCUAGGUUGUUCAACCCGAGCAACUAGCAAGCUAAGGAAUUGCUUGGUGAGAUUAUUAGAGAGCAGCGAGCGUGAGUUAAACACGAGUGUGAGUGAUCUAUAUAUUGGAUAAAAAAAAAGAGAGAGGUAGUUGCUUUUAUUUGUUUUUUGCAGGUUUACAUUAACAUGUCAAGUGGAAUUGGUGACCAAACAAUGGACCUUAAACUACACAUGGAGGCCAUGAUGGGGGAAUUCAAGCGAAUGCUUAAGAGUUCCAUUGAACCUUUUGUAUGAAAGGAUUGACCAAUUGGAGAACUCUAGGCUACCACCUAAUUCGAGCAAGGGGAGAGAAUCAGCAUACUCAAAUGAUGAGGAGGAAGCGUUUGAGGGGAGGUACCAAACUGAUCAACAUAUACAAAAGUGAGGAAAUGAUGCCAUUAAGGAUGUCAAAUUCAAAAUUCCUUCCUUCCAAGGCAAGUCAGAUCCCGAGACUUACUUGGAAUGGGAAAGGAAGAUCGAGUUGGUUUACGAGUGCCACACUUACACGGAGGAGCAAAAGGUGAAACUUGCAGCCGUGGAGUUCACAGACUACGCCUCCAUUUGGUGGGAUCAACUUCGACUUAGCCAAAGGAGAAAUCGUGAGAGACUCGUGGAGACUUGGGAAGAGAUGAGGAGCCUAAUGAGAAAAAGGUUCAUGCCAAGCUACUAUAGCCGAGAUUUACACCAACGGCUACAAGCUCUCACUCAAAGGUCCAUGUUAGUCGAUGACUAUUACAAGGAAAUGGAGAUGGCUAUUAUGAAGGAAGAUUUACGUGACGAUGGAGAAGCCACUAUGGCUCGAUUUUUGCAUGGUCUGAGGCCUGAGAUUGCCAAAGUAGUGGAGUUCCAACACUACCUCGAUAUGAAUGAGAUGUUGGAGAAGGCUGUGACUGUGGAACGGCGUCUCAAGAGGAGGGGUAGUGUGACGGCCCCACCUCCCCCUAGGGCGUACCCCAGGGUUUAGCGGACCGCCGCCCAACUCUCGCCAGGACUCACUCACUCGUAUCUCAAGAAAAAAAACUAAGAACGUACAUCCAUAGAAAAUGAAUAACACAUCCACUUAAUAUAUACAUUGAUACUCAAAUCCAGAUACAAAGCUUCUACACACCAAAAUACUCCAAAAUGUUUACAAAUCGAGUACAAUCAACCCUAGUCGGGUACUAGCGUGAGUACAUAUUCAAAAUUCAAAACAACUAGGCUAUGCUAGUCUGUACAUGUCUCAUGCCUCGCUCGUACCUCCUGUAAGAAAAACAAAUGGUGUGGAAUGAGCUAAAAGCCCAGUGAGGUUCCAAAUAACAAAUUGACCAUUUUGAAAGUACGAAUAUCAACGUAGCAAGUUAAUGGCAUCAAAAGUUCAUAAGAAUGAACAAUAAUAUUUCAAGUAGCAAAUCUCAAAGUGAGCGAGUGUAAAAGUUUUUCAAAAGAAAUAAUAAUCCAAUAAAUAAUAAUCAUUCCAACGUAUAAGGAUACGGAUGGCUCUCAGGAGCCAAAUUCCCAUCGCAUCACCAGAGUUUGAUCAAGUAAUAGUUGACACUCCGUCAACCUUCAAGUAAGUAACCAAUCCAGUAGAGCAUCACUUACACUACUCUCCGUCCACCAUUCACACCCCUUACUGGGCCCAAAAUCCUCAAUAAACACGGGUGGUAAUACUCAAGUAUACCGAUUAGUCGAGGAGAUAUCACUCCACUCGACAUAACUAACGACCCAUGGUUCGUUAUCUAAUCGACCAAGCCCUUGCCGGCUUGACUCAAUUAACUAGCCAAUGGGGUUUGGGGUCCCCAAAAGUCGAUGAGAUAACACUCCAAUCGACUAAAUUAAAAUAAAAGUACGGAGACGGGAAUGAGAGCCACCUCUCACUCGGAUUGAGUGUGGUACAUACUGCCGCUCCGCACUUACAAUUCAAGUACAAGUAUAUCAAGUUAAUUGCAACAAUUAACAAGUAUAGAUCAUGUUAGGGCAAGUGCGAUAAAGUACACUCUUGCCCAAUCAACAAAUUUCAUAUAAAUUAUGUACAAGUAUUGUGAACAAGUGUCCAGGUCAACCAGGUAUUUGGAAGCACUCACCCAAAAUGCGGUGCCUUUACGAGUUACGUUCGGGUAUUACUCCGUGUGCGGAGUCCAAAUCUGCGAUAAAACAUUGUUUAAGAAUUUUUAAAAGUAACUAAGGCUCGAAACUUAAACGUUCUGCUCAAUAAGAAUCAAGAAAUUGAAAUUCACUUGGAGAAUAUUAGUGAAACAGUCGCUCGCUUUUCAAACUAUAUAACUUUGUAACAUUAUACUUGGAAAUGUCAUUUGAGUCAAAAGUGCAAGGAAAACGUAUUCCGAGCAGUCAUUAUUUUAUUUCUCAAGGGUACAAGUUCAGCCAAGUCCUUACUGAUAGACCUCGAUAAAAGAAGAUGUAAUAUCUGUGAGGACUCGCAAAUUCCUUACAUAUUUCUCAAAAAAUUCCCUUUUAUUUGAAAAUUAUUUGGUAAUUAUUAUUUCAUGUUAUCCAUGGUUCAAUCACCCUAGAAAAGUGCCAAUGACCAUAGGAAAUUAGGAUUUUCCUAUUCGUUUUUAAUUCAAGGUGAAAUCGGAUUUUUCGUGUAACCGCAGUAUAAUUAUCCGGUACCGAGUAAGGAUCAAAUUUGGUGCUUAAGAGUGACUUUUAAGUGAGAAAUAAUAUGUGAAUGGAAGCAAUGAUAAAAAGUUAGUGAAUUGGAAGUAAAAACUCUAGUACGUGCAAUUUAAGAGAAAACGCGUCACACCGACGUGUACCGUGCACUACCGAUUGAACCACCACUUGACCACCACUUUCUUGCCAUACAAGUUUAUUACUAAUGGAGCAAAAUAUCUCCUCUCUCAUGAUGACAUCUUGGCCGAAAUUAAAGGGCUAAAAUGCAAGGAAGGAAAGAGAAAAUUUUUGUGGUGGAAAUCAAGCCAAGUGUUGGCUAAACUUGUGGACACAAUUUGUUCUAAUCUUCUUGUCUUCUUAUAAGACCAAUUAAGCUUCAUUCUUCCCCAAUUUUCUGCUGCAUAGCCGAGCUAGGAGAGAGAGGAAAGGGAGAGCAAGAGAAAACAAAAAUUUCUUCUUGAUUUGCACCAUCCAAGUGCAAGAAACAAAUUCUAAACCGAUUAAAGUGUGAAUUGUGAUCUUGGGAAGCUAGGGAAGCUAAAAUUUUCAAGAGGAAGUGAAGUGGUACUCUUGCAAGCUUUGUUUUUUGAGGUAUGUGCUGCCUAUACUUGCUAUAUGGAUGAUCUAUGUUGUAUCUAAGCUUAGAUAAGUGGUUGUAGUGAUGAUGGGAGCAAGAAAUCAAGAAAGGUUCCAUUAACAAUCAAAAAAAUUCCAGAUUUCUGGAAAUUUCUUUCCCUUUUCUGUCCGGUUUUGUUGCCUCAUUCUAGAGGCCGAAUUGGCCUUAGGUCAAAACAUGAAAGUUGUAGAGAAUGGUAUUUUAUAGUUACCGACAAAAUUUCAGCUCAAUCGGAGCAAUGUAGCUUAUGAAAAGAUGAAACUACCCUCGCUGAUCUAGGUUACUUUCCAGAAUUCUGCGUGGACAGUUUAGUCUCUUUGGUUGUGUUUGUUCACUAUAAUCCGUUCAGAUUUAGCCAAUUAUCAAAACAUUAAAGUUUUAUUACCCUGUAUUAGCUUUUCAACGCCGCCAAGAACGUCUUAAACGGACCUCGGUAGACUGGGAUAUGGUCAUUUGAAUGCAGUGCGGUUAAUUAACCGACUAGUUGGAUUUUGGAUCUGUAAAGUGGGAAUUUGACUAGAUUGCAAUGUAAAUCUGACUAAGUCAUCUUCAUGAGAAUUGUAUAAAUUUGUCUUAGCUUCGAAACGGCAUAAGUUUCAUCCCAAUCCGAUAAGUGUAACUCCGGUUGUGACCGUUAUACAUGAACCCGUCAAAACUGUCUUUUGUCAAAUUGCAUUUCCGCACUUGUUAUUACUUUGAUUUUUGUUCUUAUAUUGUCUUGAGCCUAUGAAACGGCUAUUAUGAUGAGUUUGUGCUGUACAUGACUUUGGGAUUGGCUGCAAAAAAAUCAUGAAGCCAUAAAUGGCUGGAAAAUUAGGUAAACACAAAGGGCAUGCUGCCCAAAUUUCACCCGAAAGCUAAGUUCUAUUUGAACUUGUAUAAUACUAUGACCGUUUUUCCAUCUUAAAAACAUGAUCCCUCUUCAAUUGGAAACUCCAAAUGUUUACUUACUCUUACCAAAUAAAGAGGAGUAGUUUAGGAUUUUCUUGAGUAUUUUGUCCUCUCUUUUUCAUGAAUUUCAUUAAGACAAUUAGUCUAUAAUAUCUACUUGAAUAUGAGAUAAGUUUCAACCAUAUAAACGAUUCCGAAAACGGUAUUUCUUAGUCUAUCUAGUUGGAUUUUGACUUGUCUUUAGUUCAAGUGUUUCCAUUAGAAAAUUUUAUAACCCUUUUGAGUUUGGUUUUAUGUGUGGUCUAUGAAAUCCUAGUUAUUUUUGUCCACGGGUCCAAAUGUCCUCGUUCCACUUUAAAGUCUUUUUAUACGUUCUACUCAUCAUUUGUCGAGCUUCUUUGAUUGCACCUAAUUGUUUGUGAUAAAUGGGUGGUAAUAUUCUUUUCAUUUAAUCUUAGGUUUUCUCGGUGACUAAAGAUAAUAUCCGGAAGGAUAUUUUGCACGUUAUUGUGCGUAAAUAGGUGAGUGUUCUAUAUACCCGUUGUUUUCUGUGAUUAUGUGGAUUGUUGGGACUAUGUGAUUAUUUGUGAAAAUAUGAUUAAAUGUUAAUUGUUUUCUAUGAUCUCUAAAAUGAACUUUUGCAAGGUGAGUGUUCCAUAUAGGAAUACGUAAUUGAAUAAACCUAAGACAUGCUCGUUUCAUGACUAUUAUGUGUUAAGUACAUGGAUUAAGUAUUUACCAUACUCAUGCCUAUAUAAAUAAUGUAUACUUGCAUUGAAUAUCGAUAUGAAUUGGUUAAAUGAUUAACCAUAUCAAAUGACUAUACGAACUCGAUACAUGCUAUAUGAAGUUUUCCAUCAUUGUUAGGCGAGUGUGUACUUUACCUCACUCGACCUAUUCAAUUGAUGAAUUUUACCUUUUGUCGAAUUACUUGGUUACUUGUGCAUGUUGUAAGCUCUAAGCUGAACUUGGGCCCCGCCUCGGUUACUGACCUACUCGAGCCAGGACUGGGCUCGGUCAGGUAGGUUGGAACCCUGGACAACCGUCGGUAUACUCGAGUAUUACCACUGGAGGGAUAAGGUGAUGGCCAGUCAACCGUGGGGAUCCGGAAGUUAUAAGGUGCAGAGGACCGACAAAGUUCCACCGGAACACCGUAUCCUUCAGUAUAUGGUUACCGUGUAUCAUGAUAAUUGUUCCAUGCUAAAAUGCCAACAUGAAAUCAUGUGCUAUACCUGUGAUAUGCUCCAUACCUGUAAUAAGUCCCAACCACUCAUGAACUAUACAUAAGGUUUUCUGGAUUAAUUGUUAUUACAUGACUACUGUUCCUUGUUUAAUUACUUGUUUAUAUAUAUAGAACCUCACUGGGCUUUUUAGCUCAUACCAUGUCAAUUGUUUUCCUUAGCAGGGGAAGGCGAGCAAGGACGAGAGUUCUGUAUAGUCUAGUUGAUCUAAUUCUUUGGCCUUGUAAUGGUUCUCGCCCUAGUGCUUGGCACGGGCUGGUUGUAUGAGGAAUGAGAACCCUUGUAUAUUCGAUGUUUGUACUUGAAUGGUAAAAACUUUGAAGACUUCUGGUGUGUAGAAGUUUCUUAUCUUUUACUUGAGCAUCUAUUGUCUAUGGAUGUAUAUACAUGAUACGAGUGAGUGAGUCCUGGCGAGAGUUGGGCAGGCGACCCGCCGAACUCUUUGGUACGCCCUAGGGUGAGGUGGGGCCGUCACAAUAUCCUAGAUGGUUCAAGCAGUAAUCACUCUUAACCCUUACUCAAGUUGCAAGUAUGUCUACCUUGCCCUUGAACGUAAAUUUGGGCACGCCCAUUGUAUUUUCCUAUUUUCCAGCCAUUUAUGGUUUCAUUCUUUUCCUCAAUCAAGCCCAAAGUUACACACUAAACAAUCUCAUUCCAAUAGCCAUUCAAUAGGCUCAAGGUAAUACAAGUACAAAAUCAAAUUAAUGACAUGUGCGGAAAUGAGGUUUAGCAAAAGAUAGAUUUGACGUGUUUUUACGUAACGUACACAAUCGAAGCUACGCUUAUCAGAUUGGGAUGCAAUAUAUACCGUUUCGAAGCUAACACAAAGGGCUACAAUUUUGAUGAAGAUCACUUAAUCCAAAUUCCAGUGUAACCCAGUCAAAUUCCCAAUUCACAGAACCAAUUUCCAACUAAUAAACCAGUUAAUAAACCAGUUAACCGCACUACCUUCAAAUGGCCAUAUCUCAAGCUACCAAAGUCCGUUUAAGACGUUCUUGAAGGCGUUGAAAAGUAAGACAAAGUACUAAAACUUUAAUGUUUUAACUAAAAGCUAGUUCAGUACGUAUCCAGGUGAACAAAUGCAACCAACUUAGUGUACUGGCAAAACUGUUCGCUGAUUUUACUCCUAGGGCAGUCAAGGUAUUUUCAUCUUUUCAUUGGCUACAUUGCUCCAAUUGAGGUGAAAUUUUGUAGGCAACCAUAAAAUACAUUAUCUAUAACUUUCAUGUUUUGUGCCAAGCUUGAUUCAGCCUCUAACAUGAUAAAAUAGAAUCAGGCAGAACUGAAGCUAAAUUUUCCAGAAAUCUGGAAUUUUGCUAUAUUCAAGCUAUAAUUCACAUUUUUACCUUGAAACUACCACUAAUUUCACCUUCACAAGAUCAUAUACCAUAUAUAUACAUCAUACCACAACUAACCCACAAGAAACCUGAUGCGAGACGCGGAAGCAACUUCGGAUCUAGAGGAACACGAUGAAGAUUGGAAGGAGUUGAACCUGAACUUGGACCACUCAAGAACAGAUUUAACGGUAGAGGACGCCACAAUCAAGUAUGUGUGCUUGAUUGAUAAGUCAAGAACAGCCUAGGAUCAACUCUAGGAUGUUCAACUUAGCUUUCACAAGCUAAGGGAAUUUGCCACAAGGAAUGGACGAAAUUCUGGAAAUUUUAUUCAAUACUCUCAAAAAACUGAAUGUAACAUGCGGCUUGAGGCUAUUAAUAGCCGUGACUAAGACCUAAUAAACUGGAAAAAUAACAAGGAAAGUUCGGCCAGCCCCUUGGGCCUUCACUUGACCGAAAGCUAGCCCAACUAACUAUAGAUCAUAGGCCUCGGGGGCGUUGCCCCCGAACCCCCACCGGGGGCUUCGCUGCGCCCCCGGGCCCCCAAGCCAGGGGCGCGUCGCCCCCUUGGACCCCCGACUCGCUGACCGGUCAGCGAGAUUGAUGCGAUUGAGCACGAGACCCAAAGUGUACAAGUAGACCCUGUGAAGGUGCCCCUAGGGCCGGUGACACGAGCACGAGCUAAGAGAUUCAAGGAGUCCCUCCAAGCCUUGGUACGUGCCAUCCAAAUCCAAGAGAAACCGGCCAUUGAAGGAAUUGAGUUGGAAUAUCCUUGCACGACUACUAAAAUGCUGCUUACAAUUGAAGAUGCAAGUGUUCAAGCUCCAAAUAGCGGGCCAAGCUGAAGUUAAGUACCCUCGCUGAGCCGUACGGGGAUCUCGCUGUUACAUUCAGUUUUUGAGAGUAUUGAAUAAAAUUUCCAGAAUUUCGUCCAUUCCUUGUGACAAAUUCCCUUAGCUUGUGAAAGCUAAGUUGAACAUCCUAGAGUUGAUCCUAGGCUGUUCUUGACUUAUCAAUCAAGUACACAUACUUGAUUGUGGCGUCCUCUACCGUUAAAUCUGUUCUUGAGUGGUCCAAGUUCAGAUUCAACUCCAUCAAAUCUUCAUCGUGUUCCUCUAGAUCCGAAGUAGCUUCCGCGUCUCGCAUCAGAGAUCCCCGUACGGCUCAGCGAGGGUACUUAACUGCAGCUUAGCCCGCUAUCUGGAGCUUGAACACUUGCAUCUUCAAUUGUAAGCAGCAUUUUAGUAGUCGUGCAAGGAUAUUCCAACUCAAUUCCUUCAAUGGCCGGUUUAUCUUGGAUUUGGAUGGCACGUACCAAGGCUUGGAGGGACUCCUUGAAUCUCUUAGCUCGUGCUCGUGUCACCGGGCCUAGGGGCACCUUCACAGGGUCUACUUGUACACUUUGGGUCUCGUGCUCAAUCGCAUCAUUCCCCUCUUCUUGAAAAGGAUUUGCCCUCAAAUCGUACUCGUCCCCUGCAAUAAAUGGAUUUAGAUCAGCAACAUUGAAUGUAGCACUAAUAUUGUACUCACCAGGCAGAUCUAAGCGGUAUGCAUUGUCGUUGAUGCGCUCAAUGACUUGAAAAGGCCCAUCUCCUCUUGGUGACAGCUUGCUUUUCCGUUGGUUUGGAAAUCUCUCCUUGCGCAAAUGUAACCAGACCCAAUCACCUGGUUCAAAGACAAGCUUGCGCCUGUGCUUAUUAGCUUGUUGGACAUAUUGGGCCGUCCUCCUCUCGAUAUUGGUACGAACCUUGUCAUGUAAUGAUCUCACGAACUCAGCAUUCUUCUUGCCAUCUAAGUUCAUAUGCUCAGAAGAAGGUAAUGGCAACAAAUCUAAGGGAGUUAAGGGGUUCAAACCAUACACAACUUCAAAAGGCGAGAAUUGUGUAGCACUAUGCACAGCCCUAUUGUAUGCAAACUCAACAUGAGGUAGACACUCCUCCCAUGACUUGAUAUUUUUCUUUAUGAUUGCAUGUAGGAGUGUGGAUAAAGUCCUAUUGACUACCUCAGUUUGUCCGUCCGUUUGAGGAUGACUAGAGGUAGAGAACAACAGUUUGGUUCCCAACCGACCCCAUAAAGAUUUCCAAAAAUAGCUCAAAAACUUGACAUCUCUAUCAGAUACUAUAGUCCUAGGUAUGCCAUGCAAACGAACAACCUCUUUAAAGAAUAAAUCAGCAAUGUGUAAAGCAUCAUCCGUCUUAUGACAUGCAACAAAGUGAGCCAUUUUGGAGAACCUAUCUACCACAACAAAUAUAGAGUCAUGGCCACGCUUUGAACGAGGUAACCCAAGCACGAAAUCCAUGGAAAUGUCAACCCAAGGUUGGUGAGGUAUGGGUAAAGGAGUAUACAAACCGUUUGGGUUGACCCGAGACUUAGCUUUGUGGCACACGCCACAUCUUUCAACAAUCCUCUCCACGUCCUUGCGCAUGCGAGGCCAAUGGAAGUGUUCCUGUAAUACAGCUAAUGUCUUGGUGACACCAAAGUGUCCCAUUAGUCCACCACUAUGUGACUCCUGAAUAAGUAAGUUACGUAUGGACCCUCGACCAACUUGGUAAGAUAAAAUAAGAACCCAUCAUGUACGAAGAAUUUUUCAAAGUCAGAUUUUCCCCAAUUCGCAUAAGCGUUCGCAAAAUCCAAGUCAUUCUUAUACAACUCCUUCAUGAGUUCAAAGCCUAGGAGUUUAGCAUCUAAAGCAGUGAGCAAAAUGUGUCUACGAGAUAAAGCGUCAGCUACGACAUUAGAUUUACCUGUUUUGUAUUUGAUGACGUAUGGAAAAGACUCAAUGAAGGCUACCCAUCGGGCAUGUCGUUUGCUCAGCUUUUGUUGUCCUUUUAGGUGCUUGAGAGACUCAUGGUCAGUUUUGAUGACGAAUUCCCGUGCACGUAGGUAGUGUUGCCAUGUCUCCAAAGCACGUACAAGGGCAAACAUCUCCUUGUCAUAAGUUGAAUAGUUGAGGACCGCGCCAUUUAAUUUCUCACUAAAGUAGGCAAUCGGUCUCCCUCCUUGCAUGAGUACGGCUCCUACUCCUACACCUGAUGCAUCACAUUCCACUUCAAAAGUGAGAUCAAAGUUAGGUAUUGCAAGGAGUGGUGCAUGUGUGAGUUUGUGUUUCAGCAAUUGGAAAGCCUUAUCUUGGGCUUCCCCCCAAAAGAACUUCUCGUUCUUCUUUAUGACUGCGGUAAGAGGUGCAGCGAUGGUGCUAAAAUCCUUCACAAAACGACGGUAGAAGCUUGCUAAUCCAUGAAAGCUGCGCACAUCACUUACUGAGGUAGGUGUUGGCCACUCUUGGAUGGACUUAAUCUUCUCUUCAUCUACAUGAAUGCCCUGCGCACUUACAACAUAUCCUAGAAACACAACACGAUCAGUGCAAAAUGUGCACUUCUUAAGGUUGGCAUAUAGCCUUUCCCUUCGAAGUACUUCAAAGAUGGCUUUGAGGUGCUCAAGGUGUUCCUCUAAGCUUCUGCUAUAAAUCAGAAUAUCAUCAAAGUAAACCACUACAAAUUUCCCAAGAAAAGGUCUCAAAACAUGGUUCAUUAAACGCAUGAAGGUACUAGGUGCAUUAGUUAAACCAAAUGGCAUUACUAACCACUCGUAUAGACCAUGUUUAGUUUUGAAAGCGGUUUUCCACUCAUCUCCCUCUUUCAUUCUUAUUUGGUGGUAACCACUUUUCAAAUCAAUUUUAGUAAAUAUAAUGGCACCAUGCAAUUCAUCUAACAUAUCAUCUAACCUAGGGAUAGGGUGACGAUAUUUUACCGUGAUUGCAUUGACUGCUCGACAGUCGGUGCACAUUCUCCACGCUCCAUCUUUCUUUGGCACGAGAAUCACUGGUACAGCUCAUGGACUUAGACUUUCUCUAGCCCAACCUUUCCUUAGCAAUUCCUCCACUUGCCUUUGCAAUUCCUUUGUUUCCUCAGGACCCAUUCUAUAGGCUGGUUUGUUAGGCAAUGGUGCUCCAGGAAUGAGAUCGAUUUGGUGCUCGAUUCCCCUUAGUGGUGGUAGUCCAUCAGGUACAUCCUCAGGAAAUAUGUCCUCAAAUUCCUGCAAGAGAGGUAAAAUAGUAGAAGGUAAGGAGUCAGUGGAUAUGGAUGAAGUGACCAACUUUUCUUUGCACACAAGCAUAAGUAAGAGUUGGUUGGAAGACAAAGCUCGCCUUACAUCUUUGGCUUUUGCUAGCAAGCUUAGCUUCCCCUUAUUUUCUUCUCUCAUAGCCGACCCACUUGUUGCCUUUUUCUUCCCUAGGGGUUCGGCCCUUCUCUCUCCUUUUUCUUCCUCACUUUUCUCUCGCUUUUUCCUCUCAAGUUCUAGCUCAUACUCCUUUUGGAGCCUCAUUUGAUCUUCAUACACUUGUUUUGGGGUGAGAGGUACAAGUGUCACCUUUCUAUUGCAAUGAGUAAAGACAUAUUUAUUAGCUCUUCCCUUGAAUUCAACAUCGCGAUCAUAUUGCCAAGGCCGUCCAAGAAUGAGGUGACUUGCUUGCAUUGGCACGACAUCACAAGUAAUCUCGUCUUCAUACUUGCCAAUUCGGAAUGGCACUUUCACUUGUCUAAACACACGUAUUUCCCCUUCAUUGUUCAACCAUUGAAGGCGAUAAGGUCUUGGAUGUUUGAUAACUUGGAACCCUAGCAUUUCUACCAUGAGUAGACUAGCGACAUUGGCACAACUCCCACUAUCAAUAACAACACUACACACCUUAUCCUUGAUAUGACACCUUGUGUAGAAAAGGUUGUCCCGUUGUACCUCCAUUUCCUCCUCUUUGGCGCGAGUAGUGAGGACCUUUCGAACCACUAGGCAUCCAAUCUCCUCAUGCGUAGGUAUCUCCUCACUCGAUUCAUUCUCUUCCUCUUCUAGAGGUGGCAUCCCCUCGUACUCCUCUUCCUCAUCUGAUACAAUUUCCCCAUUUGGCAACAUCAGCAUGGUCCUUUGGCUGGGGCAUUGAGAAGCGAUGUGGCCAAAUCCUUGACACUUAAAGCACUUGGUGAGACGGCCACGUGGUUUGGAAGCUGCAUUAUUAGCCUUAAAGUCAGGCUUGGGCGUCGCCUUGGAAGGGAGGCCAUUCGGCCUUGGAGGGUAAGAAGGAGCUGCGGCCUUCUCCUCCCUUUUUGGUUGAGAAGUGUGCCAAUUUCCAGCUUGAUAAGUAGUGCUUUGUCGUGCAGUACCCCUCCUCUUGAGGCGCCGUUCAAUUGUAACCGCCUUCUCUAGCAUUUCAUUCAUGUCGAGGUAGUGUUGGAGUUCCACUACUUCAGCAAUCUCGGGCCUCAAUCCAUGUAGAAAACGAGCCAUCGUGGCCUCUCCAUCUUCACGCAAAUCCGCCUUCAUGAUGGCCAUUUCCAUCUCCUUGUAAUAAUCCUCAACUGACAUGGACCCUUGGUUGAGAGCUUGUAGCCGACGAUGUAGAUCUCGGCUAUAGUAGCUCGGAACGAAUCUUUUUCUCAUCAGACUCCUCAUUUCCUCCCAAGUUUCCACAGGUCUCUCACGAUUUCUCCUUCGGCUUAGUCUAAGUUGGUCCCACCAAAUGGAGGCGUAGUCAGUGAAUUCUACGGCUGCUAGUUUCACCUUUUGCUCCUCCGUAUAGGUGUGGCAUUCAUAGACUAACUCAAUUUUCCGUUCCCACUCCAAGUACGCCUCGGGGUCCGACUUGCCUUGGAAUGAGGGAAUCUUGAGUUUGACACCUUUAAUGGUGUCAUCUCCUCGACGUUGGAACCUUUGAUCAUUUUGGUACCUUCCCUCAAACGCUUCCUCUUCAUCGUUUGAGCGUGCCGAUUCUUUGCCCUUACUCGGGGUAGGUGGAGGUCUCGAGUUCUCCAACUGAUCAAUUCGAUCAUGCAAUGGCUCAAUUUCAUUCUUAAGCAAUCGUUUGAACUCCCUCAUCAUGGCUUCCAACUGUAGUUUGAUGUCCAUGGUUUGUUCACCAACUUCACUAGACAUAUUUAGUCCACCUGCAAAACAAAUAAACAAAACGAGUUCCUCUUUUUUUUUUUUUAAUACAAUGUAUAGGUCACUCACACUCGUGUUUCACUCAAGUGUAUCACUCUCUAAUAAUCUUACCAAGCAAUUCCUUGGCUUGCUAGUUGCUCGAGUUGAACAAACCAGGCGUCACCGUAGUGUACGUUCUUGACUAGUCAACAAGUGACACACAAGCUAGUAGCAAUAAAUGGAGGUUAAUGACUAAGACCUAGACACGACUCAAGACUCAGAAUAUAGCUGGACAAUAACUAACAACUCAAAAGCUGUUUUCUUCUGCACAACAGCUCAUCAAGGGGGUUUUGCCACGUAAUGGGCUAGUCAAUCUUGUUUCGAAAAGGGAAAUUAGAGGAGUGGUGUUGAGUUUGCAUGGUUGGGUCCAAAAAAUUCUUGAGCUGGUCGAAUGUUUGCUGAAAAGAAACAAUUCAGGAUUGUCGAACCUUUUUGCAUAGAAUUUUCCAGCCUUUGCAUGAUUUUUCUUCUGUGUUUUGAUUUGUUUGAAUGUUGAAAUGGUAGGUUAUGAUGCUUAGAUUGGUUUUGGGUGUUUGGGUCUAAAAAUACUUGAGAUGUGAUUGAAUGUUUGCUGGCCCAAUAGACAAUAAGCAGCCGAACCACUUUGCAUGAAAGUUUCCAAGAAGGUUGCAUCAGCUCUUGUUGUGAGAACCCGUAAUUUUUCCAAUUUCUAGGUUUUAUUAUAUUUCUAGGUUUUCUUAUUUUCAAUGAUUUCUUUUCUGCACUUUCUGUAUCCGGAAAAUUUUCUAGAUAAAUUUUAUGAGUAAAUAUAAUUUUUAGAUGAUUUUUCUAGUAUUGAAUAGGUUUUGAGAAAUUAAGAGUGAAUACCGGACGUGGGACCCACUAGUGCGAAAUGUUCGGCAAUUUUCGGCCAGCUAGGUUAAGUUUUGGAUACAGGAUUUAAUUUACCAGGUGUUAAGGGAUAAGUAGAGGAUGUUAUUUGGAUUGGUGUGAGAGGGAACAAAGAGAUAGAGAUUCAUUAAUUAGGUGACAAGUGUCACCAUUUGAUUGGAUUGACUUGUAUGACCACUAUUCAUGUCUUUACCAAAUUAAUAUCAAAAUUGACCAAAAAUUUCCUUAUUUUCUUCUCUCCUUGGCCGAUUCUCUUCAAGCAACAAAAGGGAAAGAAAAACUCUCCAAACUCUUGCUUCAAUCUUGCUCAAAUUCAACCAAUCAACCGUUUAAUCUUGUUUUUGUACCAUAGAAACCCUUAAGGGAGUGAUAGUGAGUUGUUUUGUGAAGUAAUUUGGAAGAUUUAAGUGCAAGGUUGCUCCAUUCCUUUGGGUAUCAAGGUGAGUAGUGAAGAAACUCCUUUUCUCUUUCCAAUAAUGCUUAAUGAGCAACCUAAGUGAGUUAAAGUGAUGAUAUUUGGUGUUAUUUCAUGAUUUUGGUUGAGAUUGAUGACACUUUCUAUUUAAUUAGGAUUUUUCUGUUUUCAUAUGAUUAUUAUUAUGUGGUUAUGUAUGAUGAUUGGAAAUGAUAUUUGAGGAAGCUAGGAGGUGGAAAAAGUGAUUAAUUGCAAGAAAUUUCUGUUUUGGAAGAAAAUUGAAAAAAACUAGGGUUCCUUGUUCUUCAUUCUGUCCGAAAUUUUAGGUCCUAGUUAGAGGCCGAAUUGGCCUUGGCUUAAAACAUCAAAGUUGUAGGUAAUGACAUUUUAGAGGUGCCUACAAAAUUUCAGGUCAAUCGGAGUAGUGUAGAGUGAGAUAAGUCGAAAUUACUAUUGCUAUUCUGGUUUUACCCGAAAUCGAGAUUUGCGACAGUAAUUGGGUGUUUUGGUCUGAAUUACUUCCGAAUUGGUUGUUGAGGCCUUCUGAUGAAAUUUAGCCCUGUAUCUUAGCUUUCAGCGGUUUUGGAAUUUCUGGAUUCGGACUUGUAGAGCCUGAGUUAUGAUGUUUCCGCUAGAAUGCGUUUUGGUGAAUCUGUUUUACGUUUUUGAUGUGGUAUCUUGCAUUUUUGACCUGUUUGCACUCAAAAAUGGGUUGAGUGACCUUCUGUGAUGUUGUAGCCCUGUCUUUUAGCUUCGAAAUGGUGGGUCUUACACCUUCAUCCGAUAAUUCUAGGGCAUUUGGUGCCAUUACCGCAAAAAGAGGUCAAAAACUGUUUUUUCAAGGCCAAAGCUAAUUGCAUUUUCGAAUUUUCUGGUUUUCUCUAAUGUUUGUAUAUGUUUAUGGAACCCUAUUGGGUCAUAUUUGGCAUUGAUUUAUGAUUCGUUAUCGAGUCUCAUUGUACUUGUUUACAUGUUUUAAGGCUUACUCUUAUUCCGGUCAUUUCCUAGCUAACUUUUGUACUUGUACUACUUUGAGCCUAGUGAACGGCUUUUGGAAAAUGAGAUGAAUUUUGUGUGAGAUGUUGGAACUGAUUUGAGGAAAUAAUGAAGCCAUGAUGGCUGGAAAAUAGGUAAAAACAAGGGAUAUGCUGCCGAAAUUUUACUUGAAGGCUAGUUGGAUUUACUUGUGAUUUGAGCAAAGGGCUUUUGGGUUGUUUGCGCCUCGGUCUUCAUGUUACCUUUUCGUUUCCAAGAAAAUCAUGUUUUCCACCCUUGCAUUAGUAUUUAUUUGGCAAGGCGUACGACGUGUAGUCGAGCCUCACUUGUGCAUUCCGUUUACUCGAUUUUGGAUAUGAAACCUUCAAUUAGUUUACUUUGAUUAUUUUAGGGUUUCUUGGCGAUUAAGGCCAAUCUGAAGUGAAAACUUUUGAAGUUGAGCCGGUGAGUGUACCACUCCCCUCCAUUGCUGUUUAACUUGAUUUCUGCUCUGCAAUCUGUUUAAUUUGUUUGAGACGAGGGUGUACUUUAUCACACUCGUUCUCUUGUCUGUUCAUAUGUCAAUUUUGGUGUCAAUCUGAAUCUGUAUCUGUAUCUGAUAUCUGUAUCUGUAUCUGUUCGGACUUCGUUUGGAAACUUGUAACCAACGACCUUUCUGUGACCUAUGAGCUCAAAUCCUGUGGCUAAGUUAUUCGAGUCGGGCCGGCAAGGGCCUGGACGAUUAGAUAACGAACCACGGUAGUCUGUUCGGGGAUUUUUGGGUAUUGAGACCCUUGAUUCCGGUAUACUCGAGUAUUUACCAUUUCUGUUUCUGUUGAGGUGAGCGGGCCCGGUAAAGGGGUGUUUGGUGGACGGAAUUCGGUGUAAAGAGUGGUCUACGGACGCGUUGGUUCUAUAUACGUUGACGGAGAGUCAACUGGUUUGGAUCAAGUAUGCGCUGGAAAUUUGGCUCCUGAGAGCCACCCGUAUCCUUCUGAUUUGAAUCAUUGGUUCCUUUGCUUUACAUCUGGCAUGUGUACUUGAUUUGCUAAACGUGAAAUGCCAUGAUUUUAUUGCUAUCUGUUUGGUACCUCAUUGAGCGCAAGCUCACCCCUUUCUGUUCCCUUUUGUUUUCCUUACAGGAAAAUAAACACUUUUGGACUGGAUUUGACAAAAGGCUGCCAAAUUGAGCUAGUUGAACGUAUCUUUUGUAUAGCUCAUGUAUUAAAAUCCUAAAUAUACUUUUCGGGCGUUUUCUCUUUUGAUUUGGCAAACCGUGUAUAUAUAUUAACUUUUGAAAACUUUUGUAUGUCAUUUUGAUUUGUAAACGCUAAAGUUCAGAUGUGAAUGUUUGUUAGCUAUUUCGGUUGGGUUCUGACGGGUCGGUUACUAUUCAUGGCCAACUCCGGAUUUCAUUUUUUUUUAUUUUGGGUUAUUUUACCAUUUUGACUUGUUUACGCUCGUUUGUAAGUUCCGGAUUGCAAUAGAUAGCUCUAGUCUGCAUCGUUAGUCCUGGCGAGAGUUGGGCAGGCGACCCGCCAAACCCUCUGGUUCGCCUUAGGGAGAGGUGGGGCCGUCACACUUGUUAUGUUUCUUGCUUGUUAGCUGUUAAAGUUUUGGGCCUUGUGGUUUAGUUUCACACUAUGAUUUUGGUUAACAUUUUCUGUUUUGAACAAAGCUGUCCUUGUGGGUCUGAAAUCUGCGUUUGGAAAUGAAAGUCACAAUUAGUUUUAUUGCCAAAAGGCUUCACCCGUUGCCAAAGCUUCCAAAUUGCAGCAAUCUUCUUCCAUUUUGCAUAAAGGUUUGCAUAAUUUCCUGCCAUGUUUUGUUUGUUAGAUGUGGAAUUUGUUUGUUUUGCUGCUCAACACAAUGUUUGGAUAGAUGAAAGAGUUUUAGUCAAAGAUACUUGGAAUUUGCUUAUGAAAUGGAAAUGCAACCAGCGGUUGUUUUAAUUUCAGAAGAUGUUCAUUGCAGAAAAUUGUGUUUCCUACGUAUGCAUGCAUGGAGAUUUUUUUUGAAUUUUUGUUCUAACCCCUCAAGUCUCCUCUUGUGUCAUUAUGACCCAGAAAGUGGAAAAACUAAUCAAUUUGGUCCUUGUAAUUUUGCAGCAAUGCUACAAAGACUCAAUUGAGUUCUAAUUUCUUGCAAAUAGGUCUUAGAAUAAUUGAAUUUUGAGCCAUUACUUGACCUUUUCUUUGCCCUUGGACCCUUGAAGUUCCUAAAAAUGUUUAAUUAGGCUUGAGUGCUUGGUUAAUGUUCGCAUUUGAGUCCUUGGUAGCCUCAAUUUUUCAACUCGAUUGCUUGUUUGCUUUCAUUAACUACCAUGUUUUGUUUAGAUUGUACUCAAUGCAUGAAUUUGUGAACUUUGUGCCUAAAUGAGUUUGUGUUUACCUAUUUUCUUUAAUUUGCCUAAAUAAAUUGGUACCUUGACCUUUUCUUGCUCGUGGACCUUUUGUGACAGCCCACUUUCCCCUUAGGCGAACCAGAGGGUUCAGCGGACCGCCUGCCCAGCUCUCGCCGGGACUCAGUCGUUCACUCACACAAAUCAGAAAUAGAACCACAAGAAAGAGCAAAACUAGGAUCCAAAACUUACAACAAAACUUAUAUGCAUUGCUAUCUCAGAAAGAAGUAUAACCGCUGAGAAUACAAAAGUUCUCAAGUCACCAUACAACCAGCCGUGCCAAGCACUAGGGCGAGAACCAAAACAAAACCAAAACUAGACCCCGCCAGUCGAUACAGAGCUCUCGCCCCUGCUCGCCUUCCCCUGCUAAGGAAAACAAAACUAAAGGGGUGAGCUAAAAGUUCAGUGAGGUUCCGAACACAUAGGCAACAAGGAGUUCAAAGCAUUCAUUACAUGUUACCAAUAAUUCAAAUACAAAAGAAAGCAAUAAACACAUUCAUUAAAAGGAUACGUGCUCACAAGGAGCCAUUCGUUCAUUCAUUCGUUCAUUCCUUCUCCUUUCGUUCCCUUAUACCUUUAAUCAUUUGAAAAUGAAUUUGUAUAUAAGUAAAACCCUCAUUCAUUCAUUCGUUCACCAGGCUCCACCAACCUCCACCAACCUACAAGGUAAUACUCGAGUAUACCAAAACGUUCACCCAGAUCCCUAAUCGCCGACCGAGUCCGCUUCUGGCUUGAGACGACCGGUAACAAGGGCAAUGGCCAGUUCAGCCAAAAGGCUUACAUUCAUGCACAAAUAACAUUUCAAUCAUUCAAUCAUUGAAAAUUUCACAAUCGUUUAGGCCGAGUGCGAUAAAGUACACACUUGCCUAGAAAACUCGUUUUAACAAUCAUUGAAAGCAUAUAACAUGUUAUCAAUCAUUCAUACCAGCCAUAUAAUCAUGAAACAUAUCAAACAGGGAACACUCACUUAUACACGCAAAAUAACGUCCACUUCUCAAUCACCAAUGAAACCUAAAAGUAAACAAAGAACACAUUACAAUCCAUCUAGCAUGAUUUGGAUGAAAUCAAGGAUUACCCGACUACUCGCGAGUAAACGUAUAAAAUGACUUUUAAAGUGUCAAUAGAGCAUAUGGAUUCGUGGACGGAAAUUACUAGGGUUCAUAAACCAACCGUGAAACCAAACUCAAAAGGUUAUGAAAUUUCCGGCAGAAAACACUUUAACCAACGACAAAUCGAAAUCCAAUAAGGUAAGCUAAGAAGUAUUGUUUCCGGAAUCGUUUAUGUAGCUCAAAAUCAAUAGACUAUAUGCCUUGAUGAAAAUCAUGAAAAGGUGGCAAAACUAUCUCACUUUCACUCUUAAAACUUCACUUAAAAGUUAUUCACUUGUGGCCGAGAGAACCCUAGGUCAACCUUUAUAUUUUGGUAAAUAGUAAGUAAACGUUUGGAAUUUCAACCCAAAGAGAUAUUAGGUUUUAGACUGGUAAAAUGAUCAUUUUAUUUGUCAAGCGAAAAUAUACAAGUUCAAAUAGAAAUUUAGCCCUCGGCCACCUUUUGAAAGAGCGGUAACAUUUUCAGUAAAUACGUCCAAUUCGUCACAAAAUACAUUCACAAAAUCACUUUAACUUGCUCACAUUACAAGAAGAUAAACGGACGGCAUGUCCCUUGUGUUUACCAAUUUUCCAACCAUUAAUGGCUUCAUUAUUUUUCUCAAAUCAGUCCCAACAUCUCAUAUAGAAUAAUCUCAUUUCCAAAAGCCGUUCACUAGGCUUAAAGUCAUAUAAAUACAAAAAUCAAGCUAGAAACAUUUUCGGAUAAAAACAGUUUUUGACAUCAUUUUGUGGUUUUGGCACCAUUGGCGCUACGAUUAUCGGAUGGAGGUGCAAGACACACCGUUUCGAAGCUAACAGAUAGGGCUACAAUGUUGGAGAAGGCCACUCAGUCCAGUUUGUAGUGAAACUAGGUCGAAAUUGACAUAUAUGAAACCAGAAUCUCACAAACAGGUUGGCUAACCGCACAAUUGUUAAACAACAAUAACUCAGGCUACCGAAGUCCGAUUGAAGUAUAUCUUAUGGUGUUUCGAACCUAAAACACAACCCUACAUUUCUUAUGAAGAUCUCCAAGGCCAAAUCAUGCAUUUUCAUGAUCCAAAAUGGAAAACUACACCAAAACCAGAAUUCUGGGCGCGAAACAGGUUUCAUGAACAGUCAAGGGUAUUUCAGUUAUUUCACAUGAUACAGUGGUUAGAUCAAGCUGAAAUUUUGUAGGAAACUAUUUUAUACUAUUGGAUACAACUUUCAUGUUUUGGCCAAAAUCUAAUUCGGUAAGGAUCAUGGUGAAAAGUCCGGUAAGAUUGGGUGAAAAGACAACCCUGUUCGCUGAACUCCUACCUAAACCAGUCUGGGUAUUUCCGUCAUAUCUCAGGCUACCGAGCUCGGAUUGAGCUGAAAAUUUACAGGAAACUAGAAAACAUCAUUCCCUACAACUUGCAUGUUUUGUUCUAAGGCCAAUUCGGCCUCUAACCUGGUCGAACAGAAACGGGCAGAAAGGAAAAAAAAAUGGACCCUAAUAUGGAAAUUCAUGCAUUCAUGUGCCAAUCUUCCACAAAACAAUAUCUAAAACAACUAAAAACCACUAAUAAGCAAUUAAUUGAAGUAAAGAGGAAGUUUGUAAGCAAGGUACCUUGACACCUCAAGAAAGAUGAUAACUUAGGGUUUUUCUUUCACAAAUCCCUCCACUAAAAGCUUUAAUCCUCCUUAAUAAGUAACUUUGAUGGAGUAAUCUUCACUUUUAAUGGUUUGGAAAUCAAGAUUGGAGCAAGGGAUUGAAGUACAAGAUGAAGGAUUUCCUCUCUUUUCUCUCCUCAAAAUUUCAGCCAACAAGGUGAAAAAUGAAGAAACAUUUGGUCAAAAUGGAUGUUUAGUAAAGUUAAGAAAAGUUAGUCAAAGUCCCCAUCCAAUGGUUUCAUGACACUUGUCCCUCUCAUUAAUAUCAUGCCUAACUUUUUUUUGUCUUUCUCACACCUAUCCACUUGGUACCUCUAAAUAUCUCAUAACACCCGGUAAAUUAAACCCAGUAUCCAAAACUUAACCUAACUAGCCGAAAUUUUCCGAAUUUUUCGCACUAGCGGGUCCCACGUUCGAUAUACGCUCUUAAUUUCUCAAAAACUAACCGAUACUAGAAAAAUCAUUUAAAAACUAUAUUUACUCAUAAAAUUGAUCUAGAAAAAUUUUCUAAUAAAGAAAAUGCAGAAAACGUGCAAUUAAGAAAAGUACGGGUCCUCACACCUUUUGAGUUCUAAAAUGUUUCAAUUGGCCUUGAUGGUUUGGUUAAUGGUUGAUAUUGGGUCCUUAGUCACCUUUAUAUUUUAGAAUUUGAUCAAUGAUUCCGUUUUCUUGGUCUUCAUGCAUUAUUUGAUAAUCUUUAAGUUGCAAUUGAGGAAGGAUUCGAUGAUUUGGUAGAUUCCGAUUGUCUUAUGCAUGUUUUACCAUUCAGUUGGUACAUUAAUCCUUUGUUUUGAUGGUUUUUUAGCCCAAGUUAUCCUUUUCUUUGGUGACUAUAGCCCAAGUUAAGUCUUGUCCACUUUAUUAGCACCACAAAAGGGAGAGGUAUAAUUUCUUUUAUCCUUUUUUUGUCUCUCCUAUGUGAUCCAACGUGCUACGUGAGAAUUGCAUGUCUACUUGCUUCCCUUGUUUUUCUUAAUUCCUUUCAUUUACUUCAUUUACUUUUACUUUCAUUAAGUUAUUCUUUUAUGGGGUAUGUGUACACCUCUUGGCUUGUAAUAGAUAGGGUUUGGCGAGCAUUCUUGUCCAUUCUUCCCUUUCCCCUUUUUGUUUUAGUUAGGAAAUGUAAUAGGUUCAUUAGCUUGGUUAUUUGCCUUUAUUGCUAUGUGUUAAUUUGCUUUAUUAGGUUUUUGCAUUUAGUCGAGCAUGCUAAGUGUUACGUGCUACGUGUUUAUGGGUGAUUCGCAUGUCUACUCGCUUUCUAUAGUCAUAGAUGAAUAUGAUGGAUGAAUGCAGGUCACCACACUAGUCCAACGCUAGUUGUGGCCCCCUUUUCCGUUACCACACUAGUCCAACGCUAGUUGUGGCUCAUUAUCCAUUUCCACUAGUCCAACGCUAGUAGGAAUUCAUAGAAAGGGCUAGUCCAACGCUAGAUCAAUAGGCCGUCCCCCUUUCGUUAGUGCAUAUUUGCAUGUUCACUACAUAUCAUGCAUUUUUUUUUAGUUUUAUCAUUUGUAUGUUCCUCGAACCCUUUUUCCCCUCAUUUUAGGUUUUUUGCAUCUCAUGCUAGUUAUAGGGUACAUUUACUUGAGAGUCCCCUUUCGAUAAGGGAAACGAGCGAGUUUGCCUACAAAAUAGCCUUAGCACGCUAGUUUUUCCUUCUAAUCCAAGGGAAAAUCAAAGUCGUAAAGUUAGGAGUCCUUCCCGUGCCCGACUUGAUGCAUUCCCUUAGGGUCAUACACUUGCAUUUUUUUUAUAUAUCUCCUCCUCACUCUUUAGCCACAUUUUCUCACUACUUACACUUUCUCACCACUUUCUUCCUAUCACUUAUUUAUUUUUCUAUCUCACAAAUGGCACCAAAUUGCACUUAUAUGUAUCUACUAUCCUAUUUUCAUUCAUUUACACACACAAACACCUUUAUUUUCUCACACUUGCACACUUACACUUGAGUCCUCACUUGCAUUAAUCACGACUUCUAUGAGAGCUUUCCUUAUUGGCCACCACAAUUCAUGUGGUUGGGACUUAAAAGCCUCAUGAGAAAUAUUUUAGGUUUAUGAUUGCAUUUUUCUUUCCUUUUUGCAUCCAUUAGUCCUAUCCAACAUGCGAUACAUACCUUGGGUAGAAUAAUUAGGAAAAGUGGGGUUAAGUCACGCAACUAGCUUUGGCUAGGGUAAGGGAGUGCCUUAGGCGUUGCCUUUGCCUUCUCCCUUAUCAAAUGUGACCCCCGAUCCCUUUCUUUGGUUACGAAAACCUAAAAGUUCUUUAAAAGGGUUUAUUUACUUUUUCGUUCAAAAACAAAAAUCAUUUUUUGGGUGACUUGGUACACCCUAACUCUAUACCAAGUGGCGACUCCAUUUUUCAUACAAAAACCCUUUUUGAACUUUAUUUGGCCAAACCGUCGCAUUUCACAAUCCCACGGCCUUUAUUUUCACUUUCACACAUGUUCACAUACAUAUCUCACACACCACACACACCAUAUGUCAAAAAGUGGGGUGCGACAGUCCUAUCACAUAUGUCCAAAUAGGGAAUGGUUUACAACAUAUGAACAGAUAGAUGGCAGAAAUGUCGUGAUGGCUAAUAGCACUGUCUGCAAGGCUGUUGGAAUCGGUUCGAUUAAGAUUAGGACACAUACUGGAAAAAUUGCCACACUGAACGAAGUUAGGCACGUCCCCAAAAUGAUGAAGAAUCUGAUAUUACUUAGUACUCUUGACAGUAAGGGUUUUAGGUUCAGCGGAGGAAGUGGAGAGUUGUGCAUCAGUAAAGGUUCAUUAGUGGUUCUCAAAGGAGUUAAGCAUGGCACCUUGUACAUCUUAGAAGGUUCUACGCUAACAGGUUCUGCUGCUGCUGCUGUUGCAUCUUCUGAAGAUCGCAGGUCUGAUAUGACCAAGUUGUGGCACAUUAGGCUAGGUCAUAUGAGCGAAAGGGGAUGCAGAUUCUGUCUAAACGUGAUCUUCUAGAAGGCCACAAGGUCACUGAUCUUGGAUUCUGUGAACAUUGUACUUUCGGUAAAUUACAUCGCAGAAAGUUUGGGAAGGCAAUUCACAGGACAAAAGACACACUGGAUUACAUCCAUUCUGACUGUUGGGGUCCUUCACGAGUUGAGUCUUUGGGAGGCUGUCGGUUUUUUUUAACCUUGAUUGAUGAUUAUUCAAGGAUGACUUGGGUAAUCGUUAUGAAGGAAAAAGGUGAAGCUUUCAAGAAUUUCAAGCAGUGGAAGGCCUUAGUGGAGAAUCAAACUGGAAAGAAGAUCAAAAAGCUGAGAACUGAUAAUGGUCUGGAAUUCUGUUCAAAGGAGUUCGAUGAGUUCUGCAAAGAUGAAGGAAUUACUCGGCAUCACACAGUUUGACACACACCACAACAAAAUGGUGUAGCAGAACGCAUGAAUCAGACACUUCUAGAGAGAGCACGGUGUAUGCUCUUCAAUACUGGUUUGCCAAGGAGGUUCUGGGCCAAAGCAGUGCGCACGGCCUGCUUCUUGAUCAAUCGUGCAUCUCAUACAGGUAUAGACUGCAAGAUACCUUAUGAAGUGUGGUCUAGUAUGUCUCCUACUUACUCAAAUUUGAAGGCUUUUGGUUGUACUGCGUAUUAUCAUAUCAGUGAGGGCAAACUAGAACCAAGGGCUAAAAAGGGAGUGUUUCUGGGAUAUGGAGAUGGGGUUAAAGGGUAUAGAAUCUGGUCACCCUCAGAAAAGAAAGUUAUACUUAGUAGAAAUGUAAUUUUUGAUGAAAACUCUAUACUUAACCCUCCUGUGAAGACUGUUGUUGAAGAAAGUGCAGGUGUUGAUAAACAGGUGGAGCUACAAAUCAUUCAAAAUGGUUUUGAAUCACAGCAGCAAUUUAGUGAUCGUCAACAGCUAUCCUGUGAAACUGAACCUCCUGCAGAAGUAGAGUCUCCAGAACCUACAUCAGAAGAAAGGUUGGCACCUAUAUCCUAUACUGUGUCAGAAACUCAGCAGCAUGGUAUUGCUUAUGAUCGUACGAGGAGAGUAGGAGUACAAGCUCCUAGCAGGUAUCGGGAUUUUGUAGGUUAUGCAUUUCAGGUUGUUGAGGAGGUGAAUUCUCCCGAGCCCUCUACCUAUAGAGAAGCUAUUUCAGGCAGUGAGUCAGCUCAAUGGCUUGCUGCAAUGGGUGAUGAAAUGGAGUCGUUACACAAGAACGGCACUUGGGAAUUGGUCAAACGGCCAGCAGAGAGAAAGGUUGUGACUUGCAAAUGGGUCUUUAAAAGGAAGGAAAGGAUUUCUCCAGCUGAGGGCAUUAAGUAUAAAGCAUGUGUUGUUGCAAAAGGGUUCAUUCAAAGAGAAGGAGUAGACUACAAUGAGAUUUUCUCACCAGUGGUCAGACACACUUCUAUCAGGGUGCUACUAGCAAUGGUUGCACAUCAGGACUUAGAACUUGAACAGCUAGACGUGAAGACAGCUUUCCUACAUGGAGAGUUAGAUGAAAAGAUUUAUAUGACUCAGCCAGAUGGAUUCUAUGUUCCGGGAAAAAAUGAUUAUGUAUGCAAGUUGAAGAAAUCCUUGUAUGGAUUAAAGCAGUCCCCAAGGCAGUGGUACAAAAGAUUUGAUGGCUACAUGAUUGAGCUAGGCUACAACAGAAGUCAGUAUGAUUGUUGUGUAUAUCACAACAAACUUGAAGAUGGUUCGAUGAUCUAUUUGAUUUUGUAUGUAGAUGAUAUGCUCAUAGCUGCGAGGAACAAAGCUGAUAUACAGAAGUUGAAAAGUCUUCUCAGUGCAGAGUUUGAGAUGAAAGACUUGGGUGCAGCAUAGAAAAUUUUGGGAAUGGAGAUUUUCAGGGAUAGAAGUAAGAAGAAACUUUUCUUAUCACAAAAGAGUUAUAUUGAGAAGGUACUAUCCAGAUUUGGCAUAUCUACAUCAAAACCCUUGAGUACUCCGAGUGUAGCGAAUGCUCAACUAUCAAUUACACUCGCACCACAGUCAGAAGCUGAGAUAGAGUAUAUGGCUAAGGUUCUCUAUUCUAGUGCAGUGGGUAGUUUGAUGUAUGCUAUGGUCUGCACUAGACCUGAUCUGGCACAUGCAGUCAGUGUUGUUAGCAAAUUUAUGGGUAAUCCUGGGAAGGAGCACUGGCUGGCUGUGAAGCGAUUUUUUUGGUACUUGAGGGGUACAUCUGACAUUGGUCUCAUCUAUGGAGGUGAUACAGAGUGUUUGGUUAUAGGCUAUUUAGAUUCUGAUUAUGCUGGAGAUGUUGAUAGUAGGAGGUUGAUGACUGGUUAUGUUUUCACUCUUGGGCAUGCUGUAGUUAGUUGGAAAGCAACUCUACAACCUACAGUGACUCUGUCCACUACUGAGGCAGAGUAUAUGGCACUGACAGAGGCUGCUAAACAGGGAAUUUGGUUAAAGGGGCUGGUUGGAAAUCUUGGCCUACAUCAGGAUCAGGCAAAUAUAUAUUGUGAUAGUCUCAGUGCAAUAUGUCUAGCCAAGGAUCAAGUUCAUCAUGAGAGAACUAAACACAUUGAUGUCCGAUAUCACUUCUUGAGAUCUGAGACAAGGAUCAAGGUGAAGAAAAUUGGCACUGCUGACAAUCCUGCUGAUAUGUUCACCAAGCCGGUCCCUCAUAGCAAGUUCAAACAUUGUUUGGAUUUGCUAAAUGUCCUAAGUUUCUGAUGGCCCUUUAUGGGCAUUCUGAUGGUAUUUAGAGAUAAUUCUCUGAGUACAUCUGGCACUUCAUUGGUGCGUCUGUUACAUCUUUUUCGGGGAAGAUUCAAGUCAAGGUGGAGAUUUAUUGAGAUGUCUUGAAUUAGAUCUUCGACCUUCGCUGAGCUGUACGGGGGUCUCGCUGAGCUUACGGUAUAUAUUAGUUACCAUGUCUGUUUUAUUUCGGGUCUUGUUUUGGGCCUAUUUUUAGGUCCAGUCUAUUUGGUUGUAUAUAUAUACACUUUAUUUUAGUCUGUAAACUAUUCCGAUUACAACCCCAAUAAAAUCUGAUUUCCCCCAAAUUGUUCUUGUUUAUUCUUGUUUGUUCUUCUGUUCCGCUGCAUCUGUUAUAACAUUCUUCAACAAAGAUUUUAAGCAAACAAGUUCUUCUUGGAUUCUUUGAACUGGAUAAUUAACAAGAGCAUUUGAACUGGUCUUAGAACUCGUCAAAUCCACCAUACUUUCUAGAAGAAAAUCAAUAAAGCCCAACUCAUUGGUCCUAGGAAAGUAGGAUGAUGUCGUUUCUGGACAUUUUUCUGCAACUGCUGCCUUGAUAUGGUUAAUAUUUUCAAGCAAAUCAAAAGAUGCAAGAUCCAUUUCCUAGACCAAUCCAUCUUUCAUGGCAUGCAGAGAAAGAUGAAGUACAAGACAUCCUGCAUCACAGACCACGAUCCGAGUAAGAUCUCUCAUUUCCUCAUCAAACUUCUUUGGCUUCUCCUUGAGAAUGCUUCUCACGGAUCUUAUUCCAUCGUAGAUCAUUUGCAGUUGAUCCUUCAGAGAAGUCAUACAAAAUACAGUAUCAGACCAGUAUAUCUUCCAAAGAUUGAAUAGGAGGGAACUGAUGAAGUCCCUUACUGCAUCCUCACAAUCGUCCCCGUAUGAGAGUCCAGGUGACUUUGAAGCAGUCGGCCUGGAUGCAAGUUGCAUGGACAUGGGGCUCUACGGGAAUAAUAUUUUGCAGCAGUACCGACACGCCUUUCUGGAUUUUCUCGCACAGUUCGUAUUGGUAAAUAAACCGAUGCUUAAAAGAGAGGCAUGCUGCGUUGACAGUCACAGCUUGGAUGUGACUCAGUAAAGGUCCCAAUAGCUUCUCUUCAAUGCCACACAGCGUGACAAAACACAUGAAGUUUUUCAAGAGUUUUAGCUUCUCUUCAAGGCCUUCGAAUAGUUUUACUACAUCCUGACCUCCAGAUUCUCACCGCCUAAAUAUAAAUAGAAAAUUCUCUCUUAGGAAGUCAGAAAAAGCUACUAAAAUCUCAAGAACAGAGUCCAGGAAUUCCAUAAGGUCGUCUUUUUUAACUGGCGAAUUAGAUGACUGCUUCGAUGAAAUCUAAGAAAAUGGCAUACCAUUCGUAGAUUUUCCGAUUCAAAGAUCUGACGUCAUUUCCUAAUGCAAAGGCCGAAUAGAAAGGUCCAUCAAUAUAUGGGUCUUUCACAGCAGCAAAAUCAAUAGAGUUAAUCUUUGGUCCCCAUUUGGAAAUGGCAUCUUCAAUCCUGAGUACCAGAGCUCCUAGACUUGCAUGAUGAAUAUCUACAUUGUGGUCAGAUGCCAAAUUCACAUAAUUGUUGCCCCACUUUUUGGCAUACAGGAGAAAUAUUCUCAGAAAUCUUAGCCCAUCUAUUAGAUUUCUCAAAUCACGCGCCUUGUCAUCAGGACAAAACUUCAUCAUCGACUGCAGAUUAUCCAACUAAGGUUGAAUAAGGACAAGUGCUACUACUGGAGGCCAUCUAAUCAAAGGAAGAUGAACGAAAGAAACAAGAGUGAAUCGCACAGUCAAAUGCUCUGCUCUUUUGCUACACAGAGAUUGCAAAAUGCUAGUAUAUACUUCACUACUGGAUAUAUCAAAUUAAUUAAUGGAGUGUGUAAUAGAAAAAGAAAAGGUCUAUGGAUAUUUCCUGAAAGAUGAAAGAAGUCUCUUUUAGGAAACCAGUAGUAUGCGCACUUGAUGAUAUUACCAGUAGUAUGCGCACUUGAUGAUAUUACCUGGAAAGAUGAAAAAGUUUUUCAGAAAAAUGACUCAAUUGCAAAAGCGUUUCACAUUUGGAACAAAGACCGCAAGCAACAAAGCAUCAGACAUUGCCAACUCUUUCUAUGCGUUUUCAUGUCCUUUCGAUAAUAAACUAAUACAACAAGCACAUGGUGGUCCAACUUGUUCAUGUGAACUGAUCAGGGACACUAUUGACUAACAAAUGACAUAAAGAAAAGCAAAUUGUUUAGGUUACAACACAAAUUUUAUAAUUUCAUAUCAAGACAUACAUGCCCAAAUGAAAAGGAUAAACUACUAAUAACCCCAUAUAGUUUUGUAUAUUAUCACGUAACCUUCUAAAGUUCAAAAUAUUCACAUAACUCUAUUGCAUUUUUAUGCAAAGUGGAAGAUGAAUAGAAAGUACGGUCAAUUAUUACAGUUGAUCCAGAGAUGUUUUAAAAUACCUGUGAUCAAAUUAUAAUGUCCACUUAACUCUCUUCUGAUUUUGUAUAAAUAUCCACUUAAUCCCAUAUAGUUUCGCAUCCCUCCAAAUAAUCUUCCGGUUGUAAGGUGGUUAGAUUCUUGUUCUAUCCAUGUGUUUAAGGGAGGCGGAUGCUGGCAUUUCAACUAGCAAUGUUAGGAAUGUUAUUUUUCAUCCAAUUUUUACUUAGGAGUUGUGUAGAUAUAUCAAAAUGUUAGGAGUUGGGUUAAUAGUAAUUUCCUUAAUGCACGAGACCUUGCAUCUUUCCAUGAAAUUAGCAUUCACACGAUCAAAGUCAUCUAGAACUAGAAUAUAUAUAUAUAUAUAUAUAUAUAUAUUGAGAGAGCUAGAACUAGAAUAUUCGAUUCAGAUGCCUCAAGCUCAAUUAGGCAGCAUACGCAUUUCCACAAAACCAAAUGCUUUCACACUCAUCUAUAGAGAAUUUAAUACUUGCAUUGGGUUUCAUCUAUGGUGCAAAGCUGACUCAUCUAUGCAUGGUGGGAAGAGCGAUUAGGGGCAGGAGUGGUCAUUAGACCGCUCCUGAACGGUCUCCUCACAAGCACAAACGUGAGGCAAGAAAUGAUCCAUGUCAGGAAGCCUUAAGCAGGGGUAAAAAAUGACGCCGUUCCAAAAAAGAAAUUGUGACUUCCAAACGGGAUCAGACGGACCAAACGGAAGAGUUGAAAUUUUGAAAAUCAAGUUGAAAUUUUGAAAAUUUGAAUUAGCCACACAAAACAAAAUUGAGGGAAGAGAAUAGGCGUCCUGCUGAAGGUAGCAAUUGACAGAAAACUGGGUGGAGAGAGUUGGGGUAUGGUGUUGCGUGAAUAGUGAAGAAAGCAAACAAUGCAGUGAGAGUGUUGUAUGCAUUUUGAAGCUGGGUAUGAGAGUGUUAUAUCCAUUUUGAAUGUGGGCAAGGCAGGUGGCAAGGUAGAAGCAAACAGAGGAAAUUCAUGAUCUCACGAAGCCAGAUUUUGUCCUUCAACUUAAGAGCAGAAGCAACUGCGCUCUCCGAGUUUGGUGAAACAUAAAACGUAUUAGCAACCAAGGUAACGUGACUGAACCAUGUCAGCAACUGUGGCCAAUCAUUUGUCACCCAAUGCACAUCUGUUAAAUGAAGGAUAAAAUUAGAGUCACUAAAGACAUAAUAUAAAGAUUAUAGAAGAAUAGUGAAGUUAUACCGUAUGUGUGUAUGUGUGUGUGAGCAUUCAGCUUUUCAGUGAUGGACUAUAAUGGGAUAGUAGUUAUCCGAAGACCUAGGGAUAUGUAUUCAAGUAAAGCAUCGAGCAAAAUUAGGGAAAGAUGAGAGAAACAAAGUCACAUUUAACAAGUGAAUGAAUGUACAUCCUGUUGUAAAUUAGUUAUAGGUUAUAGCCACCGUAUUACAAUUAAUAUGAAUCAUUGUGCAUCCAGUAGUUGGUCCAUACUCAUCACGCAAUCUUAGUUUGCCCCUCUCUUGAUCAUGCAGUGUGUAUAAAAUGGAGGUGUAGAGUUGAAUGAGGUGAAACAGAGGAAAAGACAUAUAUGUGAAUAAUAAAUGGGUGUACCUGGUGUUGUAAGUGAAUUACAUGAUGUAAUUUAUAUAUUACAAUGAGUAGAAAAUGUUUGUUUGGCCCUCAAAUGUAGAAAUAGUAGAAAAUGCGGAGUUGGCUUAGACGGUUGUCAUUAACGAAUGACAUAAGGUCUAGUGAGCUAAGGAACCUAGAACCUAAAUAUAAUCACCAGAGUGGAUGUACAUACAAUUUAAAUAGGCUUAUAUCAUGUGACCAGCACAUUACAGUUUGUAUAACUUAGUGUACAGGGAGUUGUAUUUGUACAUAGAUAAUGCCGUUGUCUUAGAGUAAAAGUAAAGUGAUGUGAAUCAUUAAUCAUGUUGAUAAGUGUAAUAAUAGGAUUUGGUAUAUGAGAAUAUACAUUUAUGUUGUCGUUUAUGUACAUAUUACUCAUGAAGUGUUGCAAAUUAGGGUGUUUGAUGCAUAAUUAGUAGGAGCAAAAGUAAUAGAUUGCAACAAAUUGGCAGAAGAUGGGACCCCUGAUUUAGGAAUGGAGUUCAACAGUAAAAAUGAUGCGUACAAGUUUUACAACAAAUAUGCCUUUAAAAUGAGUUUUAGUGUACACAAAAACUAUCUAAAUAAAAACAAAGACGGGGUGACCACGUUUAGGAGAUGUAGUUGCUGCAAGGAAGGUGUGAAGCGCAAGUACGAAAGUGAUGUGAUGCCAAAGAGGACACGAGUGCUGAUGAAAAUAGGGUGUGAAGCUAAAAUGGUUAUCGUGUUACUUAGAGGGACAAUGAAGUACCAUGUGCAUGACCUUGUCUUAGAGCAUAACCGUGAGUUGCACAUUGCUCAAUGUUCGCACAUGAUGCCAUCACAAAGAAAAGCGAGUGACCCUCAAGGAUUCCAAACUGAAAUAAGCGAGGAUGCUGGGUCAUUGAAACAGAGUCAUGAGUUUAUAAGAAAGGAGGCAGGUGGAAUGGGUAAUGUGGGAUAUACUUGGGAUGGCCUUAAAUGAUAUCUUCGUACGAGACGGGAAAGAAACUUGAAAUAUGGAGAAGCAGGUAGCAUGCUGAAUUAUUUUCAAGAGCAAAAACUCAAGAAUCCAUCCUUUUUUCAUGCUGUACAGCUGGAAUGUGACAGCAGAUAACGAAUAUCUUUUGGGCUGAUGCAGGAAUUGUCGCGCCCAAUUUUUAAUGAAAAAUAAAAUUACGAGUUUAUAUAAAAUGAAUUUUGAUUAAUUUUGAGUGAAAAAUGAGUUUUUGAUUUUUAGAAAAUAAAUAAAGAAAAAGGGCCUAAAAUGGGACUCAAAAAGUGCGAUGAUUUUGGCUCAAAAUAAUAGUUUAAAAAGGGUUCUAAGAAAAUAUAGGAGUCGCCACUUGGUAUUGAAUUAAGGUGUACCAAGUCACCUAAAAAUGAAUUUCAAAAUAAAUAAAUAAAAAAAGAGAAAACCCUUUUUCAACGACUCCAAGUUUUCAAAAAUCAGAAAAAAAGUUUGGGAGUCAUAGUUGAAAAAAGGGAAGGCAAGGAUAAAAUCCAAAGCACCCUUUCAAUCUAACCAAGGCUAGUUGCGUGAUUUAGCCAAAUAUUUUCUUAAUUUAACCUAAAAACUUAUCACAUUUGGAUGUUACUAUAUGAAUGCAAACUUAGACCUAAUGGUUAUCGAAAGGGUCAAUAUGUCUCUUCGAAUUUUAGUUUGUACAAAUCGCAUUAAUUGCGACUCCCAAAAGUGACUUUUUGAAGAGGUUACGAAUAUGUAAAAUAUGAGACUCGAAGAAAAGAAAAGAAAAUAAUAAUAUACAAAUAUAUAUGACCUAAAGGAAUGCAUCAUAACGGGUGCGGGGAAUUAAGAUUCGUAACUCAAUUUUCCCUUUUAUAGAGGGAAUACGAGCGUGCUAAGGUUAAGAAGCCAUACUCGUCCAUAUCCCAUAUUUAAAGGGUUAUUUUCUAAUCUAAUCAAGCAAAUGAUCUAACCUAUUUCUAAUUUUCCUUAAAUGAAAAUAUGCAAGUCUAAUGUCAUGUCUUAUAUGCAGGGAUAAGGAAUAUAUAUACAGGGAAAAUAUCAUGCAAAAAUGGUAAGGAUCCUAAAAAGUAGAAAACAUGCAUGAAAUGUAGUGAUUUGUCAUGCAAACAUGAUCUAGCGCAUGGUCGGUUCCGAGGGGUCUAGCGUUGGACUAACCCAUGUCUAUAAGUUCUCACUAGCGUUGGACUAGUGAGAAAUUAAAAAAAGAGCCACAACUAGCGUUGGACUAGUGUGGUGACGUUAUGCGUUUAUUAUAAUCAAAUAAAUCAUAUGAAACAUAAUAAAAGCAAAUAAACUCAUAAAUCACAUAUAGCGCAUAACACAUAAGCAUGAUAUCUAGAUGCAAAGACCUUAGGAAAGCGAGUAAACACAUAAAUCACACAAGCAUGCAAACACAUAAACAAAUGAAAGCGAAUAAAGACCUAACUAUUACAUUUAGGGGCCCUAACUACAAUCUAAAGGGGAAAGAAUGAAAUGAAAUGAAAUGAUAACCUAACUAUUACAAUUUGAUAAUUAAAUGCCUCUCAAAUAACUAAAAAUUAAAUUAAAAUAAAUAUACAAAUUAAAACAAAUGAAAUGAAUAAAUAAAUAGAUGAAAUAAAAAUUCGAAAAAGCAUGCAAUUACACACGUAAAGUCACAUAGGAGCACGUAUGAUCAAGUAAAAUCAAAAUAAAGGAGUAGAGUGUACCUGCCUUGAAUUGGUGACCUAAUAAAAUUAAUUUUCUCUUAUUUACCUCCAACACAAAGAAAAUGGUUAAGGUACCACUUUAAUUAACAAAUAAUCAUAAGAGAUGGAAAUAACAUGAAAUUGAAUCAAUUAAAGUAUUUAAAUAAAAGUAAACAACCCAUAUUCAAGCAAUUUAAAACAAGUGGGGACUUGAUUGGAAGAAUUAAAGAAGUUUGAGGUCAAAUUAUUAUUAUUACAAAUAUUAAGAGUCUAAAUUAAAAUAAAAUAAAAUUAAGGGCUUAAGAUGAAACCUACCAAAACCAAAUGCUAAAAUUCACAAAAAUAAAUCAAAAUCCUCUCACCAAACCCCAAACAAAAUAUUACUCAUUCUAAAUCAUUUGUACAAAAAUCCAAAUCAAAAACUAUAAAUCUAUCAAAAAUUAUUAACCCUCAUAUUUCAUUCUAAAAUUCACAAAUAAUCUGUCCAAAAAUUACAUUAAAAAAAACAAAGAAAAAUAACAUUUUAAAUUUUAAAGGGACAAGAUUGAUAUUUUCAAUUUUCUGGGCCACAGAAGAAUUACUUAAAAAACCAGGGGUUAAAGUGUAAUUUUCGGAAAUGUUCAUGCAGCAUAGUCGAAGACUUCAUCGUCUUCGUUGGGUUUCUUUUUGCUGCAAUUUUUCUACCGCAACUUUGCGGCCAUUUUCUCAAGAGUUCAAGCCCAAAUGCCUGUGACUUAUAUACCAAAUUACAGACAAAAUCCAUCCCAAUAUCAUGCAAUGAGUUCUGACAAGAUAGAUUGCAAAACAAAUGGACUGAUUGCAGGUUAGGAAAAAAGAAAAACAGCAAGAAAACUGAAAAAAAAAAAAACAAGGCCCAGGAACAAGAAAGCAAAUAAAAGUGAAAUGAGUUGGGACAUUAUUUUGGAAUGAUACCUGAGGAAGCUUGUUUUUGAAUCGAAAUCCAAACAGGAAAGCACACGAAAGAGUUGUUGGAGUUGAUUCGUUGUAGCUUUCGACAUGUAACAGCGAAACGGGAUUAGCCACUUCAGGGUCAAAUUUGAUGGUUUUCCUGAUGUUUUUUCUCCGCGAUUUUUGAAUAAGAAUUUCUCUCCUGAUGUCGGACAGUAUGUAGCAAUCAACGGCUUGGUGAAUGACACCGAAUUGAUGAAGAAAAUCUUUUCUUAAGAAGGCUGGAUGAUCAGCUGUAGACACCAAAAAUUUCAUUUAUUUAAUUCUGUUUAGUUUUUAUUUUUAUUUUAGUUUUAUUGUAUUGAUUAAAUGAUAAUUAGUAUGUAUUUUUGCUUUUUUUAUAAAUUAGGUUCACAAUUUCUAUUUUUAAGGUAUUUUUUCAUUAAAUUUCUAAAAAAGGAAAAAUUCUCACAAAAAUUAAAAAUUUGUCUUUAAACCUUUUCAAAUUCAUUUUUUUAAGAUAAAUAAAAUUAAGCAAUGAGGAAUUAAUGUUUUUUUUAUUACUUAAAUUGUCUUUGGAAAACGUCAUAAAUAAAUAAAAAAAGAAGACAAGUGUAAUAUGGGUUAUUCGAUAAGUGUAUUAGGAGAUAGUAGCCAAGUGGGGCACAUGCAAUAGGGACAAGUGUCCCUUUAGUUCUUUAACAAUACAACACCUAGAAGGUGAGGUGUGGGACACUUGGAGGCCUAGGAUAAUUUGGAAGAAAAAAAAACCACAAAAAGAAAAUACAAAAGAAAAGGGUUGGCGGCUAGGGUUUGUGGGGGCUGAGAAAACUGAGAUAUGUAGAGAGAAAAACUAAGAGAGCUUGGGUGGAGAGUCUUCGGCUGAGUGAAGAAAGGGUGAAGAAAAACAGAAGGUGAGUUGGAGGGAAGCAAAAGGCAAAGGAAACAGGCAAGAAAGGGGCGACGGCAAGAAACCAGAGGGAAAAACUGAGAGACAGGAGAGGGGUAAGAGUGAAGCAAGGAAGAAAAUCUCGGACAGCUGAACAAAGGAGGGAGGAAACCAGUAGGAAAAGGAAGAAAGGAAGGAGUUUGGUGGCUGAGAAGGAAGAGCUAGGGCUACGGGAAAGAGCCAAGUAAGGAAGGAAACCAAAAAACUGAGGGAAGAAAGGAAAGAAAGAGAGCCGUGGGGAGCUGUGUGAAACCAAGCAAAGAAAAAGGAUGAGAGGUAGCUACAGGCUGAGGAAAAAGAUGGAGUAACAAGAGAGCUGGAGAGAGGAAAAGAAAGGACCUGGGUAAGAAAAGCUUUCGGCUAAGGGAGUAAGAAAGAAACAAGGAAGAGACCGGGAGAGUGAAAGGGAGAGAGAGGGAGGAACGGCUGAACAAGGAGGGUUUCUGCCUUCUGGACAGGGGAACCAAAGCAAAAGAGGGAAAAACUAGAGAGGAACCUGGGGAAAUUUGGGAAGGAGCUUUGGACGAGACCUUAACUUCUUUGCUUCACCAGACUUACGAAGUUUGCCCACUGACUUCACAUCACUUCACCAUCGAUUCAGUCUAUCAACUACUCGCAGGUAACGAAUACACCUUGAUUUAGCCAACUCAACCCUUUCUAUGAAGUUCGGUGAACCCUCGCAUGAGUUUUCUCGGUUAAUGCAUACUUCAUCUGUUAGCUCCCCUUUUUGUGAUCUCUUUUGAUUCAAAGAUCUGUGUUUUAAUGGCUAAAGAUUCACUAAAAGAGUAUUAGAAAUGGUUAGAUGUUAGAUCUUGAUGUCAUGGCCACAUAGUUGUCGAUUCUUGUUGGUCCCCCGGUUUGGUCUGUUUUUUUCAAAAGUCAGAGCCAAUUUCUUUUGCGGUUUUCUUCAUCCAAAUCUUCUCUGUUUGAUCUUCCAGAGUUGUGCACCAUAGUUGAGAUCAUGUCAAUUAAAUGGGUUGGAGUUUUGUCGGUUUUAGAUUGAUGAACUAAUGGGUUUUGUUUGAGUUUUGUAUGAGAAUACAUGUGUGGGAUGAACUGCAAGUUCGCAGCAGAAAAGGCUUCGUCCAGACUGCAUUUUUUCCGAAUAAAUGAUCAUGACUGUGGUUGACAAUGACUGUGAUUAUACUUUGUGAUGUUGUUGCGCUAUUGAUAGGUUUGGUGUCGGCUCCUUUGUUCAUUUAACGAGUAUCCGAAACUAUGAAUCCAAUUUAGAAGCCAUGAACACCUCUUGUGUUUAGUAAUCCGCAUAUGUAAUCAUCUCAACUCUUGUGUAUAUGAAGUCUGUAUAGUUGAUAAACUAAAAAGUUGUACUUUUGGUCCAUGUUUGUGCGUGUAAUCUGCGUCUAAGAACUCUUGGGGAUGUAAAGAAUGUGAUUUGGGUACGUGCAAUGGUGUUGUCUUGGCUUGAAAGUUUGAUACUCGCUUGGAUCUUGAUUCCAUCCGUGCGGCAUGAAAACCCAGCAACUGGUGGAAAGUUUUUCUUGAAUGAACCUAGAGUUGCUAGCUUUUUCCUCAUUCCAGAUUUUCCUCUCUCUUGUGUGCAUAACAUGGUGUCUUGAUGAUGAGUUUAUGAAAUGUAAUGAGAACUUGGAGGCCGAUCCUUGUUGUUGUUAAAGUUUUUUCUCGCUGCAUGAGGUUGCUGAGGUUUAAAAGCAUAAGAAAAGUUGCAGAAACUCUUCUUCUUCGUAGCUUGCCUGCAAAUCAAAAGAAAAAUUGCAUUUUAACCCCUCAAGUUUCCCUUUAUUUCGCUAUGGCCCAGAAAAUUAGAAAAUUUAAUCAAUUUUGUUCCUUUAAAAGGUUAUUUUUUCUUUGGUAUGUCUUAAUGUGUUUUUUGGACAGAUUGUUUAGGAAUUUUAGGAUAAAAUUUAGAGGUUUAAUAAUUUCUUGAUAGAUUGAUAGUUUUGAUUUGUUUCUUAGUAAAAUAAUUAGAAAUUUUGCGUGAUUUUGUUGUUUAACUAUAGCAAAUGGGUUUUCAUUCAUUUUGUGAAGUUUACCAUUUGAUUUUGAUAGGCUUCAUCUUAAUCUCUUUAUUUUAUUUUAUUUUAAUUUAAACCCCUUAAUAUUUGCAAUAAUAAUGACUUGACCCCUCAAACUUCUUUAAUUCUUUCAAUUGGGUCCUCAUUUGUUUUAAUUUGUUCACUAUAGAUUGUUUAUUUUAUUUGGAUACUUUGAGUGAUUCAAUUUCAUGUUUAUUUCAUAUGAUUAUUUGCUAAUUAAAGUGAUGCCUUGACCCUUUUUAUUUUUUUGCAGGAUAUAUAAGAAAAUCUUUUAUCUCAUUUAGUCACCAAUUCAAGAGAGGUACAUUCUACUCCUUUAUUUUGAUUUAUUUGAUAUUGUGUACUCCUGUGUGACUCUAUGUGUGAAAUUGCAUGUUUUUAUUUAUUUCUUUAUCCACUUUAUUUGUUAAUUUUGUGUAUUUAUUUUAAUUUAAUUUUUAAUUAUUUGGAAGGCAAUUAAAUGCCAAAAUUGUAAUAGUUAGGCUAUUAUUUAUUUCAUUCUUUACCCCUUUAGAUUGUAAUUAAGGCCCCUCAAAUGUAAUAUUUAAGGUUUUAUUUGUUUUUAUUUGCUUUAUGUGUUUGCAUGCUUGUGUGUUAUGUGUUACUCGCUUUCUUAGGACCUUGCAUCUAGAUAUCAUGUUUAUGUAUAUUGUGUUUAUGUGAUCCUAUGUGUUUACUUGCUUUAUCAUGUUUUAUAUGACUAAUUUAGUUAUAAUCAAUGUGUGAUGUCACCACACUAGUUUAAUGCUAGUUGUGGCUCCUUUCUCGAUUCCACACUAGUCCAACGCUUGUGGUUCCUUUUUUCGAUUUCUCACUAGUCCAACGCUAAUGAGAAAAUAGAGACAUAGGUUAGUCCAAUGUUAGACCCUUAGGAACUGUUCGCGCAUUAGACCAUUUUUGUGUGACACAAUCACUACAUUUUCAUGCAUAUUUUUCACUUUUUACGGUUUUAUCAUUUUGCAUGACAUUUCCUCCUUAUAACGUAUAUCCCUUAUCCCAUAUUUUCCUUUAUAUAUAUCCCUUAUUCCAUCUUCCCCAUAUGUAUAUUCCUUAUCCCUAUGUAUGAGACAUGACAUUAGACUUGCAUUUCAUUUAAGGAAACUUAGGAGUAGAUUAGUUGUGAAGACCCGAAAAAAAUUUCUUAUUUUAUCGAAUAUUAAUGGUUUAAUUAAGUAUUUAUCCACCUGUUUUCCCCAAAUAAUUUAUUACGACCAUUUUAAAUCCAUUCGUAUGGAAUAAUGUCUUCAUUAUGUUUUGAAAGUGUCCCGUUAACAACUUCAAUUUUCGGAAGGAUUGGUUAGGCGAGAAAUAGUGAACACGAGUGUUUCGAGGUGAUAUUAUAUUCAAAAGUAUGAUUAUCCUGGGAAAUUAAGAACGGACAAUAGCAGAUUAAGAAAAGUUAAUCGAGAAUUAAAGGUGAAUAAGUUCUAAGUGAGCAUAUACUACUCACGCGGAUAGUUUUCCAAAAGAUGUAUGGAUACAAUUAUUGGAGAUUUGAGGAGUUAAUACUCGACUCAUGUGAGGACUCGUAAAAACUAUUAUUUUAUUUAAACCUAAAUUUAUGGCUUAAUAAAUUAUUUAAUUGGAUUUUUGCCACGGGGAAUAUUUUCUAGUCUUAUUAGACCUAAAUGCAUGAUAAUAUAACUUCGUUAUAUUUUUAAAGUGACUCGUUUCAAAAAUUAAUUUCCUGGAGCGCGUUUAGUAAAAAUAGUGAAUAGUGGGGAUUUUAUCCGCGUAGGAGCACAAUAAGCUUGGAAUAUUGGAGACUUGUACCAUGGUCCUAAAAUAGGUAAUCGUAUGAAUAAAUAUUCAAGUGAUAGUUAGUAGUGCAAUCGUUAUAUGAAUUUAUCGAAGUUCGCGUUAUAACGUUAAAAUUGUCGGUACGCGUUUUCACACGCGCGCUUUAUUUGAGGGACUUUAGACCCUUAUUUUGGGACAAUUAAGAGUGAAUAAUAUUUACAGGAAUAUAAAUGCAUUGGAGGUUUAGUGCACUAGUGAACCAAACGCGCGAGAAAAUCGAGCUCUAAUCGCGCCAAACGCACCCUAAUGUGAGUUGACUAAUGGGUGAUUUGAGGCCACAAGUUAAUGUCUUCUCUUGGAAGCUUAGAAAUCUGAUCACACUCUCUCCUCUACCCAAGACAGCCGACCAGCUCUUCCUUCCUCUCCAACUCCAUUGUUCCAAAAAUUUCUUACCCAAAUCACCACCAAAACAUCUCCAAAUUCAACCAAACUUGCACCAUACUUAGCUUAACACUAGGAGAUCAUUUUGAGCUGCAAAAGGGUGCUGGAAAUCACGGUUUCUUGGAGCAUUUUGAGGGCCAAAAAUUCUGAUUUGGUACACUAAGAAGAUAUAACAUGAUCCAUCACCUUAAACUUGAUUUAUAGUAGUAGAUAUGCAUCUCUAAGUACUUGCAUGUGUGUAUGGGUGACUUGAUAUUGUUGGAAAUUUGAAAAGUGGGCUCUAGGAAUUCCCACACUUGGGUUGUUGCUGAUUUGAUGAUUAAUGGUGGAUAUAUUGUUGGUUUAGUGGUUAAAAUGAUGGAUAAAUGGUGUGUAAUUGAUAGAAACUUCAUUGGGUGCAAGAAGCAAAAAUUUUCCGAAACUACCCCUGUUUUGUUCGGCCAUGAUCAGGCCCAUUUUUGGUGAUUUAUUGGCAUGAACCUGAUGUUUAUAUGUUAUAUGAUAUGUGUAAAAAUUUUCAUUGGAAAACAUUGACGUUUGGAUGGGCAAAUGAAUUCUUUUGAGAAACUAGCAAAUCUGGAAAACUGUUCGCGUAUGAUUCUGACCAGUGGUAGUAUUUCGGUUAUAACUCUGUCCUCGGAUGUCGAAAUCAUGUGCCGCUGGUGGCGUUUGAAACUAGACAUUCCUGGAUUUAAUUGGUAAAAUGCACGUUCUGAUUCUUGUGAGUGAGCCGAACCACUCGUUUUAAGUUAGCUGCUGUCUCUCGGAUUUGCUGGAAUGGCUUGUAGAGGCAGCAACUUGAGGCUCAAUUUUGAGCUGGUUGCUUGCCGAAUUUCAAAACAUUUCCUUCUGUGAACUUUUAGUCCUAUGAAUGUAGUUUCCAACGCCAUAAACACGCUCAAUUCCAAGCUAAAUUGACUGAGUUGUGACUAAAAUAAAAGGACUGCCCUGUUUUGGAAAAACGUAAUAUUUGGGCUGGUUUUGGACAAAAACCGUGAGUGAUCUUAUUAAUUGAAAUUUCGAUGCUAAACCAUUACCAAAGGUAUCAUGGUUGUAUCUUAGACCAUUAUUUCACAAAUGAACCAUGGUUGGAUAGCUUUCUUGGUUAAACGAUUUGAAUUGGGAAAGAAAGUCAAAAGGCAGAUUGCCUUAGAAAUUUUCCGAAACUUUGGAUGAUUAGUUAACUACCUUCCCGAGGGUAUUUUUCCCUGAAUUUGACAGAGAGAUACCUUCCAUAUAGUAUUGAAAUACUGCCAAUUUUUGUAUCAGUCCAAGUUCGUUUCGAUACCUAAUUAAAUUUCUAGUGUUGGAGGUUCAAAUCUGGAAAAUUCUUCUCCAGUCUCGAAAUUUCCCAACUUUGAGCUACCGUAUCUCGGUACCCAAAACUUCGAUUCUUGAUCCGCUUGCUUUGCUAUAAACCUCACUUGCAACUCUAUUUGAGUUAUAAAUUUCAAAGGCCGGUUUGCAACGUGUAAAUCGUGCCGAAUUUUCAAAGUUGGCCGAAAUCCAACUUAAUUCUGCUUGUAAACGAGUCUGCACCUUCAAGCCCAUUUUUUGAGCACUUUCCACUUCGAUUCAUGGAAAAGUGUCUUCUAAGAACUUUUAACACUUUCCAAAAGGUUUCCAACGGUAUAAAGUUUUCCAAUUUUUGACUUAUAUCGGAGAGAUACGAAUUUUCAAAGAUUCAUAACAAAAUUGAAUUUUUCAAUUUUCACGGCAAAGGAGUUUUUCCAAAAACUCUUAAUUUUCUUAGCAUUAUUCAAACGUUUUGCCUCGAUUUUCAUGAUAAAAACUCAAUUAAUAUUGUACUUAAUAAAACGCAAGUUGAAUCUCGAUUUACGAGUAAUUGAGGUUCAUUUUUGUGAAAUAUUCCUUAGAUUGUACUAAUGUACAAUCUUACUUGAUAAUUGAGAUACUUGAGUAAUUAUCCACCAUUAACUGCCAGGCACACAAGGAGACCUUCAAGAGGAUCUCACCGUGGACACUUGAACUCCAGCGAAUAAUCUUUAUUAAAUUGCUCGGUGAGUGUCAAGUGUGUGAAUCUUUGAUACUUGCUUAAUUGUGGUAAUUAUUAGAGAUUUUAAAAAAAUAAGGCGGGGUGUGUACUUUAUCGCAUCCGUUCUGAUUUCAAAUGAAUGAAUGAAAUGUAUUGAAUGAAUGAAUGAAAUGCAAUGCUAUGUAAUGGUUACAUAUGUCAUUGGAGUGAACCUCCUCGACUUUCAAAUGAAUGGGGGACGCCCAAACUCAUAGGCCGACCUUGAACUCGAGCCGGCAAUGGGCUUGGUCGGGAACUUGGGCGAGCCAUGAGAUUAUAAGCUCGACCUAAUAAGAGGUCUUGCUUGGCAUACUCGUCGAGUAUCGCCCUAAAAUAGACUUGUGGGCCCUUGGGGUGUACGGUGGACGGAGGGAAGUAAGUGGUGACCUACGGAAAUGGAAAUACCGACCCGGUUGACAGGAGGGUCAAUACGGGAAGGUAUACGAAUGACAACGGCAGAGCGAGUGGAACUUAGCUCCUGAGAGCUACUAUAUCCUUGAAUUGUUUCUGAUUAUUUUUCCUGCUCAAAUGGUACUUUAUUGAAAUAUCACGGUUUUAUUUAAUAAAGUUGAGAUUGCUAUUUGAACAAUGUGCUUGCAUGUGUGUCCUUGGCCUCACGAGCGUUUUGCUCACCCUGUAGAUUUGUUUUCCUUAACAGGACUGGAAAUGGAGUUAACGCGGAGAAAUCUCCUUUUAGAUAUAUUGUGUUUUAGGGUUUCAAGUGUAUUUUGGCUCGACCCCUUUAUGAUUGUACUUUUGGAAGUUUAAUGUAUCAUUCGGAUAUAUGGGGUGUAUAUUUUGGAAUUUAAGUUGUAUUAUGAAGGCACGACGUGCGGGUGGCAAGCUGAUAGGUACCUUGUGAUGUGACCCUGAGAACUGUAUAGAUAUUGUUAAACAUGAACGUUUCCGCACUAUAUGUAUUUGCACUAAUUUGAUUGUGGUAUCUAGUAUCGCCUUAAGCUUGAACGUUUAUUGCUUGAGUCCUGGCGAGAGCUAGGCAGGCAUUCCGCGGAUACCCUUUGGUGCGCCUUAGGGAGAAGUGGGGGCGUCACAUUAGUGCAUUUGCUUGAUUAAAUAGAGAAAAUACCCUUUGAAUAUGGGAUAUGGACGAGUGUGGCUUUCUAACCUUAGCACGCUCAUAUUCCUCUGUCAAAGGAAAAAUUAAAAGUCACGAAUAUUAGUUCCCCGCACCCGUUAUGAUGCAUUCCUUUAGGUCAUGUAUUUUCGUAUAUCAUUAUUUUCUUUCCUUUUCUUUUAUUUUCCUUCGAGUCUCAUAUUUUGCACAUUCGUGACUUCUUCAAAUAAUCACUUUGGGCAUCGCAAUUAAUGCGAUUUGCACUAAUUAAAAUUCGAAGAUACAUGUCACUACAAGAAAAACUGCUUAUAGAGGCGCAUCAAAAUGUCACAAGUCACGCUUUAUUGAGGCACAUACUUAGUGUGCCAUGUAAAACCUAUGUCACAAAAGCUUUUUAAGGCACAAUUAAGUACCACGACACAGGAAACAAUUCAGACAUUUAGAAGUGCCAACACAAGGUUAUAAUGGUUUCACCAAAAAAUGCCUUAAUUGGGAUUCAACUUUCAAGAACUCGACUUUUUAGAGGCACAAAACAAUGCCAUCUUAACUUUAGGUUGACACUUAAAAAUGCCUUAACAGUCCGUUCUGAGAUAGUAGUAUUUGUCACAAAAUGGUUGUUAUUGAGGCAUGCAAGUAUGCCACUAUAUAGCUUAAUGUAGAUACUGGCAAAUGCCUCUAUAUCAACCUUUAAAAGUGUUUUAAAAUGCCUCAAAAACCUGCUAUGUAACAAGAAAAUUUCUACUACGAAAAACCCUUAUCAUUACGCUUUCAAGUGCCUCAAUAGACUGGAAUUUUUUUUUUAUGCCAGCCACAGGUACUGCUGUGAAUAUAACAUUCCUAUUGUGUCAAUAUAAUCGUACAUUCAUAUUGGACAUCUCACAUUCAAUGACCAAAACCAGCAAUAUUUGAUUAAAAAUCCACUUUCAAAUUGUCACCAUAACCAAUAAUUACAAUUAAAAUACUUAUAACUCCUGGUAGUUUUCCAACCAACCAAUUAAACUUUCAUCCUUGGAAAAAAAAACAUAAUAUUUGUUUUAACAUUCAUCAAACAGCUAGAAUGUCCUACUAAUUGUUUGCCACGAUUUCACCUAAAUAGCACCAGAUAAAUUAAAAUCAACUAAACCGCUAGUAGACCAACUUCUUGUAAUAUGUGCAGCAACACUUUGUCCUUUUACAGUUAGAGCACUUCCAUAUAAGUGGAUAAGUAUCCAUAUGCUGCAACACCUUCUCCACUUUUUGAAUUUCAGCACAUCAGUCUUCGCAAAUUUUUACCUAUAGCACAAGUAUGUUAUGUAUUAAAAUCUAUCGUAAUUAUCGAAUGAAACAAACAUAUGAGAUAUUAACAGUUAACAUAAUUUGAAAGCUAGAAAAGGAAAAACAUACUAGUUUUGUUGGCCAAGUUAUAGGAGCACCAAUUGAAUCAGCAAUUGUCUGCAAAGGCACAUAAGGCCUAAUCAAAUGCUCAUCACGUUCAACCACAACUUGAACUAGCUCUUCACACCAAUUCGAACCUGGUGGUUGGCCCCAACUAUUGUAGAAGGAUCAAGGGAUUGAAGCCGUCCAAUUGCCACAACUUUUGUUGGCUCAUCUAAGCUAAAAAGAGAAAUCCAGUCUCCCUCCUACAUGAAAAUGCAAAACUCGAAACAUCAGAAAACUAACCAUAUGCAAAGCAGUCACAUCAAAAUUCCAGUCCAUGUUGUGUAGUAAGUAAUAUUAUAGUAAGAAAACUAUGAAUCAUACUUCUACAAAAGUCCACAACUACUCAGAGUAACAUGUAACAAAUAUAAAAAUAACUAAACUAAAAUUGCUUUCAAACUGUAAUAGCAAAACAUAUCUACAUGGUCGGACCAUUUCAAGGAAAUCCCUUUCAAGCAAAACAGCAAAAGUGUUACUAAUGUUGAUACAGCCAGCAGCGCAUAUCAAAUAUCUAUCGAAUAGCCUUUGGGAUACUCAGUUAGCAUAUUUCCAUCAACUCUACGCUUCAGUCAGAUUGGAGAAAUUAAAAGCUUCAACAUUACAGUUCAAGUAAUUAACACAGCACAGAGAAAUGUAAUCUUUGGUCAGCAUCAUCUUAGUAAUCUUUGGUCAUUCACGCAAAGAGUAACAUGAGAUAAAUAUAAAAAUAAAUAAACUAAAAUUGCUUUCAUAUUGUAAUACCAAAACAUGCCUAAAUAUCAGAUCAUUAUCAAGCAAAGAGGACUGGCAUUACCGAACAAAUGUAUUAAAAAACUUACUUUAAGAGGUCUAAGACUGGAACUUGAGGUUGAGAUAUGAUUAGAUGAUGUUGAAGUGAUUCUUGAUUGAUUCAGCAAGUUAUGACCAUUUUCUUGCUCUAAAUAAGUUUUCAGGUUAGCAAGUUCUCUUGCUUGAUCUUUAAUUUGUUCCUCUUGCUGAGCAAAUUUUGCCUUCAUCUCUAAUAUUUCAUGUUUUUGAUCCUACACUAGUCGUUGAGAUCCAUUUCGACUGAAAUCAUCACCCCAUACAUCAGUUGGACAUAUACCAAAACCAUACAUCCGUACAUGUCCAUGCUUGUCUUGCCCAACUACUUGUGCAAAUACAUCAUUUUUCCCAAUAGGAUCUUCAGUAUCAGGAGGCAAUUGACUAACCUUUUCAUUCAUUGCAAGCUGCAAAAGUGUAAAGAGUAAGACAAUGAUUACAUUUGUACAAUCCUAAUAUAGAUUAGAAAGUAAUGGAUAGAUCUUUCUAAUAUAUUUUAAAGCAAGUAAACAGCAUAAUGAAAGAUUUUACUUACCAUAAUAUUAGCUGCUGCACUACUAGAUGGGUUUCCUUUGUUAUCAGUGUAGCAGUGAUUGAACAUUUCAACUCGUGAAGGAUUGCGGCCUAAUUUUUUCUUCUGUAUCAAAAAGAAUUUUUGUUUAAACAAAUUGAAAUAAUAUUAAAUAAAGCAUAAUAGAAUAGCCAGAAAUGUUUACCAUGUUUGCUCGAAUCUGGGCAAAUGAUUUCUUCCCGGUAUUAUGAUUAAUGGUCUUCAUUGCCCUUGAUUUUUUAUUUUUUUCACUAAUUUUCUAUAUCACAUACAAAUAAUUUAGAAAUAACUCUAAAAUACUGAUAUACUAUUACAUAAAGGGAAUAUACUACUUGGCGGCGUCUUGAGGCGGUGUGUCAAGUGGUUGAGCCACACAUUAGGUGGUGUUUAGGGGUAGGCCUUGUGGAUUUUUGGAAGGACCGAUGGGUUCUUCAUGAUCCAUUAGAGAGUGUGAUGGCUCUGAGAGGCCUCACUUUCUUGUCUCGGAGUUUAUUACUAGGGAUGGAUGGGAUGAAUUGCGUCUUGCCCGGUGGGUUCCGAGUUUUGUCAUUCAUGCGAUCACGGACAUGCCCUUCGACUUAUCUCAGAAAGAUAGGAUGGUUUGGUUGCCUUCGCCGACGGGUUGUUUCUCGGUUAAGUCGGCGUGGGAGGUGCUCCGGCAAAGGAGGCAUAAAUCCUUGGUUGACUCAUUACUAUGGCCUUCGGUGUUGCCAACAAAAAUGUCAUUUUUUGCUUGGAGAUUGGUGCGCAAUUUCCUCCCUUUGGAUGUGACGUUGCGGUCGCGGGGUUUGUCUUUUCCCUCUAGAUGCGGGUGUUGUUACCUGGAGGAGGAGGCUCUUUUGCAUGUCUUUUUAACUGGACUGGUUGCUUCGGAAGUGUGGCGGCGACUGUCUGGCCAUUUUGGAUUUCAGUUGCGUAAUUGCUCGAGCAUGGCAUCAGUUUCUCUUGGUACUUGACGUCGUCUUCCUCUUCGAAAAACCAUAUUCGGACAUUUAUGCCAGUCGUAGUGUGCUGGUUUCUUUGGUCUGCAAGGAACCAGGAACAUUUUCAGGGCGUGCGAUGAGGAGUGGAAAAGGUAAUCCGCGAGGUGGAUUGUUUUUUGGAACAGCUUGGGAGGGCAAAUAAGCUUCGUCGGUCGCAUUUCACAGGUGAUGCUGAUUGUGAUUUGCUGCGUUUGAUCACAGCCCCUCCGCGGAGGAGGACCCCUUGUGCGGUUGCAUGGGAGAAACUGUGAGGACUCGCAAAAUUUACUUAUUUAAUCUCCUAUUUCUAGCUUAUUUAAUUAUUUAUUUGGUCUUUUACUCCGAAUAUUAUUUUCUAAGCUCUUGAGACCUAAUUACAUGGAAAUAUAGUUUCAUUAUAUUUUUAAAAUGACUUGUUUCAAAAAUUAAUUUCCGGAAGCUCGUUUAGUGAAAAUAGUGAACACGUCUUUGGAAAUCUUGACUGAUUGAGAGUACAAUAGGUUUGAAAUAUUGGAGACAUGUACAAUGGACCUAAAUUAGGCAUUUUAAUGUUUAAAUACUCGAGUGAUGGUUAGUAGUACGGUCGUUAUAAGAAUUUCUCGGAGGUUUCGCAUUAUAGCGAUAAAAUUGACGGUACACGUUUCCACACGCGUGACUUUAUUUGAGGGACUUUAGACCCUUAUUUCGGGAUAAUUAAGAGUGAAUAUUAUCUACAUGAAUAUAAAUGCAUUAGAGGUUUAGUGCACUGGUGAACCAAACGCGCGAGAAAUCGAGCCUUAAUCGCGCCAAACGGCUCCUAAUGUGAGUUGACUAAUGGGUGAUUUGAGACCACAAGUUAAUGUCUUCUCUUGGAAGCUUAGAAAUCUGAUCACACUCUCUCUCUUGCUCCCUCAUCUGGCCGAACAACAAGCAAGAAAAACAGCUCAAGAGUUCUUCAAAUUCCUCCAUCAAAUCUUCACCAAAUCUUCUCUAAUUCACUUCAAAUUUCACCUACACUUAGUAUAACACUUGAGGAGUAUUUUGAGCUGCAAAAGGGAGCUGAAAAGUCACGGUUUUCUGGAGCAAAGAGUGACCAAAAUUUCUGAUCUAGUCAUCCAAGAAGGUAGCAAAUCAUCCAACCCAUAGAUCUUAGUUUUUGUAAGAUAUAUUGCACAUAUAAGGUUAUAUAAUCAUGUGGGUAGUCUUGUUUAUGGUAUAAAUGUGAAAGUGGGCUCUAUGAACUCCCACUCUUGGGUUGUUGCUGAUUUGUUGAUUGAUGGUGGAUAUAUUGUUGGUUUAGUGGUUAAAAUGAUGGAUUAAUGGUGUGUAAUUGAUAGAAACUUCAUUGGGUGCAAGAAGCAAAAGUUUCCGAUUUUGCCCCUGCCUUGUCCGACCAUUUUGUGCACAAUUUUGAGGUUCUAAUGACUUGAUUAUGUUGUUUAAAUGUUAUUGUGAGUGUGUACAAAAUUUCAUUGAAAAAUAACAUGAUUUGGUUGGUCAAAUGAGUUGAUUUCCAAAGUUAGCAAAACUGGAAAAUGAAUCCCGUAUUGCCCAGGCAGUCAUUUUGUAUCAGCCAUAACUCUUUCCUCCGAUGUCAAAUUUAAGUGCCGUUUGCGGCACUGGAAACUAGACAUUCCCAGAUUUCCAUUGGUACCAAAUUCACUUUCUGGUUCCACUUGAGUGAGCCACACCAUUCGAUUGAAAAUCACUGUCCUGUUUCGUUUCUCUCCAGGAGACAGGACAGGACUUGUAUCUUGAUGCUCAAAAACGAGCUGUUUGUGGAUAGAAUUUCGGAAUGGUUUCUUCUGAUAAAAUUUGCCUUUAUGAGAGAGCUUUCCAACGCCAUCAACCACGCUCAAUUCCAGGUUGAAUUGAGUGAGGUUUGGCCAUAUUUCGAAACUGAUGCAGUGAGUAAAAAUCCUCUUUUGACUAGUUGAAUGGCCUAGCUUGAUUUGGGACUUGUUGUUUUGGAAACUUUGAUGUCCAACAUCUACCAAACUUUAUAUUAGAUGUUCCUUGGACUUUGUUUUACAAAUAAACCAGAUUUGGGUUGGUUGCAUUGGACAAAAUGUUUAAAAAGAAAGAAGAGCUAGAAGACAGUUUUGCCUUGGGAAAUUUCUAGAACUUUGAUGGUUUAGUUAACUACCUUCUCGUGUGAAUUUUCAAAUGAAAUUUGAUAGAGGAGUGGUCCUCAUAUGGAGGUUUAAUUGUGCAAAAUUUUGAUAUUCUAAGACCAUUUUGAUAUGCAAAUGAUGACCCGAAAUUGCUCUUCGAAUCUGGAAAACUUUUCCUUUUCUCUUAGCCGAUUAGCCAAUCUUGACUUGGGACUUGUCAUUCGAAAUUCUUGGUAUAAAUCACCUACCAAAUACAGCUUGGAUGUUUCUUAGACAUUAUCUACGCAAAUGAACCAUAUUUGAGAGGUUUUUAGUGGCCAAAUGUUUGAGAAAAGGAAAACAAAGGUACGAGGCAGAUUGCCUUGGAAAUUCUUGAAAACUUCAACAGUUUUGUUAAUUGACUCUUCGUGCUAGAUUUUGCUUGAAAAUUUGCAGAGGAAUAACCCCUAUAUGGUAGUGUAAUACUGCUAAAUUUGGUGCCAUUCCAAGUCCGUUUCAGUGUUCAACCAACGUCCCAAAGUUCAUGUUUAAAUCUGAAAAUUCUUGAUCGAGGAGGAAAUUUUAGCCAACUUUGAGCUGCUAUAUCUUGGCGCUCAAAACUUUGAUCCUUGUUCCGUUUGUUUUGUUUUAAACUUUGAUUGUAACUCUAAUUGAGUUCUAAAUUUUGGAGGAUAGUUCGUAUUGUGUGAAUUUUUCUGGAUUUUCAAAGUUGGUCAAAAACCAACCCCAAAACUGUCAUAAUGGUCCCAAGCAGCAACUUUGAGUCAAUUUUUGAAUAUCUUCCGUUUGGAAUCCUGGAAAAGUAUCUUCUAGGAACUUUUAGUGCUUUUGAAGAAGUUUCCAACGGUAUCAAGCUUUCUAAUUAUGGACCUACAUAGUGCAAGAUACGAUUUUUCUAAAUUGACACCCAAAGCUGAAAUUUGUCAAUUUCUUAGAAAAUGAGAUUUUAGAAACUUGCCUUCUUUUCUCGAUACCGAUUGAACAUUUUGAACUCGAUUUCAUGGAAAAUGUUAGUCUCUCUCUUUAGACUUUAAGAACUCCUCUUGAAUCUCGAUUUACGAGUAAUUGAGGUUCAUUUUCAUAAGAUUUCCUUAGAUUGCUAGCGUACAAUCUUUCUCGAUAAUUAGAGAUUUGUAGUGAUAUUGAGUGGUAGUUGAUUAUUGUUUACUCAGGCACUCGAGGGAAUCUCCAGAGGAACUCGGAGCGGACACCUAAAAUGCUUGUUUGAGAACUACUCGCUUGUUUUGACUAGGUGAGUGUUCCAUAUAGGAAUACGUAAUUGAAUAAGUCUAGGACACGCUUAUUUCAUGAUUAUUAAGUGUUAAGUGCUAUGUGUUAAGUAUUUACCAUACUCAUGCCUAUUUAAGGAAUGUAUACUUGCAUUGUAUAUCUACAUGAAUUGGUUAAAUGAUUAACCAUAUCAAAUGACCAUAUGAACUCGAUACAUGCUUAACUUGCUAGAUUGCUUGCUUAGCCUACUCGAUUUUGAAAAUGGAGUCGAGUGUGUACUUUAUCGCACUCGUUCUCUUUUGAGAUGAAUAACUCAUGCUUGGAAAUGCUCGAAUAACAUGACUUGGUAUGCUAAGGUUGCAUACGUCGUUGGAGUGAAUCUCCUCGACUCUCACAUGGUAAAAAUGGGAUAACGGCCAAUGAUGGCCUAUUCAUAUGACAAAUGCCUGUCAAUUAACCGUCACUACUUAACCGUUAACCGUUAACCGUCAACCGUUAACCGUGAACCGUUUACCAACCAUAUGACUACUUGAUUACUUGACUAUUUGCUCACAUGAUUUCCAAUCUACAUGACUAUUCGAUAUCCGUGAAUUACAUGCUCCCAUGAAAUCAACUUGUAUUGCUUACGUGCUUACGUGCUAAGUAUCUACUUGAUUACUUAUUAUCAUGAAUCACAUGUUAUAUGAAGCUGUCCAUCAUUAUUAGGCGAGUGUGUACUUUACCUCACUCGACCUACUCAAAUGAUGAAUUUUACCUUUUGUCGAAUUACUUGGUUACCUGUGCAUGUUGUAAGCUCUAAGCUGAACUUGGGCCCUGCCCUUGGUUACUGACCUACUCGAGCCAGGACUGGGCUCGGUCGGGUAGGUUGGAACCCUGGGCCACCGUUUCGGUAUACUCGAGUAUUACCACUGGAGGGAUAAGGCGAUGGCCAGACCGUACCGUGGGAUCCGGAAGUCAUAAGGUGCAGAUGACCGACAGAGUUCCACUGGAACACCGUAUCCUACAGUAUAUGUUUACCUGGUAUCAUGAUAAUUGUUUCAUGCUAAAAUGCCAAUAUGAAAUCCUGAGCUAUGCCUGUAAUAAGCUUCACUCGUGAACUAUACAUGCCAAUGUCUUGAACCAUAAUAACUGUCUCAUGAUAAAUGUCUCAAAUUACCGUACAAUGAUUAUCACCUCAUGAUAACAUGCCAUUGUGUAACCUUGAACCAUGCAUAUGAUAUGCCCAAUCUACUUGAUUUAUUUGAACUGUUAGAGUGUCUUGGAACCUCACUGGGUGUGUAGCUCAUCCACGUUGUGGUUUUCUUUUACAGGGUUCGAGACCAAGGGUGCUCGUGAGUAGUACUAGAUUGUUUCUUUUGAAGAUUUAAGUUAUAUUAUAACGGAUGGCUAUUGUACCCUUUUCCGUUGGGUUGUAUUUAAGCUUGAAAGCUGUAUAAUUGUAAGUGUGAGAUAUUUGAAGUACUUUAAUUAUGUAUUGAAGUUACUUAAAGUAUUUCGAGCUUUUGAAUGAUGGAUUGUAGUGAGUCCUGGCGAGAGUGGGCAGGCGUCCCGCGGAUACCCUUUGGUUCGCCUUAGGGAGAAGUGGGGGCGUCACAGUUGGUAUCAGAGCUUAGGCUUCAGAUCUUUGUAGUGUAUCUAGGCUUAAAUGUUUAGGAUGCCGGACUGUGGGACUGUUCUGAAAGUUAAAUGAUUGCUUGUAGCGAUGAAAUUUAGAGCCACUUCACGUGGUCUCUACAAGGAGUAAGAUAGGGCCAAGUGGUGUUAUGGUCCUUACUAUGUGAUUGAGUAAAGACUUAAGUGCCCUUCUAGAAAUGUAAGCUGUGAAUCAUGAAUGUUAUAGGUUGUAAAACCUUUAUCUUGAUAAUUGGAGGGAAUUUGAUAUGUAUGUUGGGUAGGAAUCUCGAAUGUGGUGAUUUACUCUUGGGACCGGCCGGCUCGAGUGUGAAUUAUCCUAUUUUGGAUUCUUGUACCGAGUAUUUGAGAGUUGAUGGCAACCAUAAGGACUUUAUAUCUCCAUUUGUGGGAAUAAGAAUGAAUCGAUAUUUCAUGUGAAUGGUUACAGGAAACCAAUAAUUGUUUGGUUAAGAUGGUACAAUAAUUAAGAGUGGAAGAUGAAAAAGAUCGCAACCCAAAAGAUCCUUGUGUUGGGAUUGAAAUCGAGCAUGUUAGGGAACGAGAAUCGUCUAGUUCCAAUUAAUCUAGUGAUUCUACUUGUGAUCUUUCAUAGUGAGACGAUGGGAGUAGAACUUAAGAGUUUGCGCCUUGGAGAUGAAUGUACUUGUGAUAAUCACUUGUUUAUUUUUGUUAUUGACUUUGACUUGGCAUGAACUUUACUUGGCCAUAAUUUGUGUUAUGAUUUAAUGAACUCUAGUUUGUGUUUACUUGCAUAGUGAUAAUGUUAUUUGUGAAAGUGUCUUCAUCCUCUUUAAAUGUUGCUACUGGUAUAUGAGUAUAGUUCAAUUUUAACUAAGUGUGAGGUUUAUGCAUGUGCGUAUAGAUUAGUUGUGAACAUGGAAACUAGAGGACAACGAAAGGGACGUCAACCUAGACAACCCCGAAAUGAAAGAGUAGCUAAUGGGUCCGAUAUUGAUCAAAACGUUGAGCUAAGUGCUGUGGACUAGGUACAAGAUGAGCAUAGGUAUUGUAGUGACCAUUGAAGACCUCGCUCCUUGUGUAAACUCGUGGAACGUGGUCGAUUCUAAUGUCUUGAGGGUACACAUAGUUUGAUCCUCCAAAGACGUGAACAGCGUUGAAAUCAUCCGAUUCCAUGAAUGGGAACCAAAUUGAUCUAACUCCUAGAAGACAAACUCCAUGGAAACUCGCAAAUUGUACAAGUGACUUUGGGAUGGAACAUUGUAAGAUCAAAGCGAUUGCACUUUCUUAACCUGCACAAAACAAGGAACACUAGACAGAGCAAUGUUAAGGUGGCAAUAAACCCCCUCACUCUCAUUUUUGUUGAAACUUAAAAUCUCAGUCAAUACUUUGGAUGUUUCAAUCUCUUUCUCAUGCUCAAUAGCUGUCUUUUUCCUCUCAUUAUUUUCAACCUCUUUCUCCUUUUCAACUCCCUCGGAUUUUACCUCAUCAGUCACAAUUUCCUCAUCUAGCUCUUUUUUCAUACUAUAAUGCUCAUGCUCACUUUUCAUGUAUGCUAGAUCAGUACAAAGUUGGUCAUAAAUAAGUGGUACAAGUGCAGAACGACGACCAUUAAAUAAGAAGGAAUACUUAUUAGUAUGUCCAUCAUAUUUAACUUCUCGCCUCAACAUCCACGCCUUGCCCAGCAACACAUGUGUCAUUUGAAUUGGGACUACAUCACACAACACCUCAUCCACAUACUUGCCAAUUUGAAUAGGUACAAGUGUGUGCUUAGUAACCCAAACAUCACCAUGAGCACUCGGCAACUUAUACGGUUGAAGAUGAUCAAUAGUUGGAAGAUUUAAUUUGUGAACCAUGAUAGCGCUUGCAAGAUUGAUUUCACAACUCUUAUCAAUGGCCAAGCUGCAUGUUUUAUCUUUGACACCACAACGAGUAUAAAACCAAUCAUGCAACUGAGAUUUGACGAUAUCCAAUUGCUCAUCUACACCACGUAAUGCUACUUCUUUGACUCCCUUAGGAUCAAGAAGAAGAUGUUGUAAGCUAGCUUUUAAAUGCCUCGUAUUCGCCAUGAUGUAUGAGGAAACCUGCAAAAAAUUAGUGAAACAAAAGAUAUUUUUCCUCGCCACACAAGCUCACAUGUUUACACUCGUCACUCGUGUACCACUCAAGUGUUUAAAACACUCUAAUUAACUCACCAAGGUAUUUUCAAGGCUCCUCGGUCAACUCCUCGAACAAGUUAGAACUCCUUCUAGUGUGGAUCGACUUACCAACCAGGGUCACAAGAUUGUAGCACUUUGAACGAAAAAAAAAUAAAGGAUGAAGGGACUGACCACGACUCAAAGAAUGACUCAAAGUUGAAUUUUAAGGAUCCUAGACAAAACUCUACCCAAAACUGGAAUUUUGAGCUGCUGGUUGCUGCAUUUUUGGGCAAUGUUUUGGUAGAUAAAUGGACACUUAGAGGAUUCAGAAUGACACUUAAAACUGACCUAAUGAUGCACAAAAAUUUCCAGAAUUCAUGAUUGGACAGAAAUCCCCAAUGGUUGCAAAGAUGGAAUCCGAAUGGAAGAUGAAUUUGUGUUGCGGUAGGACUGUUUUGGAAACCCAAGGCUGGCUUUUCUUCCUUAAUCCUUUGGAAAUGAGGAUUAGUCUUCCUAUUUACUGGUUCCCAUGAAUUCUAAGGUCAAGUUCAAGAUUGGAAUUGAUUUGGUUGUUUUUGGGAACAAGGGUGGAAAAUUUGACUUGAACAGGUUGGAAAAUUUGACUUGAAUAGGUUGGGAAAUUUGACUUGAAUAGGCUGAAUGUUCUUCUUCUUCCUUUGUUUUUGUUUUAUAAUCAGCCAAGAAGAGUCAAAUUUCGUGGCUAAAAUGUUCUUAGUCAAGAAAGAAGAUUGUUGUGGUGAAGACAAGGAUUUUGGCAGCUGGAAUUUUGUUGCCUUGUUGUUUACCAAGAUUUGGUUCCCAAAACCCAGAAACUUCAAGAUUCUUUCAAGAAUUCAAGAUGUUAAUUUCCAGAAUUCAAGAAACACGAAAUUGAAGAUGAUUUCCUCCCCAAACAAUACAAGAUUUCACGAUUUGAUCAAGACAGAUUUGCAGGAAUUUUUGAUCAAGUUUUGUAAGGUUAGCCAGCUAUUUUUUUUUUUUUUGUAUGUAAACAAGAACACAAGGUAAUAACUAGAUAGGACUCUAAAACCCUUGCUACAAACUGAUUUUUUUCGGAUGAACAGUAACCUCGAAUGAUCAAAUAGAACAAAAGACUGGAAUUGAAUGGAUAUAACAGGAUAGAAACAAGACUCAAACAAAGAAUCAAGAAUAAGACACAAAAAAAAAGGCUGGACCAAACAAGGCUAACCACAGCAAUUAACAACAACUAGACACAAGUUCAUGUCGUAACAAAUCUGGAAAAAUAACGCAAGAACACGAAGUAACAAAUCUGGAAAUUGCGGAUAGCAACUUAGAACACGAAAACAGAAUUUUCGACAACUUGACUCGAAAAGCAAAUAAAAAAAAGGAUAUAACGUGAUACCUCUUAAUUAGCUCUGAUUACCAACUGAUACGAACGUCGCCAACCUUGUGACGAAACCCGUAAUAGAUUAGCUUCAGGAUCGACAAGAGGACACCAAGUUUGAAGCGGAUGACCUCAACCCGUUAAUCACGUGGUUAACGAACCUUGGUAUAAUGGUAGAAGACGCCACAACCUAGUGCGAUUCUAGAUUGAUAAGUCACGAACACCUAGAGAAAUUCUAAGGUAUUCAAGAAGCCUUGGAGGAAACCAAGAAAACUCUCAAAAUCUGAUUUAUUGAUUGAAUGCCUAAACCAUUGGAAGUGUGGGCUAUUUAUAGCCUUACAUAGAGAUGAACAACUAAAUGUGGAACUAGUCUAGAGUUGUGGUCUUGACUAAGACUAACAAUUGUAGGCUUGACUAUUUCCAUAAGACUAAGAAUUGUGGGCUUGAUCAAACCUUAUGAGGUCAUCCCUUAGGUAAACAACCUUAUGAGGUCAUUGCUUAGGUAAAUAACCUUAUGAGAUCAUCGCUUAGGUAAAUAAAGCAAGGCUAUGGACCAUUAAGCCCUUAUUACAAUGACUUAACUAAAACAGCAAAUGUGACUAGAGAAGGUCACACAUGGUUCUCUUUGGCGUGCACUACAUGGAUGACUUUCAUUCCUUCAUGCUCAAGCCCCUCCAUGACCUUGGGAACAAUUUCUUGGCCUUGUAUCUCAUGAACAAGUCCUUGGAGUUCCUCCCUCAUCUUCUUAGCUCGUGCUCGAGUUACGGGUCCUAGGGGAACUCGAAUAGUUCGCAAUGGUGUCUCUUGGUUCGUAUCACCAAGUGUCCAAAUCAGAUCAAACUUUCCAAUUUCCGAAUCUUGAAUUCUUGAAUUUUCCUAAAACCGUUGGAGCAAUUGUAACACCCGAUUGGGCUGAGUUUUAGGUAGUAGAGUGCCCAUUAUUUGAGCAGCCUAAGGCCACCCAAAAUACUCCAAAACCCUUACCAAAAAGACCACGGACCAGCAGCUCAACAAAUUCCAGAAAAUUGGGUUUCGGGUAGAGUUUUCUAGGAUUUUCAAAAUUUCAGCAUUCAAGUUAAUUGUCUUACUUUCUUUUGAGUUGUUAGUUAUUGUCCAGCUAUAUUCUGAGUCUUGAGUCGUGUCUAGGUCUUAGUCAUUAACCUCCAUUUAUUGCUACUAGCUUGUGUGUCACCUGUUGACUAGUCAAGAACGUACAUUGCGGUGACGCCUAGUUUGUUCAACUCAAACAACUAGCAAGCCAAGGAAUUGCUUGGUAAGAUUAUUAGAGAGUGAUACACUUGAGUGAAACACGAGUGUGAGUGACCUAUACAUCGUAUUAAAAAAAAGAGAGAGAGAGGAACUCGUUUUGUUUAUUUGUUUUGCAGGUGGACUAAAUAUGUCUAGUGAAGUUGGUGAACAAACCAUGGACAUCAAACUACAGUUGGAAGCCAUGAUGAGGGAGUUCAAACGAUUGCUUAAGAAUGAAAUUGAGCCAUUGCAUGAUCGAAUUGAUCAGUUGGAGAACUCGAGACCUCCACCUACCCCGAGUAAGGGCAAAGAAUCGGCAUACUCAAACGAUGAAGAGGAAGCAUUUGAGGGAAGGUACCAAAAUGAUCAAAGGUUCCAACGUCGAGGAGACGACACCAUUAAAGGUGUCAAACUCAAGAUUCCCUUAUUCCAAGGCAAGUCGGAUCCCGAGGCGUACUUGGAAUGGGAACGAAAAAUUGAGUUAGUCUAUGAAUGCCACACCUAUACGGAGGAGCAAAAGGUGAAACUAGCAGCCGUAGAAUUCACUGACUACGCCUCCAUUUGGUGGGACCAACUUAGACUAAGCCGAAGGAGAAAUCGUGAGAGACCUGUGGAAACUUGGGAGGAAAUGAGGAGUCUGAUGAGAAAAAGGUUCAUUCCGAGCUACUAUAGCCGAGAUCUACACCGUCGGCUACAAGCUCUCAACCAAGGGUCCAUGUCAGUUGAGGAUUAUUACAAGGAGAUGGAAAUGGCCAUCAUGAAGGCGGAUUUGCGUGAAGAUGGAGAGGCCACGAUGGCUCGUUUUCUACAUGGAUUGAGGCCCGAGAUUGCUGAAGUAGUGGAACUCCAACACUACCUCGACAUGAAUGAAAUGCUAGAGAAGGCGGUUACCAUUGAACGGCGCCUCAAGAGGAGGGGUACUGCACGACAAAGCACUACUUAUCAAGCUGGAAAUUGGCGCACUUCUCAACCAAAAAGGGAGGAGAAGGCCGCAGCUCCUUCUUACCCUCCAAGGCCGAAUGGCCUCCCUUCCAAGGCAGCGCCCAAGCCUGACUUUAAGGCUAAUAAUGCAGCUUCCCAACCACGUGGUCGAGACACCAAGUGCUUUAAGUGUCAAGGAUUUGGCCACAUCGCUUCUCAAUGCCCCAGCCAAAGGACCAUGCUGAUGUUGCCAAAUGGGGAAAUUGUAUCAGAUGAGGAAGAGGAGUACGAGGGGAUGCCACCUCUAGAAGAGGAAGAGAAUGAAUCGAGUGAGGAGAUACCUACGCAUGAGGAGAUUGGAUGCCUAGUGGUUCGAAAGGUCCUCACUACCCGCGCCAAAGAGGAGGAAAUGGAGGUACAACGGGACAACCUUUUCUACACAAGGUGUCAUAUCAAGGAUAAGGUGUGUAGUGUUGUUAUUGAUAGUGGGAGUUGUGCCAAUGUCGCUAGUCUACUCAUGGUAGAAAUGCUAGGGCUCCAAGUUAUCAAACAUCCAAGACCUUAUCGCCUUCAAUGGUUGAACAAUGAAGGGGAAAUACGUGUGUUUAGACAAGUGAAAGUGCCAUUCCGAAUUGGCAAGUAUGAAGACGAGAUUACUUGUGAUGUCGUGCCCGUGCAAGCAAGUCACCUCAUUCUUGGACGGCCUUGGCAAUAUGAUCGCGAUGUCGAAUUCAAGGGAAGAGCUAAUAAAUAUGUCUUUACUCAUUGCAAUAGAAAGGUGACACUUGUACCUCUCACCCCAAAACAAGUGUAUGAAGAUCAAAUGAGGCUCCAAAAGGAGUAUGAGCUAGAACUUGAGAGGAAAAAGCGAGAGAAAAGUGAGGAAGAAAAAGGAGAGAGAAGGGCCGAACCCCUAGGGAAGAAAAAGGCAACAAGUGGGUCGGCUAUGAGAGAAGAAAAUAAGGGGAAGCUAAGCUUGCUAGCAAAAGCCAAAGAUGUAAGGCGAGCUUUGUCUUCCAACCAACUCUUACUUAUGCUUGUGUGCAAAGAAGAGUUGGUCACUUCAUCCAUAUCCACUGACUCCUUGCCUUCUACUAUUUUACCUCUCUUGCAGGAAUUUGAGGACAUAUUUCCUGAGGAUGUACCUGAUGGACUACCACCACUAAGGGGAAUCGAGCACCAAAUCGAUCUCAUUCCUGGAGCACCAUUGCCUAACAAACCAGCCUAUAGAAUGGGUCCUGAGGAAACAAAGGAAUUGCAAAGGCAAGUGGAGGAAUUGCUAAGGAAAGGUUGGGCUAGAGAAAGUCUAAGUCCAUGCGCUGUACCAGUGAUUCUCGUGCCAAAGAAAGAUGGAGCGUGGAGAAUGUGCACCGACUGUCGAGCAGUCAAUGCAAUCACGGUAAAAUAUCGUCACCCUAUCCCUAGGUUAGAUGAUAUGUUAGAUGAAUUGCAUGGUGCCAUUAUAUUUACUAAAAUUGAUUUGAAAAGUGGUUACCACCAAAUAAGAAUGAAAGAGGGAGAUGAGUGGAAAACCGCUUUCAAAACUAAACAUGGUCUAUACGAGUGGUUAGUAAUGCCAUUUGGUUUAACUAAUGCACCUAGUACCUUCAUGCGUUUAAUGAACCAUGUUUUGAGACCUUUUCUUGGGAAAUUUGUAGUGGUUUACUUUGAUGAUAUUCUGAUUUAUAGCAGAAGCUUAGAGGAACACCUUGAGCACCUCAAAGCCAUCUUUGAAGUACUUCGAAGGGAAAGGCUAUAUGCCAACCUUAAGAAGUGCACAUUUUGCACUGAUCGUGUUGUGUUUCUAGGAUAUGUUGUAAGUGCGCAGGGCAUUCAUGUAGAUGAAGAGAAGAUUAAGUCCAUCCAAGAGUGGCCAACACCUACCUCAGUAAGUGAUGUGCGCAGCUUUCAUGGAUUAGCAAGCUUCUACCGUCGUUUUGUGAAGGAUUUUAGCACCAUCGCUGCACCUCUUACCGCAGUCAUAAAGAAGAACGAGAAGUUCUUUUGGGGGGAAGCCCAAGAUAAGGCUUUCCAAUUGCUGAAACACAAACUCACACAUGCACCACUCCUUGCAAUACCUAACUUUGAUCUCACUUUUGAAGUGGAAUGUGAUGCAUCAGGUGUAGGAGUAGGAGCCGUACUCAUGCAAGGAGGGAGACCGAUUGCCUACUUUAGUGAGAAAUUAAAUGGCGCGGUCCUCAACUAUUCAACUUAUGACAAGGAGAUGUUUGCCCUUGUACGUGCUUUGGAGACAUGGCAACACUACCUACGUGCUCGGGAAUUCGUCAUCAAAACUGACCAUGAGUCUCUCAAGCACCUAAAAGGACAACAAAAGCUGAGCAAACGACAUGCCCGAUGGGUAGCCUUCAUUGAGUCUUUUCCAUACGUCAUCAAAUACAAAACAGGUAAGUCUAAUGUCGUAGCUGACGCUUUAUCUCGUAGACACAUUUUGCUCACUGCUUUAGAUGCUAAACUCCUAGGCUUUGAACUCAUGAAGGAAUUGUAUAAGAAUGACUUGGAUUUUGCGAACGCUUAUGCGAAUUGGGGAAAAUCUGACUUUGAAAAAUUCUUCGUACAUGAUGGGUUCUUAUUUUAUCUUACCAAGUUGUGCAUUCCUCGAGGGUCCAUACGUGACUUACUUAUUCAGGAGUCACAUAGUGGUGGACUAAUGGGACACUUUGGUGUCACCAAGACAUUAGCUGUAUUACAGGAACACUUCCAUUGGCCUCGCAUGCGCAAGGACGUGGAGAGGAUUGUUGAAAGAUGUGGCGUGUGCCACAAAGCUAAGUCUCGGGUCAACCCAAACGGUUUGUAUACUCCUUUACCCAUACCUCACCAACCUUGGGUUGACAUUUCCAUGGAUUUCGUGCUUGGGUUACCUCGUUCAAAGUGUGGCCAUGACUCUAUAUUUGUUGUGGUAAAUAGGUUCUCCAAAAUGGCUCACUUUAUUGCAUGUCAUAAGACGGAUGAUGCUUUACACAUUGCUGAUUUAUUCUUUAAAGAGGUUGUUCGUUUGCAUGGCAUACCUAGGACUAUAGUAUCUGAUAGAGAUGUCAAGUUUUUGAGCUAUUUUUGGAAAUCUUUAUGGGGUCGGUUGGGAACCAAACUGUUGUUCUCUACCUCUAGUCAUCCUCAAACGGACGGACAAACUGAGGUAGUCAAUAGGACUUUAUCCACACUCCUACGUGCAAUCAUCAAGAAAAAUAUCAAGUCAUGGGAGGAGUGUCUACCUCAUGUUGAGUUUGCAUACAAUAGGGCUGUGCAUAGUGCUACACAAUUCUCGCCUUUUGAAGUUGUGUAUGGUUUUAACCCCUUAACUCCCUUAGAUUUGUUGCCAUUACCUUCUUCUGAGCGUAUGAACUUAGAUGACAAGAAGAAAGCUGAGUUCGUGAGAUCAUUACAUGACAAGGUUCGUACCAAUAUCGAGAGGAGGACGGCCCAAUAUGUCCAACAAGCUAAUAAGCACAGGCGCAAGCUUGUCUUUGAACCAGGUGAGUGGGUCUGGUUACAUUUACGCAAGGAGAGAUUUCCAAACCAACGGAAAAGCAAGUUGUCACCAAGAGGAGAUGGGCCUUUUCAAGUCAUUGAGCGCAUCAACGACAAUGCAUACCGCUUAGAUCUGCCUGGUGAGUACAAAGUUAGUGCUACAUUCAAUGUUGCUGAUCUAAGUCCAUUCAUUGCAGGGGACGAGUACGAUUUGAGGGCAAAUCCUUUUCAAGAGGAGGGGAAUGAUGCGAUUGAGCACGAGACCCAAAGUGUACAAGUAGACCCUGUGAAGGUGCCCCUAGGCCCAGUGACACGAGCACGAGCUAAGAGAUUCAAGGAGUCCCUCCAAGCUUUGGUACGUGCCAUCCAAAUCCAAGAGAAACCGGCCAUUGAAGGAAUUGAGUUGGAAUAUCCUUGCACGACUACUAAAAUGCUGCUUACAAUUGAAGAUGCAAGUGUUCAAGCUCCAAAUAGCGGGCUAAGCCGCAGUUAAGUACCCUCGCUGAGCCGUACGAGGAUCUCGCUGCCCGGUCAGCGAGUCGGGGGUCCAAGGGGGCGACGCGCCCCUGGCUUGGGGGCCCGGGGGCGCAGCGAAGCCCCCGGUGGGGGUUCGGGGGCAACGCCCCCGAGGCUUAUGGUCUAUAGUUAGUUGGGCUAGCUUUCGGUCAAGUGAAGGCCCAAGGGGCUGGCCGAACUUUCCUUGUUAUUUUUCCAGUUAUUAGGUCUUAGUCACGGCUAUUAAUAGCCUGAAACCGCAUGUUACAUUCAGUUUUUGAGAGUAUUGAAUAAAAUUUCCAGAAUUUCGUCCAUUCCUUGUGGCAAAUUCCCUUAGCUUGUGAAAGCUAAGUUGAACAUCCUAGAGUCGAUCCUAGGCUGUUCUUGACUUAUCAAUCAAGCACACAUACUUGAUUGUGGCGUCCUCUACCGUUAAAUCUGUUCUUGAGUGGUCCAAGUUCGGGUUCAACUCCAUCCAAUCUUCAUCGUGUUCCUCUAGAUCCGAAGUAGCUUCCGUGUCUCGCAUCAUCAAGCCUAUAAUUGUUAGUCUUAGUCAAGACCACAACUCUAGACUAGUUCCACAUUUAGUUGUUCAUCUCUAUGUAAGGCUAUAAAUAGCCCACACUUCCAAUGGUUUAGGCAUUUCAAUCAAUAAAUCAGAUUUUGAGAGUUUUCUUGGUUUCUCCAAGGCUUCUUGAAUACCUUAGAAUUUCUCUAGGUGCUCGUGACUUAUCAAUCUAGAAUCGCACUUGGUUGUGGCGUCUUCUACCAUUAUACCAAGGUUCGUUAACCACGUGAUUAACGGAUUGAGGUCAUCCGCUUCAAACUUGGUGUCCUCUUGUCGAUCCUGAAGCUAAUCUUUUACGGGUUUCGUCACAAGGUUGGCGACGUUCGUAUCAGUUGGUAAUCAGAGCUAAUUAAGAGGUAUCACGUUAUAUCCUUUUUUUUAUUUGCUUUUCGAGUCAAGUUGUCGAAAAUUCUGUUUUCGUGUUCUAAGUUGCUAUCCGCAAUUUCCAGAUUUGUUACUUCGUGUUCUUGCGUUAUUUUUCCAGAUUUGUUACGACAUAAACUUGUGUCUAGUUGUUGUUAAUUGCUGUGGUUAGCCUGGUUUGGUCCAGCCUUUUUUUUUGUGUCUUAUUCUUGAUUCUUUGUUUGAGUCUUGUUUCUAUCCUGUUAUAUCCAUUCAAUUCCAGUCUUUUGUUCUAUUUGAUCAUUCGAGGUUACUGUUCAUCCGAAAAAAAUCAGUUUGUAGCAAGGGUUUUAGAGUCCUAUCUAGUUAUUACCUUGUGUUCUUGUUUACAUACAAAAAAAAAAAAUAGCUGGCUAACCUUACAAAACUUGAUCAAAAAUUCCUGCAAAUCUGUCUUGAUCAAAACUUGGGUUUCUUGAAGUUCCUGAUUGUUUAAAACCACAAUCUUGAAGUUCUUGAAACUUUAGUUGGGAUUCUUGAAGACAACCAAAAUCUGUCUUGAUCAAAUCGUGAAAUCUUGGAUUGUUUGGGGAGGAAAUCAUCUUCAAUUUCGUAUUUCUUGAAUUCUGGAAAUUAACAUCUUGAAUUCUUGAAAGAAUCUUGAAGUUUCUGGGUUUUGGGAACCAAAUCUUGGUAAACAACAAGGCAACAAAAUUCCAGCUGCCAAAAUCCUUGUCUUCACCACAACAAUCUUCUUUCUUGACUAAGAACAUUUUAGCCACGAAAUUUGACUCUUCUUGGCUGAUUAUAAAACAAAAACAAAGGAAGAAGAAGAACAUUUAGCCUAUUCAAGUCAAAUUUCCCAACCUAUUCAAGUCAAAUUUUCCAACCUGUUCAAGUCAAAUUUUCCACCCUUGUUCCCAAAAACAACCAAAUCAGUUCCAAUCUUGAACUUGACCUUAGAAUUUGUGGGAACCAGCAAAUAGGAAAACUAAUCCUUGUUUCCAAAGGAUCAAGAAAGAAAAGUCAGCCUUGGGUUUCCAAAACAAUCCUACCGCAACACAAAUUCAUCUUCCAUUCAGAUUCCAUCUUUGCAACCAUUGGGGAUUUCUGUCCAAUCAUUAAUUCUGAAAAUUUUCGUGCAUCAUUAGGUCAGUUUUAAGUGUCUUUCUGAAUCCUCUAAGUGUCCAUUUACCUACCAAAACACUGACCAGAAAUGCAGCAACUAGCAGCUCAAAAUUCCAGUUUUGGGUAGAGUUUUGUCUAGGAUCCUUAAAAUUCAACUUUGAGUCAUUCAUUGAGUCGUGGUUAGUCCCUUCAUCUUUUGUUCUUUUUUUUUUUCGUUCAAAGUGCUACAAUCUUGUGACCCUGGUUGGUAAGUCGAUCCACACUAGAAGGAGUUCUAACUUCUUCGAGGAGUUGACUGAGGAGCCUUGAAAAUACCUUGGUGAAUUCAUUAGAGUGUUCAAACACGAGAGCGAGAGUAAACACGUGAGGAAGUGUGCGAGAUAAACUUUGCUUCUUUCCAUUAUUAUUUUUUUCCCUACCAUGGCUAACGAGGGGGGAGCAAGCUCCCAAGCUUUUGAUCUUAAACUUUUCACAGAAGCAAUCAAAGGCGAAUUGGGACGCAUGAUGGACCAAAAACUUGAACUGACAGCUUAGAGUUGUCUCAUGGAAGCUCCAAAGGCAGCCGUGGAAAGGCUUAUGCAGAUGAGUCUAGCGACUCUAACUCAGACAACAAUUAUGAGCAUAAGCAAAGUAGGUCCAAGCGCAAUGCUAGGCCUUCAAAUGACCACAUUCCGGGCAUAAAGAUGAAAAUUCCGCCUUUCCAAGGACGAUCAGACCCCGAUGCCUACUUAGAGUGGGAGAAGCGGAUUGAACUUGUCUUCGAUUGCAAUACUUACUCGGAGGAGCAAAAGGUCAAGUUGGCCGUGGUCGAAUUCACCGACUACGCCGUUGUGUGGUGGGAUCAACUCUCCACUAGUAGAAGGAGGAGUCGUGAACCUACCAUACACACUUGGACGGAGCUAAGACGACUAAUGAGGAAGCAUUUCGUACCAAGUCACUACUACCGUGACUUGUACCAAAAGCUUCAAACCCUCAACCAAGGAGCACGAAGUGUCGAGGACUAUCACAAGGAAAUGGAAAUACUCAUGCUACGGGCAGACAUCACGGAGGAUCGAGAAGCAACAAUGGCAGGCUUCUUGAACGGACUAAGGCCCGAAAUCGCUGACCAAGUAGAGUUACACCACUAUGUGGAACUUGGGGAUUUGGUGGAAAAGGCCAUCAAGAUUGAAAGGAGGAUUAAGAGGAGGGGUUCGACUCGGAGUUACUCCAACUUUUCACCCUCUUAUCUCCUAACUACACCACCAAAGAAAGAGGAUAAAGGGCCGAGUAAUUCCAUCCCUUCAAGACCAAGGCGGGAUAUGACUAAGUGGGAGUCUAAGGCAACACCAAAGACUGCCAUUGAGUCGAGCAUGGGGCGAAAUCGAGAUACUAGAUGCUUCAAAUGCCAAGGCCGAGGGCAUAUUGCUAGCCAAUGCCCGAACCAAUGCACUAUGAUCAUCUUACCCAAUGGUGAGUUUCUCACCGAUGAUGAGGAUGAGAAGGAGGAGUUGCCAUCCCUUGAGGAAGAAGAGGAAGCAUUGCCUGUCGAUGAACGAGUUGGACUCGUUGUUAGACGAGCCUUAGCAACCCAAGUGAAAGCUGCCGACCAUGCACAAAGGGAGAACAUUUUCUACACCCGUUGCUAUAUCAAAGGCAAGGUAUGUAGUUUGAUCAUAGAUGGAGGUAGUUGUGCUAACGUCGCUAGUGCCUUGAUGGUGGAGAAACUAGCACUACCCACUCUACGACAUCCAACACCUUAUCGUUUGCAAUGGUUGAACGAUAGUGGGGAUGUUCGUGUGACCAAGCAAGUCCAAGUACCUUUCCGAAUUGGAAAGUAUGAGGACGUGGUGUUAUGCGACGUGGUCCCUAUGCAAGCAUGUCACAUACUAUUGGGGAGACCAUGGCAAUUCGACAAGGGAGUUACAUUCGAUGGCAUUACCAAUAAAUACUCCUUCAAGCAAGGCGAGAAGAGGAUUGUGCUUGUGCCACUCACUCCUAUCCAAGUUCGUGAAGAUCAAGAAAGCCUGAUCAAGGAGAGCGAGCUUGAGAAUGAGAAGAAAAAAAUAGAAAAAAUCGAGAGCUCAACAGAAAAUGAUAAGGCCGAGAAAAUUGAGAGGAAAAAAACAUAUAGUGAGCCGGCCAAAAUUGAAAAGAGAGAGAAAAGGCAAAAUCUAUUGAUAAAAGCCAAUGUAGUAAGAAAAGCUUUGAGUGUUAAUACACCCAUCUUUGUACUUUUGUGCAAAGAGGUGUUGGUUGUUACAAGUGAUCUUACUAACACUCUACCAACUAGUAUUGUCUCUCUUUUGCAGGAUUAUGAGGAUGUCUUUCCCGAUGAGAUUCCAAAUGGACUACCACCAAUAAGGGGAAUUGAGCAUCAAAUUGACUUGGUUCCAGGUGCCCCACUUCCUAACAGACCAGCCUACAAAAUGGGUCCAGAUGAGACAAAGGAGCUCCAACGCCAAAUCGAAGAGCUUCUAACAAAGGGAUGGGCACGAGAAAGCUUGAGCCCAUGUGCGGUUCCCGUCAUCUUGGUGCCUAAAAAGGAUGGAAGUUGGCGAAUGUGCACUGACUGUAGGGCUGUUAAUGCAAUAACGGUAAAAUAUCGUCACCCUAUUCCUAGACUUGAUGAUAUGUUAGAUGAGCUAUAUGGUGCUGUGAUUUUCACUAAAAUUGAUCUAAAAAGCGGUUAUCAUCAAAUUAGGAUGAAAGAGGGGGAUGAAUGGAAAACGGCCUUUAAAACCAAACAUGGCUUGUACGAGUGGUUAGUUAUGCCAUUUGGACUAACUAAUGCACCUAGUACGUUCAUGAGGUUGAUGAACCAUGUACUUCGUCCAUUCCUUGGAAAAUUUGUAGUUGUAUAUUUUGACGAUAUCCUGAUUUAUAGUAGGAGCUUCGAUGAGCAUGUUGAACAUGUGAAGCUUGUUCUUGAUGUACUUCGAAGGGAAAAGCUCUAUGCUAACCUUAAGAAGUGCUCCUUUUGUACUGAUCAACUUGUCUUCCUAGGCUUUGUUGUGAGUAAACAGGGAAUCAAAGUGGACGAGGAGAAGGUUAAACCAAUUCGAGAAUGGCCUACUCCAAGCACGGUGGGUGAGGUACGUAGCUUCCAUGGUCUUGCUAGUUUUUAUAGACGAUUUGUUAAAGAUUUUAGUACCAUUACUGCACCUCUAACUGCUGUAAUUAAGAAAAAUGAGCCAUUUGUGUGGAGAGAUGCUCAAGUACGUGCUUUCCAAAUGCUUAAACAUCAACUCACACAUGCACCACUACUUGCAUUACCAUGCUUUGACAAGAUGUUUGAAAUAGAGUGUGAUGCAUCUGGGGUGGGUAUUGGAGCUGUCCUAAUGCAAGAGGGCAAACCAAUUGCAUACUUUAGUGAAAAACUCAAUGGAGCAGCUUUGAACUAUUCCACUUAUGAUAAGGAGUUGUACUCCUUAAUCCGUGCUUUAGAAACUUGGCAACAUUACUUGAGACCAAGGGAAUUUGUCAUACACACUGAUCAUGAGUCGCUUAAGCACAUUAAGUCACAACACAAGUUGAAUAAGCGUCAUGUUAGAUGGAUUGCAUUUAUUGAAACCUUCCCUUAUGUGAUUAAGUACAAAGUGGGGAAAACUAAUGUUGUUGCUGAUGCAUUAUCACGUCGGUACUCUUUGCUCACUCAACUUGAUGCAAGGUUGUUAGGAUUUGAAUUAGUUAAAGAGUUAUACACCAAUGACCCAGAUUUCUCAGGUAUUUAUGAUUCUUGUGGUUCAGCAACUCAAGGUAAAUUCUACAUCCUUGAUGGAUUUCUUUUCUACCUCAAUCGACUAUGCAUACCUAAUUGCUCUAUUCGCUCUUUACUAGUUAGAGAAGCACACGGAGGUGGCUUGAUGGGACACUUUGGCGUGGCUAAAACCUUAGCUAUCCUUCAAGAGCACUUCCAUUGGCCAAGGAUGAAACGAGAUGUGGAGCGAAUGGUGGCUAAAUGCAUUACUUGCCACAAAUCUAAGUCUAAACUUCAACCCUAUGGCCUUUAUAGUCCUUUACCUGUACCUAAGGAACCUUGGACCGACAUUUCCAUGGAUUUUGUUUUAGGGUUGCCUAGGUCAAAGAGGGGAAAUGAUAGCAUCUUUGUUAUUGUUGACAGAUUUUCAAAAAUGGCACAUUUUAUACCAUGUCACAAAACAGAUGAUGCAUCGCACAUUGUUGAUUUGUUUUUCAAAGAAAUCAUUAGAUUGCAUGGCAUGCCUAGGACAAUUGUCUCUGAUAGGGAUGUCAAAUUUUUGAGUUACUUUUGGAAAACUUUGUGGGGAAAAUUGGGUACCAAAUUGCUAUUUUCUACUACUAGUCACCCACAAACUGAUGGCCAAACUGAGGUUGUCAAUCGUACACUAUCUACACUCUUGCGUGCCAUCAUUAGAAAAAACAUUAGAACCUGGGAAGAGUGUUUACCCCAUGUUGAGUUUGCAUACAAUCGCACGGUGCAUAGUUCUACUCAUUUUUCACCAUUUGAAAUAGUCUAUGAUUUUAACCCUUUAACACCACUAGACUUGUCACAUUUACCUUCUUCUGAGCACAUUAACAUGGAUGGUGCUAAACGAGCAGAUUUUGUCAAGAAAUUACACGAGCAGGUACGCCUAAACAUUGAGCGAAGGAUGGACCAAGUUGCUCAACGGGUUAACAAGGGACGCCAACGCGUUGUGUUUGAACCUGGUGACUGGGUGUGGUUACAUCUACGCAAGGAAAGGUUCCCAGUCCAAAGGCGCAAUAAAUUACUUCCCCGAGGAGAUGGGCCGUUCCAAGUCAUCAAGCGCAUCAAUGACAAUGCUUACAAACUGGACCUACCCGGUGAGUACAAUGUGAGCGCUACAUUCAAUGUCUCUGAUCUAUCUCCUUUUCUUGCAGACGAUGAAGCUGAUUUGAGGACAAAUCCUUUUGAAGAGGAGGGGGAUGAUACGAACCAAGAGACACCAUUGAGAACUAUUCGAGUUUCCUUAGGACCCGUAACUCGAGCACGAGCUAAGAAGAUUAUGGAGGAACUCCAAGGACUUGUUCAUGAGAUACAAGGCCAAGAAAUUGUCCCCAAAGUCAUUGAGGGGCUUGAGCAUGAAGGAAUGAAAGUCAUCCAUGUAGUGCACGUCAAAGAGAACCAUGUGUGACCCUUCUCUAGUCACAUUUGCUGUUUUAGUUAAGUCAUUGUAAUAAGGGUUUAAUGGUCCAUAGCCUUGCUUUAUUUACCUAAGCGAUGACCUCAUAAGGUCAUUUACCUAAGCGAUGACCUCAUAAGGUUGUUUACCUAAGGGAUGACCUCAUAAGGUUUGGUCAAGCCUAUAAUUGUUAGUCUUAGUCAAGACCACAACUCUAGACUAGUUCCACAUUUAGUUGUUCAUCUCUAUGUAAGGCUAUAAAUAGCCCACACUUCCAAUGGUUUAGGCAUUUCAAUCAAUAAAUUAGAUUUUGAGAGUUUUCUUGGUUUCUCCAAGGCUUCUUGAAUACCUUAGAAUUUCUCUAGGUGUUCGUGACUUAUCAAUCUAGAAUCGCACUAGGUUGUGACGUCUUCUACCAUUAUACCAAGGUUCGUUAACCACGUGAUUAACGGGUUGAGGUCAUCCGCUUCAAACUUGGUGUCCUCUUGUCGAUCCUGAAGCUAAUCUUUUACGGGUUUCGUCACAAGGUUGGCGACGUUCGUAUCAUAUAUGCCCAUGACCAUGACUUUGGGGAAGUCUAUGCAUCUUGUAUGAAGAGUCCACAUGGAAAGUACUUCUUGCACAAUGGAUUUUUGUUUUAUAUGAAUAAAUUGUGUGUCCCUAAUCUUCCAUUCGUGAUCUUUUGAUUCGAGAGGCACAUAGUGGUGGUCUCAUGGGACACUUUAGCAUUGUUAAGACUCUAGCCAUGUUACAAGAGCACUUUUACUGGCCUCACAUGCGUAGGGAUGUUGAACGCAUGGUUGGUAGAUGUGUCACUUGUCAUAAGGCGAAGUCCGAAACAAAUCCAUACAGCCUAUAUACCCCAUUGCAUAUUCCUCACUAUCCUUGGGUAGACUUGUCUGUGGACUUUGUCUUAAGACUACCUAGGUCACCAAGGGGUAAUGAUUCCAUCUUUGUCGUAGUUGAUAGAUUCUCUAAGAUGGCACAUUUUAUCCCCUGUCACAAAACUGACGAUGCAUCUCACAUUCCUAAUUUGUUCUUCAAAGAAAUUGUCCGUUUGCAUGGCAUGUGAUACGAACCAAGAGACACCAUUGCGAACUAUUCGAGUUCCCCUAGGACCCGUAACUCGAGCACGAGCUAAGAAGAUGAGGGAGGAACUCCAAGGACUUGUUCAUGAGAUACAAGGCCAAGAAAUUGUCCCCAAGGUCAUUGAGGGGCUUGAGCAUGAAGGAAUGAAAGUCAUCCAUGUAGUGCACGUCAAAGAGAACCAUGUGUGACCCUUCUCUAGUCACAUGUGCUGUUUUAGUUAAGUCAUUGUAAUAAGGGUUUAAUGGUCCAUAGCCUUGCUUUAUUUACCUAAGCGAUGACCUCAUAAGGUCAUUUACCUAAGCGAUGACCUCAUAAGGUUUGGUCAAGCCUAUAAUUGUUAGUCUUAGUCAAGACCACAACUCUAGACUAGUUCCACAUUUAGUUGUUCAUCUCUAUGUAAGGCUAUAAAUAGCCCACACUUCCAAUGGUUUAUGCAUUCAAUCAAUAAAUCAGAUUUUGAGAGUUUUCUUGGUUUCUCCAAGGCUUCUUGAAUACCUUAGAAUUUCUCUAGGUGUUCGUGACUUAUCAAUCUAGAAUCGCACUAGGUUGUGGCGUCUUCUACCAUUAUACCAAGGUUCGUUAACCACGUGAUUAACGGGUUGAGGUCAUCCGCUUCAAACUUGGUGUCCUCUUGUCGAUCCUGAAGCUAAUCUUUUACGGGUUUCGUCACAAGGUUGGCGACGUUCGUAUCAGUUGGUAAUCAGAGCUAAUUAAGAGGUAUCACGUUAUAUCCUUUUUUUUUAUUUGCUUUUCGAGUCAAGUUGUCGAAAAUUCUGUUUUCGUGUUCUAAGUUGCUAUCCGCAAUUUCCAGAUUUGUUACUUCGUGUUCUUGCGUUAUUUUUCCAGAUUUGUUACGACAUAAACUUGUGUCUAGUUGUUGUUAAUUGCUGUGGUUAGCCUGGUUUGGUCCAGCCUUUUUUUUUGUGUCUUAUUCUUGAUUCCUUGUUUGAGUCUUGUUUCUAUCCUGUUAUAUCCAUUCAAUUCCAGUCUUUUGUUCUAUUUGAUCAUUCGAGGUUACUGUUCAUCCGAAAAAAAUCAGUUUGUAGCAAGGGUUUUAGAGUCCUAUCUAGUUAUUACCUUGUGUUCUUGUUUACAUACAAAAAAAAAAAUAGCUGGCUAACCUUACAAAAAUUCCUGGAAAUCUGUCUUGACCAAAACUUGGGUUUCUUGAAGUUCCUGAUUGUUUAAAACCACAAUCUUGAAGUUCUUGGAACUUUAGUUGGGAUUCUUGAAGCCAACCAAAAUCUGUCUUGAUCAAAUCGUGAAAUCUUGGAUUGUUUAGGGAGGAAAUCAUCUUCAAUUUUGUGUUUCUUGAAUUCUGGGAAUUAACAUCUUGAAUUCUUGAAAGAAUCUUGAAGUUUCUGGGUUUUGGGAACCAAAUCUUGGUAAACAACAAGGCUGCAAAUUUUCAGCUGCCAAAAUCCUUGUCUUCACCACAACAAUCUUCUUUCUUGACUAAGAACAUUUUAGCCACGAAAUUUGGCUCUUCUUGGCUGAUUAGAAAACAAAAACAAAGGAAGAAGAAGAAUAUUCAGCCUAUUCAAGUCAAAUUUCCCAACCUAUUCAAGUCAAAUUUUCCAACCUGUUCAAGUCAAAUUUUCCACCCUUGUUCCCAAAAACAACCAAAUCAGUUCCAAUCUUGAACUUGACCUUAGAAUUUAUGGGAACCAGCAAAUAGGAAGACUAAUCCUUGUUUCCAAAGGAUUAAAGAAGAAAAGUCAGCCUUGGGUUUCCAAAACAGUCCUACCACAACACAAAUUCAUCUUCCAUUCGGAUUCCAUCUUUGCAACCAUUGGGGAAUUUCUGUCCAAUCAUUAAUUCUGGAAAUUUUCGUGCAUCAUUAGGUUAGUUUUAAGUGUCAUUCUGAAUCCUCUAAGUGUCCAUUUAUCUACCAAAACACUGCCCAGAAAUGCAGCAACCAGCAGCUCAAAAUUCCAGUUUUGGGUAGAGUUUUUGUCUAGGAUCCUUAAAAUUCAACUUUGAGUCAUUCAUUGAGUCGUGGUCAGUCCCUUCAUCUUUUGUUCUUUUUUCGUUCAAAGUGCUACAAUCUUGUGACCCUGGUUGGUAAGUCGAUCCACACUAGAAGGAGUUCUAACUUCUUCGAGGAGUUGACCGAGGAGCCUUGAAAAUACCUUGGUGAGUUCUUAGAGUGUUCAAACACGAGAGCGAGAGUAAACACGUGAGGAAGUGUGCGAGAUAAACUUUGCUUCUUUCCAUUAUUAUUUUUUUUUACCCUACCAUGGCUAACGAGGGGGGAGCAAGCUCCCAAGCUUUUGAUCUUAAACUUUUCACAGAAGCAAUCAAAGGCGAAUUGGGACGCAUGAUGGACCAAAAACUUGAACUGAUGCACCAACGCAUUGACAGCUUAGAGUUGUCUCAUGGAAGCUCCAAAGGCAGCCGUGGAAAGGCUUAUGCAGAUGAGUCUAGCGACUCUAACUCAGACAACAAUUAUGAGCAUAAGCAAAGUAGGUCCAAGCGUGAUGCUAGGCCUUCAAAUGACCACAUUCCGGGCAUAAAGAUGAAAAUUCCGCCUUUCCAAGGACGAUCAGACCCCGAUGCCUACUUAGAGUGGGAGAAGCGGAUUGAACUUGUCUUCGAUUGCAAUACUUACUCGGAGGAGCAAAAGGUCAAGUUGGCCGUGGUCGAAUUCACCGACUACGCCGUUGUGUGGUGGGAUCAACUCUCCACUAGUCGAAGGAGGAGUCGUGAACCUACCAUACACACUUGGACGGAGCUAAGACGACUAAUGAGGAAGCGUUUCGUACCAAGUCACUACUACCGUGACUUGUACCAAAAGCUUCAAACCCUCAACCAAGGAGCACGAAGUGUCGAGGACUAUCACAAGGAAAUGGAAAUACUCAUGCUACGGGCAGACAUCAUGGAGGAUCGAGAAGCAACAAUGGCACGCUUCUUGAACGGACUAAGGCCCGAAAUCGCUGACCAAGUAGAGUUACACCACUAUGUGGAACUUGGGGAUUUGGUGGAAAAGGCCAUCAAGAUUGAAAGGAGGAUUAAGAGGAGGGGUUCGACUCGGAGUUACUCCAACUUUUCACCCUCUUAUCUCCGAACUACACCACCAAAGAAAGAGGAUAAAGGGCCGAGUAAUUCCAUCCCUUCAAGACCAAGGCCGGAUAUGACUAAGUGGGAGUCUAAGGCAACACCAAAGACUGCCAUUGAGUCGAGCAUGGGGCGAAAUCGAGAUACUAGAUGCUUCAAAUGCCAAGGCCGAGGGCAUAUUGCUAGCCAAUGCCCGAACCAACGCACUAUGAUCAUCUUACCCAAUGGUGAGUUUUUCACCGAUGAUGAAGAUGAGAAGGAGGAGUUGCCAUCCCUUGAGGAAGAAGAGGAAGCAUUACCCGUCGAUGAACGAGUUGGACUCGUUGUCAGACGAGCCUUAGCAACCCAAGUGAAAGCUGCCGACCAUGCACAAAGGGAGAACAUUUUCUACACCCGUUGCUAUAUCAAAGGCAAGGUAUGUAGUUUGAUCAUAGAUGGAGGUAGUUGUGCUAACGUCGCUAGUGCCUUGAUGGUGGAGAAACUAGCACUAUCCACUCUACGACAUCCAACACCUUAUCGUUUGCAAUGGUUGAACGAUAGUGGGGAUGUUCGUGUGACCAAGCAAGUCCAAGUACCUUUCCGAAUUGGAUAAGUAUGAGGACGUGGUGUUAUGCGACGUGGUCCCUAUGCAAGCAUGUCACAUACUAUUGGGGAGACCAUGGCAAUUCGACAAGGGAGUUACAUUCGAUGGCAUUACCAAUAAAUACUCCUUCAAGCAAAGCGAGAAGAGGAUUGUGCUUGUGCCACUCACUCCUAUCCAAGUUCGUGAAGAUCAAGAAAACCUGAUCAAGGAGAGCGAGCUUGAGAAUGAGAAGAAAAAAAUAAAAAAAAUCGAGAGCUCAACCGAAAAUGAUAAGGCCGAGAAAAUUGAGAGGAAAAAAACAUAUAGUGAGCCGGCCAAAAUUGAAAAGAGAGAGAAAAGGCAAAAUCUAUUGAUAAAAGCCAAUGUAGUAAGAAAAGCUUUGAGUGUUAAUACACCCAUCUUUGUACUUUUGUGCAAAGAGGUGUUGGUUGUUACAAGUGAUCUUACUAACACUCUACCAACUAGUAUUGUCUCUCUCUUGCAGGAUUAUGAGGAUGUCUUUCCCGAUGAGAUUCCAAAUGGACUACCACCAAUAAGGGGAAUUGAGCAUCAAAUUGACUUGGUUCCAGGUGCCCCACUUCCUAACAGACCAGCCUACAAAAUGCGUCCAGAUGAGACAAAGGAGCUCCAACGCCAAAUCGAAGAGCCCCCAUUCAAGGCUUUAUUCUUCCCAUGAAAUAGCUUCAACUCAAGCAUAUAAAUAUCAAGCCAACAACUCACUACAUCAAGCAUAUAACUGUCACCUAUUCAAGUUAGAAAAUGAAACCUCAAGCUGAAAUUCCUAAUCACAAGCUAGAAGUUUCUUUAGGCAAGUCAAACUAGCAUAUAAAAGCUAGAUAUUUCACAUAACAAAACUACCAAACCAUGGCCAACACUUAAGUAUCAUGUGUGGACAGAAAAGUACCAUAAAACUGAAAAUUUCACACAACAACUCAAAUCAUGAUAUUUUCUCAUAAAACAACCGAAAUUGAAACCCUAAACCUCCAGUUUGCAUAUAUUAAAGUAGAGGAAAGUUUAUUGUCAAUGUUACCCUGUAACCUCAAGAAAGAUGAAAACUUAGAACUUCUUCCUCCAAAAUCACUCCACCAACACCUUGAAAUCUACCUUAGUUAUCAUUUCUAUAGAGUAGUUUGCAAAUUAGUUAGUUGAAACUCAAAAUUCAAGUACAAAUUGAGGUUAGAGUUGAAGGUCUCUCUUUGAUUUUUCUUCUCCAUUUGUUCAGCCAAGCAAGAGGAAAAUGAAAACAAUUUGGUCAACUUUUUGAUUUAGUCGAGGUGAAAAAUGUGACAUAAACUUUAAUCUUGGUAAAAGAAGAGUUAAAACUUGGCUACUAUUCUUGCUAGCUCUCAAACCCAUACACUAUCCAUUGAAUAAUUUCUUCCUUUCGAAUGACAAACGAAAAAUUUUUGCUUAACUUAAAGACUAAAUAUAGGGAUAGAUUCAUGGGCAAGGAUCCAAUACUGCCCAACCACCAAUUUUUUUUAUAGCACUUAUUAAAAUGGCAGGUAUCAUGUUCACUGUUCCUAACGAGAAUACACUUACUACAUAAAAAUUUCACUACGCAUAAUUCAAUGAUUACAACUAUUUCAGGUAAAAUCUCACUAAUGGCUAACUUUGACUAGGAAUGUCUUAAGAUGCUAUUCGAUUAGACAAAUGCACUAAUUCAAACUCAUUCCGCACCUCUUCUAGAAUCCCUUUGUAUUUCUUUUUAAAUUCUAUGUUCUGAUGCAGUGGUUCAAUUUUCUCCAAGUAUUCUUGUUCUCAUCAUCCUCCCAGUACUCAGCUAAUCUCUUUUGGAACUCUACUUCCAUUCGAAUAAUCUCUAUUUUCUUAUGCAGAUCAGUCAUUUUGUCAUCUCACCGAUUCACUUAACUCGAUGAUAGCUUGCCAGGCAAAUCAAAGGAGCAGAAUAAGUAACUAUUUACAAUUGGAACUCUAGUCAUAUAACUUUUGAGCUCAUUCACUUCCAAUCUAACCACGAGGAAUUAAACUUAGCUAUUUUCAAAUGAGAUAGACAAGGGAGUAGAAUACAGGUAGGGCAAUAUCUCAAAAUAUUAUGCCACUCAUUCUUAUUUGGGGAGUUUAACAUAAGGAGUAUUCUUAUUACUUAUGUACAUAAUGAAAUCCUAAAGUGUACUUCGUAUCUCAAAAGUUUCACACCCUAUCUCAAGCUUUUGUAUACAGGUAUAGAAUCCAAUUCUUUUCUCAAAUCCCCAUGCAUAAUUCCAAAACUCACGAUCUCGCCACGAUAAUAAUCGAGUCAAGUCCAUACUUAGACAUUAGUGGAUAGUUGUUAAGGAGUAUAGGAAAGAAUAUCACAAGAGGGGUAGAAAUAUCCAUAUAGUUGCAAUCAAACCACCUCAUAUUCAAAAUAAACACUUAUCAAGUCUUCACAGUCAUAGGAGAAGGAAAUAGGUCUUCAGUGCAAAUCUCUCGACGUACACUAUAAUUUAGCCACCGUCUAUAGAAACCCUAACAGACUAUUUCUAGAUUAGUCCAUGAUAACUUCCGAGAUCCAUUCCCUCAAUCAGUCCAUUAACUAGGUCAAGUGUUAGAAUCUUUCGCGCCUGACUUUUACCAUUAAAAUUUAUCUCAAGUGCAAUCAAGAUAUAGACCAUUAUUCCAGUGCUCUCCACUUUUGGUACUCAAGUACAAGAAUCCACAAUAAGGUAAUUCACAACUCGAGCCGGCCGGUCCCAAGAGUAAAUCACCCGUAUUAGAGAUUCCUACCCGACGUACAUACCUAUUUCUCCCAAGGACAUUGAUAAGGGUUUAUACUUAUAAUAGUCAUGAUUCAUAGCUUACGCCCAAAAACACCACUUGACCCCAAACUCACUCCGCGCAGGGACCACGUGAAGCAGCAAAAUAUCUUCCAUUCUUUCAAACCAGUUCUCGGCAGCUUUGGAAUCUGGUCCUCUAAGAAAUUUAAGGGAAGCGAACUUUGGAACCGUCUCAGGGCCCUAUCUUCACUUACUUCAAGGUUCCUUUACUAGUUACCCGAUACUUGACCUCGAUGGUCAACGAAACGGGCCAGUAAACAUUAGAUCAGUCAUACAAUUGAUAGCUGUAGCUACCUGGACUUCUUCUCCACAUUCGGGUCCUUGGUUCUAAUUGACUACAGACCUUUAUUCCUCCUCUUAUUCUUGGACCUACCUAGAUCCACACUCAUGGCCCCUACUAUACUGUCAUCUAGUCUCCAUUAUUACUCACUAGUCUAGGGCCUUAAGUAUUAUAACUAAUGGGUGAGUACGCGUCGAUACAUAACAGAUACUUAUUCAUUCUAAAAAAACUAAAUAAAAGGAAAAUCAGAGUCACGAUAGGCGAGUAAAAUGCAAAGUAAUUUGAAUGCGAUGCCAAAAUAAAGUCAUAGCCAAAAUCAAAAGUCAAGUCAAAGGUCAAAAGUCAAAUCAUAAGGUCAUUUACCUAAGCGAUGACCUCAUAAGGUUGUUUACCUAAGGGAUGACCUCAUAAGGUUUGGUCAAGCCUAUAAUUGUUAGUCUUAGUCAAGACCACAACUCUAGACUAGUUCCACAUUUAGUUGUUCAUCUCUAUGUAAGGCUAUAAAUAGCCCACACUUCCAAUGGUUUAGGCAUUCAAUCAAUAAAAUUCAAGAUUUUGAGAGUUGCUUGAUUUCUCCAAGCUUCUUGAAUACCUCUAAAUUUCUCUAGUGUUCGUGACUUAUCAAUCUAGAAUGCGCACUAGGUGUGCAGUCUUCUACCAUUAUACAAAGGUUCGUUAACCACGUGAUUAACGGGUUGAGGUCAUCCGCUUCAAACUUGGUGUCCUCUUGUCGAUCCUGAAGCUAAUCUUUUACGGGUUUCGUCACAAGGUUGGCGACGUUCGUAUCAGCAUGCCUAAGACCAUUGUUAGUGAUAGAGAUGUAAAGUUCUUGAGUUACUUUUGGAAGACUUUGUGGUCUAAACUGGGCAUUAGAUUAUUAUUCUCCACCACCAGUCAUCCACAAAGCGAUAGACAAACUGAAGUUGUCAAUCACACACUUGGCACUCUACUUCGGGCUUUGAUUGAAAAGAAUCUUAAAACUUGGGAAGAGUGUUUGCCUUAUGUCGAACUGGCCUACAAUCGAACUGUUCAUAGUGCCACACACUACUCACUUUUUGAGAUUGUUUAUGGCUUUAACCCGCUGACCCCCCUUGAUUUAGUACCCUUACCUUCCUCUGAGCACACAAGCUUAGAUAGGAAAAAGAAAUCCGAUUUUGUGUGCAGGUUACAUGAAGCCGUUCGAACAAACAUUGAGAGGCAUACUCAAUAAUACAUCCAGCAAGCCAACAAGCACCGUUAUAAGAUGGUUUUUGAACUUGGAGAUUGGGUUUGGCUACACUUGCGAAAAGAGAGAUUUCCCAAGCAGCGUCAAAGCAAGUUGUCCCCAAGAGGUGAUGGAUCCUUUCGAGUACUCCAACGAGUCAAUGACAACGCUUACAAAUUGGAGCUACCUGGGGAAUACAAUGUUAGCAUGACCUUCAAUGUCGCGGAUUUGAGCCCGUACCUUGACGAGGAGGAUCUAGAUUUGAGGGCAAAUCCUUCUCAAGAGAAGGGGACUAAUGUGUGCAUGGACCUCAGCCCACGUAAUAACCCAAUCCGAGUUCCAUUGGGCCCAGUCACACGUGCACUAGCCAAGCUCUUCAAAGAAUCCCUCCAAGGCCUUAUUCGAAUGGUCCAAGACGAACAUGGAGUCCAUAGAGAUAUUGAAGGCUUCGAAGGAGACAAGCAAGUCAUCCACACCAUGAUCCAAGCCCAUGAAGAGUCAAGUGGGCCUCCAAGUGAAUUGGCCGAAUAGAGCUUUAGGCCUUGUGUUUACUUAGAGUAGAUUAGUAGCUUUAGGAGAGCAUGGGCUGGCCCAUCCUGACACCAAGAUGGCUGAAUGCUUCCCUUAGCUUUUUAGUAACCUUUAGCCUAUAAAAAGGCUAGCUUUGUAAGGUUUUAGGGAGACGUUUUAUCAAUAAAACUUUGAUUAUUUCGGUUCUUCUUAGUAAGAGGGAUUCAAGCCUUUACUUGCUCUUGGCAAGGGAGUUGAGCAAUCUUGCAUCUUGUCCUUGAUUGUUCCAUCGACCUAUCCACUGGAGUAUCCACCUACCAUUGGAGUCGUCGUUCUACCGCCUUUAAUCAAAUCACACGCCCGUUUGAUUCUAGGUUCUGCAAUCCAAGCGUUGGACUGCCUUGCUAGAUCCUUGGGCAACGUGCUAUGUGUCUCAAACAAGUUGAUCGAGGACUGUAUCAAAGCCUCAGGGUUGUUUUUGCCUUGGAAUGAAUCUUAAGUCCCUUGAUCUCAUUCUUGGGUGUAUCCCUCCUUGGUCUCUCGGCCCUUUCCUCAUUCUCACUAGCCGAAUUUUCAUCACUAUGUGAACCUUUGGUGCCAUGGUUACUUCUGUUGCGCGAUCUGGAACGAGAGUCCCUCGUGAGCCUCUUGGAUAGCUCAUCAAAACUAGUGUGCAAUUCGCCUGAGCUCAUUCUUCAUGGUCGUGAACAUCAAUGAGUAGUCAUUGGUUGGUUGAGCUUGCUCCAUGUCACUCUCUUAGUCCUGCAAAAGGUUAGUGAAUAAGAAAAUAGAGCAAAUAGAACCUUACUUCACUCCCUUAGUGUUUCACUCACUCUCGUAUGUUCACUCAAAGCACUCUAAGGAUAUUACCAAAUUACCUUUACCUGUUGGAUUAGGUAGUUGAGAAAUGCCGCACAAGUCCAAUAAAUGUCACCAAUUAUCCACACAAUUAAUCAAGAAGGCGAGACACAAAGCGGAUGCAAAAGGAAGCAAGAAUGCACAGUUUUUGGAAGAUUCCAAGUGGCGGAUAGCAAUGGAAGAGGCGCUAAUGUGAAUAAGAACAAAUGAAACCCUAGCUUCCUAAAAUGAAGGAGUGCAUUCCUAAAACGUAGAAGUGUGUUCCUAAAAUGUAGGAGUGUGUCCAAGUGGAAACAAAAGAGUUAUCCAAGCUAUCUACUUAGUUUCCUAAUUGAUUUUGGAAAACAAGUUAGUUUGGAAACCUUUUAGAAAAACCUUUUCUUGAACAACUUUAUUAGCUUCCAAAUUCCUUUCCAAGAAGAAUCGCAAAUCAGAUUUGGUGUCCAACUCCUCCAACUGAAAAUUCAGAUUGUUCUCCUUUCCAAUUCCCUUUACUAAGUCGGUUGGGACUCUAUAAAAGCCCCAAGCAAAUCCGACACUCUCACACACUCAAGACCAGAUUUGGAUUUGGCCUCCUUUGUACAACCCCUCAAGAUAAUUUUCAGUCCUCUCUCACAACAAUGGAGAACCAACAAAGUGAUGCACACAACCCUACUCAAGCUCCCAAGAAAUUCACUCCAAAACUAAGGAAACCCUUUACCACUGCAAGGGAGUACAAAAAGAUGUUUACUCAAAGGGUGAUGAAACAAGCUCCCAAGAAACAAGAAAUUCAAGAACUCCAAGAGGUGGAGGAUCAAAACUUUUGAGUACUUUUCCUUUUGUUUGAAUUUUCUGUUUUUGGGGUAUAAAGCACACUGUAAGAAACUGAUUUGGCAAUAAAAUUCAACUUUCCUAUCUUUUUUUUUUUUUUUUUACUCUUGCCACCCGAAUGGCUUUCUUUCUUUUCUUUUUGUUUCUAUUUUUUUUGACUUAACAAAUGUCACAAGCACUUGGCCGAAUGGAUCAAAACCAAAAUCUGGUCAGCCCUCUAUCUUCCCCACAAUCAGCGAUCAAGAACUCCAAGUUCUUACAAGGACUUCCAAGAUAAUUAUCAAGAACUUCAAGAACUUCAAAAUAGCAAUCAAGAAAUUCAAGAAACCUUAGAUUCUUGUAGGUUCUUUUCAAGAUUCGCAAGUACCAACUAAUUUCACCACAAAUCAGAUUUGAAAAUUAAGUGAAACAACUUGGAUGACUCACAACAAACUUGGACAGAUUUGGGACGAAGAAAAACCCUAGCUGCACAAACGAAACCCUAGCCGCUGCCCCACUUGUUUUCUUAUUGCUCAAGUGAUGACUAACGACCAAGACAGAUUUGACACAAACAACGAGCAAGGCUAUGGGCAGACUUGAUGAGCAACCUUCGGCCAACAACUAGAACAAAUUGCAGCAACACAUAAAGACUACACGGACAGAAUUUUGUUCUUCUUUUUUUUUUGGACAACAAGAUGCAAUAAUGACAGACAGAUUAGAAACAAGACUCGAUAACACGAACAGCAUGCAUGACACAAGGAACAAAAAUGACAUGGACAAAUUUUUUUUUUUAAUAAUGCAGCGGAAAUAACACAAACCCUAACGACACAACUACGAAAAAAACAAGGAUAUAAUGAAAGAUACCUCCACCUAACCUCUGGAGCCAACUGAUACGGUCCUCGAUCAACUCGUUUCAAGACACGUAGCACGUUUGCCCAAGGAUCUAGUGAGGUUGUCCAACGCUUGGAUUGCGGAACGGAUGACACGAAUUGAUUGAAGGUGGUAGGACGACGACUCCAAACGAGGUGAAUAUUCAAGUGGAUAGGUCGGUAGAACAAUCAAGGACAAUCCCGAGAUUGCUCAAGAACCCUUGCCAAAGCAAGUGAAAGGUUCGACUGCUUUCAAUAAUUGAAGAGAAACAAAUCAGAAUUUUAUUAUGAAAAUUGUGUGUCCUUUAACCGUACAAAGUGAGCCUUUAUAUAGGCUAAGGGGCUAAUGAAACCUAAGGAGGUUCGGCCACUCCUUGGACAAGGUGGGCUGACCCAUGAAUCAAUAAAACAAUCUAAUCCAACUCUAAACAAUUGAAACCUAGUACUAAGGCCUAAGGCCUAGUCGGCCAUCCCACUUAGGGCCCACUUGAUUUUUCAUGGGGUUGGAUCAUCGUGUAGACAAUUUGAUUAUUCUCUUCCAAGCCUUCAAUGUCCCUAUAAACUCCUUGUUGGUCUUGGACAUUCCGCACAAGGGCUUGGAGUGACUCCUUGAAGCGCUUGGCCCGUGCACGUGUGACUGGGCCCAAUGGAACUCGAACUGGGUCAUUACUUGGGCUAAGAUCCAUGAACACAUCAACUAGUGGUGUGUAUGACUUAAUGUAGUAGUUUAUGCAACUUUUGAAGACGUAAUUGUGUAAAUGGAACUCUCUUUUGCAUGAAGUCUAUUUUCUCAUUUUUAAGUAUCGAGUCCUAGCGCGAACUAGGCUGACGGUCUGUUAAGUCCUUUGGUACGUCUCAGGGGUAUUGUGGGGUCGUCACAGGUGGUAUCAGAGAGUAUAGAUUAAAGGACUUGGGUAGUUGGGAAAUAUGUUAUAGGACAUAUAAGUAUUCAAUUACCUUUAAGUUGAAUCGUAUUGAUUAAGAUGAAAUGCCGGAUAACUGAUUAAGUAAUAUUUUGUUGUGUAGGUAUGGAGGCUGGUGGACCUAACGAUAUCGGUGGACCUAGCGAUGUCGGAGUAAGAGCCAAGAGUGUAGGUGGACCGAUGAACUAGGUGGUGCAUCGACGAGUCCUUAGAUAUCAGAAGAGGGUCGAGGAGCCCUAUAUGUUAUAUUCUCCCUUCAGUCGGAUGAAUCGAUCGUGUGAGUGUCGACAUACUUAUGGAUACCCUGACGAGGUUGUUAUGGUUAUAGAUGGCGCGCGUCGUCGCCUAGGUAAGGCGGUUGACACUCUGAGGGCAUAGUUAGAGGAGGCCAAAGGAGUGGGCCAUGGACAGGCCAUGCACCUGCGUGACUUCGAGGCAGGGUUACGAGUUGAGGAGGAGCGGACGUAUACUCUCGAUCGUCAGCUUGAGGAGACCUACUGCCAUCUCUUUGCUUUGAAGGGUAGAUGAGAGAGAGAGGGAGCCCUUGGUAUUAUGCGAGACAAUGAGAUUCUUUUGGAUGUGGCUGCAGAGGUGCCACCUAGAGCUGGCGGCGCGAGGCCGAUAAAAAGGAAAAGACUCUAUGGGCUCUGUAGGGGAUUUCUACUAGGGCCGUUACUCUGACCUAUUUUGUUGACUCUUUUUGGAACCGGUGUGCUCAUGAACUAACAUGUUUUGUACUAGUUGGAUGUUGGCUAUUAUGUGGACUGAUAUGUGUAUACUUUUGCUGUGAAUUGUAUACAUAUAGUGUAUCAUAUUUUGAUAUUUUCAUUAUUUCGUGCCUUUUUAUAAUUUUCAAUGCUUUAAACUCAUACCAUAUUUUGUUCCCAAUUAUAGAAGUUAUAUAAAAAUCAAAUGGAGACCCGUGGUCGAGGUGGGGGUAGAGGACGAGGACAAGGAACUAAAGGGGUAACCAAUGAAAAUGCAAAUAGACAAGCCAAGACCCAAGUAGCUACAGCCAUACGGCGAAUGGUUGAUUUGUUAGAACAAAUGAUCAACCAACAGGGUCAAGACCAGGUACAACAUCUCGGAAAUCAUGAGGGAGAGGACCGUGCCUGUGAGGACCAAAACAUUUACUUAUUUUAAACUCAUAUUAUUGGCUUAUUUAAAUAUUUAUCCACCCAUUUUCUCUGAAUAAUUUAUUUUAACCCUUUUAGAACCAUUUACAUGGAACUAUGACUUGCCUAUAUUUUUAAAAUGUCCCAUUAAUAAAUUUAAUUUUUAGAAGCUCGUUUAGCGAAAUUUAGUAAAUACGUGUUUGGAGGCAAUAUUCGAUUUGAGAGUACAGUGACCUUGGAGAUUUGAGGACUCAUGCGUUAGUCUUAAAAUAGUUAUUUUAGGAUUAAUUACCCUAGUAUUGGUUAGUUAUAUCAUCGUUACAAGAAUUUCUUAGAAAUUGCACUUUAUAGCGCGCGAGUCGGAAGUUCGCAUUUCCACGCGUGCGACUAAUUGAAGGACUUUAGAAUUUAUUUUAGACUACUAAGAAUGAAUAAUAAUAGUGUUAAAGGAAGUGCAUUAGAGGUUUAGUGCACAACUGAAACAAACUCGAGAGAAAACGGACACGAAACUUGCGCUCGGGAAACACUAUUCAAAGUUGACUUUUGCUUAAAUUUGAACCACCAACCAUCAAACUUCUCCAAGAAGCCUUUUGGAUCAGCCUUUUCUCUCUCUUUUCAUCCUCAAGGGCCGGCCAUCCUCAAGCAAAGAAGAAGGAGAAGAGUCUCUUUUCAUUUCACCUCAUCUGAGCUUCCAUUUCACUCUAAAUUUCUCACACAAACUCACAAACACUUGGAGAUUCACUUGCCCUUGGUGGAGGACCUCAUUCUUGCCGGUUUUUCUUAGGAGUUUUGGGACAAAAAUUUCUGAUUUUGCACGAAGGAGUAGAAGGUAAUCAUCCGAUCACUUAAUCUUAGUUCUAGUUGGUUAAAUUUUGCUAGGAAGCUUGUAGCUUCAUGGUUAUUGUUGUGGAUUGAGUUUAAAUGUUGAGUGGGCUCUAUGAAAUCCCACAAUGGAUAUAUUGGACUGAUAUGGUGAUUAUGAGUGUUGUUGGUGUUAAUUAUGUGUUAAUCAAGUGGAUGUAAGUUGGAAAAGUGAAAGGAAAAUCAAAGGAAGAUUGUAUAGGAAGAGGCCGAAUUCUGCCCUGUUUUUGUCAAAGAUUUAAUCCAAAAUUUUGGUGCUCAAAUGACCUUGAAUCUGAUAUAGAUAUAUUGUGUAGGAUAUGUGGAAAGUUUUCACCAAAAAUCAUGUGAAUUUGUUGGGUAAAAGUUGAAAUUUCGAAAUGGUACAAAUCUGGAAAAUUGGGUUCGGGUGUUCUGGACAGAGCAUUUUUGAAUGACCAUAACUCUCUGCUCGGACGUCAAAAUCAAGUGCUAUUUGUGGCAUUUAAAAAUAGACAUCUGUAGUUUUCUAAUGGUAUAUCAUGCACCUUUUAAUUUGAAGUGAGUCAUCUGUAGUGACUGAUCAAAGUUAACUGCCCUGUUCUGUCAGUGCAACCGAGAAAAUUAUAGAAGCUGCAACUUGUGGCUCCAUUUUCUCUUACUUUUCAACUGAAUUUCAAAAUGACUUCUUUUGAUGAAAUGUAGCCUGUUGAAUGUAGUUUCCAACGCCACCAACCAUGUUCUAUUUCAAGCUGAAUUGAGUGAGAUAUAGUCCAAUUCCCGAACUGUACCGAAUCUGGAAAACCAUAAUUUUAGCUAGCUGAAUGGCCUAGCUUGACUUGGGACAUGUUGUUUUGAAAAUUUUGAUACCAAUCACCUACCAGAUGUAUAUUAGAUAUUUUUUAUACCUUUCUUUCACAAAUGAGUCAUAUUUGGGUUUAUUUCAUUAGACCAAAUGUUUGAAAGAGACAAGAAAACAGAUUUGCUUUGGAAAUUCCUUAAACUUUGGUAGUUUUGUUAACUACCUUCCCGUGCGAAUUUUCAAAUGAAAUUUGAUAGAGGAGUAGUCCUCUUGUAGAAGUUAAAUUGUACCAAUUUUGGUGUCAUUCUAAGUAUCUUGUUUGAUAUACAAACAAGAUACUGAAGUUGUCCUUCCAAAUUUGGAAAAUGGACCGAACAGUCCUUAAUUUUAACCAAUUUUGAGCAGCUAUAUCUUGAUGCUCAAAACUCCAAUUCUAGUUCUGCUUGUUGUGUUUUAAACCUUGAUUGAAAUUCUAAUUGAGGUACAAAUUUCAGAGGCUAGUUCACUUUCUAUGAAUUUUGCUGAAUUUUCAAAGUUUGCCAAAAACCAAGAUUGAAACUGUCUUGUGGUGCGAAUCAGCCACUUUAAGUUGAAAUUUGAAUGUUUUCCAUUUAGAAUCUUGGAAACUCUUCACUACCCUUCGAUAUUGAAUGACCGUUUUAGACUUGAUUUCUUGAGGGAAAACAGUUUUUCCUUGCAUUGUUAAACGCCACUUUUAAACCUUGAAUUUUGAGCAAUUAAGGCUCUAUUUCAUGGUAUUUUAUUAGAUUGUACAAGUGUACAAUCUCCCUUGUUAAUAAGGGAUUUAUAAGUGAUAGUUAAUUAUUAUUUGCUCAGGCACUCAAGGGAACCUUCAAGAGAAUCUCACAGUGGACGCCUAAACCCUUAUUUGGGCACUGCUUCCUUGUUUUUGAUUGGUGAGUGUCAAGUGUGUGUAUAAGUGUUACGUGCUUAAUUGCUAUUAGUGAUUGGGUAUUUUGAAAAUGCCGAGUUGAGUGUGUACUUUAUCGCACUCGUUGUCAUUUAAGUGAAGUGUAUUUGAAUUACUUAAAGUGAAUUACUUGAAGUGAAUUACUUGAAGUGAAUUACGUGAAGUGAAAAUUUAAGUGAAGUGUUUCAGUGAUUAUUUAUGCUAUGAUUGCAUAAGUCGAUUAGAGUGAAUCUCCUCGACUCUCAGUGAUAAUAACGGGGACGCCCAAAUCUCAUCGACCGACCUUGCGACUCGAGCCGGCAUGGGCUUGAUCGAGAAGUUUGGUGAGCCAUGGGAAAAGUGUAUAAGUGUGAUCUAUUGGAGAGAUCUCGCUUGGUAUACUCGAGUAGUAUCGCCUUAUAUAAAAGAAGAGCGGGCCCGACACUGGGGUAUGUAAUGGUGAACGGGGAACGAGUAAGUGAAGUCUCUACAGACUAAAUACUGACCCGGUUGACGGAGUGUCAUCGCGGGGAGAUAAUUGAUCGAGCAUUGGCAAAGCAAGUGGAACUUAGCUCCUGAAAACUUCCAUAUCCUUGAAUUGUUUCUGGUUACUUUUCUUACUUGAAUUGUUAAUUACUUGAAUACUACUGUUUUACUUGCUAAAUUGUGAUUGCUACUUAGAUUACGUGUUUGCAUAUGUGUUCUUGGCCUCACGAGCAAUCGCUCACCCUAUAGAUUUGUUUUUCUUAACAAGAACCGAUAUGAAGUAACACUCGGAGAAGCCUUUUGGGUGAACUUUUGAUUAGAGAUUUGAGUGUAUUUAACUAGACAAUUUGGAAGUUGUAUAUUUUGACAAGGGGAUGUACCUUGAACUUGUGAUGUAGGCUUAAAUGCUUAUGUAUGGAAAUGAUUUCGUACUUUUAUUCCGAUUGUUAGUAUUGUACCUUUAAGUUUGAACUGGAAUUGUAGUGAGUCCUGACAAGAGCUGGGUAGGCGUCCUGCUGAUACCCUUUGAUUUGCCUUAGGGUGAAGUUGGAGUGUCACAGUUGGUAUUAGAGCGCUAGGUUAGAAAUCUAUUUAGGAGAUACAUUAGAGACUUUAUUUCUAAGAAUAGAAAUGAGAUAACCUAGUUAUACCCUAAGUUAUAUUUGAGCGAGUUCGUAACUUUAAGUUUAUAAUCUGAAAAUUGUAGUUGUUUUGCAGGGAUGGAGAAUGGGAAUGGAGGACCUGCUGCUAAUGGUAAUGGCCAUGCUAAUGGCUAUGUGGAGCCCCUUAGGUCCAUUUACUAUAUGCACAAGGUGGAGGAGCUCGUGUGCAUUAUUCACCUUGUACUAGGUAUCCUCGAUGUGUCUGUAGGACGAUAUAUGCUUACCCAAAUAACCUAGUAUUUUUGCCCUUGACGAUGAGCGACAUCAGUUGGUGGAUGCCAACAAAGAUCUGCUUCAGGAGAUGGAGGAGCUGAGCAUUAUGGUGAAUGCUUAGAGUGCUAGGAUUGCUGCGCUGGAGGGGACAUUAGUGAGUGAGAUGGCUAAGGCUGAGGCCACCCGUGAUGAGUUUCAGAGAGUUAGGGCUCGACUUACUAGGAUAGGUGAGGAGAUCCGUGGAUCAUGGCCGAUGCCACUAUGCUGAUUAAUGAGGUGAUGGGGGUUGUACAGAGUCCAGUUCAGGACUGCACUGAGGAAGAUUCGGAGGAGGAUCUAGAGGAGGACCCUGAGGAGGAUGUUCCACCUGAUAGCCCCUGAGGACUAGGCUAAAGUAGUUGGGGUGAUGCUAGUGCAAAGGCUUGCUUGACUAUGUGGUCUACUUUUGAGGCACUUGACUUUACUUUAGUCGUACAUGACUAAAAGGACCUUUAUGGCGGCACCUGUGUGCUAUACUUUUAAAAUUUUUCCCAUGACUUGCUAAUUGUAUGAACUUUAAUGUGUAAAUACAUGUUAAUUAUUGUUAUUUUUAAUGCUUUCAAGAUUGGCUCUUGUUUUAAGAAAUUCCUCGCGUGAUCACUUUUAUUUCUUGCACUAGGCACCACUAUAAUUAUGGAUGGACGAAAGGGUGGACGAGGUUGUGGGCGAGGGUCUAGGCAAGUCCAACCUCAAGAGGAUGACCAGGGAUUGGCAACUGGGCCGACCCAAGGGCAAUGAAAUUUAAAGGGUAAUCAAGUGGCUACUGCCAUUAAUAGGAUAACUGAUAUCCUUAAGUGGUUAGCCGAGAGACAGGGUCCAGGGUCACUUAACCAGCCCGGGGGCCAAGAUAGAGGGGAAGAUAGGACUUUGGAGAGGUUCCUGAAGUUUAACCCGCUUAAGUUCACUGGAGAACCUAACCCUGAGGUAGCGUAGAAUCGGUUGGAGAGGAUGACCAAUAUAUUCGCUGCCUUAGACUAUACCAAAGAUAGACGAGUGAAUUUUACUGCUUUCCAAUUUGAGGGAGUAGCACGUGCCUGGUGGGACAUGAUAAAGGGAAAGUGGGAGAGAGCCCAAACCCCCUUGGAGGACUUGGGAGAAUUUCACGAGAGAUUUCAAUGAGAAGUUCCUUCCGCCUCUGAUCCAAGAGAACGGGAGGACGAGUUUAUAAAGUUGAAACAAGGAACUCUUGGCGUAGCUGAGUAUGUAGGGAAAUUUACUAAACUUUCUAAGUAAGCUCCCGAAUUGGUGACCAAUGAGCGGAAAAGAAAAAGACGGUUUGUACAAUGGCUAAAUGUAGAAAUCCAGGAGGGCUUGGUUGCAGCCCAAAUCUCUACAUUUACUAAGGUUUUAGAGAAAGCGCAAAGAGUUGAGAGUGCAAGAAUGCAAGUUAGGGAUUUCCACAAAAAGAAAAGGAACUUUUCUAAUCAUACUUCUGGACAGGCUAGUAAGAGUGCCUUGUCUUCCAAGAUGGGAAGAGGAAUGGGAGAAGUAAGGACCGCUGGAGUUUCAAGGGGAGCUCUAUCCAGAGGAGGCCGUAGUGGGCCAGUUCAAACGAGAGGAGUGCCUUCUAGUGGCUCUGCCAUAACCUCUCAAGUUACUUGUUGCUACUGUGGUAAACCAAAUCACUCAGAGAAUGAUUGUUGGAGGAAGUCGGGAAAGUGUUUGUUCUGUGGUAGUGCUGAACAUCAACUCACAAGUUGUCUGAAGGCGCCAACAAUAGGAGGUAGCACUCAAAGGCCAGAAAAGUCACUUCUAAGCAGACUAGUGCUGGAGAGAGUCAACCAAGAGUACCGACUAGGGUUUAUGCACUGGAUCAUCAACAGAUUCCCGAUGCGACUGAGGUGGUUGAAGGUACGAUCCCUAUUUUCUACCGUUUAGCUAAGGUUUUAAUUGAUCCGGGUGCAACGCAUUCUUUUGUAAACCCUAAUUUCAUGGGUGGAAUAGACUUGAAGCCAAUUAAAUUAUCUUAUGAUUUGGAGGUUAAAACACCUAUUGGGGAUCGAAGUUUACUAGCUAUUUUGGUGUAUAAAGAUUGUGAGAUAUGGGAUCGAAGUUACUGGCCAAUCUGAUGGGUUUAGCGAUUAAGGGAUAUGAUGUGAUCCCAGGAAUAGACUGGUUAUCCCGUAAUGUUCAGUUGAGCUGUAAGACGAAAACGAUAGAAUUGUACAUUUCGAGAGAGGCGAGCCUGAAAUUGGAUGUGAGGAGUAGAUUAGCCUCAUCUGAACUUAUUUCAGGGAUCCGAGGUAGGAAAAUAUUAAGAGAGUUCAGGGAUAUCUGGCUUUCCUUAUCAAUACCCCUAGUGAUAAAGUAAAAUUAGAAAACAUGCCUGUAGUGAAGAAGUAUCCAGAUGUCUUUCCCGAAGAGCUAAAAUCUUUACCUCCGGAAAGAGAUAUAGUUUUUAAGAUUGAUGUGACUCCGGGAGUAGCACCUAUCUCUAAGACGCCGUAUAGAAUGGCUCCAACUGAAUUGAAAGAGUUGAAAUUAUAAUUACAGGAUUUGCUAGAGUGGGGUUUUAUAAAGGAGAGUGAUUCACUGUGGGGAGCCCCGGUUUUAUUUGUCAAGAAGAAAUAUGGGAGUUUAAGACUGUGCAUAGAUUAUCGAGGCUUGAAUGAUGUUACUAUUAAGAAUAAGUACCCAUUGCCCGACAUUAAUGAAUUGUUUGACCAAUUACAAGGAGCGGUAGUAUUUUCAAAGUUGGAUCUUAGACAGGGUUACUACCAGUUGAGAAUUUUGAAAAAAGAUAUACCCAAAACUGCUUUUAACUUGAGGUAUGGACACUUUGAAUUUGCCGUAAUGCCAUUCGGGUUAACAAAUGCACUUGCUGCUUUUAUGGAUUUGAUGCAUAGGGUCUUUAAGUCUUAUCUGGACCAAUCUGUGGUAGUAUUCAUUGGUGACAUACUAGUGUACUCUAAAACUAUGAAGGAUCACGAGAAACAUUUGGAAAUUAUUUUACAAACUUUGAGGGAACAUCAAUUGUAUGCUAAGUUUAACAAGUGUGAAUUUUGGCUGAAAGAAGUGACAUUCUUAGGUCACAUAAUUUCUAAGGAUGGGUUUAAAGUGGAUGCAGCCAAAGUUGAAGCAGUUUCUAAAUGGAAACGACCGAAAAAUCCUACUAAAGUUUGAAGUUUUAUAGGGUUAGCAGAAUAUUACCGGAGAUUUAUCAAGGAUUUUUCUAAGAUUGCUGGACCAAUGACAGAGUUAACUAAGAAAAGUGGGAAGUUUAUAUGAAGUCUUAAGUGUGAAGAGAAUUUCCAAGAGUUAAAGAAACAUUUGACCCCGUAUUAGCUCUACGAAUAGGAAGGAUAGUUUUGUGGUUUAUAUAGAUGCUUCCAAGGAAGGUUUGGGAUGUGUAUUAAUACAAAAUGAGAAAGUGAUAGCACAUGCCUGUAGGAAAUUAAAGCCGCACGAAAGAAAUUACCCGACCCAUGAUUUGGAGUUAGCGGCUGUAGUGUUUGCAUUAAAGAAGUGGAGGCAUUACCUUUAUGAAGUAACGUUUGAGGUUUUUACUGACCACAAAAGUUUUAAGUACUUAUUUUCUCAAAAGGAGCUAAAUUUGAGACAAGUAGGUGGAUGGAAUUCUUCGAAGACUAUGAUUGCAUGAUAAAGUAUCAUCCAGGGAAAGCCAAUGUAGUGGCCGAUGUUUUGAGUCGUCAAGUGCAAGUGGCGGGAUUGAUGAUUAAAGAGUUGCACUUGUUGGAAGAGGUCAGUUAUUGAAGUCCUCGACUUGAACAGAGGAAGGUAAUUCUUGGGAAUAGUGUCGUGAAUUCCACUUUGUUGGAACGUAUCAAAGGAACUCAGGAAAAGGAAUCUGAAGUGCAAAAGUGGUUGGAAAAAGUCAAAAAGGGAGAAAAGUCGGUUUUGACUUGGGAAUGAAUGGUAUAUUGAGGUUUCGGAAUCUGAUAGUAGUGCCAAAGGAUGAAGGACUUAAAAAGGAAAUUUUGGAAAAAGCACACCGAUCGAAAUUUACGGUACACCCUGGAGGGAAUAAAAUGUACCAAGCCUUAAAGAGUUUGUAUUGGUGGGAGAGCAUGAAAAAGGAAAUUACUCAGUUUGUCCAGACCUGUUUGAUUUGUCAACAGGUUAAAACUGAAUAUCAGAAACCAUCAGGACUUUUACAAUCUUUGGAGAUACCAGAGUGGAAGUGGGAAAACAUCACCAUGGAUUUUAUAUCUGAGUUACCUAGGACACAAAGAGGUCAUGAUGCCAUUUGGGUAAUAGUGGGUAGAUUGUCCAAAUUGCCUCAUUUUCUGCCGAUUAGUAUGAAGUACCCGUUGGAGAAGUUGGCUAAGUUAUACUUGGAUGAGAUUAUCAGGUUACACAGAAUACCUAUAAGUAUUGUGUUCGAUAGAGACCCUAGGUUUGUUUCGAGAUUCUGGCAAAAGAUACAAGAAGUGUUGGAGACUAAAUUGAAUUUAGUACUACUUACCAUCCCCAGACAGAUGGACAGUCUGAGAGGACGAUUCAGAUGCUCGAGGACAUGUAAGAAUUUGUACUUUGAAUUUUGAGGAGAGUUGGAGUAAGUAUUCGACAUUGGUGGAAUUUGGUUAUAACAACAGUUUUUAUUCUUCAAUUCAAAUGGUCCCGUACGAAGCACUUUAUGGUCGGAAAUGUAGAUUUCCGAUUUGUUCGGAUAAAGUAGGUGAACAAAAGAUCUUAAACCCGACUACAAUCCCUUGGAUUGAGGAGGCGAACGAAAAAGUGAAGUUGGUACGCUAGAGGAUUCAAACCGCAGAAAGUCGUCAGACGAGUUAUGCAGAUAACCGAAUGAAGGACUUAGAAUUUGCGAUUGGAGAUCGAGUCUUUCUUACGAUUACUCCUCUGAAAGCAAGUUUGAUGGCAGGUAGAGGAAAGAAGUUACAACUGAGAUUUGUAGAACCUUAUAAGGUUAUCCAACGCGUGGGAAAUGUAGCGUAUAAGUUGGAAUUGCCACCGAGUCUAUCUCGGAUUCACAAUGUUUUCCAUAUGUCCAUGCUCAAGAAAUAUCACCCAGACCCUUCUCAUAUCCUACAACUGGAAGAUAUUGAAAUUGAUGAGACGCUGACCUAUGAGGAGAAACCGAUCAAGCUUCUAGAUCGUAAGGUAAAAGAAUUGAGGAACAAGCGGAUUCCGUUGGUGAAAGUUCUCUAGAGGAACUAUGGACUCGAGAAAGUAACCUGGGAGGUUGAAGAAGAAAUUCGAAGAAAAUAUCCAAACCUAUUCUCAAAUCAAGGUAUAAUUUCGAGGACGAAAUAUGACAACCCCGCCUCCCCCUAAGGCGAACCAGAGGGUUCGGCGGACCGCCUGCCCACCUCUCACCGGGACUCAGUCGUUCACUCCAGUCUUCAAUUAAAAUCAAAAUAAAACACAGGAAUAAAUAUAACGAUAAUCCAAAACUUAACGCAAAACUUAUGUACAUUAGAGUACAAACAUCGAAUAUACAAAGGUUCUCAAUUCUUCAUACAUCCACCCGUGCCAAGCACUAGGGCGAGAACCAUUACAAAAGAAAACCAAGAAACUAGUCUAGGCUAGUCUAUCCAAAACUCCCGUCCUGGCUUGCCUUCCAUGUUAAGGAAAACAAAACUAAAGGGAUGAGCUAAAAGCUCAGUAAGGUUCCGAACACAUAACCAAACAAUCAAUCCAAUACAUUAAACAUAGAGUAUCAAUAAUUCAAGAAACAUUUACAAUGGAAAGUGAUAAUAACACAUUCAUUAAAAGGAUACAGGCUCACAGGGAGCCAUGCUUUCGUUCAUUCAUUCGUUCCCCUGACAUUUCCCCUUAUUUCUCCAAUUGUUUGACAAUGCAUUUUUGUAAGUAAAACCCUCGUUCGUUCGUUCAUUUCAUUUCAUUCACCCCCUCCUGGGCGUUGGCCAGGCUCCACCAACCUACAAGGUAAUACUCGAGUAUACCAACGUUGACGCCCAGGGUUACCAUAUCGCCCAACUGAGUCCGUUUCUGACUCGAGUCGAUCGGUAAUGAAGGGCAGGGCCCAGUUCAGCCAAACGGCUUACAUUCAUGCGCAACUAGCAUUUAAUCAUUUAAUCAUUGAAAAUUUGACAUUUAUUUAGGUCGAGUACGAUAAAGUACAUACUCGCCUAGAAAACUCGUUUUAACAAUCAUUGAAAGUACUUAACACAUUAUCAAUCAAUAAUAACAAGCCAAUAAGUCAAGAAAAUAUAACAAACAAGAACACUCACCUAUAUACGCAAAACAACGUGCAAAAUAUCCUUCCGGAUAUUAUCUUUAGUCACCAAGAAAACCUAAGAUUAAACAAGAAAGAAUAUUACAGCUCAUCUAACACAAACAAUUAGGUGAAAUCAAAGAACUCGACAAUUGAUGAGUAGAACGUAUAAAAGACUUUAAAGUGAAACGAGGACAUUUGGACCCGUGGACAAAAAUAACUAGGGUUUUAUAGUCGAAACGUAAAACCCAACUGAAAAGGGUUAUAAAAUUUUCCAAUGGAAACACUUGAACCAAAGACAAGUCGGAAUCCAACUAGAUAGGCUAAGAAAUACUGUUUUCGAGAUCAUUUAUAUGGUUCAAAAUCAUCCCAUAUUCAAGUAGAUAUUAUAGACUAAAUGUCUUAAUGAAAUUUAUGUAAAAGGGAGGACAAAUACCCAUGAAAACCCUAAACCACUCCUUUUUAUUUGGUAAGCGUAAGUAAACAUUUGGAGUUUCCAAUUGAAGAAGGAUCAUGUUUUAAGAUGAAAAAUGGUCAUAGUAUUUGCCAAACGAAAAUAUACAAAUUCAAAUAGAAACUUAGCCCUCGAGCGAAAAUUUGGACAGCACGCCCUUUGUAUUUACUUAUUUUUCCAGCAAUUUAUGGCUUCAUUGUUUUCCUCAAUCAAUCCCAAAGUCACACACAAUAUCAUCUCAUUUCAAUAGCCAUUCCAUAGGCUCAAAGUCAUAUAAGUAAAAAAAUCAAGCUAACAACAUGUGCAGAAAUGAAGUUUAACAAAAGACAGAUUUGACGGGUUUUACGUAACGGACACAUCAGAAGCUAUGCUUAUCGGAUUGGGAUGUAAUUUAUACCGUUUCGAAGCUAAGACAGAGAGCUACAAUUUUGAUGAAGACCACUUAGUCCAAAUUCCAGUGUAACCUAGUCAAAUUCCCAAUUCCCAAAACCAAGUUCCAACUAAUUGGCUAAUUAACCGUACUGCCUUUAAAUGGCCAUAUCGUAGGCUACCAAAAUCCGUUUAAGGCGUUCUUGGAGGCGUUGAAAAUCUAAGACAAAGACCUACAACUUUCAUGAAGACCACUCAGUCCAGUUCUCACCCUAACUAGGUCAAAUUUACCAAAACAACUCCAGAUUUUUCAGUUUGAAAUUCACUACGGAAAUCAACUAGCAGUCCUGCUUUAUUCACUCAUAUCUAAGCACACACAACUCCAAUUCAGGUAAUUCCAAAGCCAUUUGAAAGCUAAGAUACAAGGUUAUAAUUCUUAAGAAAACAUCAUCAACCAAUUGGGUAAUAUUACUGGUCAAACUAACCACUUACAAAGGCUGAUUUUCAUUUUCGGACAGAAACAGGGCAGCAAUGGUAUUUCGAUCUUUUCACAGGCUACGUUGCUCAGAUUGAGCUGAAAUUUUGCAGGCAACUACAAAACAUCAUUUUCUACAACUUUUAUAUUUUGUGCUAAGACUAGUUCUGUGACAGCCCCACAUUCUCCUAAGGCGAACCAAAGGGGUUAGCGGACUGCCUGCCCAGCUCUCGCCAGGACUAACGGGAUAGUUCAAAGCGAUCUCAAACGUUCUGGAACAUACACGCGCGCAUAAACAAGUUAAAAUCACAAAAUAUAAAAAAUGAAAAUCGGAGCCGAACAUGAACAGUAACCGACACGUCAGAAUCCGGCCGGAAUCUAGCCAGAUUUCAGGCCGGAUUCAUGGCCAGAGAGCAAGGCCGGAUUUCCUAAAAAUCCUAGGGCAAUCCGGCCGCUAAUCCGGCCAGAAAUUGGCCGGUUUCGACCCUAUCCUUUUGCCGCCAAAUUUUUUUUUUUCGCUGUUUGAAAUCCGAAACUGUCCAAAAUCCAACCAAACACCAAUCAAACCCAUACCACUUGAAAUUUAGCAUUUACAUACCAAAAUAGCAUACAAAAGUUUCCAAUCCCAUUUACACAUGUGCGGUUUCAAUCUUACAAUUCAAAAGAGGGAACGGUCAAAAUACAUUCUAGGGUUUCAUUCUUCGAGGAGCUAUACAAAAUGUAUGCAUAACUAGCUCAACUCGGCAACCAACUAUCAAAGCCAUUCCAAAAAUAUUCAAAUUCCUGUAAGGAAAACAAAAGAAAUAGAGUGAGCUUACGCCCAGUGAAAUACUAUCACUUAAGCAGCAAAGUUCAUAUAAGCAUAAAGCUUUUCAUUCCAAUUCAUCAAAAGUAAGCCAAGAACACACAUCAAUAGUGUUAAUAAAAGGAUAUGGAUAGCUCUCAAGAGCCCCUUUCCUCGCUUGCAAACUUGAUCGGACUUCAUUGACUCUCCGUCAAUGUUUAAAAGUAACCAACCGUAGGCUCCACUUGACUUCCAUUCCUUCCACCCAACAUACCCCUACCGGACCCGAACUCCAAACAAUAGAAAUUUGGUAAUACUCGAGUAUAUCGGAACCAAGAGUCUCAUACUCAAUGAUUCCUUAUAACAGUCCCCAUGGCUCCUCAAUUUUCACGACCAAGCCCUUGCCGGCUCGAUUCAAUUGACUACCAAUGGGGUUGAGUUCAGUAGCAACAGUAAUGGCCGUUGGAUACUCGUCCAAAUGACACCACAUCAAGUCUUUGCAUGUAUCACUCAAUUAUACAGUAAACAGUCAUAUACGAUAAAAGGGUGAGAGUGAUCAAGUACACCCUCACCUCAAUCAAGGUUAACAAUGCAAUUAAGCCAUCAAAUCAUCCAUUUCAAGUGUAGCAAAGCCACAUAGUAACAAACAAGUGAGUAGUACACUCACCAAGCAAGCAAAUGAUAUUUCAUGUACUUCCGCCCAAAGAGCGUCUUGAACCACCGUGUCGUCCUAAAACAUUCAAAUAAGCGCAAUAAGACUCGAUUACAAGUCAUCAAUCUAUUCCACAUACUACCAAAAUAAGGCUCUAUUAGAACGUAUAAGUACUAGAGUAAACUUGGGAAGUCCGGAAAUGGAAGUUAAGAUCUAACCCUAAAAACAGUUUUUGACAUCAUUUAGCGGUUUUGGCACCAUUGGCACUACGAUUAUCGGAUGGAUGUACAAUAUACACCGUUUCGAAACUAAAAGAAAGGGUUACAAUGUUGAAGAAGGACACUCAGUCUAGUUUGUAGUGCCACUAGGUCAAAAGUUCAAUGUACCACACUAGAAUCGCAAAAAUAGGUUAGCAAACCGUAUUCCGGUUAAAUAACAUAAUUCAGGCUACCUAAGUCCAAUUCAAGUGAUUCCAAAGCCAUCCAAAAGCUAUGAUACCAGGCUAUAUUUCUUAAGAAGACAUCAACAACCAAAUCAGUAGUAUUUCCAAUCAAAUUAACCAAUUACCAAGGCUGAUUGCCAAGUUCAGACAAAAACAGGACAGCAGGGGUAUUUCAGUCUUUUUAUAGGCUACGUUACUCCGAUUGCCCUGAAAUUUUGUAAGAAACUAUAAAAUAUUAUUCCCUACAACUUUCAUAUUUUAAUCCAAGGCUAAUUCGGCCACUGGCUAAGUGUAACAGUACCGGGCAGAAUGGGUUCAAUUGCAACCGUAAUUCCGAAUUUUCCCGUUCAAUGCGAAAAUUUUCUGCAAAUAGCUACAAUUUACACACUAAGGCUUCAUUCUAAACCAUUCCCAACCAUCAUCCAUGGCCACACAAUAUUAAUCAUAUGAAGACAGAAAAAUCAUGAAUAAAUAUAAAACUUCACCAAUUUCUACCAAAAAUCAUGAAACAACACCUAAUAUCACCACUUCAUCUCAUAUAAGUCACUAAUUAAACAUUAUUGAGAAGAAAGAGAGGUCCCUUAGUUAUUUACCUUAAAACCCUAGAAAAGGAGCAACUUUACACCUUAAUCCUCCAAACCACUCCACAACCAAGCUUAACUUCAUUAAACUAAGAGGUUUUAUGGACAGGACGCGAGAUUGCUCAAUAACCCUUGCCAAGCAAGUUAAAGGCUCGAAUUCUUUAUGAAAGAAAACGAAUGCACUAAGAAUUUUAUUAAUCAAAAACUAGUUUUUAACCUUACAAGGCUAGCCUAUUUAUAGGCUCAAUGAAGUAACGAAAACCCUAAAGAAACUUAAAGGGAAGGUCGGCUACCUUGUCUUCAAGGUGGGCCGGCCCAUGCCUUCUACGAAACACUAGUCCAACUAAAUAGAAAAACAACGACUAAGGCCCUACUCGGCCGAUUCGUAAGGAGGCCCACUGGAGUCUUCCUGGGCUUGGACCAAAGUGUAAGUUGCUUGAUUGAUCCUUUCCAAGCCUUCAAUAUCUCUAUAGCCUCCAUGUUAAUCGUGGACAACUCGAACAAGGGCUUGGAGGGAUUCUUUGAAGAGCUUGGCCCGUGCACGUGUGACUGGGCCCAAUGGGACUUGGACUGGGCCCUGGUUCAUGCACACAUCACUUCUUUUAUCGAGAUUAAGGUUUGCAUCAUAUUUUUCACCUUGACUAAAUCAACAAUUUGACUGAAUUGUCUUCAUCUUCCCUCUUACUUGGCCGAACCAAGAGAGAAGAGAAACCAAAGAGAGACCUCCAACUCCAACCUCAAUUUUGUACUUGAAUCUGAAGUUACUCCAUGGAAAUGUUAACUAAGAAAGAUUUCAAGGUAUUGGUGGAGCGCUUUUUGAGGAUGAAGCCCUGGAUUUCCAUCUUUCUUGAGGUUACAAGGUAACUUUGGCUAGCAAUUUUCCUCUACUACCAAUAUAGGUAAACUAGUGGAUUAAGGUAGUACUUUUGGCAGCUUUAUGGAAAAUUUGAUGGGUUGAACUAGUGUUAACCAUGGUCUGAUAGCUUUGUUAUGACUUGCCUAAAGAAAAUUCUAGCUUGUGAUUAAGAAUUUCAGUUUUGGGUUUCAUUUUGCUAAACUUGAGUAGAGACGGUUAUAUGCUUGAUGUAGUGAGUUGUGGGCUUGAUAUUUAUAUGCUUGAGUUGAAGCUAUUUCAUGGGAAGAAUGAAGCCUUGAAUGGGCUAGGAAAAGUUAGUAAACACAAAGGAUGUGCCGCUGAAAAUUUUUUCGCAGGGAACCUUGGAAGGUUUUAUAGAAUUUGUUAUAUCUUGAUGUAGAAAAGUCAAAAUUGAGUUUCAUUUAUUAUGUUUGAAACUAGGUUCAGAGUAUCAGUAUUGUUCUCAAUUCCCAUGAAUAUCUAUGAUUUUUCAAAGUUGACUGAAACUGUAUACCUGUUCUGUCUGUUACUGGGUGAAGCAGCAACUUUAGGUUGGAAUUUAACCGACUCAUGGAUUGGAUCUUACAAUGGUACCUUCUAUAAAGUUGUAACAAUUUGAAUCCAUAUUCCGACGGUAUAAAGUUUUAAGUUUUUGGACAUAAGAAUCUCAAGAUAAGAUUUUCAAAUGAGAUCACGCAAAACUAAAACAAAAAAAAAAUUCUAUUUUUCCUAGGAUUAUUCCUACUUACAUUCUCAACUUUAGGAUUGGAAUUGGUAAACUAUUUGAGGUUGGUUUAUGAGUGGAAUCGAGACUUAAAUGAAAGGAAAAUGACUUCUUCAAACCACCUUAGGUCGGACAGUUUACAACUUUGCAUUUUGAACAUCUUUUCUACUUUCUCUAAACGUAUGGCUAUAAGUGAUACUUUUCUGCUCUAAAUGACUUUUGCAACAUUGAUUAGUAAAGACAUAAGGAUUAUUCUUCGAUGGGAACAAGCUGGUAUUAUAUUUCGAUAGGUUAUACAACUAUGAAACUUGUAAAUUGAUACAUGUUCUAAAUAAAGAUUUGGAGCUUCAAUUCCUACAUAAUAUGGCUUUGUAUUGCUGGUCUUACUAAAGCAUGCGUUCACAGGACUCGAGAGAGUUAAAAAGGAUAUUCAUCGAAAAUAUUUUGAACUACUCAAUAAUCAAGCUGAGAAUUUCGAGGGCGAAAUUCUUUAAGGGGGAGAGAGUAUGAGAACCCUCAUUUUUAAAAUACAAUUUCCCCAAACUACAUGCCUUGCACCAAGAUUUAAACCACCUCUUAUAUGCCCUAGCAUUAUAUUUCACAAUGUGUUACAACAAAUCCCUUGUAUGGACCCUCACUUUAAAACACAAUUUUCUUAUUUACAUGCCUUAUUAUAAGAUCUAGACCAUUUAAUAUAUGCCCUUACAUAUUAUUUUCUAUGUGUUAUAAUAAUUUCCAUGCAUUUCAUUUCAAUUCAUUUUACCUGAAGUAAAAUAUAUCCUUGAGCUAGGUUGUAAAUAAAUCACCACUUGUAAUUGUCCAAGUGUUCUUUUAUUAGUGGUAGAGACUUUAUGUGAGAGAUUAGAGGUGUUGAAUAAUUAUUGGUGCAUUUGGAAAGGUAAGAAUGGCAUUAGUCAAAGAAUUAAGAGAAAUUGUGUACAAGAAUUAGGCCAAGUGGCAAAAUCCUAGCCAUGCAUCUUGUUUGACCAAAGAUUAGAUGAAUUUUAAACCAAUUUUUGCUCCAUUCCUCCACCAUAAUUUCGUGCCCUUCUUAGCUUCCAAGAGAAGGAGAGAAACUCCAUUUUAAAGCUUUCUAAACCUAGUGUGAGCUUGAGAGAAAAAUCAAAAGAGAAAGAUCUAGAGUUAGUGAGAAACUUUCCUCCAAUCCUUGAGCUUUCAUUUUGGUGGAUUGUUUUGGUGAUUUGAGCACCUUGUAAGUAAGGUAAGUACUCUUUAAUUUGGGGGUUUUAUGUGUUAGAUCAUCUACUAUAAGCUCUAAUCAUGAAUUGCAAGUUGUUGUGGUUGGAAUUGAAAGUUAACCCCUUGAAUUAAACAAGUAGUGGAUGAAUUGUUAGUAUGCACACCAAGUGUUUGAUGAAAUGUUCAACUCUUAUUCAUUUAUGUUUAUGAGGUAUUGAUAUGUUUUAAAACCUUAUAUGGUUAGAUGUAACACUUGAGAUGUGCAAAAGGUGAAAAUAAUGAGAAGAGUGAAAGUUGGGAAACAAUUAAGGAUGCUGACCGAAACUGUUCAGCUUGCUGUCCGGUUUUUGCCCUGAUGUUUCAUGCAUAUUUUGGCUACAAAUGUGAGUGAUAUAUGUUGGGUUAUGUGUGUAGAGGUUGUCUACAAAAAAUUAGCCAAUUUGGUUGAGUAAAUUUUGAGUUGCAAGCAAAGGGACAAAACUGGACUAGGUCCAGAAACUUUCUGUCCAGCGAUGUUGUAAAGGCUAUAACGUUUUACUCACUGAUCUGAAUUGAGUACCGUUUGUGGCAUUGGAAAAUAGACUCUUAGAGCUUUAAAAUGGUACCUGGCUCAUGUUCCGGUUCGUCCCGAGCAAUCCGUGGCAAGUCGUGGAAGUCGGCUGCCCGUGCGGUACUGUUCAUCCGAGGCAGUCCAGAAAUUUCUUUUGUCUUCUUAAUUUUGAGCCACUUAAGCUGGGAUUUUGGAAAUGGUUUCUUCACGACAAAUUUAACCUUAAGAACCUAGUUUCCAACGCAAUUGACGGAACCUAAUUCUGACUCUCCUACCAUGAACAGUGACCAUUUUCCCGAGGCUGGUCGGGCGAGACAGUUUAACCGUAAUGAAACUUUUGAGCUUCGGUAAAACCCUUCUUUUGCCGAACUUUCAUGUACAUACCAAACUUGUUUUCUUAUCAACUUUUCCCAUGGUUUGGACCUCAUUUGCAUGAUAGAUUAAGUAGCUUAGGCUACUCACUUGGUCUCUUAAUGAACCUAUACUUGAGUAAGGAACGAAUCCAAUUGUUAAUGGUUUCGCUCGUUGACCUAGGUUUGGGCAACAAAGGUGAUCGUAACUGAGACGUUUGAUGUCAAUUGCUACUUUUGCUUGACAGGUGAGUGUUUCACUACUUGCUACUUGUUAUGUGGAAUACUUGCAUACUUGAAAUCGUUGAUUUGCUAUUGUUUGAGCCAAACACUGUUUCAGUUAAAAUCGAGGCGAGUGUGUACUUUAUCGCACUUGACCUUCCUUGUUUUCCACUGAGGCUCUACUUACUGAAUGAAGUAAUAUGAAAUGAGAUAUUGCUAUACAUGACCGUGCUUAAGUUGCGUGGAUGACAUUCCGCCAACUACUGUUACUGUUUGGGUACCCAACCUCAUAGGUGAGUCGGUUGUAUCGAGCCAGCAAGGGCUUGGUUGAGAAGGCCGAUAAACCUUGAGGACUGUUUACUGUUCACUGGAAAUUGAAUCUUGCCUGGAUGUCCCUGGUGAAGCAUAGCCGUUGUGCUUGCUUGUUGUGUUGUCCAGCACCACCAGUGAUAAAAUCCUCGACUUGAUACUGCUUUAUUGGAAUCCUUGAGCAUUGGAAACUCGGAUUCCUGGUAUACUCGAGUAUUACCAAACUACUGUUUAUGGAGUGCAGGCCCGGUGGGGGGUUGUUUGGGGGACGGAGACUGGUGAAAGUGUUGUUCUACGGACCUAUAUACUGUUACAAGUGUUGACGGAGUGUCAACAGGAGGCAAUUAUGAUCAAGCUCAAGUGGACCUUUGGCUUUUGAAAGCCACCCGUAUCCUUGAAUUGAAUUGUGAUUAAACUGUUAUUUUGUUGUAUGGUGUUUAGUUGGCUAUUUUGUGAUUUUAUGUGGCUAUGUGUUUACUUGUUUACCUGGAACCUCACUGGGCUUUAGCUCACCCCAUUCCCUUUGUUUUCCUUAACAGAUCGGGAAGGGAUUUGAUCGAGGGCUUUCUUAGCUUUAUUUUGCCGUUCUUGCGUUUUGAGGUUGUAACUUUCGUUUAAGCAGACUUGUAAGCUUAAAUUCUUAAGGGUGAUUUAUAUUAUGUAAAUUUGAGUGAAGCGUGGUAAGUUGGCAUACGAUGAUAUAUGUACUAAGCUGAAUUGUUGGAUUAGUGAUCAUGUUUGAGUUAGUGUUUCAAUCCCCUGCAUUGUCAAAUGUUACAUUCGUUUCAUUGAUGAUAUUAGUACUUUGAACGACUGAGUCCCGGCGAGAGUUAGGCAGGCAGUCCGCUGAUACCCUAGGGUUUGCCCAAGGGAGAGGUGGGGCUGUCACAAUGGACCCCUUAGCCGACUCAUGGGUUUCUAAUCUUCAGUGAUGGCCGAAACUAGGACAACAAGCCUAGCUUCGUUGAGGCCUUCGAUGAACUUUGGCUCUCCACUCGACUCUCGGGCCGCACGAACCAAUGUUUAUAGUGUCUCAUUUAAUCUCUUCGCGCGAGCUCGUGUCAUAAGCCCCAAUGGCACCUUCACUUUCUCCACUUGGAUAGCUCCCUCAACCUCCUCAUCAGAACUCGUAUCACGUAGUGCCCGGAUCUAGACGAGGAAUCAAGUUGGUGAGCGAAGUAACACUCGAAACCCUAACUCUAUGAUGCAAACCUUGGACUCAACCUCAACCUAUAACACUUGAGUAAUUGAGACAAUGUUAUAAGUAGAGGAACGCCACAAUCAAGGCGUGUACUUCUCAAUCGAAUACCCUCGAGUAAUUCUCAAGUAUUCAAUGGGACUCUCUUAGACAAGAGAAAAGUGUAAACACUCAAAUUUCUGAAAUAUUAUUCAAUGAAUAAAACUGUUGGUGGUGUGGGCUAUUUAUAGCCUUACAUAGCAAAGAAAACCUAAAGUGAUUUGGAAUCACUUAUUUCCUAAAAAUAAGGACUUAGUUUCGGCUGCCUUGUGGAUUAGUGGGCUUGGCCAAAUCUAUGAGGGCUUGCAUCAACUAAAUAAAACAAGAUAAUAGACUAUUAAAAGCAAAAGGUGGAUAUUUCAAUAGAUCUAAUUGAUAUUUUUCCAAUCGCAGAUAAACAAAGCAACCUUUCGUCAUUAAUCUUCGGAGGUGAAGGUGAAUUUCAUAUGAAUUUUCCUGUUUGUUCACAAGAAGUUUGUGAUAUUCCCUUUCUUUGGUAUACCUAAUCUUGUUGGUGAAUUUUUGAAGUAAAAAUCGUGACACGAGCCCCCCUGUUAAAAACCCCCCAAUGGAUCUAGGAAUGACCUCCUGUGCUUGUGUACAAAUUAAAGCUUGUUGAAAGUAAGCCCUUAUUUCAAACACUUAACUCAAGAAAACAAAAAACGAGACUUUAAUCCUCGAAUGGAGCUCCAAACUCCAUUUCGCUUGACUUUUGGGCUUGAAUGAGAGUGUAACGGAUUGUUUUGUCUUGCUCAAGUUUGGUUUCAAGACGUGCAUGGUCAAUUCCCUCAUAGGUGGUACAAACGAGUGCUUGCAUGGACUCUUUGAUCUUCUUGGCACGAGCCCUUGUCAUUGGGCCAUUGAAUUCCAUGCGGCUCUCCUUCAUGGGCUCAAGGUUGGCCACCCCUCCUCUUGCAUCAUUCCCCUCCUCUUGAAGGCGAUUUGUCCCCAAAUCAAGCUCAUCGUCUGCAAGAAAAGGGCUUAAAUUAGCCACAUUAAAGGUUCACCGUACUCACCCGGUAGGUUCAAUUUGUAUGCGUUGUCAUCGAUGCGCUCCACUACUUGGAAAGGACCAUCCCCUCUUGGCAAGAGUUUGUUGCGUCGAGCCACGGGGAACCUCUCCUUGCACAUGUGAAUCCACACCCAGUCACCUGGCUCAAAAAUCAUCUUACGACGACCCUUGUUAGCAUGACGAAUAAACUGGAAUGUGCGUUUCUCAAUAUUAUCUCUUACCUUUUGGUGCAAGGCACGCAUUUGCUCAGCUCAUUUCAAUCCAUCCAUGUUAGUUCGUUCAGUCACAGGUAAAGGUGAUAAAUCUAAAGGUGUGAGAGGAUUAAACCUAUAAACGACUUCAAAUGGGGAGUAGUGUGUGGUACUAUGGACUAUGCGGUUGUAGGCAAACUCAACAUGUGGCAAACAAUCUUCCCAUGAUUUCAAAUUCCUUUUGAUAAUUGCACGCAACAAGGUGGAAAGUGUCCUAUUAACCACUUCAGUUUGACCAUUAGUUUAAGCGUGACUAGAAGUAGAGAAUAAGAGUUUAGUUCCUAGUUUACCCCAUAAAGUUUUCUAGAAAUAGCUAAGGAACUUGACAUCUCUAUCACUAACGAUGGUGCAUGGCAUACCAUGCAAUCUAAUAAUUUCCCUAAAGAACAGGUCAGCUAUGUGUUUAGCAUUGUUAGUUUUGUGACAUGGAAUGAAGUGUGCCAUUUUUUAAAUCGAUCUACAACCACGUACACAGAGUCAUGACCAUACCUAGUCCUAGGUAGUCCAAGUACAAAGUCCAUAGAAAGGUCAAUCCAUGGAGUAGUAGGAAUGGGUAAUGAAGUGUAGAGUCCACAGGGGUUUACCUUAGACUUGGCAUGGUGACAAGUCACACACCUUUGAGCCAUGCGUUCUAUAUCGCACUUCAUUUUGGGCCAAUAAAAGUGCUCUUGGAGGAUAGCCAGUGUUUUGGUGACUCCGAAAUGGGCCAUAAGACCUCCACCAUGUGCUUCCUUAACAAGUAGCUCUUGCAUGGAGCAAGCGGGAAUGCAUAGUUUGUCCUUGAAGAACAAAUACCCUUGAGAAAUAGAGUAGUUCUCACCGUUGAACCAUGGAAGGUCAACAAAAAUAGCUCCAAAGUCUGGGUCAUUAGUGUAAGCAUUUUUAAGUAAUUCAAAUCCAAGAAGUUUAGCAUCAAGAGUGGUAAUGAGUGUGUACAAAACCACAUUGCUCUUCCCGGCCUUGUAUUUGAUUACAAAUGGGAAACUAUCAAUGAAGGCCACCCAUCGAGCGUGUCGCUUUGAUGUGUGUACGGACCUCAACCCACAUAAUGACCCAGUCCAAGUCCCAUUGGGCCUAGUCACAUGUGCGCGAGCCAAGCUCUUCAAAGAAUCCCUCCAAGGCCUUGUUCAAAUGGUUCAAGACCAACAUGGAGUCCAUAGAGAUAUUGAAGGCUUAGAAGGAGACAAGAAAGUCAUCUACACCAUGAUCCAAGCCCAUGAAGAGUCAAGUGGGCCUCCAAGUAAGUUGGCCGAAUAGGGCUUUAGGUCUUAGUGAUUACUUAGAGUUAGAUUAGACGCUUUAGUAGAGCAUGGGCCGGCCCAUCUUGACACCAAGAUGGCCGAAUGCUUCCCUUAGGAUUUUUAGUAACCUUUAGCCUAUAAAAAGGCUAGCUUUGUGAGGUUUGAAGGUAGACGUUUUAAAAAUAAAGUUUGUUUAUUUUCGAUUCUUCUUGUUAAGAGAGAUUCGAGCUUCUACUUGCUUUGGCAAGGGUUAUUGAGCAAUCUUACGUCUUAUCCAUGAUUGUUCUACCGACCUAUCCAUUUGCGUAACCACCUCGAUUGGAGUCAUCGUUUUACCGCCUGUAAUCAAAUCGUGUCGUCCGUUUGAUUCUAGGUUCCGCAAUCCAAGCGUUGGACCACCUCGCUAGAUCCUUGGGCAACGUGCUACGUGUCUCGAAACAAGUUGAUCGAGGACCGUAUCAAUUGCCUUCAGAGCUUUGGUUGAGGUAUCUUCCGUUAUAUCCAUUGUUUUUGUCUUUAUUUGUCAUCCAGAAUUCCUUGUUUCUGUUGCCGUGUUGGAAAAAAAAAAAGAAUUUCUGUCGGCGCUUUGUUCCUUUGUUUUCCGUGUCAAAACUGGUUCCUUUAUGUUAAAUCUCUGACCGUAGUCUUGAUCACUCGUUGCAUUAACGAAUUCUAGCCGUAAGUGUGUUCCAUUCUGUCCAAGUUGUGUCUUGUAGUGCGUCUUCAAUUUCUGACCGUAGUACCUUGAAAAUCAAGUUUAGUGUUCCGUCGUUGGCAUCACUUUCUAUCCAAAGUUGCUGUCCGUGGUUGUGUGCACUCAUGGUGUCCAAAAAUUCUGGUUGAACAUGCAAAUCUGUCUUGCUAGUUAGUAGUUGCUUGAGCAACAAGAAGACCCACUUGGGUGGCGGCUAGGGUUUCCUUCUUCGCUAGAGUUCAUUGUUUUUCGUCAAAUCUGUCCAUGCAUGUGUCGUUGUUCCCGUUGAUAACCUGACCGUAUCUUGUGUCCUUGUUGCAUCCAAAUUCUGUCCAAGUAGGUAGUCCAAGCCGAAGCCACAAGAAGGCAAGUAGGCGACGGCUAGGGUUUAGCUUUGACGGCAAGGGUUUAUUUUUUUCAAAUCUGUCCAACUCGGUUCAUGAGUCAUCCAAACUGUUUUCUUAAUUUUCUAAUCUGAUUUUGGGUUAAAACUUGUUGGUGUGGUGAAAUCUUAAAGAGAAUCUACAAGAUUUUAGAGUUUCUUGAAGUUCUUGGUUACUACCUAGAAGUUCUUGAAAAUCUUGAAAGUAUCUUACUAGUUCUUAAGGGACUUGGGUUGUGCAUUAUUACGAGUUGUGGGGCUGACAUUAUUUCUGGAAUUUUACUACUUCAGCCAAGUAUUUGUGUUGUUCUUUAAGUAAAAAAAAAAUAGAAACGAAAAAGAAAAGAAAGAAAACCAUUCGACUAGGACAAGAGGGUCGAACAAGAAAAAAAAAAUGGAAGAACUCGGUUCUUUAUUGCCAAGACAACUACCAUUACAUCUUGUUUCUAAACCAAACCAGAAAAUUGCAAAAGGAAAGAAACUCAAAAGUUUUGUCCUACCUCUUCUUGCAAUUCUUGAUCACCUUGUGCCUUGAUAACUUGAACUGCCUUGAUAACUUGAACCACCCUUCGAGGUUCUUGAAUUUAUUGACCACUUUGUUUCUUGAAAACUUGAACCUCCCUUCAAAUAAACAACUUCCCAUACUCUCUUGUGGUGGUGAAGGGCUUCCUUGGCCUAGGAGUAAAGUUCUUGGGAGCGGCUUGAGCAACUCGUGGGGGUGAAGCUUGUGUGAGGGCACUUGCAUCUUCUUGCCGCGAAGCCAUAGUUGAAGCUGUCUUGGUUGUUGCACAAUGGGGGAAGACCGAAUCUGGUUUGUGUGUGUGAGAGCUCGGGUUGUGUGUGAGAGGAGUCGGCUGCCUUAAGGAACUUUAUAGAGUCCCAACCGACCUUGGUGAGGGAAUUUUGGAGGAGAAAGAAAAUCUGGAAAAUUCGGUGGACAAGGUAGAAACCAAAUCUGAUUUGCUAGCCCACUUGUAGAGGAUUUUGGGGGUUACUAAAGUUAUUCAAGAAAGGGUUUCUAACAGAGUUUCCAAACUUAACUUGUUUUUCCAAAAUAAGUAAAACACUUGGAUAACUCCUUUGUUUUCCACUUGGCUACUCCCCUACUUUCUCUCCUACGUUUUAGGAUACCACUCCUACAUUUUAGGAAUCUACUCCUACCUUUUGGAAACUAGUGUUUCUUGUCCUUAGGGUGCCUUCCUUGCUGUCCACCACUACCUCCCUCCAAAAUCGGCCAUUCCACCUCAUUUUUCAUCCACGUUUGUGUCUUACACCCUUGAUUACUCUUGUGGAAAAGGUUGGUGAACGGUUAUUGGGCUCGAGCAGCAUUUCUCACCUACCUAAACCGACAGGUAAAGGUGUUGGGUAAGAUCUUUUGCGAGAACCCGUAAUUUUUUUCCAUUUUCUAGGUUUUAGUAUCUUUCAUGGCUUGUUUUUUGCAUUUUCGUGAUUAGGAAAAUUUCUAGAUAAUUUUUGUGAGUAAAUAGAGUUUUUAGGUGAUUUUUCUAGUGUUUUUAGGUGAUUUUUUCAGGUGAUUUUGAAAAAUUAAGAGCGUAUGCCGGACGUGGGACCCGCUAGUGCGAAAAGUUCGGAAAAAUUCGGCCAACUAGGUUAAGUUUUGGAUAUUGGGUUUAAAUUAUCGGGUGUUAAGAGAUAAGUAGAGGUUGCUAUUUGGAUUGGUUUGAGAGGAAACAAAAAGAUAGAGAUGCAUUAAUUAGGUGACAAGUGUCACCAUAGGGUUGGUAGAAACUUUUGACCAUUAUUUCUUGUUUUACCAUUUGACUUAAAUAAACCAAAAAUUACGAAAAAUCAUCAAAAAUCUUACCUAUUGUGGCCGGCUCUCUCUCUCUCUCUCUCUUUCUCUCUCUCUCUCUCUCUCUAAGCAAAAGAAAGAAAACUCUCCAAGCUUUGCUCCAAUCUACCAAAUCAACCAUUGAAUCUUGUUUUUGCUCCAUAGAAAACAUUAAGGGAGUGAUAGUGAGGUGUUUUGUGGAGUUAUUUGGAAAAUUAAGAGGACUAGUUGCUCUCUCUCUCUUAUUUCUAAGGUGAGUUGUGAAGAACCACUCUCCUCCCUCUAAUGAUGCUUAAUUUAUGAUUAGUGGUGGUAUAAGAUGCAACUUUAUGGAUUAUAUUUUGAUUUUUGGUUGAAUUGGUGAAGUUUUAUAAUUAUUGGUGAUUUUUUUGUUUUAAUAUGAAUAUGAUUGUGUGGCUAUGUAUGAUAAUUGGAAUUGGUAUGUAAGGGAUCUAGGAGGUGGAAAAAGUGGAUAAUUGCAAACAAUUUCUGUUUUAGAAAGAAAAUUGGAAAGUAGGGUUUCUUUGAUCUACAUUCUGCCUGGCAUAGUAGCUCAUAGUUAGGGGCCGAAUUGGCCUUGGGUUAAAACAUAAAAGUUGUAGGAAAUGAUAUUUUAGAGAUGCCUACAAAAUUUCAGGUCAAUCGGAGUAGUGUAGCUUGAGAAAAGUCGAAAUUACCCUUGCUAUCCUGGUUUUACCCGAAUUUGAGAAUUGUGUCAAUAAUUGGUUAUUUUGGUUAGAAAUGCUUCAGAGUUGGUUGUUGAGGUCUUCUGAUGAAAUAUAUCCCUGUUUCUAAGCUUUCGGAUGGCUUUGGAAUUACUGGAUUUGGACUUAGGUAGCUUGUUUUAUGAUGUUUACACCAGAAUGCGUUUUGUGAAUCUGUUUUUCCGGUUCUGGUGUAGUAUCUUGCAUUUUUGACCUUGUUACACUCGAAACUAGACAGAGUUGCCUUCUGGAACAUUGUAGCCCUAUCUCUUAGCUUCGAAAUGGUGGGUCUUGCACCUUCAUCUGAUAAUGGUAGUGCCUUUGGUGCCAUUACCGCAAAAUGAGGUCAAAAACUAUUUUUUCAGGGCUAAAGCUAAUUCCAUUUCCGGAUUUUUCUGGUUUCCUCUAAUGCUUGUAUAUGCUUAUGGAACCCUAUUGGGUCAUAUUUGGCAUUGGUUUAUGACUCGUUAUCGAGUCUCAUUGUACUUUUUUGCAUGUUUUAGGGCGUGACGGUGGUUCACGACGUUUUUUUGACGGAAGUGCAUGAAACACCAUUUGCAAGUUUGGUGAGUGUACUACUCACUUGUGUGUUACUAUAUGGCUUUGACACUUGAAUUUGAUGCGUUGAAUGUUAAAUGAUUGAAGUGAGGGUGUACUUUAUCACUCUCACUUAUUGCUUAUCAUGUCAUUGGAAUGUUACAUGAAAUGAAAGUACUUGACUUGGUGUCGUUUGGACGAGUAUCCAAUGACCAUGAUUGUUACCAUUGAGCUCAACCCCAUUGGUAGUUGAUCGAAUCGAGUCGGCAAGGGCUUGGUCGUGCCAAUUAAUGAACCUUGGGGACUGUUAUAGAAUCUUGUAGUAUGAGAAACUCUCGAUUCCGGUAUACUCGAGUAAUACCACAGUGCAAGUGUUUGGAGUUCGGGCCCGAUAGGGGAAUGUUAGGUGGAAGGAAUGGAAGUAAAGUGAAGUCUACGGUUGGUUACUUUUAAACAUUGACGGAGAGUCAAUGAGAUCCGAUCAAGAAUGCAAACGAGGAAAAGGGCUCUUGAGAGUCGCCCGUAUCCUUUUAUCAUCGUUAUUGAUGUGUGUCUUUAUUUACUUUUGAUGAAUUGGACUGAAAAGCUUGAUGCAUCUAUGAACUUGGUUGCUUGGAGUAGUAUUAUCUCACUGGGCAAUUAGCUCACCCUAUUCCCUUUUGUUUUCCUUACAGGAAAAUAAAUACUUUUGCACUGCAAUUGAUAGUUGGUUGCCGAAUUGAGCUAGUUGGACAUAUCUUUUGUAUAGCUCAUUGACUGAAACCCUAAAUGUACUUUUGGGUCAAUUUCUCUUUUGAUUUGGCAAACUGUAUUUGUAUCCACUUUUGAAUAACUUUGGUAUGCCACUUUGGAUUGUAUAUGCUAAAUUUCAACAUGUAAAUACUCGCUUGACGUUUGGUUGGGUUUUGACGUGUCGGUUACUAUUCGUGGCCGACUCCGAUUUCAUUUUUUUUAUUUUGGGAUUUUAACUUGUUUACGCGCGUUCUAUGGUCCGGAACAUAUUAGAUCGCUCUAAGCUGAACCUUAGUCCUAACGAGAGUUGGGCAGGCAGUCCGCUAACCCCUUUGGUUCGCCUUAGGGGAAGGUGGGGCCGUCACAGGUGGUAUCAGAACCUAGGUUUGAAUUGGCCUGGGUGUAUUAGAAUUGCUUGAUUUGAGGAUUCUUUUGAUUACGUCCUUUAAGAUUAUUUAUGCUUAUUUACUCAUUUGGUGUAGGAUGGACGGUCAGGGUGACCCUAAUAGUCCCCCAGCUGGAGAGCAACCUCGUGAAGCGCUUCCAGUGAUCCCCUACCAGAUUCGGCCAGGAGGGGUCGUGGUUCGUUGGAGCCCAGCUAACCGCCUCAGACGGUGUGAGUGUCGACAUAAGUAUGCUUACCCUAACACUCUAGUGUUGGCCGUGGCCGAGGAGCGUAAGGAGUUGGCCGGAGAGAAUGCUCAACUUGAGGUCGAGGUGACCCAGCUUAGGGCGGCCAAUGAGAGACAGGCCGAGCGUAUUAAGGGUUUGGAGUACGACGUGCUAGAGGUAGAGGAUAGGGUUGAUGACCUCUGCACUCAGCUUAGGGAGACACGUGAGCGCGAGUCCAAGAGAGCUCAAAAGGUUAAGGUUCGAGCUGCAUCGAUCUUGAACCUUUGCGCGGACGUGGUCGAGGGCGUGAGUGACGAGGACUCUUGUGCGGGGCCUGAGGCUGGGGUUGGAUCCACUCCGUCCAGUGGGUCUACUAGCUCGUCGUCGGACUAGGUUAUGACUCCUAGGGUCUUUGAGAUAGUUUUGUUUCUAUACAUAGGGCGGAUAGGGAAAGAGCCUUAGCUAAUCGUUUUGUACGUCUAGAUUAGUUAUGUGUAUAUUUCUUUUGAUGAGGCCAUUCCCUUGGGGAUUGUCCAUGUUUGUACUUGACUUGACUGCUUGUUGCUAUGUGUGUUGUGUGCCUUGUUUGGAAUGUAUAUAUAUGUUUUUAAAAGUUUUUGGGUUUUACUUACAUGCAUUGUUAUUAUAUUGGUUUAGUACAAUUGCCUAGACCAAGUAAAGUUUAUGGAAGGAACAUGUAGUGGACGGGGACGUGGGCGCGAAAAUAGACAACCCAUACCGGAUAGGGGUACUGGGAAAACUUCAUCUGGACCUAACCUUGACCCCAAUGUGCAAAUCGCUGCCGCUAUGCAGCAAAUGACCAACCUGCUGGCACAAGUGGUGCAGCAACAAGGCCAGAAUCCAGACCCUAAUCCUGGAAACCCUGGCAAUCAUGUCGAGAGCGAAGACAGAGCUCUCGAACGAUUUCAAAAGUUUGCUCCACCCAAGUUCAUUAGGGGAUCCGAUCCGGAUGUUGCCGAAAGGUGGCUCGAAAAGAUGGUCGAUAUUUUCGCUGCCCUGCACUAUACCGAAGAACGACAGGUAACUUUUGCCGUUUUCCAGCUUGAAGGGGCGGCCCGUUCCUGGUGGAAUGUCAUACGGCAAAAAUGGGAACGGGAACAAACGCCCAGGACUUGGGUAAAUUUUAUGAGAGAGUUUAACACGAAAUUUUUCCCUCCUCUAGUUCAGGAGAGGAAGGAAGAUGAGUUUAUUCGACUCCGCCAAGGGGCUCAAUCCGUAGCGGAGUAUGAAAGCCAGUUCACGCGCUUAUCUAAGUUUGCCCCUGAGUUAAUUGUGAUGGAACAACGGCGGAUCAGGCGUUUUAUUCAGGGCCUGAAUGUGAAAAUUCAGAAGGACCUUGUGGUGGCCCAGAUUAACGCUUUUAGCGAGGCCGUUGAGAAAACCCAACGAGUAGAGAGUGCCAAGGUCCAAGUACGGAACUUCCAGGCGAAGAAGCGGGGUUUUCCUGGAAGCAGCUCUGGACAAGGGGAUAAAAGUACUCCCUCCAAGUUUGGACGAGGAGCUGGAGGUGGACGACAGACAGGUUUCGGCAGAGGGGCUCAGUCCAGGGGUGGCUCAGCCGGAAGAGGCCAAGGCGGAAACUUCCAGAAGGGUUCCGGUUUGGCAUCCCGUGGGCCUUGUGGAUACUGCGGAAAGCCGAAUCACUCCGAAGAUAGUUGCUGGAAGAAAGGGGGCAAAUGCCUGCAUUGCGGAAGCGCAGACCACCAGCUUGCUACCUGCCCACUUUUAAAGCAAGACGGAAAUGGGGCUCAAACCGCGCCAAAGACCAAUGCUGGACCAGUCAGGGGAGAUGGGCCCAAACCUAAGGUGCCAGCUCGAGUGUAUUCCUUAGAGCCCCAACAGGUCCCAGAUUCCUCGGAGGUCGUAGAAGGUACGAUCCCUAUUUUUCACCGCUUUGCCAAAGUUUUAAUUGAUCCUGGUGCCACCCAUUCCUUUGUUAACCCUGCUUUCAUGUGUGGCAUCGAUAUAAAACCUGCUAGUUUACCAUACGACCUAGAAGUUAGUACACCUACGGGGAAUCAACGUUUGGUUACUAGUAUGGUUUAUAAGGAUUGUGAAGUGUGGGUAGGAGAGAAGAGAUUGUUAGGGGAUUUGAUAAACUUAGUCCUCAAAGGGUAUGAUGUGAUAUUGGGUAUGGAUUGGCUAGCCAAGUAUAAUGCCCAACUGGACUGUAAAACAAAAGUGGUAGAAUUCCGCAUCCCUGGUGAGGCAACCAUAAAGUUGGAUAUGAGGGGUAGGUUAGCCUCAUCUGCUUUGAUUUCGGGCAUUCGGGCUAGGAAACUGCUAAGUAGAGAGGCGCAAGGAUUUUUAGCCUUUCUGAUUAAUACCCCCACGGAUAAGUUAAAGGUGGAAGACAUGACCAUAGUAAAGGAAUUUCCGGAUAUAUUCCCUGAUGAGUUAGUAGCUCUACCUCCGGAAAGAGAGAUUGAAUUCAAAAUAGACCUGCUACCGGGAUCCUCACCUAUCUCAAAAACACCAUACCGAAUGGCUCUUGCUGAGCUCAAGGAGCUAAAGUUGCAAUUACAGGAUCUUUUGGAGCGGGGAUUCAUUCAAGAGAGUGGGUCUCCUUGGGGAGCCCCUGUGCUGUUUGUGAAGAAAAAGGACGGUGGGUUGAGAAUGUGUAUCGAUUAUGUGACAGCCCCACCUUCCCCUAAGGCGUACCAAAGGAGUUAGCGGACUGCCUGCCCAACUCUCGCCAGGACUACUAAAACGGUCAAACACUAACUCAAGUCGUUCGGGAAAAUAUUGGCGCGCUUAAUCAACCCAAUAAAUGAGAAACGGGAAACAAAAGGCAAAACGUAAAGCGAAUAGUUGCUGCCACGUCACAAUCCGCCAAGAUCCCAUUGAUUACAAGAAAUUUCCAACAAUCACUGAAAAGAGUAUAUACAAGCCAAGUACAAUCCACUGGAUAGGAAUACACCCUAUUACAAACCACUUUUGUAUGGUUACAAGACAAAAGAAAACAUUUAAAUCCAAGUACAACAAAGGUUCCAACUAUUGAGGAGCUAUACAAAAUCUCUCAACUAGCUCCACUCAACUUACGCAUCACAGUCAAAAGUCCAAAAGAUAAUUCCCUGUAAGGAAAACAAAAUUUACGAAGUGAGCUUUCGCCCAAUGAGGUACUGUCACGUACAUAUACCAAGAUCACAUAAACUCAAGAGCAUUCAGUCCAAAUACGUUCGUCAAGUAAGUAAAAGCAAUAACACCCAAAUGUAAGGAAUAAAAGGAUACGGAUGGCUCUCAAGAGCCCUUUUCCUCUUUUGCCAUACUUGAUCUCAUCCCAUUGACUCUCCGUCAAUGUAUACCAGGUAAUCAUGACCGUAGACCCCUCUUUACUCCAAUUAUCUGUCCACCUCACUUUCCCCUUACCGGGCCCGAACACCACACAGUACAGAAUUGGUAUUACUCGAGUAUACCGGAAAUCAAGGGUCUCAUACCCAAAGAUUCCCAAAAUACAGUCCCCAUGGCUUGUCAAAUGUCCCCGACCAAGUCCUUACUGGCUCGAGUCCAUUGACUUCCAAUGAGGUAGAGCUCAGAGUGAACAGUAAAGGUUCAGAGAUACAGUAAGCAAUGGUAUCCAAUCGACACCAAAUCAAGUACAUUCAAGAGUAUUCAAGUUAUAUCAUAACCAAACAAGUAGGCCAGAGAGUACGAGAGUGGUAAAGUACACCCUCGCCUCACCUAGUCCAAACAAUCAUCACAACUAGUCCAAAACACAGAAUUCAAGUACAAGAAAGCCACGGAAUAACAAAUAUGUGAGUAGUACACUCACCAAGUCAAACAAAGAAAUUUAACAAGUUUUCGCCCGACGUGAGCCUCGGAUCACCGGCACGCCCUAUAAUAAUCAAGAAAGUGCAAUUAAGACUCAAACACGAGUCGAAUACCUUUUAAUAGGAACUAUUAAGGUAAAACCCAAAUAUAGCUUGGAAAUGAAAAAUACAUAAUAUUUAGGGUUAAAAGUAGAAACAACCCUAAAAUUAUUCAUUUCUAGUCAAUCUCAACCCAACUCACAAGGAUCCAAUGCCCUAGACACUCGGACAGCAUUUCCCCUAAAAUUUCAGCUUUUCCAACCUACAAGACACCAAUAAAAACCAUCCAACACAACCACAAGCACCCAAACAAUUCAUAAGGCAUUCAAUAUACUUCAUUAGGGUCACAAUACCCCUCAAUAAUAGCCAAUUAGAAGCUCAACAAUCAACCAUAGCAAAGCCCCAAUUGAAACCCUAAAUCUGAAAUUUUUCGCACAAGCGGCAAUUUCCGCAAUUAACUACAAUUAACGCACAAGUGAGCUAUAAAACACCAUUUGGAACCACCAAAUCAAACCCAAUCAUAUCCAUCAUAUGAAACCAGAAAAUUCCAAGAAAAAUCAGAAAAUUGGGAAACUUCACUCCAAUCCACCAAAUCUUCCGUACAAUCACGUAUAUAGCUACUAUAAGGCACCAUUUGGCCAAAAUUAGAAACAAAAGAUGAGUUCCAAGCAAUAUACCUUAGAUCUUCAAGAAAGGUUGAAGCUUAGAGAGUUUUCUUCCAAAAUAACACCACCAAGUUCUUCAAACACCCGUAGCAAGAUGAUUUUAUGGACUAAUUCAAGAAAUAAUCGGUUGAUUCUCAAGAUUGGAGCAAGAUUUGAAGAUAGAAGGUUGAAGGUUUCUUUUCUUUGUUGGCUAGAGAGGUUCGGCCAUGAGGAGCUGAAGAAUGAAGAUGAUUUGAUCCAAUUUUGACUUUUAAGUGAAGACAAAGAAAGUUAGGCAAAGUUAGGUAUGGUUGGUCCAACCACAUUUGGACACGUGGCACCUUGUUUUCACUUAGAGUUAUCCUCUUAUCCCUCCAAGGUUAAUUCAUCUAGGUAACCUCUAAUCAUCUCCUAACACCUAGUAAUAAAAUCCCUUUAUGCAAAAAUUUAACCGAAUCGGCCGAAUUUCUCUCACUAAAUGCACUAGCGGGUCCCACGUCCAAAAUACGUUCCAAAUUUCUCACGAACUACCUUAUACUAGAAAAAUGAUUUAAAAACUAUAUUUACUGAUAAAAUGUUAAUAAAAGUAAUAUAAUAAAGAAAAUACAAGAAAACGGUGCACAGGAAUAAAAUAAUAAAUAAAUAAAUAAUUUUUUUUUUCUCUGGGUUCUCACAUCCUCUCCUCCUUAAGAAAAUUUCGCCCUCGAAAUUGCUCACCUGGGUUACUAAACAGCUCAGGAUAUUUCUUUUGCAUUUCUUCCUCCAGUUCCCAAGUUGCCUCUUCUAUACCAUGAUUCCUCCAUAAAACCUUUACUAAGGGAAUUUGUUUAUUCCUCAGUUCCUUAAUCCUUCGAUCGAGUAGUUGUACAGGUCUCUCUUCGUAAGUGAGUGCCUUAUUUAACUCAAUCUCCUCUGGUCGCACGAUGUGGGUUGGGUCAGGAUAGUACUUUUUCAACAUCGAGACAUGGAAAACGUCAUGAAUCCGAGCUAAACUUGGUGGCAACUCGAGUCGGUACGCUACUUUUCCAACUCGUUGAAGAAUUUUGUAAGGCCCCACGAACCGUGGUUGAAGUUUCUUUCCUCUCCCCGCAGUGACGCUUCGUAGUGGCGUGAUUUUAAGGAAGACACGGUCUCCAACUUCGAACUCCAAAUCUUUCCUUCGGUUAUCUGCGUAGCUCUUUUGUCGGCUUUGAGCUGUUUGGAGUCUUUGACGGAUCAAUUUAACCUUUUCUUGCGCAUCCUCCAUCCAAGGAAUGGUUGUUGGAUCUAGAACUUUCUUUUCCCCCACUUCAUCCCAAUAAAUGGGCGAACGACACUUUCGUCCGUAGAGAGCUUCGUAUGGUGCCAUUUGAAUGGACGAAUGGAAACUAUUAUUAUAGGCAAACUCCACUAAAGUCAUAUGUUGGCCCCAAUUACCCCCAAAAUCUAGAAUACACGUUCGUAACAUAUCCUCGAGGGUUUGAAUUGUUCGCUCCGACUGUCCAUCCGUCUGGGGGUGAUAAGUUGUACUAAGGUUAAUUUUGGUCCCUAAGUGCUCCUGAAAUUUUUGCCAAAACCUUGAUACAAAACGAGGAUCUCGGUCUGAAACUAUACUCACUGGAACCCCAUGUAACCUCACAAUUUCAUUCAGGUACAACCGAGCCAGUUUAUCCAGGGAAUCUUUCACAUUCACAGGUAAGAAAUGGGCCGAUUUGGUCAACCGAUCAACGAUCACCCAAACGGCAUCAUGUCCUUUUUGAGUUCUUGGCAAUCCAGAAACAAAGUCCAUCGUGAUAUUUUCCCACUUCCAUUCAGGUAUCUCAAGAGGUUGUAACAGUCCAGAGGGUUUUUGGUGUUCAGCCUUAACUUGCUGGCAAAUCAGACAGGUUUGGAUAUAUUGAGCAAUCUCCCUCUUCAUUUUAUCCCACCAGUACAACCGUCGCAAAUCUUGGUACAUCUUAUUACUACCAGGAUGGAUCGUGUAUUUUGAUCGAUGGGCUUCCUCCAAAAUUUCUCUUUUCAGGUUUUCAUCAUUGGCCACCACUACUCGAUUCCUAUAUCUUAAAAUCCCUUCGGGACCCAAAUUGAAAUCAGGUAAUGCUUCCUUUUCUACUUUUUCCUUCCACUUUUGUACCAUCGGAUCCUUCUCUUGGGCUUCUUUAAUUCGAUCAAGAAUAGUAGAGGUUACCCGAAUAUUCCCAAAAGUUAUUUUCUUACAUCCCAAUCUAGGGUUCCACUCACUAGCUGCUCCUAACAUCUCCCACUCCUUGACCAUCAACCCGGCUACUUGAGCCUUCCGACUUAGGGCGUCCGCUACUACGUUAGCCUUACCAGGAUGGUAGUUGAUCGUGCAGUCAUAAUCCUCUAAGAGUUCCAUCCACCGACGUUGCCUCAUAUUCAACUCUUUUUGGGAGAACAGGUACUUAAGACUCUUAUGGUCUGAAUAAACCUCAAAGGUAAUCCCGUAAAGAUAGUGUCUCCACUUUUUCAGAGCAAAGACCACAGCAGCUAACUCCAAGUCAUGGGUAGGGUAGUUUUGUUCAUGGGUUUUUAGUUUCCUAGAGGCAAAGGCAAUCACAUUCUUAUUUUGCAUUAACACACACCCCAAACCUUCCUUCGAAGCAUCGGUAUAAACAGUGAAACUGUCCUUCCCACUAGGCAAGGCCAAAACAGGAGCUCUGGUUAACCUUCGCUUUAACUCCUGAAAACUGGUUUCACACCUAGUAUCCCACACAAAACGACCGUUUUUCUUCGUCAGGUCGGUUAAAGGGCCGGCCAGUUUAGAAAAGUCUUUAAUAAAGCGUCUAUAGUACCCAGCCAACCCUAAGAAACUGCGAAUUUCAGUGGGAUUUUCUGGCCUCUUCCAUUCAGCCACCGCCUCUACUUUCGCGGGGUCUACUGUAAUACCUUCUUUUGAAAUCACAUGUCCUAAGAAAGAGAUUUUCUCCAGCCAAAAUUCACACUUACUAAAUUUGGCGUAUAGCUGAUGAUCUCUCAGGGUUUGUAACACUAACUUCAAAUGUUGCUCAUGUUCCUCACGGGUUUUAGAAUAGACCAAAAUGUCGUCAAUGAACACGACAACGAAUCGGUCCAGGUAGGGUUUGAAAACUCGAUGCAUCAAAUCCAUAAAGGCGGCAGGGGCAUUGGUCAACCCGAAAGGCAUGACCGCAAACUCAAAAUGCCCAUAUCUAGAAUUGAAAGCAGUUUUGGGUACAUCUUCUUGCUUAAUUAGCAACUGGUAGUAACCCUGUCGGAGAUCUAACUUUGAAAAGACCACUGCGCCUUGUAGCUGGUCGAACAGUUCAUCGAUGUGGGGAAGUGGGUAUUUGUUCUUAAUGGUCAUGUUGUUUAGUCCCCGAUAGUCGAUACACAGUCUUAACGUUCCAUCCUUCUUCUUAACAAAUAGUACCGGAGCCCCCCAAGGAAAUCCACUCUCACGAAUAAACCCACGCUCCAACAAGUCUUGCAACUGCAACUUCAGUUCCUUGAGUUCAGCAGGUGCCAUUCGAUAGGGGGUCUUAGAGAUAGGUGACGCUCCUGGCAAUAGGUCAAUCUUAAACUCUAUCUCCCUCUCCGGAGGUAAAGUUACUAAUUCAUCAGGAAACACAUCCGGAUAUUCACUUACAGUAGGCACAUCCUCAACCCUCAGCUUAUCAGUGGGAGUAUUUAUAAGAAAAGCUAGAAACCCUUGGGCCCCUCUGUACAGAAAUUUUCUAGCCCGAAUACCCGAAAUCAAUGCAGAUGAGGCUAAACUACCUCUUACAUCUAGCCUUAAGGUCGCCUCCCCCGGUAUACGAAAUUCCACUACUUUUCUCUUACAAUCGAGCUGUGCAUCGUACUUAGCUAGCCAGUCCAUACCCAAUAUAACGUCGUACCCCUUAAUGGCCAAACUUAUAAGAUUCCCUAAAAGCUUUCUCUCUCCUACCCAUAUUUCACAAUUCGCAUACAUCAAACCAGUAAUCAAAUGUUGGUUUCCCGUAGGAGUACUAACCUCUAAGUCAUAAGGCAAGCUAACGGGUUUUAUAUCAAUACCGCACAUAAAAUCGGGGUUAACAAAGGAAUGGGUAGCACCAGGGUCUAUCAAAAUCCUAGCUAGACGAUGGAAAACAGGGAUCGUACCUUCUACAACCCCAGAGGAAUCAGGGACUUGUUGUUGCUCAAGGGAGUAAACCCGAGCUGGCACCUUUGGCUUUGUCCCUUCUACCUUGGACUGUCCCGAGUUGGCCUUCAACGACUGAGUGGUUGCUCUCGCCUCCCGAGGUAACACUGGGCAGUUAGCUAUUUGAUGCUCUGCACUCCCGCAGCGCAAGCAUCUUCUCUCCUUCCUCCAACAGUUGUCCUCAGUGUGGUUUGGUUUUCCACAAAAUCCACAGGGUCCGCGUGCAACUGAGGCCGAACUUCCUUGUGAGGUGCUCUUCUGCGGGCCCCGUCCAUUGUGACCACCCCUCGGCGGAGUCCCUCGUGUCAUCCCCGGUUGCCUUCCUCCACCGGCUCCUCUUCCAAACUUGGGAGGGGUCCCUUUAUCCCCUUGGGUCGAACUACUCGCAGAGAACCCCCGUUUUUUCACCUGAAAAUUCCUUACUUGAAGCCUUGCAUUUUCAACUCGCAAAGCUUUCUCCACGGCGUCACUAAAAGUGUGGAUCUGGGCUACCGCCAGAUCCUUUUGAAUUUCCACAUUGAGCCCCUGAGUAAAACGCCGAACUCUCCUUUGCUCCGUCAGAAUGAGUUCAGGGGCAAACUUGGAUAAACGAGUAAACUGGCUCUCGUACUCAGCCACUGAUUGAGUCCCUUGGCGGAGCCUAAUAAACUCGUCCUCCCUUUUUUCUUGGACUAGAGGGGGAAAGUAUUUUGCGUUGAAGUCCCUCACAAAAUUUACCCAUGUUCUUGGGGUUUGUUCCCGGUCCCAUUUCAUGCGUAUCACAUUCCACCAAGAACGCGCGGCUCCUUCCAAUUGAAAGACAGCGAAAGUAACCUGUCUCUCCUCUGAGUAGUGUAGGGCGGUAAAAAUAUCUAUCAUUUUCUCUAACCACUUUUCGGCCACGUCCGGAUCUGGCCCGCCUAGAAAUUUUGGCGGAGAGAACUUCUGAAAUCUCUCCAGGGCCCGAUCUUCACUUUCUACUACAUGGCCAGGGUUCCCAGGUUGCUGGAUAGGAGGUUGGCCCUGCUGUUGCACUACGUGGGCUAACAGGUCAGUCAUUUGCUGCAUAGCAGCGGCUAUCUGGGCAUUAGGGUCAACCCUAGGUUCAGGGUUUGAUUCAGUCGUGGUAUCCCUAAUACCCUCGUCAGUUGUGGGUUGCCUAACCCCACGCCCGCGGCCUCGUCCGCUACGAGUGCCUUCCAUUCUCUAGGUCACUCUAAAAUCGAGGCACAAACUAAUAUCAAAAGGCAUAUCAGUAUAGUCAUAUAAGCAUGAACAAAAUUAAAAGUAAACACCACAUAAGGCACGUAUACACAUAGCACAUUUAUACAUGGAACACAUAACUGUGUCAAACAGUCAUACAUAAGCAGUCAAGCAAAUAUAUACAAAGUACUCCCGUGAAGCCAAAAGAGGGUCUGCCAAAAUACAUUAUACAACCUAGGUCUCAAAAGUACAAAACAACUACCCAAAAGUUUUUCCUAGGUAUCCCUCACACGGGAUCAAAACUAGGCCCAAAACCCUAAUCUAGUCCUCGACGGAGCCAACCGACUCCCCCCCAGAGCUAGAGCUAGGGCUAGGGGCGCCUCCCUGACCUGGAGCUCCGCCACCUGGAGCUCCCCCUGGCGCAUUGGCGCCAAUCACCUCCUGGAUCAGCGCCCCACACUCAUCGAUAAUCGCGCCGGAUCGGUCUCUCACCUCCCGGACUACUCGAAUAAGGCGGUCGUUAACCGCCUGCAACUGCUCUCUCAGAGCGUCCGUCCUCUCCUGCUCCAUGGCCACGUCCCCCUGGAGCUCUCCAAUCCUAUCGGCCUGCAUCCGCAUGAUGCCCCUAAGCCUAAGGGUCUCAGUACGCUCCCUGGCGGCGUCACAUCUAAGCCUCUGUCGCUCGGCAAGUACCGCCACCACCACGUGGUCCGCGUAGGAGUAAAACUGGCAACGCCUACAGCGGCGGGUCCGGCUAGCGGUAUGCCAUAGCCGGAUCGGACCUCCCGGUCUCUCCUGGUAGUCGACAACCCGUAGGCGCCUCUGAGGUGGCUCGCCUCCACCUGCUCCACUAGUACCGGCCAUACCCUACAAAGAUAGCAAAGGUUUAUAGCUUAGACAAUAUAUUCACACUUAAUAGCAUCUAAUCACAAUCCCAAAAGUUCCAAGAAACAGGUUCCAAGUUCGCCCAGGUUAUUUCUAGCCUAGGCUCUGAUACCACUUGUGACAGCCCCACCUUCCCCUAAGGCGUACCAAAGGAGUUAGCGGACUGCCUGCCCAACUCUCGCCAGGACUACUAAAACGGUCAAACACUAACUCAAGUCGUUCGGGAAAAUAUUGGCGCGCUUAAUCAACCCAAUAAAUGAGAAACGGGAAAACAAAAGGCAAAACGUAAAGCGAAUAGUGGCUGCCACGUCACAAUCCGCCAAGAUCCCAUUGAUUACAAGAAAUUUCCAACAAUCACUGAAAAGAGUAUAUACAAGCCAAGUACAAUCCAUUGGAUAGGAAUACACCCUAUUACAAACCACUUUUGUAUGGUUACAAGCCAAAAGAAAACAUUUAAAUCCAAGUACAACAAAGGUUUCAACUAUUGAGGAGCUAUACAAAAUCUCUCAACUAGCUCCACUCAACUUACUCAUCACAGUCAAAAGUCCACAAGAUAAUUCCCUGUAAGGAAAACAAAAUUUACGAAGUGAGCUUUCGCCCAAUGAGGUACUGUCACGUACAUAUACCAAGAUCACAUAAACUCAAGAGCAUUCAGUCCAAAUACGUUCGUCAAGUAAGUAAAAGCAAUAACACCCAAAUGUAAGGAAUAAAGGAUACGGAUGGCUCUCAAGAGCCCUUUUCCUCUUUUGCCAUACUUGAUCUCAUCUCAUUGACUCUCCGUCAAUGUAUACCAGGUAAUCAUGACCGUAGACCCCUCUUUACUCCAAUUAUCCGUCCACCUCACUUUCCCCUUACCGGGCCCGAACACCACACAGUACAGAAUUGGUAUUACUCGAGUAAACCGGAAUCUAGGGUCUCAUACCCAAAGAUUCUCAAAUACAGUCCCCAUGGCUUGUCAAAUGUCCCCGACCAAGUCCUUACUGGCUCGAGUCCAUUGACUUCCAAUGAGGUAGAGCUCAAAGUAAACAGUACAGAUCCAGAGUUACAUUAAGGAUCGGCAUCCAAGCGACACCAAAUCAAAUACAGUCAAGAGUAUUCAAGUUAUAUCAUAACCAAACAAGUAGGCCAGAGAGUACGAGAGUGGUAAAGUACACCCUCGCCUCACCUAGUCCAAACAAUCAUCACAACUAGUCCAAAACACAGAAUUCAAGUACAAGAAAGCCACGGAAUAACAAAUAUGUGAGUAGUACACUCACCAAGUCAAACAAAGAAAUUUCACAAGUUUUCGCCCGACGUGAGCCUCGGAUCACCGGCACGCCCUAUAAUAAUCAAGAAAGUACAAUUAAGACUCAAACACGAGUCGAAUACCUUUUAAUAGGAACUAUUAAGGUAAAACCCAAAUAUAGCUUGGAAAUGAAAAAUACAUAAUAUUUAGGGUUAAAAGUAGAAACAACCCUAAAAUUAUUCAUUUCUAGUCAAUCUCAACCCAACUCACAAGGAUCCAAUGCCCUAGACACUCGGACAGCAUUUCCCCUAAAAUUUCAGCUUUUCCAACCUACAAGACACCAAUAAAAACCAUCCAACACAACCACAAGCACCCAAACAAUUCAUAAGGCAUUCAAUAUACUUCAUUAGGGUCACAAUACCCCUCAAUAAUAGCCAAUUAGAAGCUCAACAAUCAACCAUAGCAAAGCCCCAAUUGAAACCCUAAAUCUGAAAUUUUUCGCACAAGCGGCAAUUUCCGCAAUUAACUACAAUUAACGCACAAGUGAGCUAUAAAACACCAUUUGGAACCACCAAAUCAAACCCAAUCAUAUCCAUCAUAUGAAACCAGAAAAUUCCAAGAAAAAUCAGAAAAUUGGGAAACUUCACUCCAAUCCACCAAAUCUUCCGUACAAUCACGUAUAUAGCUACUAUAAGGCACCAUUUGGCCAAAAUUAGAAACAAAAGAUGAGUUCCAAGCAAUAUACCUUAGAUCUUCAAGAAAGGUUGAAGCUUAGAGAGUUUUCUUCCAAAAUAACACCACCAAGUUCUUCAAACACCCGUAGCAAGAUGAUUUUAUGGACUAAUUCAAGAAAUAAUCGGUUGAUUCUCAAGAUUGGAGCAAGAUUUGAAGAUAGAAGGUUGAAGGUUUCUUUUCUUUGUUGGCUAGAGAGGUUCGGCCAUGAGGAGCUGAAGAAUGAAGAUGAUUUGAUCCAAUUUUGACUUUUAAGUGAAGACAAAGAAAGUUAGGCAAAGUUAGGUAUGGUUGGUCCAACCACAUUUGGACACGUGGCACCUUGUUUUCACUUAGAGUUAUCCUCUUAUCCCUCCAAGGUUAAUUCAUCUAGGUAACCUCUAAUCAUCUCCUAACACCUAGUAAUAAAAUCCCUUUAUGCAAAAUUUAACCGAAUCGGCCGAAUUUCUCUCACUAAAUGCACUAGCGGGUCCCACGUCCAAAAUACGUUCCAAAUUUCUCACGAACUACCUUAUACUAGAAAAAUGAUUUAAAAACUAUAUUUACUGAUAAAAUGUUAAUAAAAGUAAUAUAAUAAAGAAAAUACAAGAAAACGGUGCACAGGAAUAAAAUAAUAAAUAAAUAAAUAAUUUUUUUUUUCUCUGGGUUCUCACAGAUUAUCGGGGCCUGAAUAAUAUUACGGUGAAAAAUAAGUAUCCACUGCCCCACAUAGAUGAGUUGUUUGAUCAGUUGCAGGGAGCGGUGGUCUUUUCGAAACUGGAUCUCCGCCAAGGGUAUUACCAGUUAUUAAUCAGGAAGGAGGAUAUUCCGAAAACCGCUUUCAACUCGAGAUAUGGGCGUUACGAGUUCGCAAUUAUGCCCUUUGGACUAACCAAUGCUCCUGCCGCCUUCAUGGAUUUAAUGCAUAGGGUUUUUAAGCCCUACCUGGAUCGAUUUGUUGUAGUCUUCAUCGACGACAUUCUAGUCUAUUCCAAGACACGUGAAGAGCAUGAGCAGCACUUGAGAAUUGUCUUACAAAACCUAAGAGACCAUCAACUAUACGCCAAGUGAUGUGUGCACGAGCCUCGGCCCACGCGAUGACCCAGUCCCACUGGGCCCAGUCACACGUUCACGGGCCAAGCUGUUCAAAGAAUCACUCCAAGCCCUGGUGAGAGUCGUCCAAGACCAACAUGGAAUUCACAAAGAUAUUGAGGGCUUAGAGAAAGACCACUGGGCCAAUUACACCUUGAUCCAAGCCCAUGACGACUCAAGUGGGUCUCCAAGGGAUUCGGCCGAGUAGGGCCUUAGCCUUUGACACUUAUUGGAAUAGCUUACUUAGUAGAAUGGGCCGGCCCACCUUACACUAAGAUGGCCGACCACCCCUUUUAGGAUUACUUAGGGUUUCUUUAUUGUUUUCCUUAGCCUAUAAAUAGGCUAGCUUUGUAAGGUUAAGAACUAGUUUUUGAUUAAUAAAAUUCUUAGUGCAUUCGUUUUCUUUCAUAAAGAAUUCGUGCCUUUAACUUGCUUGGCAAGGGUUAUUGAGCAAUCUCGCGUCCUGUCCUUGAUUGUUCAUCCGACCUAUUUCCCUGGAGUAUUCACCUUCAUCGGAGUGUCGACUACCACCUCCAAUCAAAUCGAGUUGUCCGUUUGAGUAAAGGUUCCGCAAACUAAGCGUAGGACAUCCCCGCUAGAUCCUUGGGCAAACGUGCUACGUGUCUCGACCGUGGAUCGAGGAACGUAUCAGUUGGCUUCAGAGCUUUCGUGGAGGUAUCUUCCGUUAUAUCCGUCGUCUUGUCUUAGUUUUCCUUAAUUUUCCGCUGCCUUGUUUGUUAAAAAAAUAUAUAUAUUUUUUUCUGUUCGAAUUGUUACUUGUUGAGCCGUUUCCUUCGUUUGUUCUCUAGAAUUCUGGUCGUUGCUUUUGUUUUGUCUUACGUUUCCAUAUCUGUUCGUUUUGAGUCUGCAAGUCUGUCCGUUGCUGUUUUGUUCGUCAAAAAAAAAAAAAUUCUGUUCACUAGUUCUUGUUGUUGUCGCAUCAAAUUUCUGGACAGCUGUGUGGUAUUAUUGUUAGUCCCAAUCUGCCCAGAUUUCAUACUCUAGUGACAUCCAUUCUGCCCAGCAAUUAGCCUUGCCGAAUCUGCAUACAAAAAACAAAAAAACAAAACAAAACAGGCGCGGCUAGGGUUUUGUUGUUUGUCCGAAUCUGUCCAAGUAGUUAUUGAUUAUCCAAGUUGUUUGCUUACCUUGUCUAAACUGAUUUGGGGGUAAAAACUUGUUGGGUUGGUGAAUCUUGAAUAGCACCCGCAAGGUUUGUAGGGUUCUUGAAGUUCUUGAACACUUUCUUGAAUUUCUUGAAAGUCUUGAAAAACUUUGUUAGUUUGAGGGAGUAGGGUGGUGCGUUCUUGUGUGUUUCGGGCAGACCUUGUUUCUGGGAUUGUUUCUACUCAUUCGGUCAGGUGUAGUCUAUUACCAAGUGAAAAAAAAAAAAACAAAGCAAAAGAAAACAGAACCGAAGAGAAAAAAAAAAAGAGAGCAAUCGGGUAACAAGAAACCCAAGAGGGAACACCGCACUUUUAUUGCCAAAUCUGUCUUAUUGUAUCGUAUACCCAACCCAGAAAUUACAUCAAGAGAGGGGAAAAAAAAAAAAAAGAGGAACUCAAAAGUUUUGACCAACCUCUUCUUGAACUUCUUGAUUCUUGAUCACUUGCACAACUCUUCGUUGAGGCUCUUGACCAUCUUGAGUCUUGAAGACUUGCACCUCUCUUCGAAUAAAGAGUUUCUUGUAAGAUCUUGCAUCCAUACGAGGCUUUCUUGGCUUAGGUGUGAAUUUCUUGGGAGAUUCUUGAGUAACAUCACUUGCUUGACCUUGGGAGUCCAUUGGAGCAGAAUUUCUGGAGUGCCAAGAACCGAAACUGUCUUGUUAGAAAGAGGGUCGAAUUUCUUGUUCUUGGAGUAGAGAGAGAGCCGAAUUGUUUGGGGUAAGUCGCGGCUGUGAAGAGGGAGUCUUAUAGGAAGGAUAACCGACUUAGGGAAGGGUUUCAAGAAGGAAGCAAUCUGGAAAUUUCAGUGGCCCAAUUCUGGUUUGUGUUGUGAGCAUAGUGGGCGGCUGCUUAAGAGGCCUUCUAAGGUUUCUUGUAGCCGACCUUAGGAAAGGAAUAAGAGGGAGGAAUUCUGGAAAUUUUAGGGUUCCAAUUCUGGUUUGUGAGUGGGAUUUGAACCGACCUUGGGGUGGUUUUUUGUGAGGGAAAUUUCUGGAAGCUUGCGGGUAAGAGAGAGGAGGAACCGAAUCUGUCUUGAGAAGAAUUAGGAAGUUUCCAACUCCAACUUGUUUUCCCACUUCGUUUAGGAGACUAAGUAAUAUACUUGGAUAACUCUUGGACAUCUCCUAAAUUUUCUCCUCCAUUUUAGGAUAUCCUACUAUAUUUUCUCAUCCUUUUUAGGAAACCACUCCUACAUCUUAGGAUUCUUAGAGUUUCCUUUCUUGGCCAUACUUUCCAAAUCUGUCCACCGCCUUUAAGCUUUCCCAAAACCGUCCUUCCCUUCACCAACAACAAAGAAUUCUUGUGUACUCUUGUGGGGGGAUAAGUUGGUGACAAUUAUUGGACUCGAGCAACAUUACUCAACUACCUAAACCAACAGGUAAGGUACUUGGUAAGCUUUAUAGAGUGACUUGCACACUACACACGAGCGUGAGGGAUACACUAAGGGAGUGAAGUGAGGACUAUAUUUGCAUUUUCUUUGUUUCUUCUAACCUUUGCAGGGGCAACAAGGGAAGCAUGGAGCAACAACACCACCAUCAACAACAAGCAACCACUGAUCCUUCUUUAUUAUUCGCCGCCAUGAAGAAUGAGCUCAAGCGAAUCAGUGAGCAACAAAUGGAGACACUACACACUCGUUUUGAUGAAUUGUCUAGGAGCCUUACGCGAGGCUCUCGUUCUCGGUCCCAUAACCGGAGUAACCAUGGCACCAAAGACACAAAUGGCGAAGACUACUCCGCUAGUGAGGAUGAGGAACGACCUGAGAGGCCUACAAGGGACAUGCCCAAAAACGAAAUCAAGGGGCUUAAAAUACAAGUUCCCGCAUUCAAAGGCAAAAGUGACCCUGAGGCUUACUUGGAGUGGGAAGGCCGCAUCGAGAUGGUCUUCGACUGCUACGACUAUAGCGAGGAACAAAAAGUGAAGGUUGCCAUCGUGGAGUUCACCGACUACGCACUCGUCUGGUGGGACCAAGUGAGGACCACGAGGAGGAGGAUAGGAGAACCACGUGUCCGGACUUGGCGAGAACUCAAGGCACUAAUGCACAAGCGGUUUGUUCCUAGCUACUACAAUCGUGAUCUCCACUCUAAGCUGCAAACACUUACGCAAGGCAACAUGAGUGUGGAGGAUUACCACAAAGAAAUCGAGAUGGCCAUGAUGAGGGCCAACAUUCAAGAAGACAAUGAAGCCACAAUGGCUAGGUUUCUUAGGGGUCUCAACCCUGACCUUCAGGAUGCCUUGGAGCUUCAACAUUACUUGGACAUGCACGACCUUCUAGAACUCGCCAUUAAGGCCGAACGGGGGAAGAAAUUAAGACGGGGAGGCCGUACUUUCCAACCUUCCACCACCACCUCGUGGAAAGGCAACCAACCACGAAGAGUGACCCACGAAGCUGGAAAUGCAACAACAUCAAACUAUUCUAACCGUUUCCAAGGUAAUGCUUCUACCCGGAAUGCCUAUUCUACACCUAACAAGGUUUCUGAUGUGUCCAGGUCUACUUCUAAGGCACCGCAAGAAACUCCUAAAGCUAGGAGUAGGGACAUCAAAUGCUUUAAGUGCCAAGGGUUUGGGCAAAUUCAAUCUCAAUGUCCAAACCAACGGGUAAUGCUGAUAACUCACAAUGGCGAAAUCGUGUCGGAUGAUGACGAAUGUGAUGACGUGCCCGAACUAGUAGAAGAUGACUGCCUGGAAGAAGAGCCAGCUGGGGAGGCUUGCUCGCCUACACGAGGAGAAGUAGGUUGCCUAGUAGCACGACGAGUGCUAACCGCCCGCGUCAAGGAGGAUGAGCAGCUACAACGCGAAAACCUAUUCUACACCCGCUGUAAGGUAGGAGACAAAGUCUGUAGUCUCAUCAUCGACGGUGGAAGUUGCACGAACGUGGCCAGUUUGCUCAUGGUUGAAAGUCUAGGACUCCCCACUACCAGGCAUCCACAUCCUUACCGCCUCCAAUGGCUAAGUGAGGAUGGUGAAGUACGAGUCUUCAAACAAGUACGCAUUCCCUUCUCCAUUGGUACCUACAUUGAUGAAAUCGUGUGCGACGUAGUGCCAAUGCAUGCUACACAUAUCAUCUUGGGAAGGCCCUGGCAAUUUGACAAACAUGUCACAUUCGAUGGAAGAGCGAAUAAGUACACACUUUUGCACGAUGGCAAACGUAAGGUCCUUACACCUCUCACGCCUGCACAAGUUUAUGAGGACCAACUACUUUUGCAAAGAGAGUGUGAACAAGACCGUCAAAGGAGGAAACUCAAGGCGGUCGACCCUGGUCAAGGCUCCACAUCUACGACUGAGCCAUCAACCAAGGAUCAAGGGAGCACACCUAGGGGUCUACGCGACAAACCACCUGCCGCACCUCCCACUAGGAAGCAUAACAUGAUUAUUAAGGCUAAAGAUGUAAGAAAAGUGGUAAACUCUAAUCAGCCUAUACUUCUCAUGAUUUGCAAGCAUGUGCUCUUAGAUGUUGCUGAGCUCGACAAGGCGCUGCCUGCAAGCAUAGUGGCUCUCUUACAGGAAUUUGAGGAUGUUUUCCCUGACGAGGUCCCUGAUGGCUUACCACCCAUUCGGGGAAUUGAACACCAAAUCGACCUCAUUCCUGGAGCACCAUUACCCAACAAACCUGCCUACCGCAUGGGUCCCGAGGAGACCAAGGAGCUUCAAAGGCAAGUAGAUGGCCUGUUAGGUAAGGGAUGGGUGAAGGAGAGUCUAAGUCCCUGCGCUGUGCCUGUGGUCCUUGUCCCCAAAAAGGAUGGCACUUGGCGCAUGUGCACUGACUGCCGGGCUGUAAACGCUAUCACUGUCAAAUAUCGGCAUCCCAUUCCUAGACUUGAUGAUAUGUUGGAUGAACUCGAUGGUGCUAUUAUUUUCACCAAGAUUGACUUGAGGAGUGGCUAUCAUCAAAUUAGGAUGAAGGAAGGAGAUGAAUGGAAGACAGCCUUCAAAACCAAACAUGGUCUCUAUGAGUGGUUAGUUAUGCCUUUUGGCUUGACUAACGCCCCUAGCACCUUCAUGCGCCUCAUGAACCAUGUUUUGAGACAUUUUAUUGGUAAAUUUGUCAUUGUUUACUUUGAUGACAUUCUGAUCUAUAGUCGUAGUGAGCAUGAGCACCUGGAGCAUGUAAGAUUAGUCCUCGAGGCACUUCGACAGGCGCGUCUAUACGCUAACCUCAAAAAGUGCACCUUUUGUACUAACGAGCUUGUGUUUCUAGGCUAUGUUGUGAGUUCGCAGGGCAUCAAGGUGGACAAAUCCAAGAUUGAGGCCAUCGAGCAAUGGCCAACCCCUACAUCCGUUCCUGACGUGCGCAGCUUUCUUGGAUUGGCGGGUUUUUAUCGGCGAUUUGUCAAAAACUUUAGCACCAUUGCCGCCCCAUUGACCGCCGUGACAAAGAAGGAUGACAAGUUCCACUGGGGGGAAUCCCAAGAACAAGCGUUCCUCGCCCUUAAGGACACACUCACCCAUGCACCUGUGUUAGCAUUACCAAACUUUAACAAGACCUUUGAAAUUGACUGUGAUGCUUCUGGUGUAGGUAUUGGAGCAGUCCUCAUGCAAGACAAGAGGCCGUGUGCCUUCUUCAGCGAGAAACUGGGAGGGGCUGCGUUAAACUACCCCACGUACGACAAGGAGUUGUACGCACUAGUGAGGGCCUUGGAGACUUGGCAACACUAUCUUCGCCCUCGGGAGUUCGUGAUACACACUGAUCACGAGUCAUUGAAGUACCUCAAGGGACAGCCCAAGCUAAGCAAGCGACAUGCCAAAUGGGUAAGCUUCAUUGACACCUUUUCGUAUGUCAUUAAAUAUAAGACUGGCAAAACGAAUGUAGUGGCUGAUGCAUUAUCACGUAGACAUUCAUUGCUGGCACUUCUGGAUGCCAAGUUACUAGGGUUCGAAAUGGUUAAGGAACUCUAUACACAUGAUCAUGACUUUGGUGAUAUCUAUGCUGCUUGUGUUAAGAACCCGCAUGGAAAGUACUUUUUGCAUGAUGGAUUUCUAUUCCAUGUAGAUAAAUUGUGUGUGCCUAAUUCUUCCAUUCGUGACCUUUUGAUCCGAGAGGCACAUAGUGGUGGUCUCAUGGGCCACUUUGGCAUCGCCAAGACUCUGGCCAUGUUGCAAGAGCACUUUUACUGGCCCCAUAUGCGUAGAGAUGUUGAACGCAUGGUUGGUAGGUGUGCUACUUGCCACAAGGCAAAGUCUAAGACAAAUCCAUAUGGCUUGUAUACCCCAUUACCUAUUCCACACCAUCCCUGGAUUGACUUGUCUAUGGACUUUGUAUUAGGAUUGCCUAGAUCACCAAGGGGUAAUGACUCCAUCUAUGUUGUGGUUGAUAGAUUUUCUAAGAUGGCGCAUUUCAUUCCUUGUCACAAAACUGAUGAUGCAUCUCAUGUUGCUACUUUAUUUUUCAAAGAGAUUGUCCGCCUGCAUGGCAUGCCUAGGACUAUUGUUAGUGACAGGGAUGUGAAAUUCCUGAGUUACUUUUGGAAGACCUUGUGGUCCAAACUUGGCACUAGGUUAUUAUUUUCCACCACUAGUCAUCCUCAAAGCGAUGGACAAACUGAAGUUGUCAAUCGCACACUUGGCACUUUACUUCGGGCCUUGAUUAAAAAGAAUCUUAAGUCUUGGGAAGAGUGCUUACCUCAUGUUGAAUUUGCCUACAAUCGCACUGUGCAUAGUGCAACUCAAUAUUCUCCCUUUGAGAUUGUUUAUGGCUUCAACCCCCUCACCCCCUUGAUCUGGUGCCCUUACCUUCCUCUGAGCAAACAAGCUUAGAUGGGGAAAAGAAAGCUGGGUUUGUACGCAGGUUACAUGAAGCUGUGCGAGCAAACAUCGAGAAGCGCACGCAGCAAUACAUCCAACAAGCCAACAAGCACCGCCGCAAGAUGAUUUUUGAGCCUGGAGAUUGGGUGUGGCUACACUUAAGAAAAGAGCGUUUCCCCAAGCAACGUCAAAGCAAAUUAUCCCCAAGAGGGGAUGGACCAUUUCGGGUACUCCAACGGGUCAAUGACAAUGCAUACACAUUGGAGCUGCCUGGGGACUACAACGUUAGUGCAACCUUCAACGUUGGGGACCUCAGCCCAUUCCUUGACGAGCAGGAUCCAGAUUUGAGGGCAAAUCCUUCUCAAGAGGAGGGGACUGAUGUGUGCACGGGCCUCGGCCCACGCGAUGACCCAGUCCGAGUCCCACUGGGCCCAGUCACACGUUCACGGGCCAAGCUGUUCAAAGAAUCAUUCCAAGCCCUGGUGAGAGUCGUCCAAGACCAACAUGGAGUUCACAAAGAUAUUGAGGGCUUAGAGAAAGACCACUGGGCCAAUUACACCUUGAUCCAAGCCCAUGACGACUCAAGUGGGUCUCUAAGGGAUUCGGCCGAGUAGGGCCUUAGCCUUUGACACUUAUUGGAAUAGCUUACUUAGUAGAAUGGGCCGGCCCACCUUACACUAAGAUGGCCGACCACCCCUUUUAGGAUUACUUAGGGUUUCUUUAUUGUUUUCCUUAGCCUAUAAAUAGGCUAGCUUUGUAAGGUUAAGAACUAGCUUUUGAUUAAUAAAAUUCUUAGUGCAUUCGUUUUCUUUCAUAAAGAAUUCGUGCCUUUAACUUGCUUGGCAAGGGUUAUUGAGCAAUCUCGCGUCCUGUCCUUGAUUGUUCAUCCGACCUAUUCCCCUGGAGUAUUCACCUUCAUCGGAGUGUCGUCUACCACCUCCAAUCAAAUCGAGUUGUCCGUUUGAGUAAAGGUUCCGCAAACCAAGCGUAGGACAUCCCCGCUAGAUCCUUGGGCAAACGUGCUACGUGUCUCGACCGUGGAUCGAGGAACGUAUCAUGAUCGUUUCUCAAAGAUGGCUCACUUCAUUCCUUGCCAUAAAACUGAUGAUGCUAAACAUGUGGCUGAUUUAUUCUUUAGAGACAUAGUGCGUUUACAAGGGGUACCUCGUACCAUUGUUUCUGAUAGGGAUGUAUGGUUCCUUAGCUACUUUUGGAAAACGUGCUACGUGCUACGUGCUACGUUUACCGGUCCUUGGGCAAACGUGCUACGUGUCUCGACCGUGGAUCGAGGAACGUAUCACCAAGUUUAGCAAGUACGAAUUUUGGCUGGAGAAAAUUUCUUUUCUGGGACACGUAAUUUCUCAAAAGGGUAUUUCAGUUGACCCGGCGAAAGUAGAGGCUGUGACUAAUUGGAAGAGGCCAGAAAAUCCCACCGAGGUCCGUAGCUUUCUAGGGCUGGCUGGAUAUUACAGGCGUUUCAUCAAGGACUUUUCCAAACUGGCCGGUCCCUUAACCGACUUGACCAAGAAACAUGGUCGGUUCCUUUGGAAUGCCCGAAGCGAGACGAGUUUUCACGAACUAAAGAAAAGAUUGACCAUGGCUCCAGUCCUAGUCUUGCCAAACGGAGUGGACGGAUUUGCUGUGUAUACUGAUGCCUCACGAGAAGGCCUGGGUUGCGUGUUAAUGCAGAACCGUAAUGUGAUUUCUUUUGCCUCUAGGAAGUUGAAACCCCACGAGCAGAACUAUCCAACCCACGAUCUGGAGCUAGCUGCCGUUGUUUUCGCUCUUAAAAAGUGGAGACAUUACCUAUAUGGGGUAACUUUCGAGAUUUACUCCGAUCACAAAAGUCUGAGGUACCUCUUCUCACAGAAGGAAUUGAACAUGAGGCAGCGACGAUGGAUAGAAUUUUUGGAGGAUUACGAUUGUACCAUCAACUACCAUCCAGGAAAGGCGAACGUAGUGGCCGAUGCUUUGAGUCGCAAGGCGCAAGUAGCCGGGUUAAUGAUUAAAGAGUGGAAUUUGCUCGAGUCGAUUUGUGAGUGGAAACCCUGCCUUGGGAGCCAUAAGGUGAUUUUUGGCAAUAUUAAAGUGACUUCCACUCUCUUGGAGAGAAUUAAAGAAGCUCAAAAGGAAGAUUCACUAGUGCAGAAAUGGGGAGAGAAAGUGGGAAAAGGAGAAACCACUGAUUUCAAUUUUGGUCCUGAGAGUAUUUUAAAAUACCGAAACCGAAUAGUGGUGCCGAAGGAUGAAGCGUUGAAAACGGAGAUUCUAGAGGAAGCCCAUCGAUCCAAGUAUACAAUUCAUCCGGGUAGUAGCAAGAUGUAUCAGGACCUGAAAGGAACCUAUUGAUGGGACAAUAUGAAGAAGGAAAUUGCUCUGUACGUGCAAAAAUGUCUUGUUUGCUAACAGGUGAAAGUAAAACAUCUGAUACGCUCCUCGAUCCACGGUCGAGACACGUAGCACGUUUGCCCAAAGAUCUAGCGGGGAUGUCCAACGCUUGGAUUGCGGAACCUAUGAUCAAACGGACAACUCGAUUUGAUUGAAGGUGGUAGACGACACUCCGAUGAAGGUGAAUACUCCAGGGGAAUAGGUCGGAUGAACAAUCAAGGACAGGACGCGAGAUUGCUCAAUAACCCUUGCCAAGCAAGUUGUAAGGCUCGAAUUCUCUAUGAAAGAAAACGAAUGCACUAAGAAUUUUAUUCAUCAAAAAACUAGUUUUUAACCUUACAAAGCUAGCCUAUUUAUAGGCUUUAAGGAAAUAACAAAAACCCUAAAGAAACCUAAAGGGGAGGUCGGCUACCUUGUCAUCAAGGUGGGCCGGCCCAUGCCUUCUACGAAACAACUAGUCGAACUAAAUAGCAAAUAACGACUAAGGCCCUACUCGGCCGAUUCGUAAGGAGGCCCACUGGAGUCUUCCUGGGCUUGGACCAAAGUGUAAGUUGCUUGAUUGACCCUUUCCAAGCCUUCAAUAUCUCUAUAGCCUCCAUGUUGAUCGUGGACAACUCGAACAAGGGUUUGGAGGGAUUCUUUGAAGAGCUUGGCCCGUGCACGUGUGACUGGGCCCAAUGGGACUUGGACUGGGCCCUGGUUCAUGCACACAUCAGUCCCCUUCCUCUUGAGAAGGAUUUGCCCUCAAAUGUGGAUCCUCCUCACCAAGAAACGGGCUCAAGUCCUCCCAGCUGGCUCUUCUUCCAGGCAGUCGUCUUCUACCAGUUCGGGCAUGUCCUCACAUUCGUCAUCAUCCGACCUAUUCCCCUGGAGUAUUCACCUUCAUCGGAGUGUCGUCUACCACCUUCAAUCAAAUCGAGUUGUCCGUUUGAUCAUAGGUUCCGCAAUCCAAGCGUUGGACAUCCCCGCUAGAUUCUUGGGCAAACGUGCUACGUGUCUCGACCGUGGAUCGAGGAGCGUAUCAACAUCAAAAACCAUUGGGUUUUUUACAACCCCUUGAGAUACCUGAAUGGAAGUGGGAAAACAUCACCAUGGAUUUCGUUUCAGGUUUAUCGCGAACGCAACGAGGACAUGACGCCAUUUGGGUAAUCGUCAACCGGUUAACCAAAUUGGCUCACUUCCUGCCAGUAAACAUGAAAUAUUCCAUGGACAAGUUGGCCCAGCUGUACAUGGACGAGAUCGUAAGGCUACACGGUGUUCCAGUCAGUAUCGUCUCCGAUCGAGAUCCACGUUUCGUAUCUCGAUUCUGGCAGAAAUUCCAAGAGACGCUAGGGACGAAACUCAAUUUGAGCACGACCUAUCACCCUCAGACGGAUGGACAAUCGGAACGAACAAUCCAAACUCUCGAGGACAUGCUACGGACUUGCAUUUUGGAUUUUGGAGGCAACUGGGGUCAACACAUGACCUUAGUAGAGUUUGCAUACAACAAUAGCUACCAUUCGUCAAUUCAAAUGGCUCCAUAUGAAGCACUAUAUGGACGGAAAUGCCGGUCACCAAUUUACUGGGAUGAAAUUGGUGAGAGAAAGGCGCUAUGAUGCGGUUGAGCACGAGGCCCAAAGUGUACAAGUAGACCUUGUGAAGGUGCCCCAAGGCCCAGUGACACGAGGACGAGCUAAGAGAUUCAAGGAGUCCCUCCAAGCCUUGGUACGUGCCAUCCAAACCCAAGAGAAACCGGGCAUUGAAGGAAUUGAGUUGGAACAUUCUUGCACGACUACUAAAAUGCUGCUUACAAUUGAAGAUGCAAGUGUUCAAGCUCCAAACGGUGGGCUGAGCCGCAGUAAGUACCCUCGCUGAGCCGUACAGGGGUCUCGCUUAGGGACCGUCUACGCGUUAGAUCAUGUUUGUGUGAAUCACUUCAUCUCAUGCAUAUUUUCACUUUCUAGGAUCUUUUAUCAUUUUUUGCAUGACAUCCCUCCUUAUACGUAUAUCCCUUCCCCCAUAUUUUCCCUUAUAUGUAUAUUACUUACCCCUUUGUAUGAAACAUGACAUUAGACUUGCAUUUCAUCUAAGCAUUAGACCUAAGUUAGUACAUUUGCUUGAUUAGACUAGGAAAAACCCCUUGGGUAUGGGAUAUGGAUGAGUUUGGCUCUUUAGCCUUAGCACGCUCGUAUUCCCUCUAUUAAAGGGAACAUUGAAAGUCACGAGUAUAAGUCCCCCGCACCCAUUAUGAUGCAUUCCUUUAGGUCAUACACAUUGGUAUGUUAUUAUUUUUCUUUACUUUUUCUUUCUUUUGAGUCUCAUGACUUGCAUUAUUCGUGACUUCUUCGAAGAGUCUUUAUUGGGCAUCACAAUUAAUGUGAUUGACACCAAUUGAGCUUCAAAGAGAAAUUUCGACCCUCCGACACCCUCCUAGGUCUAGGGUUUGCAUUCAUAUAGUACAUCCAAAUGUGAUAAAUCUUUAGGUUAAAAUGAGAAAAUCUUUGACUAAAUCGCGCAACUAGCCUUGGCUAGGUUGAAAGGGUGCCUUGGAUUUUUAUCCUUGCCUUCCCUUUCUUCAAAUGUGACUCCCGAAUCUUUUUCUCUGAUUUUCGUGGACUUGGAGUCGCUUAAAAAGGGCUUUUCUACUUUUUUCUUUAAAAAUUCAUUUUUUGGUGACUUGGUAUACCUUAACUCUAUACCAAGUGGCGACUCCAUUUUUCAUUCAAAAAAACCCUUUUUAAACUAUACUUUGUGAUACGAACGUCGCCAACCUUGUGACGAAACCCGUAAAAGAUUAGCUUCAGGAUCGACAAGAGGACACCAAGUUUGAAGCGGAUGACCUCAACCCGUUAAUCACGUGGUUAACGAACCUUGGUAUAAUGGUAGAAGACGCCACAACCUAGUGCGAUUCUAAAUUGAUAAGUCACGAACACCUAGAGAAAUUCUAAGGUAUUCAAGAAGCCUUGGAGAAACCAAGAAAACUCUCAAAAUCUGAUUUAUUGAUUGAAUGCAUAAACCAUUGGAAGUGUGGGCUAUUUAUAGCCUUACAUAGAGAUGAACAACUAAAUGUGGAACUAGUCUAGAGUUGUGGUCUUGACUAAGACUAACAAUUAUAGGCUUGACCAAACCUUAUGAGGUCAUCCCUUAGGUAAACAACCUUAUGAGGUCAUCGCUUAGGUAAAUGACCUUAUGAGGUCAUCGCUUAGGUAAAUAAAGCAAGGCUAUGGACCAUUAAACCCUUAUUACAAUGACUUAACUAAAACAGCAAAUGUGACUAGAGAAGGGUCACACAUGGUUCUCUUUGACGUGCACUACAUGGAUGACUUUCAUUCCUUCAUGCUCAAGCCCCUCAAUGACCUUGGGGACAAUUUCUUGGCCUUGUAUCUCAUGAACAAGUCCUUGGAGUUCCUCCCACAUCUUCUUAGCUCGUGCUCGAGUUACGGGAUCCUAGGGGAACUCGAAUAGUUCGCAAUGGUGUCUCUUGGUUCGUAUCAUCCCCCUCCUCUUCAAAAGGAUUUGUCCUCAAAUCAGCUUCAUCGUCUGCAAGAAAAGGAGAUAGAUCAGAGACAUUGAAUGUAGCGCUCACAUUGUACUCACCGGGUAGGUCCAGUUUGUAAGCAUUGUCAUUGAUGCGUUUGAUGACUUGGAACGGCCCAUCUCCUCUGGGAAGUAAUUUAUUGCACCUUUGGACUGGGAACCUUUCCUUGCGUAGAUGUAACCACACCCAGUCACCAGGUUCAAACACAACGCGUUGGCGUCCCUUGUUAACCCGUUGAGCAACUUGGUCCAUCCUUCGCUCAAUGUUUAGGCGUACCUGCUCGUGUAAUUUCUUGACAAAAUCUGCUCGUUUAGCACCAUCCAUGUUAAUGUGCUCAGAAGAAGGUAAAGGUGACAAGUCUAGUGGUGUUAAAGGGUUAAAACCAUAGACUAUUUCAAAUGGUGAAAAAUGAGUAGAACUAUGCACCGUGCGAUUGUAUGCAAACUCAACAUGGGGUAAACAUUCUUCCCAGGUUCUAAUGUUUUUUCUAAUGAUGGCACGCAAGAGUGUAGAUAGUGUACGAUUGACAACCUCAGUUUGGCCAUCAGUUUGUGGGUGACUAGUAGUAGAAAAUAGCAAUUUGGUACCCAAUUUUCCCCACAAAGUUUUCCAAAAGUAACUCAAAAUUUUGACAUCCCUAUCAGAGACAAUUGUCCUAGGCAUGCCAUGCAAUCUAAUGAUUUCUUUGAAAAACAAAUCAGCAAUGUGCGAUGCAUCAUCUGUUUUGUGACAUGGUAUAAAAUGUGCCAUUUUUGAAAAUCUGUCAACAAUAACAAAGAUGCUAUCAUUUCCCCUCUUUGACCUAGGCAACCCUAAAACAAAAUCCAUGGAAAUAUCGGUCCAAGGUUCCUUAGGUACAGGUAAAGGACUAUAAAGGCCAUAGGGUUGAAGUUUAGACUUAGCUUUGUGGCAAGUAAUGCAUUUAGCCACCAUUCGCUCCACAUCUCGUUUCAUCCUUGGCCAAUGGAAGUGCUCUUGAAGGAUAGCUAAGGUUUUAGCCACGCCAAAGUGUCCCAUCAAGCCACCUCUGUGUGCUUCCCUAACUAGUAAAGAGCGAAUAGAGCAAUUAGGUAUGCAUAGUCGAUUGAGGUAGAAAAGAAAUCCAUCAAGGAUGUAGAAUUUACCUUGAGUUGCUGAACCACAAGAAUCAUAAAUUAGGAAAUAAGAGGUCUGGCACGAUCUUCUUUUAGUGGCUUACCCAUUAGAUAACUCACAUGUUUAAAUUUCAGUCAUUACACUUAUUUUUCAAUAAAUACAUUUCAUUUUAGACCUUUUGCCCCCCGAUGCAUUAUUUAUGCCCUUUAGGCCAUAUUUGUCACAUAUUUUGUGACAGCCCCACCUUCCCCUAAGGCGAACCAAAGGGGUUAGCGGACUGCCUGCCCAGCUCUCGCCAGGACUAACGGUACGGUUUACGUCAAUCUAAAACGUUCCGGAACAUAACAUCGCGCGCAAACAAGUCAAAACACAAAAUAAAAUAAAAUAAAAUAAAACGAAAACCGAAGCCGAAAUUUAUCUAAACCAUAGCCAAGCAUAUAUGUACAAUGGAAAUCAACAUUUACAACCAUAAUGGCAUGCCAAAACUAUUCAUUAAGGAGUACACAUUCGAUUUGCCUAUCAAAAGGAAAUGAACCCGUUAUACAUUAGGGUUUCACUUCAAGAGCUAUACAAAAGACAUUUACAAGCUCAGUAUGGCAAUUGACUAUCCAGUCCAUUUUCAAAAGCAAUUAUUAUCCCUGUAAGGAAAACAAAUAACACGGAAUGAGCCAAAGCCCAGUGGUAUACCACCCAAUAAGCAAUCAAAGUCAUAUAAGAAUGAACCUUCAUUUAAAGUGCACAAAAUAAGCAAUGAAACAAAAACGGUAAAAGGAUACGGUCGGCUCUCAAGAGCCCAAUUCCACGCUUGUAAUCUUGAUCCAACCCCAUUGACCCUCCGUCAAUGUUAAAAGUACCAAACCGUAGACCACACUUUACUUCCAUUCCUUCCACCUAUCAUACCCAACCGGGCCCGCACUCCAUUCAGUAAUAUUUUUGGUAAUACUCGAGUUUACCGGAACCAAGGUCUCAUUACCACAAGGUUCCCCAGUACAGUCCCCGUGGCAUGAUAAUUUUCACGACCAAGCCCUCGCCGGCUCGAUCCAAUUAACUACCAUACGGGGUUGAGCUCAUAAAUGCAGUAAAGCCAUUGGAUACUCGUCCAACGACACCAAAUCAGUUUCCAUGAAUGGAAUGCAGUAUCUCAUAUAUCCAGUGCAGUAUUUCAGUAAAACACAAUCAAUAGCCAUGAAUAAAAUCACAAGGGGUGAGGGCGAUCAAGUACACCCUCACCUCAAUCAUUUCCAAUAACCAAGUAAGCCUUCAAGGCAUCAAAUACACAUAGCACAAAGCCACAUUAUAACAAGUAAGUGAUGUAGUAUACUCACCAAGCAAGUAAGUGGUAUUUCAUGUACCACGAUCACCAAGCCGUCGUGCACUACCUUCACGCCCUAGAAUCAUGCAACACAUACAAUAAGACUCCAUGCCGAGCCAUAAACAACACCAAUUCACAACCCCAAUAGGUUCUAUAAACAUAUACAAGCAUGAUAGCAAACCAGAAAUUAAGAAAGGGCUUUAACUUAAGCCUUGAUAAGAAAACCGGUUUUGCCGUCAUAAUGCGGUAAUGGUACAACUCUCACUACAAAUAUCGGUUGGGGGUGUAAGACCCACCAUUUCGAAGCUAUGGAACAGGGAUACAAUAAUGUAGAAGACCACUCAAUCCAGUUCCUAGCUUAACUAGGUCGAAAAUGCCAAAUACUAACCCAGAAUUCCUAAAACAGGUUCGCAAAACACAAAAAAUGUAAUCGGUAUAUCUCAGUCCAUACAAGUCCAAAUGCCGAAAUUCCAAAGGCAUAAGUUAGCUAAGUCAUCCAAAUACAUUUCAUCAGAAGACACCAACUUCAAAAUCCAAACCAAAACCAGUCAAAAUGGCCAAAUACAAACUCAGUUUUCGCAUUCUGAUCAAAGCAGAACAGCUACAGUAAUUUCGUCAUAACUCACUCUACACUAAUUCAAAUGCCCUGAAAUUUUACAGGCACCUUAUACACAUCAAUUCCUACAACUUUCAUGUUUUGAGAAAAGUCCAAUUCGGCCUCUAACCUAGUGAUCUAAAACGGACAGAAUUGGGUUCAAGAACCCUAACUUUUCAAAUUUCACACCAAAUCCAAAAUUGAUUGCAUUUAACCACAAUUCACACUCACUAGAGUCAUUUCCAACCAUUACAAUUCAUCAUACAAGCCCCCAACAUCAAGAUCAUAUUAAACCAGAAAAAAUCCCAAUAAAAUAAAAACUUCACCAAAACUCUUCAAAUCAAGAAAUAAAUCACAUUUUCACACACUCAUGCCACUUCUAAGCAUCAUAUAACCAUCAUUAAAGGUAGUAGGGUGUUUCAAGCUUCACUUACCAAGAAACAAGAGAGAGGAAGAUGUGGAGCACCUUAGUCCUUCAAACAAAGUUCACCAAACAACUUGCUAGCACUAGAAGGAAAGUUUUUAUGGAGUGAAAUCUUGUUUAUGGCCUUGAUUGAGAUGAUUUGCUAGUAGAAACUUGAAGAUUGAAGAAGUUUUCCUUCUUGCAAGAGUGAGAGAGAGAGCCGGCCAAACAAGAGAGAAAAAUGGUGAUUUUUUGGUGAAUUUUGGAUAUUUAAUUCCUUGGUCAAAUAAGUCAAGACAAUGAAUAGUAAUUCUUAAAAGUUCAACCAAUAAGAAAAUGACACGUGGCACCUUAUUAAAUGCAUUCCUAUCCUUCUUUUCUCUCUCACAUCAAUCACUUCACACACUCUACUUAUCCCUUAACACCGAUAAAUUUUACACAGUAUCCGAAACUUAACCUUAUUGGCCGAAUUUUUCCGAAUUUUUCGCACUAGUGGGUCCCACGUCCACUAUUUACUCUUAAUUUUCUAAAAUUUCACCAAUGCUAGAAAAAUCAUUUUAAAACUAUAAUUGCUCAUAAAAUCCACUAAGAAAAUAUUUCUAAGCCAGAAAAUGCAGAAAACAUGCAAUUAAGGGGAAAUAAACCCUAGGAAAAUAUUAGGGUUUUUACGGGUUCUCAUAUUUACAUAACUUUAAUAAACUGGCAUCAUGCAUCCACCCUAGAAAGGGAAUGCCAUUUAGGGGAUCCCGUGUUAGGGAUAAGCUACUUGUGUCUCGGAUACUUAAUCCAACGAGACUUGCACGUUUACAUUUUGUACCAUCCAAAGGGGUAGUGCACGAGAUAAGGUAGGAUCCGAUCAUUUUCAUAGAGCGAUCUUUGGAAUAUGAGCGUCUAAAAUCACUUUUUGGCUAUUUUAUCAAAAAUUGGUAAAAAUCCCUUGUGCAAAGGACAUUAAUUUGAAGAAAAUUCACAAAUGAUUCCUCCUUUUGAGACGAUAAAUAAAUUAGGGCCAAAUUUUGAUUUUUAGAAGACUCGUAGGCUAAUGCAUCGUAAUAAAAUUUUUUGAAACUACCAGUGGAUAGCUUGAUUUUUUAAUAAGCUCUCAAUUCUAUUCAAUCCAUUGGACCAUUUCAUUCAUCAAUUUCAUCCAGUUCAUUUUAUCAAUUUGUUCAUUUUAGGCAAUCUAGUCGAUUUUUUGAAGAAAUCACCAAUUUCAUUCAAUUCAUUUUGAUUAGUUAGAGCAAUUUUGUCGAUUUUGAUAAAUCAUCAAUUUCAUUAAAUUCAUUUGACCAGUUACCCUUUUAGGAUGAUCGGUCAAUUUUGAUAAAUUAUCAAUUUCAUUCAAUUCAUUUGACCGUUUCCCUUUUUAGGGUAAUCGGUCGAUUUUAAAUAAAUGUCAAUUUCAUUCAACCCAUUUGACCAAUUAGGGUUUCAAUGUCGAAUUCAAAUUGGGAAACCUAGUCGAUUUUGAGAAAACCAUCCAUUGCAUCCACAUUUGAUCAGUUGGGUUUUGACCCGUGCUUUACUGAGAAAUUUUGUCAAACGAAUUCCAUCUCUUCGAUAGGAAGUUCGUUAAGGUCAAACCCGUGUUUUUGCAAAUUCUUGUAUCGAUCAAAAGUGAUCAAUCCUUCGGACGUGUCCUCAUUUUGACAAACGUCUCUUCUCAUUCCAAUUGACCAAAUUUUUCAAAAUUAUUUCUCACUCAAUGAGUUGAUCGAUCCAUCAGGUAUGGUAUAGUGCCUACCCUAGAGGAUUGCAUUUUCAUGCUAGGCCUACCCUUGGCAUAAAAGGGUUCCCCAUAGGACAUGCAUACCGAUUUUAUAAUCUUGCUUGCUAAUUCAGGGUAUUUUUCUUUUGUUUUCCCCUUCCCUGCAUUCAUAAAAAUAUUUCAAUAAAGGGAAAAUAUUUUUCUAUAUCUGAUGGCACUUCCGAUCUAAUAAAGUGUCAAAACUGCAAGUGUAUUUGAUUCUUGGCAGAUCCUACAAUGGAAACAUAAAUGAUGUAUUAGAAGCUCUACGCUAAAGCCUCUGAGAGAUGUUGUAAUUGUUUUCCAAAGGAAAAUUUUGUAUAUUUGUUAAUACAUUUUGUUCCAAAAGAAAAGGAGACAAAAAGUGUAUAUGUGGAGCUCUUUACAAGUCUCUCUCCUCUCAUUUGUAUCAUAAUUGAAUGAGAAAUUUUGUUUCAAACUUUUUCAGCAAUAAAAUUUUUGGACAAUUUUGCUUUGUGUAUAUUUAUGUACAUUUCAUUCUUUAUUCUUACUAUUGGAGAUUUCAUGAUGAAUUUUGAGAAAUAAAACAAAUUGAGAUUUUUUCAACCUCCAGCCUGAAAAUUCACAAGUGUAUGCUCGAUUGGUGAUCCGAGCUACACAAUAAGAGUGCUCAAAAUUAAAAGAGGUCACUCAGAAGACCCGUGAGAUGCCUUUCUCCUUCACUUAACCCCAAAAUAAAAUUAGUCACAUUGAUUGAUAAAUUGCAAAUUGGGGCAACUUUUGCUUGAAAUGUCCGCGGUGACUAAUCCGAUUCAAUCACAUCUAAGUGAAAGCAAAAAUGUGCAUUAUUCUUGUUUGUUUUGAAAAUUUGGAAUGAUACUUCGAGCAUUCUUUUCUCUACCUAUACACAUUUUAUCAUUUGCUCUCCCAUUUGAGCCUUUGAAAGAGUAAUUUCGUUUUAAAUAAGAGCCCUAAUGAUCACUACCCUAUAUUGGAAAUUUUUCAAAUAUCAAAAAGGGGAAUGAAUUUUCAAUGACCAUUUCGUUACUUUGGUUGUCAUGAAGCGUAAGAAUGAUGCUUUGGCCAUCGUUUCUAUGACCUAAACACCAUUUAUCCCUUGCAUCCUCAUUUGAGCCAAAAAAAAAAUUGGUGGUCCUUUUCGAGUGCACAUAUGAUCGCACCCCACAUUGGGGAAGGAGAUUGGGGAAUUUUGAAAAAAGGAAAAAGAAAAAGAAGAAAGGGAGCCGCGAAUUGGGAAAAUUUGAUUCUACUUGGAUUUCAAUUUUGAAAAGAAAAGAAAAGAGGAAAAAGGAGAAGUUCUGUCCGGUGGACCGCCUAUGUUUCACAAAUAUGGAUGAACAAGGCUCUUCCUCAGUCAGUUAAUUCAGAUACAUGCCAGAAAUUUCCUUUCAGAGUUAUUGUAAGGAACGAAAUAAAGGUCAAGCCCUCUUCUUUUCCGAUCAAGCAUUCUAUCCCUAGUUAUCCCUUUUGAGCCAUCAGAAUAAAUUAUUUCAUUUGGCAACCCCUGAGAAUCGCAAACCCCACACUGGGGGCAAGUUUGAGUUGGAAAGGAAAAGUUUCAAGAAGUGAAAAGUAACAAUGCAACAAAAUCAAAAGGAAAAGAGAAAAGAGAACCUCAGUUCAAAAAUAAAAGGCAGAUUUUGUGAAAGUUCAAAAAUGGCAGAAAGCCGAAAAAUCAAAAGAAGAAAGAAAAUGAAAGAGAAAAAGCCUCAAUUGAGCAUAAACUGGGGCAAAAUUCUGAUUUAACCCUAAAAUAGGGUUGGCGCAACAAUGCGAUCUCAGAUUCUUCAAACCACUUUUGAAAUCCGCUUUCAAGCCUUAACUUUUCUAAGCACCCCACCUGACCCCAUUACAAAAGCCGAAAGUCCUGACUUCUGUUCUUUGCAAUGGCCCUGUCAAGAAAAUUUCUGAUGCCGGAAAAUUUUAGCUGUAUUUCUGAAUUGCCUGGGUAUGGGGUUGACGCUACUCACCAUGUGAAAACCCACCAAGUUGAGGGAAAGGAAAAAGAGGCAAAAAGCAAAGCAAGAAAAGUAAAUGCAAAGAAAAUGCAGAAAAAAUUCGACGCUGAAGUCCCUAGUGAAUGAUGAGGAAAAAUGCAAACAAAGUCUGAGAUUUUUUGAGUUCAAAAUAGGGGCAAUUUUGAAAAAUGCGAUCUUCGGUGCAAUGUCCUUGAAAGUUUUAUUCUUUAACUAUCGUUUUCAAGCUAUAUUACAAGUUAACAAAGUCCAUCGUUGACUUAUUCCUUCAUGACAAUCCACAGUGAGGAUUAUGCUUGUAAGAAAUCCAUCAAUCAUUUGUGAUCAUGGGGGUAUAACCAGUUUUCACAGGUUUAGCUAUCGUUUCUACCCAUUUUGUUGCAAGCCUAUAAAGUUUAUACGUUGACUAAGUUUUCUUAAGAAAUAAGAGCGACAAACUCUUUGCUUUCACUAAGAUGUGGUAUUGAAGGGAUUACAUACAAUUUUGAGCACAAAAAAUAAGACAAAUUCUGACCUCCCAUUUCCUUAGCCAUUUCAUAAAUAAAGUCACUUGAUUGGUCCUGAAAGAUGAGCCAACCAGAAGUGUGACCCGUUACCCUAAGCACCAAUGCUAAAAGUGAGGAAGAAAUCUUCUUGAAUUUGGUGUUACUUCGAGGAAUUCAUCAUGAAAUUUCUGCAUGAGUUCAAACUUGACGUUUAAAGUUUCUUCACAUUGUUGUAUAUGUGCAUUCUUUUCUAAAUUUUAGAAAGUGCGGUUUUUCUUUGUUCAAAUAAAUGGGAAAUCAUCUGAACAAAUUUUUGCAAUCAACGGAGCCCACACUGGGGCAAAAAAAUUUUAUUUGUGAGAUUUCAUGAAAUAAACCCAUACUGGGGCAAAUUUUUUGUAAUACAUUUGAGAUUUUUGUCCAAAAAUCAAAUAAUAACAUUUUUAGAAUCAAUCCCGCUGCUCUUUUCAUGGAAUUUAAGUGCAUGUCAUGCUUUGUUAAGCCCCCCUGUGCAGGUAUUCAUGGUUCAAAAUGACGAAAAGCAUCCAGUGAGGCGGAAGGCCGAUACUGCAAAGAGAAGCAAGAAGAAGAAGGGAAAAAUCGACCCGACACAGGGGCAAAUUAUUUUGAAAAAAUUCUCUCGAAAAAAUCCAAAAGGAAAGAAAGAAAAAAAAAAUCAAAAAAUCAAAAAAUCAUCAAAAAAUCAUCAUCAGAAAGGUCAAAAAUAAAAAAAAAACUCAAGUUUAACUACUUGCUUCUUGACAAAUCAAUUUCAAUUUCAACUUUACAAGAUCACGUUGGGCCUGGACUUCGUGCCGCCAACUUCACAAGAUCACGUUGGGCCUGGAUUUCGUGCCGCCAACAUUUCAUUCGGCAGAACUGGAUUCUAUCCCGCUGACCGCUUAUAUCACGUUGGAGUUGGGUUUUAUCCCGCCAACCUCGGCAGAACUGGGUUCUAUCCCGCUAACCGCUUAUAUCACGUUGGAGCUGGGUUUUAUCCUGCCAAUCUCGGCAGAACUGGGUUCUAUCCCGCUGACCGCUUAUAUCACAUUGGAGCUGGGUUUUAUCGUGCCAAUCUCGGUAAAGCUGGGUUCUAUCCCACUGACCAAUCAGCCACUGGAGCGUGAGGUUUUACCCGCCAGUGAGCAUUUUAUUUUCACAGCCACUGGAGCGUGAGGUUAGUCCCGCCAGUGUGCAUUUCAUUUUCACAGCUACUGGAGCGUGGGUUUGUCCCGCCAGUAAACAUUUCAUUUACAUCGCUACUGGAGCGUGGGUUAGUCCCGCCAGUAAGCAUUUCAUUUUCACAGCCACUGGAGCAUGAGGUUAGUCCCGCCAGUGUGCAUUUCAUUUUCACAGCUACUGGAGCGUGGGUUUGUCCCGCCAGUAAGCAUUUCAUUUACAUCGCUACUGGAGCGUGGGUUUGUCCCGCCAGUAAGCAUUUUAUUUUCACAGCCACUGGAGCGUGAGGUUAGUCCCGCCAGUGUGCAUUUUAUUUUCACAGCUACUGGAGCGUGGGUUUGUCCCGCCAGUAAGCAUUUCAUUUACAUCGCUACUGGAGCGUGGGUUAGUCCCGCCAGUAAGCAUUUCAUUUUCACAGCCACUGGAGCGUGAGGUUAGUCCCGCCAGUGAGCAUUUCAUUUUUACAGCCACUGGAGCGUGAGGUUAGUCCCGCCAGUGAGCAUUUCAUUUACCCCGCCGCUAGCAGUGGGUCAAUCCCACUUGCGUGCGUCCCAUGAUUUUCAUUUUAUUCGGGCCAGUCUCAUGAUUUUCAUUUAAUUCAGGUCAGUCCCAUGAUUUAAAGCUUAUUCGGGUCAGCCCCAUGAUUUUCGUUUUAUUCGGGUCAGUCCCAUGAUUAAAAGCUUGUUCGGGUCAGUCCCAUGAUUUUCGUUUUAUUCGGGUCAGUCCCAUGAUUUAAAGCAUUCGGGUCAUCUCAUGAUUUUCAUUUUAUUCGGGCAGUCCCAUGAUUUUCGCUUUUAUUCGGGUCAGUCCAUGAUUUAAAGCUUUAUUCGGUCAAUCCAUGAUUUUCAUUUUAUUCGGGUCAGUCCCAUGAUUUAAAUCUAUUCGCGUCAGUCCCAUGAUUAAAAGCUUGUUCGGGUCAGUCCAUGAUUUUCAUUUUAUUCGGCAGUCCCAUGAUUUUCAUUUAAUUCGGGUCAGUCCCAUGAUUAAAAAUUGUUCGGGUCUAUCCCGUUUUAAAUUUCCUGUUCAGGUCAGUCCCGUUUUUAAAUUCAUGUUCGGGUCAAUCUCAUUUAAAUUCCUGUUCGAGCCAAUCCCGUUUGAAAUUCUUCUUCGGUCAGUCCGUUUUAAAUUUCUUGUUCAGAUAGUCCAUUAAAAAUUUUUCGUCCCAGUUAAUCUCAUCAAAAGGGGUCAGUCCCAUCGUUCGAAUCGUUCACAGCCAAAUAACACAGGUAAGUAUUUGAGGUCUACUUCUUUGUCUCAAAUUUUCCAAAACUCAGACAAAGAGGGGCAAACUGUAGACACCAAAUUUUAGUGUAACUUGCAUUUACUAUUUUUGUCUUAAUUUUUAUUUGUCCGUGUUAAGUUUUAUUCACUCUUUAGUUUUUAGUUUUUAGUUUUUAGUUUUCAUUUUAUUAUUUUUUGUAAGUUUUAGCAUAGAAUUUCUCGAAAAAGAAAAAAAAAGCAUUCAAAAAUAUGAUUUAGUUGUUUGUGAUUUAAUUUCAAUGUUUUCUUGAAAAAAGAAGAGAAAGAGGAAAAAUGAUGAUGGAAAAUAAAAAAAAAGAAAAGAAAAUGGAAUUUGCACUUUGUUGUUUUUAGUUUAUUUAUUUUUAUCCAAUGUUAAUUAAGUUAUUUUUGUUAUUUAUUUUAUUAUCAAUUUUAUUUUAAUUAAUCUCAAAAAAAAAAUAUACGCGACUUGCAAGCUACGUAUUGUCGCAGCAAGAAGGACUGGCAGCUCCUUUAGCUGCAAUUUUGGGAAAGAUGGCUGGAGUUUAGGGUUGAGGACCUAUAUAAAUAGAAAACAGCAGCCGCAAGAGAGGGAAAAGGGUGGAGGAACGGCAAAAGAAAAAUCGGAGAGUUUUAUGACGGCUAAGAAAAGAAAACCAGAGAGUUUUGGUUAGCGGCUGUUGGGAGAAAAGAACUAGAAGGCUACGGGGGGGUUUAUGGGGAGCUAAAGGAGGAACGGCGGCUGCAUAAGAAAAAACAAGAGAUCGAGAGAGAGCUUGAAGAGUCGACGACUGAAAUUAGGAGGUUUUGGGAGGAGGGCUGGACAAAAAGGAAGACACUGAGAGAGUGGAGGUGGAGAAGAAACGAAAACAGCAACGAAGGAGCGAAUAGCUGAGAGAGAACCAGAGAGUUGGUGUUGCGGCGGAGAUUAAGAAAACUAGAGAGAGCAGAGAGAGGUUGGGAAAGAAAGCUAAGCCGAGAGGAAAAGGAAAAGGGGAUCUUGACGGCUAGAAUCUGGGUUGGCGGCUUGAAGAAAGAAAAACCUACGGCAAGGGGAGAAAAAUCUAAUCUAGAAAUGGGCUGGUUGAGGAAGAAAAGGAAAACAGAAAGCAAGGGAAGUCUGUAAAGGUCGGCGACCAAAGGAAAAGAACGGAACCAAGAGCUGAGUUUUGGAGGAGAGAAUCAGAGAAUCUAAAGGCAAGGAGUGGCGGCUAGGUCUAGCGAGAGGGAAUGUGUGUAUGAGAGAAGAAAGAAAAACCAGCAAAGGAGAACUGAGCGAGAGAGAUACAGAACAAGAAGCCGGGGAAGAAAGAAGGGAACUUUGGGCUGAGGGAAAAGAAAUGAUCGAGGAGAGUCCGAGAGUAGAACGACGGCUGAGUUUGGAAAGGAAAAAAACCAGAACCAGAAACAUUUUUCUGCCAAAAAUUUCAUCGAAAGGACUGAUUUUCGGCACACCUUGCGGCAUGAUUAUCUCCUUUCUGGUUGCUCAAUUCGAUUGGAUUCUGAUUUCUGUAUAAAUUACGAAGUCAGGGGAAGAACUCUUGUUCAGAAAUGGUUCACAACAAGCACCUGGAAAGCCCUUGAAUCUGGCCCCCAAAUCAUCAGCUUGGCUUCGCUGGUGCGGGUUCGAAAUCGCAAUGAAGCAAAUCCAGCAGCUUUUCACGGCAAUUCCUGACCUGAUUUUUAAUCCAAAAGGCCUCAUCAGGUACUCUUCUGAACUAAUCUUAUAGCCCCGUCCUUUUGCCAUUUGUUGGUUUAGUCGUUUGCAAUUUUCCUUCGUUCCAUUUCUGCUGCAGUUUCAUCUAUUCGGCCAGAUUGCAUUUUCCUUUUUUUUGCCGUUGUUUGUUUUGAGCUGCCUUGGUUGUGGCUGUUCUGUUUAGGAAAUGUCUAGAUUUGUGUUACUUUGCAUGAAUACCUUUGAACUGGGUAAGAAAGGCAUGAAACUGUUUGCUGCAGAAUUUAUUUGUUUGUUGCCCCAGAUCUGUAUGCUUGAAUGUCGAAUUUCUGUGAUUUUGUGGCUUGAAACCAUAGCUAUACUAUUUGGUUGAAAAGCUGGACGUGUUUGGAUGCAAAGCUACGUCUGAUGAACACCACAAAUGUGAAUUAGUCGUAGCUGAAAGAUGCUGAAAAGUUUGUGAGUUGGUGCUUGCAUGAUACUUUUUGUACGAAUUUCUGAUGCUUAAAUGUAAGGAUCUUAUGUUGGAAAGUGAGAUGUAUGCUUAAUGACCGUGGUGUAUUAGCUGAUUGAGUCAUUGAAAUAUUGUUUUGCUUGAAGAUACUGAAAUGAAAAGAAGAUUGCGGCUGGAUUGUUUCAGAAUAGGAAGGUUCUUCUACGUAGUCUUGCAUGCAUGUUUCAAAGAAAAAUUGCAUUUUGACCCCUUGGCUUCUAACUAAUGCUGCUAUGACCCAAUCAAUUGAAUAAUCUCCUCAAUUUGGUCCUUGGUAGUUUUAAUUUUACAACUUCAUUGCUUGUUUGCUUCAAUUAACUACUAUGCUUUGUUUAAAUUGCACUUCAUGCAUGAAUUUAAGAGCUUUAUGACCAUGUGAGCCGUGUUUGCAUGUUUUCUUUAAUUUUCCCAAAUAAAUUGGUAUCUUGACCAUUUCUUUUAUUUUGGAGGAUAAAUAAGUGACUUCACCCAUUAGAGCUCCAUUUCAAGGGAGGUAUAACUUCUUUUAUCUUUUUUGUCUCUCCCCUAUGUGAUCCAACGUGCUAAGUGAGAAUUGCAUGCCUACUUUACUUGCCUUCCUUGUUUUUCCUUAAUUCAUUUCAUUUACUUUUGCUUUUAUUAAGUCAUUCUUUUAUUUAUGAGGUAUGUGUACACCUCUUGGCUUGUAAUAGAUAGGGCUUGGAGAGCACUUGAUGAAGACCUAUUGAAGACGUGUGCCUAGCUAGCAAAUGUAAUAGGUCUAUUAGCUUGAUUGCUUGCUUUUGUUGCUAUGUGUUAAUUUGCUUUAUUAGACUCUUGCAUCUAGUCGAGCAUGCUAAGUGUUAUGUGCUACGCGUUUAUGAGUGUUUGGCAUGUCUACUUGCUUUCUAUAGUCGUAGAUGAAUGUGAUGGAUGAAUGUACGUUUCCACUAGUCCAACGCUAGUAGGAAUUCAUAGAAAGGGCUAGUCAAUGCAGAUGCUAGACCCAAUAGGCCGUCCCCCUUUCGUUAGUGCAUACUUGUAUGCUCACUACAUUUCAUGCAUUUUUCUUAGUUUUUAUCAUUUGGCAUGCUCCUCCAACCUUUUCCCUUCAUUUAGGCUUUUGCAUCUCAUGCUAGUCGUAGUGUACAUUUGCUUGAGAGUCCCCUCUCGAUAAGGGAAACGAGCGAGUUUGGCUACAAAAUAGCCUUAGCACGUUAGUUCUUCCUUCUAAUCCAAGGGAAAAUCAAAGUUGUAAAGUUAGGAGUCCUUCCCGUGCCCGACUUGAUGCAUUCCCUUAGGGUCAUACACUUGCAUUCUUUUUAUAUCACCUCCUCACUCUUUUAGCCACAUUUUCUCACUAUUUAGACUUUUCUCAAUCCAUUUUCUCACCACUUUUUUCCUAUCCCUCAUUUAUUUUUCUACCUCACAAAUGGCACUCAAAUUGCACUUAUAUGUAUCUACUAUCCUAUUUUUAUUCAUUUGCACACACAAACACCUUUAUUUUCUCACACUUGCACACUUACACUUAAGUCCUCACUUGCAUUAAUAACGACUUCCAUGAGAGCUUUCCUCAUUGGCCACCACAAUUCAUGUGGUUGGGACCUAAAAGCCUCAUGAGAAGCAUUUUAGGUUUAGGAUUGUAUUUUUCUUUCCUUUUCGCAUCCAUUAGUCAUAUCCAAUAUGCAAUACAUACCUUGGGUAGAAAAAUUAGGAAAAGUGGGGCUAAGUCACGCAACUAGCUUUGGCUAGGGUAAAGGAGUGCCUUAGGUUUUGCCUUUGCCUUCUCCCUUAUCAAAUGUGACCACCGACCUCCUUUCUUUGGUUACGUAGACCUAAAAGUUCUUCAAAAGGGUUUGUUUACUUUUUCUUUCAGAAACAAAACAAAAAUCAUUUUUGGUGACUUGGUACACCCUAACUCCGUACCAAGUGGCGACUCCUCCAUUUUUCAUCCAAAAACCCUUUUUGAACUUUAUUUGGCCAAACCGUCGCAUUUUCAAGUCCCACGGCCUUUUAUUUUCAUUUUUUUCACACACAUUCACAUACACACUACUUUCACUCACAUACACCCAUCAAAAAGUGGGGCGCGACUGAGAUCUUGUAAACAAAGUGUGCAAAAGUCUCUCACUGGUUCAGAAUCGUUUGUAUUUAAAGGGGACCAAAAAUGGGCUUCAAUAAUGCUUCCAACGGAUAGUAGGCAGAUGAAGAGUCAGCUAGCUGUUGGGGCCGUCGGACGUCCGACAGAUGAAUCACCGUCCGAUCCCAUCGUCUAAAAAUCAGCCAAGUUGUUGUUCGGAUGUCCAAUAGGAUAUUAUCGUCCGACAGCAUCUGCGUCCGAACGUCGGCAGAGAGUCAUGAAAACUUUGCAGAAUUUUUCGGACGUCCGAUGCGAUCGAUGAGUGUCCGAAGCAUGCGUCCGAAGCGUGCGUCCGAUCCUCCCGGACGUCCGAUACUUCCUUACGAGCGUUCGACAGAGUUUCCUUCUUGAUGUUCUUCAUUCUUUCGGACGUCCGACAGCUUCCUUUAGGACGUCCGACAUGAAUGCCCUAUUUUUGCUUCUUCUUUUGGUUGAUUUUCUUUCCUUGACACCUUUGUACCUGAUUCUCUUAAAAGCAAAACACUUAUAUUUGAAGAGAAUUAGAUAAACAUUUCAAAGUGCUUUGUGAUCAUCAAAAUCAAGAAUAACAAUUCUAUUACAUAUUCUUAGAUUUUUCCACUUUCAUUACAUGAAUUAAUAAAAAAGAUAAAAUGCAAAAAUUGAAACUAAAAAAAAAAGCAACAAGCAUAAGCUAGGAUGGAAAAAGGGAUGUGUGAUAUUUAAUCUUGAUUCAAUACCCAUGACCAAAAGUUGAAGUCAUUACUUCCAGAACUAUAUGAACACCAGUUGUGUUUUUCCAAAAUAAGUAGAGUUUAUAACAACUGUCUAAAACAAACUUUAGCUUCCAAAAGGUCUUGUCACCUACUGCAUCCUAAGCAAGCCACCUAAACAUUUUAAACGCUUUCACAAUGCCUUCUAGACUGCAACCUAUUUCCAAAUUCUCAAUGUUAACCUGCACCAGGAAAAUCACAUAUUAGCAAGUUAAAUUCAAUUCAAAGCAGAAAAUUAACUGCAAGCAUUUUUAGAAUUGAAUUACAAAAAUUCUAUUAAGAAGACAAAUUGCCACAGGGAGCAUGGAAAACACAUACCAUUACACAUUUUAAACAAAAAUAAGCUUAGCUUCAAAAUAUUCUAUCAUCUACGAUAUCCAAAACAAGCCAAACUACAAAAAACAAUUCAAGCUCAAAUGGCCCCUUCCAGAAUGCGUAGUCUAUUUCCAUCCAAAAUCUCCAAAAUGAACCUGCAAAAUAAAAAUUUAAUGUAAGAGAUUCUCCAAACAUAAUGAAAGUUUUACUAAAACCAUUGUGCCUCAACUACAUUUCUCAAUACUAAAACUUCCAAUAUAUUUGGCUACCCAUAUAUUGCUUUCCAAAACCACACAUAGCUUGCAUCACAUCCAUUCAUCAUUUUGUCAUAGUGUAUUACUAUAAAUAAUAGAGGACAGCCUCUAUGUAUUCACAUUAUUUGAGAUUCGCAUUGAUAUCAUCACACAGAAGUAUAAAUUGGUGACAUAACAAGCUAAAAUUGUUUGAGAAAAUGAUGAUACAACUAGAUAUUUUAGCUACUAACCAGCAUUCAAAAUUUAGAUAUCUUACCUUGUUAAUUUAUAAAAUUAGCUAUUGGCAUUAGCUACAGUCUUGCUUUUUGCUUCUGCCAUCAACCAAUCUAUUGACUCUUGUAGGCACUGAAGUUGAGCUUGUCGUUCCUCAAUUUUUAGAAUGUGCAGCCUCCAGCUGUGACUUUUUCUCAGCAAUGAUGCUCUCCAUUUGUCUAUCGUUGUUGGCAUUGGCUCCCUUAAUAUACUGUCUUUGAGACGGAGGUUUGACUCCAUGAGGUUUCCCAUAGAUAUAACCAGAAUUUUUUUUGACAAACUUUUUCAACUAUCUCAACCUCAGACAUUGGUGUUUCAUUUUCAAAGAUAGGUUGAUUUUUCAAAUUAAUCAUUUCUUGCUGCAAGAUAUAAAAUUUUUCAUAGUUCCUUUGAGACUUCCAAGGUACCUGAAUAUGUAAAAGGACCUUUAUAAGCAUAUGUAGCAGUUAUGAUCAAACUUAGCUAAUAUUUGUUUGGGGGAUCAAAUUAAGAAGAAUCAUACUAACCUUUCAAAGGGGUACAUCCACCUAUGUUGGACAGGCCUUCCAAGUUUGGCUUUACGAGGUAAGUGAACCACUAAAUGGAUCAUAAAAUCAAAAAAAUUUAGCGGAAAGAUCAUUUCCAACUUGCACAAUAUCAUAACUAUGCUCUUUUCUAAUUACUCAAUCUCUUCCAAUCUAAGGUUUCUUGAACACAGAUCUUGAAAGAACUUGGCUACUUCACAUAUUAAAGUAUACACAUCUGCUAACAAGAAUCCACGCAAUCCAACAGGAAGCAUCCGUUGCAAAAGAAUGUGACAAUCAUGGCUUUAAUCCUGAAAUCUUACCAUCUUUUAUGUUGAUACAUCUUGAUAUAUUAGCUGCAUAACCAUCAGGAUACUUCACUGAACUCAAAAAUUCACAAAAACCUUGUCGCUCUUUUGGCAACAGAUUAUUGCAUGCUUGUGGCUUUUCAAGCUUGCCAUUUCAUUGAUAUAAGUGUAGCUUAUGUCGAAUGUCCAUGUCCUCUAAAUCCUACCAAACUUUAUUUGUAUCCUUUGACUUGUUUUCAAUGUUAAGCAAAGUCCCCAUAAUAUUAUCACACCAAUUCUUAGCAGUGUUCAUAACAUCGAUGUAUAAGUACUAUUCAUUAGGCAGAGUUUCCCCAUGAAAUUUCCAAUAUGUAUAAGUACUAUCCAUCCCUUAUUUAGCAGAUGACUCUCAACAACAUGAACAGAGUAGUACUUCACAUUUCUAUAUUUUCUACAUGGACAUCUAAUCUUUGGUUUAUCACCUUUGUGCAGUUAUGCCAUUUUCAAAAAUUUCUUUAGACCAUUCCUAUAUUCAUCACACCAUCUAUCAGUCAGGAACAUCCAACUUUUAUCCAUUUUCCUCCUGUGAUAUAUGAACUACAUGCUACACCAAGGUGCAAGUUUAGAUGACAAGCCUUCCAAGAAGAAUCGUGACUGAAAUUCAAAGACAUGAUAAUUAUAAAAGAACUAGUUAAAUAAAGCAAAAUAUGUCCAUAACAAAAACGUAUGCAUUCAUAAUAUCACGGGUCAGAUCUAAAUACUGGUAGUUUCCUUCAAAUGAAGCACAAUUAAUUUUAAUUUGAAUCAAUGGAAAUCAAAUUUGAGGAUUGUAGUACACUUACCAUGAAGGACUACUCAAGAAGAUUAAUAAAGUGUUAGUACUCGAACUCUUUAUGCUUCCUGCAUCCAAUAUUCCCCCGUCAUUGAAUAAUAUGUUGAUUAACAAUAAUUGUAGUGAGCUUCGAGAGCAUUAGAAUGGGUCCCUUUAUUACUUUUUAGAAAAAAAAAAUGAAACCAAUUAUAUAUUUUUGAAGUUUUGGGAUCAAAGCCAACAUAAAUCUCUCACCAAAAAAAAAGGCACUGGGUUGAUUCAUAAGGUGACAGUAUUUGAACUCUUUAUGCUUCCUACAUCUUGAUCCAACCAAUCAUUGAAUAGUAUACUGAUCAACAAUAUUAGUACUAAGCCUUGAGAUUAAUGUCAUUGUGUAAAGUACUGAUAGUCAAAUUCGUCAUGCCUUCUGCAUCUAAGUUCAGCCAACUUGAAGGACCACAAACAUACAUAGAUUGACAAAAGAUCCUAUACUCACCAAGGUAUGCACCAGAACAAAUGCAAUUUCAAUCCAAAUACUGGUUGGCAAUGAAUUACUGGGUGAAUGUAAUUAGCUAGAAAAUCUACAUAUCUUCUCAUUUUCAUGUUCCGGUUAGUGCUAUUCAAUACUCAUUUUAGUUGUAAAACAAAACUACUAUUACUCAAAAUGACAUCUAUGAGGACUGGAAUUUUUUAUUUCUAUGCUUUCAGUAGUUGAAGAAUAAUGGCCUUUACUAACGAUAAGGCCAAACCUAUAAAUUGUCCAAAAGGACAGUAGCUAAUGAUACGAAAGUAUUGUUGUCUUCUAUGAUAUAACAGACCAUAAUUUAACCACUUAUUCAACAAAAGCAUACCAUGUUAAAGACACAACUCCUAUACAAGUUAAGAAGGAUUAGGGAUAUAAAAUCAUACAAGCAAAAAAAGGUUACAAAGGUAAUGAACAUGGUUCUACCAUAAAGAAGCACAAAACAAGAAUCCUGACUUGUUGAACAUGCCAAAUGUAUCAAAAGAAGUGAAUAACUCAAAUAUUAUAAACAUGAACAUGGAUGAUGAUAGGUAGCAAAGAAAACUCAAUCAGAUUCUUAUGGGAUUCAUAUGGUAGCAAUCGAUUAUAAAAUUCAAGAGGACCACAUAGACACAAUUAGUAACCGCAAUAAAAAUAACAAGUAAAGUUUUACAUAUCUAGCCUUGAUCUUAAAAUAGAAGAAGAAGAAGAAGAAGAAAAAGCACACCUAAUUACAAAUUGUUAGAGAGAGAAUUCAGAGAAAUUAAAAGGGGAAGAGAAUGAAAUCAACGAACUUGGUGGCAUUUAUCUUCCCGCAUCUGCACUUUACUCUUCUAUUUCUUCUUUUUCUUUUCCUUUUUUUAAGGCCUCUUAACUCUUAAAACUACAACGUUUGGUUGUAUUUUUAUUUUAGCAAGAACAGAACCACUUCUUGCUAUUGGUCAAAUACAGAUUGGCGAGAACCUAUCAUCACCAAGUACGGUACAUCAGCGUGGAACUGCAUGAAUUCUCACGAGUACCAAAAAGCCUUGGCGCCACUAUGACUACAAUUUGGAGGGAAGCUUCCCGCCUUUCUUUUUGGCAAGGAUGUUAAGCGAGGAAAGUAAUAGUGCUAGCAAAAGUCAAGCUGUCUCCAACAUUUGGUGAGGAUAUGCUCUGUUCCUCGUCAUCCACACAUUAAUAGUGUCGACUUGUCUGCUCCUCGUAAAAAAUUUUGUAGCUAAUUCCCUUUUUGUUGUAGUGUAUAUGUAACAUGGUGACUUUUAAAUUAUUAUCGAAUUUAUAGAUGAGUAAUCAUAAACAUAAUUAACAUAGUAUUCCAAGAAACCAGAAUUGAGAUUGUAGAUAAAAUAAUCAUAAACUUUAGAAGAAAGUACUCUUCUCUUUGAAUAAUAAAAAUAAUAAAAAAUUUAGAGUGGCUAUUCUCAUUUUUAAUAUCAUGAAAAAAAGUCAAAACAUUAAUUUUUUCUUGAUAAUCUUAUUAAUAUUGAAAAAAAUAUAAAGAUUAAGAGCGGGAGGGGGAGGGGGAGGGAGACGGAGAGAGAGAGAGAGGGCCAAUUCUUUUUUUCAAAAAAUACAAAUAAGAAAAAUUAAAUAUUUUUAUUAUUUUAAAAUUAUUUUAUUUUUUGUUUAUCACUCAAUUCCAAUCCUAAUCCCGACAAUUUUAAAGUAAUACGAUAAUGUUAGAAUCUUCUUUAUUUCCUUUCUUUACAAAACCUAAUUUUUUGUUUCCUUCUUUCCUGUCUUAUUUUCUUUUUGUAGUAGUAAUAAGUGUGAAAAAGUAAAUUUGAAAAAACCCUUUUAGUUUUAUGUUUUGGGAUCUUUUAAAGUGAAAAAAAGGAAAAAUAACCAAUCCAACUUUUUUAUUUUUAAUUAUGUAUAAAAAGGUAAAUACAUUUAAAAUUUUUUGACUAUACUAGUUAGAUUAACAAUGAGGUAAAAUGCCUAGAAAAUAAUGUUAGGGAUUAAAGCGAUUGUAUCACUAUAAUUUAAAGAAAUAAAAUGACAAUAAUAAUGUAGUAAUGCUAUAGAAUAAAAGAAUAUUUUUGUUUAAGGUUUCUUGACAUGUUGAGUUGAAUUAUUUAUGGGGUUAAGUGACUAAAAGAUAACGUUAGGACAUAAACUGAUAAUAGUGAUAUAGUUUAAUGGGGAUAAAAUGAUAAUAACCCUUUUAAUUACUUGCAUACGCUUAUAAUGUGUCAUGUACACUAGUAUAAUAUUAACUUAAAAAAAUAGUAGAACAAAUUGAAAGAGUGAAGAAAAUUUAGAAGAAAAAGAAGUAGGAAAAAGGGAAAAAAUGUAAAAGGUAUACCUAUAUUUUUUAGUUACUACCAAACAUUUCAUGGGUUCAACAAAAAUCCAUUAUCAUUAACUAAUGAUAGUGAGAGUGAAUAAUGAACUUUUAGUAAAUAAUUAGUUUUAGUUACUUGGUUCAGCAAUAAAGUUAGCCAUGAUAAGAGAAAUUGAAGGAAUUUUUCACAAUCACAUGCACAGAAAUUAAAUAUUAUUAAAAUUGGAAAAUGAUGGCAUCGGAUUCAUGUUUUGAGAAAAGCAAUUUGGCAUUUAUGUCUCUGUAUGUUCUCCUAAUUGAGCAUUUACCUAGAUGAUGAUUAAUUUAUCAGCCCAAUCUAAUGUAUAGACACGUAUGCAAUUUAGUCCUUUAGAAAGUCCUUCAAAAAAAAAAAGUCCUUUAGAAAGUCCCACAUUCCCUGCUACGUAAUUCACCUAUGAUUGCCUACCGAUUGCCCAAGCCUAUGUGGACCCAUAAGCUUUUCACAAUGGUCCCAGGGACUUGUUGUGAUUGUAGUGGUUCUGCCCAUGGUAGGAUGAAAUUCCCACUUUGCACACCAGAAGUAACCCUUGCAUUGAAGGUUAAACUUCGGUUUCAUGCUACCAAUCGCUAUGUAUUUUACUUCUUUAGGCAGUGGAAGGAAAUUGAAAGUACUUGUUGCUAAAAAUUAAAUAGGCAUGGCAGCAGGCUAUCUCUUGUAGUUGGUGACCCAAUUGAAUUACGGAUUGUAACGCUUUGCUUUACAGUUUCCACAGUUAUAUGUUCCAAACUGCUACUCACGAUCAGAGGAGAAUCACGUCGUCCCUUCAGCAAUGACUACGUUCCUUGCAUCGAUUGGAUGGGCAACUAAAACUUCCCACUAAUAGAUACAUCCAAAUCACAAAAUUAGCUGUGGAAAGUAGCUGUUGAAGAACUAAAGACAAAAAUGAAAAUAUUUGUUAUACAUCCAAUUUUUGGUAACUGGCUUCAUUUUUUGUGGACCAAUGUCUUGAGAUAAUAGAACAUUAUGAAUAGGCGACAAAAAUUGUCUGCCAAAUAUCAAACAAUAGCCAAGUCUCUUUCUAGAUGAAAGAGUGUAAGACUUCAAUACUGAACAUUAAUGAAAAUUCGCAAGUAAAAAUCUCGUGGUAUUUGUUGGUCUUAUUAUUUAACUUACUCGAUAACUACCUCUUUUUUUUUUCUUUUUUCUUUUGUUUACUUGACUUGGUGAAGGAAAGGGUAUCAAUCUUGGGCCUGUUUGGAUACACGAGUAUCUAUUAUAUUUGCCUUCAAAAUAAAUUAUCUUGGAAUCGUGUUUGAAUAGGGACAAUUUGUAAUUAGUAUCAAGAGUUGAAUUCUCACGUACUAUUCAUUUUCAAAGGGUCCACCCACUUUAUUUGGUUUCCUUACCUGUGACAAGUGUUGAGUCUGCAUAAUAAUAAAAAUCUAUUCAAGAAAAAUAAAAGUUUGCAUAUAGUAGUGUGUAGGGUCGUUUCUAUAAGGACUGUGGAAAAUUCAUUUCUUUCCAAGCGAAACAAAUUAGGAAGGGUUUUAGAGAAUUAAAAAAAGUAAAAUAAAUAAUUAAUGCAAAUAAAAAUAAUCAAACUAAAGCAAAUUUAAUUUAACUCAAUAGCAAACAAGCUCUAGCCAAGGAUAUAAUUUCGAAAGUGAUUUAUACAACUGUUCAUCGGUGCAAUAAUUAUUUCAUCUAUUCAUUAAUAAACAGGUUAUAAUUACUAAACAAACUAUAACAACCAAUUUUUCUUACCGUCCGAUAGUUAGGGUGCGUCCGUUAACUACUUCCCUAACCAAGAAAUAGCCCUAGGUAAGCUCGUAGAAUUUAAUUUUUGAUUGCAUUAGAAACUAGAAAAGCCCUAUUCUAAUCAAUAAACGUACUAUCAGGGUUUAUUUGAAUUGGAUCAUAUGUCUCCCUAACAUGAAACCAAUCAUAUUAGUCGCCAUUAAUUUGAAACAAUUAAAUAAUUACGGAUUUAACUAUCUUAACUGACAAUAGAUUAUCAAGUUGAAUUAAAUAUUGGGUCCUAAUAUUUAAUCAACAAAACAAUCAUGAGAAAUUAAACCAGAAAACAUACAAAUACUAACGAAUAAGAGAAAUUAGUAAAACAAUUAGAUCUCAGAGAUGUAACUGAAUCAAAACCUUCGUUACUUAUUGACUAGAAAAGAGAAUUUAGUUGUGCAUGGCCAAUUGGAACAAUUCACACGAUUUUCUCAAAGCCAGUCGCAUAAGUCUUUGAUAAAAGAAAAACUAAAGAAACUAAAGACCAAGAGAAAAGUCAAGUGGCUCUCCUUCUUCAAGGCCCCCGAGUCUCCACCUCUGUUUCUUGCCAAAGUACUAAUCAAGCGGGAGCCAACCGACUUCCUUUCCCCUGGUUUCCUAAUUUACGUUUACUACUACUAAUAAAACAUAUUUCCUAAAUAAAAGAAAGAAACUACAAGAGAUAAUAUCUCAUGUUUCCUAAUCCAAUACUACUACUAAUAAAUAGAAUCAAAGUCUUCCCAAAUCUUCACCCAAAAACUGUCCAUAGUUGACUCAAAUUGGGAAACCUCUGUGCACAGUAAAUUUUCAAAUCUUCUGGAUGUGAAAACAGAUUCCGAACGUGCCAUCACUAAAUGAAUUCUUGACAUGCUGAAAAAUCGCCCAUUUUGUUACUUUUUGCUCAUUUUUCAACAAUUGGCACCAUUAACUAAAUAUAACUAGAAUUCACCAAUUAAAAUAAUAUUUGGCUAAAAUCAAGGGGAAAAUAAUUAUAAAUUUAGCAACAAAUUGCAACCUAUUAAUCCCCCUUACACCUAAAUCAUGCUUGUUCUCAAGCAUGAGAAAUAACAAAUGAAGCAAUCAAAUUCAAACAAUGGCUAUUACUCAAGUUUUCUAUUGCCAAGACACAAUUAAAACACUUGUCAAGUAUUAGUGGCUAGUUUCUAAGGAAUAUCUCUUCAGUUAGUUUCCAAAACCAAAAACCUUUCCAAUUCCUGGCUAACUAAUCUAAGGCUAUAAAAUAUUGAACGAGCAUUCAUCAGCAAAUGGUUCAACUAUUAAGUAAAAUCUCAACAUAAAAUCCCAUGGAUCAACAGGCUAACACAAUCAUUCACACACUUGCACAUUUUUCACUAUUAGCUCAUUUUUUUUUCUUUUCUAAAAUAUCCGCACACUUGAGCUCUCUUUUCUUUAAGGGAAAAAGUUUAGUCCGUAGUCAUUCAAACCUUUUGACAUGAACUUCGACAUCUACCAAAUGAAGGAGCCUGGUUACUUAGCCCUCAUCACUCAAGGACCGCAUACUCAUACUGGAUGCUAUUUGUGAUUCCAUGAAUAAAGCACGUGUUCAUUUAUAAGCAUAAACCUUAACUUGGUCUAAUACUAGUUAAUACGUUAAUGAGUAAUAUGAUAUGUCAGUGGAAAUGGAAUAUGUCAAAUAUCUAAUUAAUAUAUACAACCCAAUAAUUCAGCUGGCGAGCGGGAACUCAAGAGUCAAACUUCAAUAUCUAUUCCCGAAUAGUCUAACCAAAAUUUUAGGAUUGGAUUGGCCGGUUAUCCAUUUUUUUUUCAAAAUAUUAACACGUCCCAAGCACGACAUCCCCUAAAAUAGCAAUAUUUCAAAGAAUGUUCACCAAUACCAAAUUUUAUGAUCCAGUCGAUUUCACCAGAUGUCCUUAGAUUUUUACUGACCAUGUGCAUAGUUACUUUGAUAUCAGGAUUUAGCAAUGGAUCAAUGCACAACUUGAAAAAUCAAGGAUCAAUUCUUGCUGUCCUCGAGACUUACACUAGGGUCCUUAACAACCAAUUCUAUAUUCCCGAAUUUGUGUCUAGUUACGUUCCAUAGACCUAAGAGCUUGCGUCGUAUGCUAGUUGCCUUUGACUUAUACGUGAUUCAUCUACUCUUACACCAGAAUAUAUUUACAAUAGUCGUUUCAUCCAGAGGAAUAGUAUAAGUUUGAAUUUUGUUCCUAUACACCAAGUGAGAAAUGCCCCACUUCCUUCCUAUUUCGUGAUCUUGGAUCUGCAUACAAUUGCACUCUAUAUGCCUAAGAGCCUAUGUUUUAUGCCCGAUUGCCCUCUACUUACACCCAAUUGAUAUGCCUUUGUACCAAAAAAUAUUUAUGGCAGUCAAUCCAUAUAGAGGAGUGACGUAGAGGUGAACGUCAAUGGAUGGUUAGAAAUACUGAUCAAGUGAUUGUGACAGUACCAUUUCAUUAGUUAACUCAAUCUUGUGUCCCACUCACCACAAAUGUAUGAUCAUAUGUUCAUAUAUAAGCAUAAACAUUAACUUGUUCCAACACUGAUUAACACAUUAAUAAGUAAUAUGAUAUGUUAGUAGGAAUGAAUUGUGUAGAAUAUAUUAAUACAUAUUUCAAAGAAUGUUUACCCAUACCAAGUUGUACAAUCCAAUCGAUUACAUUGGAUGUUCUUAAAUUCACACAUGCACAAUUAUUCCGAUAUUAGGAUUUAGCAGUGGAUUAACUCAGCUCGAAAUAUUUGUGAUCUACUUCUAUCGUUGUCAGGACAUACACUAGGGCCCUUAACACUGACUAUAUUUUCUUAAAUCUAUAUGCAGUUACACUUCACAGGCUUGAGAGUUCGCUUCUUAUGUCUAGUUGCCCUCGACUUAUACCCGACUCAUCAAUUCUUAUAUCAAAAUAUAUUUAUGGCAAUUAGUCCAUAGAGGACUGGUGUAAUUUUGAAUUUUAUUACUAUACACUAAGUGAGAGAUGCCCACUUCCGCUAUUUUAUGUGUGUCUUACACCAAGAUCCUUGACACCUACUUCGUGUUCCUGGAUCUGUACAAAAUUGCACUCCAUAGGCCUGAAAGCCUGUGUUUUACGCCCAGAUGCCCUCUACUUACACCUAAUUCAUCUAUCCUUACCGCUAAAAUACAUUUGUUUCAGUCAAUUCAUAUAGAGGAGUUGUGUAGAGGUGAAUGUUAAUGAAUGGUUCGAAUGCCACAGGUCAUUGUAAUAGUACCAUUUCUUUAGAUUGCUCAAUCUCGUGCUGCACCUCACAUACAUGUGUGAUUAUAUAUUUGUAUAUAGGCAUAAAUCUUAACUUGUUCUAGUACUGAUUAAUACAUAAAUAAGUAAUAUGAUUUGUUAGUAGGAAUGGAAUAUAUAGAAUAUCCAAUAAAAAUAUGCAACUCCAUAAUUCAUUUGGGGAUUUGGAGCUUGGAAGUCGAAUUUUAAUAUCCAUUUUUGAAUAGUGCAGUGGCCCCGUCCUGGGCCUGGACACGUGGCAGCCCAGACAAGGCCGAGCUGGGCUUCGGCCCCUGGCCCCUGGCAGCCAGCCGGGGCCGCACCACUAGGGCCCCGAGGGGGCAAGAGUUCAUCCCGAAGAGGUCGGGGACAAUCCCCCUGAGUACGGGAUACCGACUAAUCCGGGCGGGUCCCGAGACAUACGGAGGUCGGACUCCCUCGCAGGUAUAAAUGGUAGCACACGUCAACUAUACAAGGUACGCUCACUAUAGGCAAAUUACUCCCGGUUGUUACCGCUUCCCGUGAACCCUCCUCACCGGAGAACUCACUUGACCGUCGGAGCGCCCUCGGGGACAACCCUCGGGCCCCCUCUGUCAGCUCACCCUUUCUGUUUUGCAGGCUUGGAGUCAGCUCUCCCAUCAGCACCCCGAGCUGAUCAGGUCAGCUCUCCCCGGGGAAGUUCCGUGCUUCUUCAGUUGGCGCCGUCUGUGGGAAACGUAAGGUAAGUAAGAUUGUGUUGAUGGCCAGGACGCGAUCCAAGCGCACGAUAGAGAGCACCGGCCCUGGGAGCGGUGAGGGGUCCCCGCGGAAGGAGGCUGAGGCGUCUCAGGGAGCCGGGGGAUCAACCCUCUCAGGGGAACGAAGGCAGCAGAUCUUCCAGUUCGUGACGGAGAAUCUCCCCAUGCUGGAGGAUAUAAUUCGACAGGCGAAGGAGGGAGAUGGGGCUGGGGGUGCGCAGACUUCCAAGGCCAAGGGGAAGGAGAAAGAGUUACCCCCUGACCCUUCGGAGGAUGAGUCCCGAGACCAGUCCCCCAGAAGGAAACGACCACGAACUCCACCUCGCCCGCGAGCCUCGGUGGUCGGAGACAGCGAGAGGUAUUCCCCGACCGGUCCGCGAGGAGCCGUCCGAGAGACCCCUCCUCACGGAAGCUCGCACGGAAUGGGCUCGAGCGUUCCCCUGCUCGGUCCGUCAAGAGCCGACCCCGUGACCUCCUUCAUUUGGAACCUGCUCGGGAUGAGCUCGAGCAGAUCUUGAGGCCCGGCAGUACGAGGACAACUACGCAACCUCGCCUUUUACCCGGGAGAUAGAGGACUACCCCCUACCCCGGAGGUUUAAGAUUUCGAGCAUCGAGAUGUACGAUGCCUCUACAGACCCGGAGGACCACCUUUCGGUCUUCUUGACGCAUAUGCGCCUGCAAACCGCCGCGGAUGAGGUCCGCUGCAAGACCUUCCCUAUGUUCCUAAAGGGGAAGGCGCGGCUCUGGUUCCAGGAGCUGAAACCGGGGUCUAUACGGAGCUUUCCUGAGCUGGCCCGGCAGUUUGCAGCCCAGUUCGUCUCCUCGAAGGUCUACGCGAGGAACGCAACUCACCUGAUGUCCAUCAGACAGAGGCCCGAUGAGUCGCUGAGGAAUUUCAUGACCCGUUUCAACGCGGAGAGCCUGCAGGUCAGGGACAAAGACGAAAAAGUGGUCAUGGCCGCCUUCACAAAUGGGCUCAGGGUAGAGGAGCUCUUCUACGACCUGGCCAAGAAGCCUCCCGUAAACCUGGAGGAGCUCUUACGCAGGGCGCAUGAGGCCGCUAAUGCGGAGGAGGCAGGUCGUCUGAAGAAAGAAUCAGAUCGGGAGCUCGGAAAUCGGAAAGGUCGGACAAACCCCCCAGAGGGUAAGGACGUACCGUUUAAGAAAAACGUCUUCGACCGGCUGUCGAAAGAGAAGGCCCCUGCUCUGCCGCCACUCCCAGAGAAGACCUACACCCUCUAACACGGCCCAAAGCCCAGAUCUUGGCUGUUAUGGAGGCGGAAGGACUGGGAGAUCGGCCGCCCAAGAUGGGGACGUCCCGGAACAAAAGGAACCAGGACAGGUACUGCGCCUUUCACCGCGACGUCGGGCACGACACGGAGGGAUGCUGGGCCCUGCGUAAGGAGAUAGAAGACCUGAUCCAGCGCGGCCUUCUAGGGAGGUUCGUGCGCCGACCAGGUCAGGAGUUCGGCCGCAACCACUACGGAGAUAGGCAUGAGGGACGGCGACGCGACCGCCCUAAGCGGCGUGACGCUCCUCGGGGCCACUCUCCCGACCAGGACACCCAGAACCUGGCGGGAGUGAUAAACACCAUCGCCGGAGGCCCCAAGGGGGGGACAGUCAUGCAGCUCGGAAGAACAAGCGACCACCCCCGAAGGGGACGACUCCUUCAAGCGCUUGCGCAUGGACGAGGAGAUUACCUUCGGACCAAGGGAUGCAGUCCCCCUGGCUUCCGGGAACCACGAGGCCAUUGUGAUAGACAUUGUUACCAACAACUACCGGGUGAAGAAGGUGUAUGUCGACCAGGGUAGCGCGGUGGACAUUAUGUUCUAUCGGGUGUUCAAGGAGCUCGGAUUAAGAGAUGACCAGUUGACCCCGGUCCGGACGCCUUUGGUGGGCUUCACCAGACCACCCAUCAGCUCGGAAGGGAUGAUCACCCUGAUGGUCACAGUAGGACAGGCUCCCAAAUGCCGGACCGUUCCCGUUAACUUCGUGGUGGUCAAGCAGUCAUCCCCGUACAAUGUGUUCUUGGGGAGACCUGUUUUGAACGCCCUCCGGGCUAUUCCCUCUACCUUCCACCUCAGCGUCAAGUUCCCCACCCCUAGAGGAUAGCCGAGGUGCGCGGCGACCCAGAGGUAGCCAGGGCUUGCUACCUGGCCACGCUCCGGGGGUAGGAGAAGGUGGUCGCCCAGACAACCUGUUUGGAGCCCUACAUCCCAGGAGAUGAGGCCCAACAGCUGGGCACCCAGGAUGAGAUUGAGGAGUUCCCCCUAAGGGAGGAUCGGCCCGAUCAGGUCAUCCGCAUCGGGGCAUUGCUACCAGCCGAGGAGAAGGAAGGCUUGAAGGCCUUGUUGAGAGAGUACUCCCAGGUCUUCGCAUGGACGGUAGAGGACAUGCCUGGGAUCCCUACAGACCUGGCAGUCCAUCACCUCGACGUGGACCCCAACUUCAAGCCAGUGAAGCAGAAGAAAAGGAGCUUUGCCCCGAGAGAAAUGAGGUGAUCAAGGCGGAGGUUGGCAAGUUGCUGGAGUCCAAGAUCAUCCUGGAGGUCUACUACCCGACCUGGCUGGCCAUCCCGUUCUGGUCAGGAAGGACGACCAGACCUGGAGGAUGUGCGUAGACUUCACGGACCUUAACAAAGCCUGCCCGAAGGACUGCUUUCCCCUGCCUAGAAUCGACAGGUUAGUAGACUCUACUGUGGGUUUUGACGUUUUAUGCUUCCUGGAUGCCUUUAAGGGAUAUCACCAGAUAGAGAUGGCUGAGGAGGAUCGGACAAGACCUCCUUCAUCACUGAGGAGGGAACCUACUGCUACAGGACCAUGCUGUUCGGGUUGAAGAACGCGGAAGCCACUUACCAGCGCCUGGUCAACAAGUUGUUCCAAAACCAGAUCGGCAGAAGCAUGGAGGUCUAUGUCGAUGACAUGAUCGUCAAAAGUCGAACUGACCAGCGGCUCAUACCCGACCUGCGGGAGAUCUUGGACAUCCUACUGGAGAGCCGGAUGCGCUUAAAUCCGAAGAAGUGCACCUUUGGGGUCAGAUCGGGAAGGUUUCUCGGUUUCCUGGUGUCCCGAGACGGAAUCCGGGCCAAUCCGGAUAAGCUACAGGCUAUCAUAGACAUGGCUCCUCCAAGGAACGUGAAAGAAGUCCAGCGGCUCACAGGGAGAAUGGCCGCCCUGAGUAGGUUUCUCUCGCUCUCCGCGGUCAGGGAGCUGCCCUUCUUCCGAGUGCUGAAAGCGCCUAAGGACUUUCACUGGACGGAGGAGUGCCAGAAAGCCUUCACCGACCUGAAAGCCUAUCUGGCUGAGCUGCCCACUUUGACCGCCCCGGAGCUAGGAGAGACUCUGUUCCUUUACCUGUCCGCCUGCAACGAGGCCAUCAGCGCGGUCUUGGUGCGGGAGGACGGGGGGCUCAGAGACCGGUGUACUACAUUAGGCGCCCUACAGGGGCCAGAGACGAGGUACACGCCUGCGGAAAAGCUGGUCCUUGCCUUGGUACACGCCGCUCGCAAGCUCCGCCCUUACUUCCAAGCUCACAGCAUCGUAGUCCUGACCGACCAGCCCUUGCGCCAGAUACUCACUAAGCCCGAGGCCUCGGGCAGGAUGACCAAGUGGGCCGUCGAACUGGCCGAGCAUGACCUCACUUAUCGGCCUCGCACCGCGAUCAAGGCUCAGGCCUUGGCAGACUUCCUUGCUGAGGGGGCUGACUUGAACCUGACCGAGUUAGCCCCGACACCCCCGGACACCCCGGCUGAGGAGCCGUGGGUGCUGUUCGUGGAUGGCGCCUCGAGCAAGGAAGGGAGCGGAGCUGGCCUGCUGCUCACCUCGCCCACGGGGAAGAACUGACCUAUGCGCUUAGGUUCGACCUCCCUGCGUCCAACAACGAGGCAGAGUACGAGGCCCUGCUGACGGGGUUGCGGAUAGCCUACCAGAUGGGGAUCACCGCGAUCCGGGUUCGAAGCGACUCUCAGCUCGUCGUCCUCCAGAUCCGUGGGAGUAUGAGGCCAAGGACGAGGUAAUGAAGAAAUACCUGGCUAAGGUACGAGAGGCGGUAGCCCUAUUCGAGACCUUUGAGAUUGAGCGGGUGCCAAGGUCCCAAAACAAGCGCGCGGACGCCUUGUCCAAGCUGGUGUCCUCCUCGUUCGCCCACCUGAGCAAGGAGGUCUUGGUAGAGGUGGUGAAGCAGAAAAGUAUCGACCAGGUCCAGGUCCUGACGAUAGACAGCUUGGCCACCUGGAUGGCUCCCCUCGUCGACUUCCUCAGCUCGGGUGCCCUCCUGAGAACAAAACUGAGGCUCGCCGAAUCCAGUUCCGAGCUGCCAAGUACGCCUACGCCGGGGAAACCCUCUACAGGAGGUCGUACUUGUCUCCCUGGCUAAAGUGCGUGACGCCCGAGGAAGGUGACUACGUUCUGCGCGAAAUCAUGAAGGUAUAUGUGCGGCACACGUCGGGUCCCGGGUGUUGGCCAAAAAGUGCCUCCUUUUGGGCUACUAUUGCCCGCCCUCCGUUCAAGACGCAGCAGAUUUGGUCCAGAAAUGCCGGAGCUUGCCAGGUGCACGCUUCGCUGCGCCAUCAGCCAACUCGAAAGAUGGUUCCCAUCCACAGUCCUUGCCCUUCGCUCAAUGGGGAUAGACCUCCUGGGUCCCUUCCCCCGAGCCCCGGGAAGAUAUGAACACCUCAUGGUGGCAAUAGACUACUUCACAAAGUGGGUGGAGGCGGAGCCCUUGGUCUCUAUCUCUGAAAAGGCAAUUCAGAAAUUCUUCUGGAGGAACAUAGUUUGCCGCUUCGGGAUUCGCACGUCCUGAUAUCCAACAACGGCCGCCAGUUCGCCGAGAACCCUUUCCGGAGCUGGUGCGCCGAGUUCGGGAUCAAUCAAACACUUCAGUCGGUUGUCACCCCAGGCCAAUGGUCAGGUGGAGAACGCUAACCGAACUGUUCUGCAAGGGUUGAAGACUAAGGUUGAGUCCGCCCCAAUCGAGCUGGCUGGAUGAGCUUCCCAGUGUCCUUUGGGCUUACCGAACUACGCCCAGGACGGCUACCCACGAGACACCGUUCUCCCUAACUUACGGAGUAGAGGCGUGGUGCCCGCGGAGGUCGGUCUCCCUCACCCAGAACACAGAAUUUCGUGUAACAUCCAACGAGGAAGAGCUUAGGUGCAACUUGGACAUGCUCGAAGUCAGGCGUGAGGAAGCGGCUGUUCGAAUGGCUAAGUAUAAAAGCCAACUCGCCCGCUAUCACAACGCCAAAGUGAGGACUAUACAGUACCAGCCCGGAGACCUCGUCCUAAGGAAGAACUCGGUCAGCCGAGCUCACAGUUCCAACAAGCUCGACCCAAAUUGGGAGGGCCUACAAGGUCCUUGAGGUGGGUCGGGCCGGCUACUGCAAGCUCGCCGAUAUGAACGGAUCUGAGGUACCCCGUACUUGGCACUUCUCCAACCUGCGCCUGUUUCUAGCGUAGGGUAGACCAGAAUGUCCAGUUGUCUGUACUUUGGAAUCAGAAUUUUUUUCGGUUUUUUCAUUCAAUAAAAGUUUGCCUUUAGCGUUUACAUUUCACUAGUCCUGUCUCCUUUCCAAGCUAAUAAAGUUCAAAAUUCACUAGCACACUUAGUGUUUCCUCCCUAACUGUUCUAGUGGGGGCUGGGAGGACGAUCAAGGUAUAGUGUUCGGCCCAAGAGGUCGGCACGAUCGAGGAAAAACGUGGAAACUUGGAAGGGUUCUGGUUCUGAAAACUCCGCGCUCGGCCAGGAGGUCGGCGGAGAGGAGCUCGACGCCUGACGUGCUCGACCCCAAGAGGUCGGCAUGGGUCAAAUCCUCCAAGACUUCUAAGUCAGUGCUCGACCCAGGAGGUCGGCGCGAUCAAGGUACGGGGUAUAGUGUUCGGCCCAGGAGAUCGGCAUGGGUUGAAUCCUCCAAGGCUUUCGAGUCAGUGGUCGACCCUAGAGGUCGGCACGACAGGGAGAACUUGGAUGGAAGCUGAUGCUCGACCCCAAGAGGUCGGCACGAUUGAGAACUCGGAUGGAGGCUGAUGCUCGAGCCCUAGAGGUCGGCACGACAGAAUUGGGAGCAGGCAAGAAAUGCAAAAUAAGUCUCCUCAAGUUUUAUAUAUGCAUCAAAGCCUAUCUAUUACAAAACGCCCUGCCUAUCUACCGCAAAAUUUCCGAGUUGGCAUUCUCCCUCGAUGUCUGUUCUACCUGCUGGUGCCCGACCGGGGUGGGAGCUGAAAGUACACCUUAAGCAUGUUGAGAGGCGUAUGGUGAAGGCUAUUCAGGAGCCCGGAAGGGGGAGCUGAAAGUACACCUUAAGCAUGUUGAGAGGCGUAUGGUGAAGGCUAUGCAGGAGCCCGGAAGGGGAGCCCUUCCGUCUCGGAUGGACCUCCAAGAGCAUUUUCAACUGGAGCAUGGUCACAUCCUUAUAAGAAGACGGAAAGGGUUUCUGGAGUGGCCGCCGCCCUAGACCACUGGCUUCUUCCCAGGCAGCUCGGCCAGGAGGCCCGCCCUCCUCCAAGGGAACCUCCUCCAGCACGGCCCCAAUGUCAGUCCGGCCCGCCAGCUCCUUCAGGGAUUUCCCCUUGCGGUACCCGUCAAAGAGCCUGUCCAGCCUCGCCUCGCGCGGGGUUGUAGUCUUUGAAGCUCGCCAAGUCGAGGCCAGGAGGAUUGAGCUUCUUCACCUGGUCCAGGGCUCGAGUGCAGCCGACCUGGAGGAUGGGCUGGUUGAGGUGAGCGAUGUCCUCCUCAAACUGAUCGAGGUAAGGAACUCCCGAACAGCCUUCUUCCGCUCCCGGCUGACGGUGCCGGAGAGCUCGAUGGCGUGCUCCUCCUUCAGCUUGGCCACGCCGGCCCUCUCCUGGUCGAGCUCUGACCUGGUGGAGGCGAGUUGGAUCUGAGCUGUGUCCAACUCCUUCUCGGCCUUGCUCAGACUGGCCUUGAGGGAGCUGGCCUCCUUGAGGGCCUGGGAGAGCUUCUUCUCCGCCUCCAGACUCUUCUUCCGCAGCUUCUCCAGGUCGGGGGAUAGUUCGGAGAAGCGGGUCGCCAGGGCGGUGCCAGCGGCGUUGGCCUGAAGGGGAAAAGGAAAUAGGUCAGCACGUCAUAAUACUUAACCGAGACGCGGAGGCAGAACUAUCCCAAGGGCCAGACUUACUUGAGCCUGGGCGGUGUAAUACGCGUCCAGGAGCUCGGAAGGGUCGGCCAGCUCCAUCCACUUCUUGUCGCGAGGGAGGACCGAGCCCACCAUCAGCUCGCGAGCCACCUUGGGAAACUGGGCUCGGUCGUUGAUGGAGAGCUCCCAGGACGGGCAGAAGUGGCGGGGGUCGUGCAUCGUGGGGGCUUGGCCCGGCUUCAGGGGGGCAACAUGGCGGAAAUGCCACAAGCUUGGAGGGGUCGACUCCUGGGCAUGCUCCUCGGCGGAACCCACGCCCAGAUGGACUGGCCUCCCUAGGCUAGCGCAAGCGGGGAGGGCUGAGCUGGAACCAUCGCGAGCUUCUUCACGGGCUGGGAGGGCUCGUCCCCUCGCCCCUCUGCCCGACCGCCUUCUUCUUGUUGCCAGCAGCCUUCUUGGUAGGGGAGGGGGUUCCCUGCGUUUCCUUCUGGGGGGCUUGGCCGCCCCCCACGGGUGAGGUCGCCCCAGGGCCCUCCUGAGCAGCUUCUGGCUGGGGAGUGGCGGUGGCCUCCUCAGUGGACGCACCCAACAGCUUGGACAGCUUCCUCACUGCAAAAGAACAACCAGGUCAGUCGGAGCAGGACGGUGAGUAAGUAUACUUAUAUAUGCAAAUGCAACAGGCUACAGGGUUAGGGCCAGCGUUACAGGCGUCGAGGUCGACAGGGGAGGCCUCCACCUCGCCAGAGGACCCGGACAAUGUCCCUAUCAGUCCGGCUGCAGAGAUCUGCUCGCUGGAGAACUUGGUGGCAGUGAGCUUCACCUUGGAGUUCAGCAGCUGGAAGAGGGUGUCAGAGUCCAGGUCCUUAGGAUAGGGGUCGAGCUUGACCGCCCGGACCCUCCAGGCGGUGGCGUCGAGGCCGAUGGACUUUAUGAAGAAGAAGUCCCCUUUCCAGUUCUUGACGGAGAAGGGGAAUUUGUAGAACAAGUCCUGGCAGCCCUUGUCCCCCCGCUCUGGUCCCUGCCCGGGCGCAGAAGUAAUACCACCCGGGGAAGGAUGCCUUGAGGACGAAAGCAGCUCGGAACAAGGAGAGGGAGUAAGGGAUGGAGCAGAACUGGUAGUAGAUCAGGAAUCCUAUGACGAUCCUGAUCGAAUUGGGGUGAGCCUGGGUGAUCCUGAGCCCGAAGUAGCUCAGGACCUCGGCCAGGGCUGGAGUGACGGAAGGCGGAGCCCUCCGAUCAGCUGCUCCUUGUAUAUGGCUACGAAGCCAGGGGGAGGUCGGCAGGCUCGGUCGCCGGGCCCGGCAGCCCUUGGCUCGAAGGCCGGGGGAAUGGAGUAGGUCCUGACCAGGCCGGCCACCACCUCGGGUGAGAUGGUGACCUCCUCGCGGUCGGGGUGGCCGAAGUUGAAUUCAGGGCGUCUCCCUGCGGGUUGUCAGGGGUCCCCUCGGAGGAGUCCCUGUCCUCCCCAACUCCCUCCUGGGCCCGCCAGGAGAGCCAUGGGGAGACCUGGGGGAAGAGGAGGAGGACCGCUCGAGUAGGCGUCGAGCUCGGCCGCCUCCUCCAGUUCCCGGGCUGAAGGGGAAUGAGAUGAUGGGGAAUGGUCAGAAGAGGAGCCCAUCGCGGCUGGAGGUUCCAGCAAGUCAGGAGUGCGGGAAUGGGAGCUAGGACCGGAGUCAGGCAAGGAAGAAGAGAAGGGAGGAGGGGAAGAUGGCGAUGAAGACGAGGGAGAAGGCGAGGACAAUAUGAUGAUUCGGGGUACAGGGGAAGCGUCGCCGGAGUAACCCGACAUAAAAAGCAAGGUGUAGCAGAGGGUGGAAGAGACGCUGUAAAAGGAAGAGAAAUUGUAAAAGGAACUUACCGAUGGUGUUGAAACAGAAGGAGGGUGGAAGGCUCGCCGGAAACUGGGGGUGGGACGCCGAAAGUCGCUGGAAAAUGAAAAUGCAAAUGCGCAGGAGAAAUGGGAAUGCAAAAUGCACGGUAGGAAUAGGAAGUAGCAAAUGGAGCAGGCAGAAACGCGGUGACCCCAAUUUAUAGGGGAGGGAGUGGGGGGAAAACGGUUGCGUGAAUUUGAAUCGGCCCCAUGCGAACGCAUUUAAUGUUGGUACGGAAACCGAAGAGGCGUGACAACUGAAAGGACGCGGCGCAGCGUCCCUGCGACAGUACUGUGCCAGAAGUGACCUGGGCAGGGCAGUGCGCGGCCCUGGCCUCCCACGUGGCAGAGGUUGAUUAGGUCGGCCUGACAGCCUACCUAAUCAAGGGGGCUAGUGCAGUGGCCCCGUCCUGGGCCUGGACACGUGGCAGCACAGACAAGGCCGAGCUGGGCUUCGGCCCCUGGCCCCUGGCAGCCGGCCUGGGCCGCACCACUAGGGCUCCCGAGGGGGCAAGGGUUCAUCCCGAAGAGGUCGGGGACAAUCCCCCUGAGUGCGGGAUACCGACUAAUCCGGGCGGGUCCCGAGACAUACGGAGGUCGGACUCCCUCGCAGGUAUAAAUGGUAGCACACGUCAACUGUACAAGGUAUGCUCAUUAUAGGCAAAUUACUCCGGUUGUUACCGCUUCCCGUGAACCCUCCUCAUCGGAGAACUCACUUGACCGUCGGAGCGCCCUCGGGGACAACCCUCGGGCCCCCUGUCAGCUCACCCUUUCUGUUUUGCAGGCUUUGAGUCAGCUCUCCCAUCAGCACCCCGAGCUAAUCAGGUCAGCUCUCCCGGGGAAGUUCCGUGCUUCUUCAAAUAGUCUUAGCAAAAUUUUAAGAUUGGAUUGGCCACUUAUCUAUUUUUUCCAAAGUAUCAACAACCCAACUACAACACCUCCCAAAGUAGCGGUAUUUCAAAUAGUGCUCACCUAUAUCGAAUUGUACGAUCCAGUCGCUUACACCAGAUAUCCUUAGAUUCACACUAGGCACGUGCACAUUUACUCCGACAUCAGGAUUCAGUUGUGGAUCAACCCAUAAAAAAUUUAUGAUUUGCUCCUGUCUUCCGUAAGAGUUACACCAUGGUCCUCAACACCAACUCUGUGUUCUCAAAUCCGUACGCCGAUAGGUUUCAUAGGCCGAGAGCCCACUCUUCCCUAGUUGCCCUUGACUUACACCUGAUUCAUCUACUCUUAUGCCAAAAUAUAUUUAUGAUAGUCAUUCCAUCCAGAAGAGUGGUGUAAUUUAAUUUUGUUCUUGUACACUAAGUGAGAAAUGCCCACUUCCUCCCUUUUGUGUGUCUUAUACUAAGGACACUAGGAUUCUUGACACUUGUUUCGUGUUCCUGGAUCCAUACACAGUUGCACUCCAUAGGGCCGAGAGCUUGCAUUUUACAUCCCGUUGCUCUCACUUACAACCCGAUUCACUUACCCUUACACCGAAAUGCAUGUGCGGUAGUCAAUCUAUCAAGAGUGUGGCAUAGAGGAGAACAUCAAUGAAUGGCUGGAAAUAUCUCGAUCGAGAGAUCAUAGUAGUAUCAUUUCACUAGUUUACUCAAUCUUGUGUGCUACAUGUCAUGCAAAUGUAUGAUCACAUGUUCAUAAAUAGGGAUAAACCUUUGCUUGUUCCAAUACUAAUUAAUAUGUACAAUAUUAAAAUAUGUUUUAUCAAAAUAAAUGGGGCCUAGAUACAUUAAAUAAUAUGUUUAUUAAAAUAAGUUUUAUCAAAAUACAUAUUUUAGUCAUAUACAUAUAAUAUGUUCACUACAAUAUGAUCCACUAAUUGGGGACUAGAUCUAUUUUAGUCAUUUAUUUAGUGUGAUAUGUAAGGUGUAGGAUCUGUUCUUGAAAUUAGGUUUGCCUUGGUGGGAAACUCACUAUAGUUAUAAAAGGUUAAGUUCCUCUCAUUGAGAAUACACUAUAAAAGGUUAGGUUGCUCUCAUCGAUAGUAUUAGUGUUGUAUUGCCAGGGUAGCUUGGUCCAUUGAUAGCCACUAUGCCAAACUUGGAGCGAAAGAGGGAGAGGAAGCCACCUAUGCCAGGCACGCAGACCAUAAUGCUGAAUAGAUCAAGAUUCUCACACCUCUCAAUCUAUUUUAGAAGAAUGGUAUGCAUUUAUAUUAUAGUUUUAUUCAAAUAUCUAAUAUAAUUUUGGAAAAUAUAUAAGUGGUAUUAGAGUGACCAAUAUCAGAUUUUGAAUCAUUAAAAAAAAAGCUAGUAAUUAGUAGUUUUGAAGUUUUUAAGAGAACUACAAUCACUUUUGAUUUUGCUUGCUUGGCUGUUCAUAACUUAUUUGGUGUUUUAUAAUUCAUGCCUUUGUUGUAUGAACAAAUCACAAACUUAUGUGGUGUUUUUAAAGAGGAGGUUGACAUAAAUUAUCUUUUGUGGUUCUGAUGUUACGUGUUCUAUUUAAAUUUUUUGUAUUUGCAUGUGGUCAACCAUAUUGAAACAACGUUCAAUUGGAAAUAUAAUUGAUUGCUUAUCACUCUUCUAUGAUUGACCAAACCUCCAUAUUUGCAAAAGCCAAAAAUUUUGAAGACCAUGGAUGGAGAGACUUGUCUAUUUCCAUACAAACUCUUGAUUUUGAUUUAGAAGGCACAGCUCAUGAUUUGUAUGGGGCCCUUGGGUGUCUUAUUACCCACAUGUCAUCUGGUUUUUUAAGAAACUUGUUGAACUGUUUCUUGCAUGUAUCAUGACUUAGAGUCAUGAAGUGUAAAAUUUGGAUUUGAUGACCCGAUUCAUUGAACCUAUUGCCCAUGAUGCAUAAUAUUUUUCACAUGAAACAAAAGAAUCAAAGCCAUAGAUCAGAUUUUAUACCUCAAAAAGAAGGCUUGCAAGAGUGAUCCUCCACUAUUUCUUGAAGUUUUUUGGUUCCCUUAGCUUCCCAAGCUUCCAAACUUACAAUCAAUCGGUUUAGAAUUCGAUUUUAGCACUUGGUUGGUGUAAAUCAAGAAGGAAUUUGUUUUCUCUUGCUCUCCCUUUCUCCCUCUCUUGCUCAGCCAAGAUGAAGAAUAAAAUGAAGGAGAUUAAGCUAAGUUUGUCUUAUAAGAAGGUAGAAAGAUAAGACUUAAUUCUAACCACAAGUUUGGCCAACACUUGGCUCAACCUCAACCACACAAUUUUCUCUUUCUUUCCUUGCAUUUUGGGCCACAUAUUUUAGUCAAUAAGUAAUCAUGAGAGGGAAGAUAUUUUGCUCAAUUAGUGAUAAGCUUGUAUGGCAAGAAAGUGGUGGUCAAGUGGUGGUUAAAUCGGUAGUACCCGGUACACGUCGGUUCGCACUGUUUUUCCUUAAAUCCCCCGUACUAGGAUUUUUACUUCCUAUUCACCAACUUUAUAUCAUUGCUCCUAAUCACAUAUUAUUUCUCACUUAAAAGUCACUCUUAAGCACCAAAUUUGAUCCUUACUCGGUACCGGAUAAUUAUACUGCGGUUACACGAAAAAUCCGAUUUCAUCUUGAAUUGAAAACGAAUAGGAAAACCCUAAUUUCCCAUGGUCAUUGGCACUUUUCUAGGGUGAUUGAACCAUGAAUAACAUGAAAUAAUAAUUUUCAAAUAAUUUUCAAAUAAAAGGGAAUUUUUGAGAAAUAUGUAAGGAUUUUGCGAGUCCUCACACUCUCUCCCCCUUAAAAGAAUUUCGACCUCAAAAUUCCAACUCGCACUAAUCAGAUCAAAAAUAGUUCUCGAAAGUUGAUCACGUACUAAGAAUCAUUUCAAUCUCACCACAAGGAUCUUUUGGGUUACACUAUUUUCCAGACUCAGCUAAGAUGACCCCGUCCGGUCUCUCACGUCACUUCCUAGUCACUCGAUGUCCGUAGAUUUCUUAUAUUCAUUUUGGUCGGACAAAGCCUGUUCAUAUUCCAAAAUACAAGUCUCAAGUACCUAGUAGCUAGCAUCGCCUCAACUCUGGAGUACUCGGGCACGAGAAUCCGAAAUAAGAUAAUUCACAUCUCGAGCUGCAGUCCCAAGAGUAAACUAUCUACAAUCGAAAUUCCUACCUGACGUACCUAUCUAUGGUCCUCAGAUACCAUGAGAAAGAUUUAAGGCCGAUAACAUUUAUGAUCCAUAACUUAUGCUCGAACGAACACUUAAUCCUUCAUACUUAUUCACCACUUAGUCCAGGCUCACUCCGCGCAAAGACCACGCGAAGCAGCUAUAGGUUUUAUCCCUCAAUUGCUUACCUUUCAAAUCAAAUCAAAUCCCACAGUCCGGCAUCCCAAACUUUAAGCCUAGGAUACAGUACAGAAAUCUGAAGCCUAAGCUCUGAUACCACCUGUGACGGCCCCACCUCCCCCUAGGGCGUACCCCAGGGUUCAGCGGGUCGCCUGCCCAGCUCUCGCCAGGACUCACUCACUAUGGAACUCAAAUCAUGUAUAUACAUCCAUAGACAAUAGAUGCUCAAGUAAAAGAUAAGAAACUUCUACACACCAGAAGUCUUCAAAGUUUUUACCAUUCAAGUACAACCAUCGAAUAUACAAGGGUUCUCAUUCCUCAUACAACCAGCCCGUGCCAAGCACUAGGGCGAGAACCAUUACAAGGCCAAAGAACUAGAUCAACUAGACUAUACAGAACGCUCGUCCUUGCUCGCCUUCCCCUGCUAAGGAAAACAAUUGACGUGGUAUGAGCUAAAAAGCCCAGUGAGGUUCUAUAUAUAUAAACAAGUAAUUAAACAAGGAACAUUAGUCAUGUAAUAACAUUUAAUCCAGAAAACAUGUUCAAUAUAAAGCAAUGAUAAUACAUUCAUUAAAAGGAUACAGGCUCACGAGGAGCUAUUUGUUUGUUCGUUCGUUCCCCUGACAUUUCCCCUUAUUCCUCCAAUCGUUUGAAAAUACAUUUUUUGUAAGUAGAAUCCCUCGUUCAUCCUUUUGUUCGUUCAUCCCCUUUUCCGGACGUUGACCGGACUCCACCCAUCCGACCAUUGGCCGGACUCCACCCAUCCGGACGUAGCCGGACUACAAGGUAAUACUCGAGUAUACCAAAUUCACCCAGGGUCACCAUAUCGCCCGACCGAGUCCGCUUCUGGCUCGAGUCGAUCGGUAACGAAGGGCAGGGCCCAAUUCAGCCAAAAGGCUUACAUCAUGCGCAACUAAUGUUUCCAUCAUUAAAUCAUUGAAAAUUUCAUAUUUAUUUAGGUCGAGUGCGAUAAAGUACACACUCACCUAGAAAAAGUUCAUUUUAGAAAUCAUAGAAAACAAGUAACAUUUAAUCAAAUAAUCACAUAGACCCAACAAUCCACAUAGUCAUAGAAACAAAACGUAUAUAGAACACUCACCUACGUAUGAAAAACAACGGCAAAAUAUCUUUCCGGAUAUUAUCUUUAAUCACCGAGAAAACCUAAGAUUAAACGAAAAGAGUAUUACAGCUCAUUUAUCACAACCAAUUAGGUGCAAUCAAAGAGGCUCGACGAAUGAUGAGUAGAACGUAAUAAAAGACUUUAAAGUGGAACGAGGACAUUUGGACCCGUGGACAAAAAUAACUAGGGUUUCAUAGACCACACAUAAAACCAAACUCAAAAGGGUUAUAAAAUUUUCUAAUGGAAACACUUGAACUAAAGACAAGUCAAAAUCCAACUAGAUAGACUAAGAAAUACCGUUUUUGGAAUCGUUUAUAUGGUUGAAACUUAUCUCAUAUUCAAGUAGAUAUUGUAGACUAAUUGUCUUAAUGAAAUUCAUGAAAAAGAGAGGACAAAAUACUCAAGAAAAUCCUAAACUACUCCUCUUUAUUUGGUAAGAGUAAGUAAACAUUUGGAGUUUCCAAUUGAAGAAGGAUCAUGUUUUUAAGAUGGAAAAACGGUCAUAGUAUUAUACAAGUUCAAAUAGAACUUAGCUUUCGGGCGAAAAUUUGGGCAGCAUGCCCUUUGUGUUUACCUAAUUUUCCAGCCAUUUAUGGCUUCAUGAUUUUUUUCUCAGCCAAACCCAAAGUCAUGUACAGCACAAACUCAUCAUAAUAGCCAUUUCAUAGGCUCAAGACAAUAUAAGAACAAAAAUCAAAGUAAUAACAAGUGCGGAAAUGCAAUUUGACAAAAGACAGUUUUGACGGGUUCAUGCAUAAUGGUCACAACCGGAGUUACACUUAUCGGAUUGGGAUGAACAUUAUGCCGUUUCGAAGCUAAGACACAGGGAUACAACAUUCAUGAAGGUCUCUUGUCCAGUUCCUAAUGUAACUUAGUCAAAUUCUCAAAUUACUAAACCAGAAACCAAUUCGUCGGCUGUUUAAACGUAGAACACUGUAAUGGACAUAUCUCAGAGUACACAAGUCCGAAACAGGUGUUCUUAGAGGCAUUUGAAAGAUAAUUCAGAAUACUACAACUUUCAUGUUUUGGAAAAAAACUAAAUCAGAAUGGAUCCUAGUCGAAAAACGUGAUAAACUGGACUUAACUGAUCACACGGACUGCUUGGGAAAUACCUAAAACUGUAAGGGUAUUUUGGACUUUUCACGUCUUACAUUGCUCCGAUUGAGCUGAAAUUUUGUAGGCACCUAUAAAAUACCAUUCUCUACAACUUUCCUUCUUUGACCUAAUGCCAAUUCGGCCUCUAACAUAGGGAUUCAAAUUCGGAAAGAAUAGGAUGAAAAUUUCCAGAAAUCUCAAAUCUUUUGGUUUCAAUGAUAGUUUUCUUAAUUCUUGCUACACUUGCUACCAAAACCUCCUAUAUAACCUUAUAUACAACAUAUACUAACUAUACAACAAGUUUAGGCAGAAAUUAAUCAAACUCUAACUUACAUAUUUCAUCCAAAAAUCACCACAACAACUUGCAUCACUUGUAAUCAAACCAAAACAUGGACUAUUUAACAUCUUAAACAAGAAUAAAAGGAUCAAAGCCAUAGAUCAGAUUUUAUACCUCAAAACGAAGGCUUGCAAGAGUGAUCCUCCACUAUUUCUUGAAGUUUUUGGUUCCCUUAGCUUCCCAAGCUUCCAAACUUACAAUCAAUCGGUUUAGAAUUCGAUUUUAGCACUUGGUUGGUGUAAAUCAAGAAGGAAUUUGUUUUCUCUUGCUCUCCCUUUCUCCCUCUCUUGCUCAGCCAAGAUGAAGAAUAAAAUGAAGGAGAUUAAGCUAAGUUUGUCUUAUAAGAAGGUAGAAAGAUAAGACUUAAUUCUAACCACAAGUUUGGCCAACACUUGGCUCAACCUCAACCACACAAUUUUCUCUUUCUUUCCUUGCAUUUUGGGCCACAUAUUUUGGUCAAUAAGUAAUCAUGAGAGGGAAGAUAUUUUGCUCAAUUAGUGAUAAGCUUGUAUGGCAAGAAAGUGGUGGUCAAGUGGUGGUUAAAUCGGUAGUACCCGGUACACGUCGGUUCGCACUGUUUUUCCUUAAAUCCCCCGUACUAGGAUUUUUACUUCCUAUUCACCAACUUUAUAUCAUUGCUCCUAAUCACAUAUUAUUUCUCACUUAAAAGUCACUCUUAAGCACCAAAUUUGAUCCUUACUCGGUACCGGAUAAUUAUACUGCGGUUACACGAAAAAUCCGAUUUCACCUUGAAUUGAAAACGAAUAGGAAAACCCUAAUUUCCUAUGGUCAUUGGCACUUUUCUAGGGUGAUUGAACCAUGAAUAACAUGAAAUAAUAAUUUUCAAAUAAUUUUCAAAUAAAAGGAAAUUUUUGAGAAAUAUGUAAGGAUUUUGCGAGUCCUCACACUCUCUCCCCCUUAAAAGAAUUUCGACCUCGAAAUUCCAACUCGCACUAAUCAGAUCAAAAAUAGUUCUCGAAAGUUGAUCACGUACUAAGAAUCAUUUCAAUCUCACCACAAGGAUCUUUUGGGUUACACUAUUUUCCAGACUCAGCUAAGAUGACCCCGUCCGGUCUCUCACGUCACUUCCUAGUCACUCGAUGUCCGUAGAUUUCUUAUAUUCAUUUUGGUCGGACAAAGCCUGUUCAUAUUCCAAAAUACAAGUCUCAAGUACCUAGCAGCUAGCAUCGCCUCAACUCUGAAGUACUCGGGCACGAGAAUCCGAAAUAAGAUAAUUCACAUCUCGAGCUGCAGUCCCAAGAGUAAACUAUCUACAAUCGAAAUUCCUACCUGACGUACCUAUCUAUGGUCCUCAGAUACCAUGAGAAAGAUUUAAGGCCGAUAACAUUUAUGAUCCAUAACUUAUGCUCGAACGAACACUUAAUCCUUCAUACUUAUUCACCACUUAGUCCAGGCUCACUCCGCGCAAAGACCGCGCGAAGCAGCUAUAGGUUUUAUCCCUCAAUUGCUUACCUUUCAAAUCAAAUCAAAUCCCACAGUCCGGCAUCCCAAACUUUAAGCCUAGGAUACACUACAGAAAUCUGAAGCCUAAGCUCUGAUACCACCUGUGACGGCCCCACUUCCCCCUAGGGCGUACCCCAGGGUUCAGCGGGUCGCCUGCUCAGCUCUCGCCAGGACUCACUCACUAUGGAACUCAAAUCAUGUAUAUACAUCCAUAGACAAUAGAUGCUCAAGUAAAAGAUAAGAAACUUCUACACACCAGAAGUCUUCAAAGUUUUUACCAUUCAAGUACAAACAUCGAAUAUACAAGGGUUCUCAUUCCUCAUACAACCAGUCCGUGCCAAGCACUAGGGCGAGAACCAUUACAAGGCCAAAGAACUAGAUCAACUAGACUAUACAGAACGCUCGUCCUUGCUCGCCUUCCCCUGCUAAGGAAAACAAUUGACGUGGUAUGAGCUAAAAAGCCCAGUGAAGUUCUAUAUAUAUAAACAAGUAAUUAAACAAGGAACAUUAGUCAUGUAAUAACAUUUAAUCCAGAAAACAUGUUCAAUAUAAAGCAAUGAUAAUACAUUCAUUAAAAGGAUACAGGCUCACGAGGAGCUAUUUGUUUGUUCGUUCAUUCCCCUGACAUUUCCCCUUAUUCCUCCAAUCGUUUGAAAAUACAUUUUUUUGUAAGUAGAAUCCCUCGUUCAUCCUUUUGUUCGUUCAUCCCCUUUUCCGGACGUUGACCGGACUCCACCCAUCCGACCAUUGGCCGGACUCCACCCAUCCGGACGUAGCCGGACUACAAGGUAAUACUCGAGUAUACCAAAUUCACCCAGGGUCACCAUAUCGCCCGACCGAGUCUGCUUCUGGCUCGAGUCGAUCGGUAACGAAGAGCAGGGCCCAAUUCAGCCAAAAGGCUUACAUCAUGCGCAACUAAUGUUUCCAUCAUUAAAUCAUUGAAAAUUUCAUAUUUAUUUAGGUCGAGUGCGAUAAAGUACACACUCACCUAGAAAAAGUUCAUUUUAGAAAUCAUAGAAAACAAGUAACAUUUAAUCAAAUAAUCACAUAGACCCAACAAUCCACAUAGUCAUAGAAACAAAACGUAUAUAGAACACUCACCUACGUAUGAAAAACAACGGCAAAAUAUCUUUCCGGAUAUUAUCUUUAAUCACCGAGAAAACCUAAGAUUAAACGAAAAGAGUAUUACAGCUCAUUUAUCACAACCAAUUAGGUGCAAUCAAAGAGGCUCGACGAAUGAUGAGUAGAACGUAAUAAAAGACUUUAAAGUGGAACGAGGACAUUUGGACCUGUGGACAAAAAUAACUAGGGUUUCAUAGACCACACAUAAAACCAAACUCAAAAGGGUUAUAAAAUUUUCUAAUGGAAACACUUGAACUAAAGACAAGUCAAAAUCCAACUAGAUAGACUAAGAAAUACCGUUUUUGGAAUCGUUUAUAUGGUUGAAACUUAUCUCAUAUUCAAGUAGAUAUUGUAGACUAAUUGUCUUAAUGAAAUUCAUGAAAAAGAGAGGACAAAAUACUCAAGAAAAUCCUAAACUACUCCUCUUUAUUUGGUAAGAGUAAGUAAACAUUUGGAGUUUCCAAUUGAAGAAGGAUCAUGUUUUUAAGAUGGAAAAAUGGUCAUAGUAUUAUACAAGUUCAAAUAGAACUUAGCUUUCGGGCGAAAAUUUGGGCAGCAUGCCCUUUGUGUUUACCUAAUUUUCCAGCCAUUUAUGGCUUCAUGAUUUUUUUCUCAGCCAAACCCAAAGUCAUGUACAGCACAAACUCAUCAUAAUAGCCAUUUCAUAGGCUCAAGACAAUAUAAGAACAAAAAUCAAAGUAAUAACAAGUGCGGAAAUGCAAUUUGACAAAAGACAGUUUUGACGGGUUCAUGCAUAAUGGUCACAACCGGAGUUACACUUAUCGGAUUGGGAUGAACAUUAUGCCGUUUCGAAGCUAAGACACAGGGCUACAACAUUCAUGAAGGUCUCUUAGUCCAGUUCCUAAUGUAACUUAGUCAAAUGCUCGAAUUACUAAACCAGAAACCAAUUCGUUGGCUGUUUAAACGUAGAACACUGUAAUGGACAUAUCUUAGAGUACACAAGCCCGAAUCAGGUGUUCUUAGAGGCAUUUGAAAGCUAAUUCAGAAUACUACAACUUUCAUGUUUUGGAAAAAAGAUAAAUCAGAAUGGAUCCUAGUCGAAAAACGUGAUAAACUGGACUUAACUGAUCACACGGACUGCUUGGGAAAUACUUAAAACAGUAAGGGUAUUUUGGACUUUUCACGUCUUACAUUGCUCCAAUUGAGCUGAAAUUUUGUAGGAACCUAUAAAAUACCAUUCUCUACAACUUUCCUUCUUUGACAUAAGGCCAAUUCGGCCUCUAACAUAGGGAUUCAAAUUCGGACAGAAUAGGAUGAAAAUUUCCAGAAAUCUGAAAUCUUUUGGUUUCAAUGAUAGUUUUCUUAAUUCUUGCUACACUUGCUACCAAAACCCCCUAUAUAACCUUAUAUACAACAUAUACUAACUAUACAACAAGUUUAGGCAGAAAUUAAUCAAACUCUAACUUACAUAUUUCAUCCAAAAAUCACCACAACAACUUGCAUCACUUGUAAUCAAACCCAAAACAUGGACUAUUUAACAUCUUAAACAAGAAUAAAAGGAUCAAAGCCAUAGAUCAGAUUUUAUACCUCAAAAAGAAGGCUUGCAAGAGUGAUCCUCCACUAUUUAUUGAAGUUUUUGGUUCCCUUAGCUUCCCAAGCUUCCAAACUUACAAUCAAUCGGUUUAGAAUUCGAUUUUAGCACUUGGUUGGUGUAAAUCAAGAAGGAAUUUGUUUUCUCUUGCUCUCCCUUUCUCCCUCUCUUGCUCAGCCAAGAUGAAGAAUAAAAUGAAGGAGAUUAAGCUAAGUUUGUCUUAUAAGAAGGUAGAAAGAUAAGACUUAAUUCUAACCACAAGUUUGGCCAACACUUGGCUCAACCUCAACCACACAAUUUUCUCUUUCUUUCCUUGCAUUUUGGGCCACAUAUUUUGGUCAAUAAGUAAUCAUGAGAGGGAAGAUAUUUUGCUCAAUUAGUGAUAAGCUUGUAUGGCAAGAAAGUGGUGGUCAAAUCGGUAGUGCCCGGUACACGUCGGUUCGCACUGUUUUUCCUUAAACCCCCCGUACUAGGAUUUUUACUUCCUAUUCACCAACUUUAUAUCAUUGCUCCUAAUCACAUAUUAUUUCUCACUUAAAAGUCACUCUUAAGCACCAAAUUUGAUCCUUACUCGGUACCGGAUAAUUAUACUGCGGUUACACGAAAAAUCCGAUUUCAUCUUGAAUUGAAAACGAAUAGGAAAACCCUAAUUUCCCAUGGUCAUUGGCACUUUUCUAGGGUGAUUGAACCAUGAAUAACAUGAAAUAAUAAUUUUCAAAUAAUUUUCAAAUAAAAGGGAAUUUUUGAGAAAUAUGUAAGGAUUUUGCGAGUCCUCACAGAACACAUUUUUCUCCUUUCUCGAUUUCCGUGCCAAAUUAAGAAUUUUACUCUUCUUUUGAAAUUGAUAGUCCUUGCCACGAUUUAACUUAGAAAUGGGACUUUUAUAUUCCUUUUAGUUAUUAUUCCAAUGAUUAAGUGAAAACUUCCUAUUUCGAUUUGUUUGAGCUUGAGGCUCUUGAGUGUGUGUAUCUAAGAGGUUUUCUUUUAUUCGUCUUGAUCGAGCAUCUAGGUAAUUCGUGACUGUGAUUAAUCUCAGGUGAUCCAAAGGAUGUGAUACCCUGAAAAUUAGGAGGUCAUUUGUAAAGAAAAUACUAAAGCGUAUUUCUAUGGGUUUGAUUUAAAACCUUAUUUUGUUUUAAAAGACUAGAAACCCUAAGAUUUUUAAUCAAAAACCCUAAUUUACUGGUGACUAACUGGUUUUCUUAAAUCUCUCAUAUUUUACUUGAAACCCUAAUUUUAAUCACUGGAAUUGUAAAAACCCUCACGUUUUUCUUAAAAAUCCCCUUUUAUUUGAAAAUUAUUCAUUUAUAAUAGCCUUACUACUCAAUCACCUUACAAUAAGUGCAAAUGAACCUAGAAAGUAGAGUUUCACUUUUUGAUUUCAAGUUAGAGCGAAUUAGGGUUUUCACGUUUUUCCGUAGUAUGAUUAUUCGGUAUGGAGUGAGAAUCAAGUUUGAUAGGUAAGAGUGACUUUUGGAUGAAGAAAUAUUAUAUGAUUAGAAGUGAUAAUAAUAAGUUAGUGAUUAGAAGGUAAAAAUCCUAGUAUACGCGAUUUAAGAAAAAUCGGUUCACACCGACGGGUAUCGAUCACUACCGAUUGAACGCACCACUUGACCACCACUUUCUUACCAUAUAAGCUCAUUAAUAUUUGAGCAAAAUAUCUCCUUAUUUCCAGCUGGCUUUGACCGAAAUUUAGGGCUAAAAUGCAAGAAAAGAAAGAGAAAUUUUGGUUGGCUUUGGUGGUGACCACCCUAUGGCUCUUUGAUUGAUUUUUUUGUCUUGCCUUCUUAUCCCUUAUUUCAGCCCAUUUUCCUCCAUUUUUCUGCUGCUUGGCCGAGACAAGAGAGGAGAGAAAGAGAGCAAGAAACAAACUUCCUUCUUCUUGAGUUGAGCCAUCCAAGUAAGGACUUAAAAUUCUAAACCGAUUAAAGUGUGAGUUGUGAGCUUGAGAAGCUAGGGGAACCAAGAAUUCCAAGAGGAGGUGAAGUAUUACUCUUGCAAGCUUCAUUUGUUGAGGUAUAAGGCUAAACCAUGGCUUUGGUUCUUUUAUUUUGGUUUAAGUUGUUGUAUAAUUCAUGAUGUGGUUGGAUUAGCAGUGAUACAAGUUGUUAUGAUGAUUUAAAGGUGAUAUAUGUGAGUUAGGGUUUGAGGUAUUUGCUGCCUAUACUUGCUAUAUGGGAUGAGAUAUGUUGUAUCUAAGCUUAUAUAAGUGGUUGUAGUGAUGAUUGGAGCAAGAAAUCAAGAAAGUUUCAUUGAAUCCCAAAAUUUCCAGAUUUCUGGAAAAUUUCAGUUCUGUUCUGUCCGGUUUUAUUGCAUCAUAUUAGAAGCCAAAUGUGUGAGGACCAGCAAAAUUCUCCUUGUUUUAUUUUAUUUUAUUUUUUCCGUGUGUAUUUUCCUUGCUUUCAAUCAAUUAAUCAUUUAAUUUUCAGAGAUUUUAUAAGUGAGUAUCGUUUUUAAAUCAUUUGUUUUAGUAUAAGUGCGUACAUGUUAAAUUUGAGGUGCAUUAUGGAUGUGAGAUCCUAGAUUCCAAAUUGUCUCAAAUAAAUUAAAUAUGGAUAUUUAUAGUAGCUAUUGUGUGAAAAAUAUAUUUUACCAUGUGUUUUAAUUUUCAAAGAGUAUUUUACAUACCAAAAGUGAAAAAUUUAAUUGAAUCAUUAAAAUCCUACUUUCAAAACUAAACCGUUAAGUUUAAAUUAAAUUCAACCAAUUAAUAUUUUCGUGAUUGUAUGUGCAUCCAUGCAUGUUUAGUACGGGGGUUUGAGUGAUUAGUACCUUGGGUUGGUGGGCUUAAGUUAGUUUUAAUUAAACUAAGUAAACCAAUGGGUUAAUUACAUUGGAUCAAGUAGAGUUUUAGUGUUGGGCCUUUAACCCAUUAAUUACCCAAGCCCAUGACCCAUCUCUUGUUUUGCUUUACUAUUAAUAGACUUAGCUAUUAAGUUAGGAGGACAUAAGACAAAACAAACAAAGCCAACACCAAGAACAAGCUACCGUGAGCUUGGAGAAAAAGAAAGGCAGCAUCGGGUGAGCUAGGAAAAGAGAGAAAAAAAAAGGAAAGGGAAUCAUUGGGGUUAUUCAUCCAACCUUGCUUGCAACCAACCAAGGGAACUUUGUUGGAGAGUUGGAGCUCAAGGAUACAUCUCCUCAAAGAAUCGGCCAGCUAGGGGGUAUGAUUAAGGAUUUGAGGUAAACCAAUUUCCUAACUCUUGAUUCUUGUGGUAAAACAUAUGAUUGAUGAUUGGAAGUUGAAUCUAACUAGCUAGGAACUGAUUUGAACGGCUGGAAAUUCGUUUGAUUGGGUGGAAUUUAAAUGAACUUCAAGUGUUCCUUUUCUGUCAAGAUUUCUAUCCGAAAUUAGUCUGAAAAUUCGAACCUGUUGGGAGCUGAUUUGGCCUUAGUACGAAACAUAAAAGUUGUAGGGAAUGAUGUUUUAUAGUUUUCUGUAAAAUUUCAGCUCAAUCGGAGCAACGUAUCCUGUAAAAAGACCAAAAUACCCCUACUUCCCUGUAUUUAUCCGAAACUGAUAAUCAGCUUCUGUAAUUGGAUGUUUUGACCAGGAAUACUACUGAUUUGGUUGUUGAUGUCUUUUUAAGACUUAUAGCCUUGUGUCUUAGCUUUUUAAUGGCUUUGGAAUUACCUGAAUUGGAGUUGUGUGUGCUGAGAUAUGAGUGAAUAAAGCAGGACUGCUAGUUGAUUUCUGCAGUGAAUUUCAAACUAGAAAAUCUGGAGUUGUUUUUGGUAAAUUUGACCUAGUUAGGGUGAGAACUGGACUGAGUGGUCUGCACGAAAGUUGUAGGUCUUUGUCUUAGCUUUUCAACGCCUCCAAGAACGCCUUAAACGGACUUUGGUAGCCUGCGAUAUGGCCAUUUAAAGGUAGUACGGUUAAUUAGCCGAUUAGUUGGAACUUGGUUCUGGGAAUUGGGAAUUUGACUAGGUUACACUGGAAUUUGGACUAAGUGGUCUUCAUCAAAAUUGUAUCCCUCUGUCUUAGCUUCGAAACGGUAUAAAUUACAUUCCAAUCCGGUAAGCGUAGCGUCGGAUGUGUCCGUUACGCAAAACCCGUCAAAUCUGUCUUUUGUUAAGUUUCAUUUCCGCAUUUGUUAUUAGCUCGAUUUCUAUACUUCUAUUGUUUUGAGCCUAUGGAAUGGCUAUUGAAAUGAAUUUGUGUUGUGGGUAAUCUUGGUUCGAUUGAGAAAAAGAAUGAAGCCAUAAAUGGCUGGAAAUAGGAAAAUACAAAGGGCGUGCUGCCCAAAUUUUCGCUCGAGGGCUAAGUUUUUAUUUGAACUGGUAUAUUUUUGUUUGGCAAAUACUAUAACCGUUUUUCCAUCUUAAAACAUGAUCAUUCUUCAAUUGGAAACUCCAAAUGUUUACUUACUCUUACCAAAUAAAGAGGAAUGGUUUAGGGUUUUCUUGAGUAUUUUUGUCCUCCCUCUUUUUCAUGAAGUCUAUAAUAUCUACUUGAAUAUGAAAUGAUUUUGAACCAUAUAAACGAUUUCAAAAACAGUAUUUCUUAGCCUAUCUAGUUGGAUUCCGACUUGUCUUUGGUUCAAGUGUUUACAUUAGAAAAUUUUAUAGCCCUUUUGAGUUUGGUUUUACGUUUGGUCUAUGAAACCCUAGUUAUUUUAUCCACGGGUCCAAAUGUCCUCGUUUCACUUUAAAGUCUUUUUAUACAUUCUACUCAUCAUUUGUAAAGUUCUUUGAUUUCACCUAAUUGUUUGUGCUAGAUGAGCUGUAAUAUUCUUUCUCAUUUAAUCUUAGGUUUUCUCGGUGACUAAGGAUAUUUGGCACGUUGUUUUGCGUACAUAGGUGAGUGUUCCUUGUUUGUUAUAUUUCCUUGACUUAUUGGCUUGUUAUUAUUGAUUGAUAAUGUGUUAAGUGCUUUCAAUGAUUGUUAAAACGAGUUUUCUAGGCGAGUGUGUACUUUAUCGCACUCGACCUAAAUAAAUGUGAAAUUUUCAAUGAUUAAAUGAUUAAAUGCUAGUUGCGCAUGAAUGUAAGCCGUUUGGCUGAACUGGGCCCUGCCCUUCGUUACCGAUCGACUCGAGUCAGAAGCGGACUUGGUCGAGCUAUAUGGUGACGUUGGGUGUGAACGUUGGUAUACUCGAGUAUUACCUUAUAGGUUGGUGGAGCCUGGCCAAAGGCCAGGAAAGGGGUGAAUGAAACUUCAAGAACGAACGAGGGUUUUACUUACAAAAAUGCAAUCUUCGAAAGAAUGAAGGAAUAAGGGGAAAUGUCAGGAGAACGAACGAAUUUAUGGCUCCCAGUGAGCCCGUAUCCAUUUAAUGUAUGUGUUAUUAUCGCUUUCCAUUUUAAAUGUUUCUUGAAUUAUUAAUAUUCUAUGUUUAAUGUAUGGAUUGGUUAUUUGAUUAUGUGUUCGGAACCUCACUAGGCUUUUAGAUCAUCCCUUUAGUUUGUUUUCCUUAACAGGGGAAGGCACGCAAGGAUGAGAGCUUGGUAUAGACUAGCUUGGUCUAACUCUUUGUUUUUGUAAUGGUUCUCGCCCUAAUGCUUGGCACGGGCUGGUUGUAUGAAGAAUUGAGAACCUUUAUAUAUUCGAUGAUUGUACUCCCUUUUGAGAUAGAAAUAUAUAUGUAAGUUUCACACUUAAGUUUUGGAUUGUUGUAUGUUAUUCCUUUGGUUGUAUUCCGGCCUUGAUUAAGGAAUGACUGAGUCCCGGCGAGAGCUGGGCAGGUGGUCCGCCGAACCCUGGGGUACGCCCUAGGGAGAAGUGGGGGCCGUCACAAAAUGAGGCUUAGAAUAAAACAUGAAAGUUAUAGAGAAUGAUAUUUUAUAGAUGCCUACAAAAUUUCAGCUCAAUCGGAGCAACGUAGCCUGUGAAACGACCAAAAUACCCUCGCUGCCCUAGGAUAUUUCCAGUGAUCCGUUUUGGACAGUUCAUCCAAUUAAUUGUGUUUAUUCACUAUGAUCCGUGCUGAUUUAGCCAUUUUCCAAAACAUGAAAGUUUUAGUACUCUGUCUUAGCUUUUAAACGCCUUCAAGAACACCUUAAAUGGACUUUGGUAGACUGAGAUAUGACCAUUUAAAUGUGGUACGGUUAAUUAGCCGAUUUGUUGGAGCCUGGUUCGGUGAACUGAGAAUUUGACUGGGUUACCCUGGAAAUUGGACCAAGUGAUCUUCAUGAAAAUUGUAGGCCUUCAUCUUAGCUUCGAAACGGUAUAGGUUGUAUCUCAAUUCGAUAAGCAUAGUAUAAAUUGUGUCAUUUCCGCAAAAACUCGUCAAAUCUGUCUUUUAUUAAGUCUCAUUUCCACACUUGUUAUUAACUUGAAUUUUUGUCUUUGUGUUGUCUUGAGCCUAUUGGACGGCUAUUGAAGUUAGAUUGUUGUGUGUGUACCUUUGGGUUUGAAUGAGAAAGAUAAUGAAGCCAAAAUGGCUGGAAAAUUGGGUAAACACAAAGGGCAUGCUGCCCAAAUUUACGCUCGAUGACUAGAAAACUAUACUUAUACUUUGUACUAGUAGUUAUUCGGAUUUUCUUUGGUUCACUUAACCUUUGGAGGGGUUUAACUGUAAUAUUUUCUCUUGGUUAUUAUUAGGGUUUCUUGGCGAUUGAGAGUGUUAUCUGGGAGGAUACGUUGGACAUUAUUUUGCUUAAUUAGGUGAGUGUUCUAUAUACGUUUUGUUUCUAUGACUAUGUGGAUUGUUGUGACAAUAUGAUUAUUUGUGAAUAUUUGAUUAAAUAUUAAUUGUUUUCUAUGAUUUCUAAAAUGAACUUUUGCUAGGUGAGUGUGUACUUUAUCGCACUCGACCUAAAUAAAUAUGAAAUUUUUGGUGAUUGAGUGUUGAAAUACUAGUUGCACAUGAAUGUAAGUCUUUUUGGCUGAACUGGGCCCUUGCCCUUGUUACCGAUCGACUCGAGCCAGAAGCGGAUUCGGUCGGGCGAUAUGGUGACCUGGGUGAACAUUUGGUAUACUCGAGUAUUACCUUGUUGUCAGGUGGAGUCCGGCGAACGUCCGGAUGGGGGGUAAAGCCUGGCCAACGUCCAAGAGGAGGUGAAUGAGAAUGAACAAACGAACGUCAAAAAUGAGGGGUUUUAUUUACAAAGAUGCAUUUUUUUAUAAUUGGAGGAAUAAGGGAGUGAAUAGGGAACGAACGAACGAAUUGCUCCUUGUGAGCCUAUAUCCUUUUAAUGAAUGUAUUAUCAUUACUUUAUAUUGGACAUGUUUUCUGGAUUAUUUGUUAUUACAUGAUUAAUGUCCUUGUUUAAUUACUUGUUUUUGUGUAUAGAAUCUCACUGAGCUUUUAGCUCACCCCUUUAGUUUUGUUUUCCUUAGCAGGGAAAGGUGAGCAAGGACGAGAGCCCGUAUAAACUAGCUUGGUCUAGCUCUUGGUUUUUUUUUGUAAUGGUUCUCGCCCUAGUACUUGGCACGGGCUGGUUGCUUGGUGAAUUGAGAACCUUUGUAUAUUCGAUGUUUAUACUCUCUUUUGGCAUGGUAACGUAUAUAAGUUCCACUUUAAGUUUUGGAUCGUUGCCUAUUUAUUCUUGUGAUUUUUUUCCGAUUUUAAUUGAGGAUUGAAGUGAUCGACUGAGUCCCGGCGAGAGUUGGGCAGGCGACCCGCCGAACCCUGAGGUACGCCCUAGGGGGAGGUGGGGCCGUCACAGGUGGUAUCAGAGCUUAGGUUUCAGAUCUCGGUAGUGUAUCCUAGGCUAAAGUUUAGGAUGCCGGACUGUAGGAUUUGAUUUGAUUUGAAAGUUAAGCAAUUAAGGGAUAAAACCUAUAGCUGCUUCGUAUGGUCUCUGCACGGAGUGAGCCUGGACUGAGUGGUGAGUAAGUAUGAAGGACUAAGUGCUCGUUCGAGCAUAAGGUAUGAAUUAUGAAGUGUUAUAGGCCUUAAAUCUUUCUCAUGGUGUCCAAGGACCAUAGAUUGGUAUGUCGGGUAGGAAUUUCGAUUGUAGAAAGUUUACUCUUGGGACUGGCCAGCUCGAGAUGUGAAUUAUCUUAUUUCGGAUUCUCGUGCCCGAGUACUCUGGAGUUGAGGCGAUGCUAGUUACUAGGUACUUGAGACUUGUAUUUUGGAACAUGAACAGGCUUUGUUCGGCUAGAAUGAGUAUAAGAGGUUAACGGACAUCUAGUGAAUAGGAAGUGACGUGAGCGAUCGGACGGGGGCUAUGUUAACCAAGUGUGAAACGGCUUGUCGUGUUAUCUUCUUGUUUUGUCUUUGUACUGCUAUUGUGUGUAUUUGGCUUGUGGCAUGGUAAUAUCCACAUGUAUAGUACUUGUUGCAUUUGAUCUUGUCUACUUGAUAUGUUUCUUUUUGAACUUGGUGUGGUAAAUUUUGCCGUUCCAGUCAAUUUAUUUUGUUACAUACUAAAUCACUUUUUGAAAAAAAAAAAGAAUGGAGGGGAGACGUAGUCGUGGACGUGGAGCUAGUCGUGGCUGUGGGGCUAGGCACGCUCAAGAACCGAGAGAAGAAAGAGAAACAGUGGUCGAACAAGAACAUGAACCGAGGGUUGAGGCCGGAGAUCAAAUGGCGAUGGCGAUGCAACAAAUGACAAAUAUCCUAGCACGACUGGUAGAUCAAUAAGGUCAAAUGCCAGUGAAUCAACCUCGAAAUCCUGAGAUAGGAGAGGAUAAGGCUCUUGAGAGGUUCCAAAAGUUUAUACCUCCUAAAUUUCAAGGGGAGCCUGAUCCGGAUAUAGCUGAGCAGUGGUUGGAGGCAAUGAUUAAUAUUUUCAUGGCUUUGAAUUACACGGAGCAAAGACAAGUAAAUUUUGUUGUAUUUGAAUUCGAAGGACCUGCCCGCGCGUGGUAGAAUGUAAUUAAGGCCAAAUGGGAAAAAGAACAGACGGUAUGGACAUGGACGAACUUUGUAAGGGAAUUUAACGAAAAGUAUCUCCCACCUUUGGUCCAAGAAAGGAGAGAGGAUGAAUUUAUUGGGUUGCGUCAGGGAACCCUGAGUGUGGCCGAAUAUGAGACCAAAUUUACUAGACUGUCUAAAUUUGCUUUCGAAUUGGUGGUUACGGAGCGAAGGAGAAUAAGACGAUUUAUACAAGGACUAAAUUUGGAAAUCCAUGAGGCAUUAGCGGCGGUUCAAGUUAAUACGUUUACAGAGGCUUUUGAGAAGGCUCAAAGAAUUGAGGAUGUGAAAGCCCAAGUAAAAGCCCUUCAAACGCGGAAAAGAGAUACAUCCAGCAGCAUACCUGAGGAAUCCGGAGAAAAAAUAAUGCUCUCUAAAGUACAAAAAGUGAACCAUUCACCUCGCCCACCUUGGACAUUAAGAGCAUUAGAUGAAAGGUCUACGAAAGGAAGUCAGAUUGGAUCAAAGGACACUUCUCGAGAAGGUCAAACAGUAGCUCCUCGAUUGGCUUAUGGAUACUGUGGAAAGGCAAAUCACACUGAGAAUGAUUGCUGGCGGAAAGGGGGAAAAUGUUUGAUUUGUAGAGAUAGCAAUCAUAAACUUAGUAAUUGCCCGAAGAAACAGCCACGAGAGGGUAGUACUCAACAAGUGGAAGGAACCAAACCGAAACAAACUAAUGAAAGAGGAAACCGAACAUAAGUAUCAGCACAGGUGUAUGCCGUAGAUCAGCAACAAGUUCCGGGGUCCUCUGAGGCAACGGAAGGUAAAAAUUUCGAGGAUUGCUUAAUUUGAUUACUACCAGUUGGAAUUUCGAGGACGAAAUUUUUUGAAGGAGGGGAGAUUGUGAUACCCUGAAAAUUAGGAGGUUAUUUGUAAAGAAAAUACUAAAGUGUAUUUCUAUGGGUUUGAUUUAAAACCUUAUUUUGUUUUAAAAGACUAGAAACCCUAAGAUUUUUAAUCAAAAACCCUAAUUUACUGGUGACUAAUUGGUUUUCUUAAAUCUCUCAUAUUUUACUUGAAACCCUAAUUUUAAUCACUGGAAUUGUAAAAACCCUCACGUUUUUCUUAAAAAUCCCCUUUUAUUUGAAAAUUAUUCAUUUAUAAUAGCCUUACUACUCAAUCACCUUACAAUAAGUGCAAAUGAACCUAAAAAGUAGAGUUUCACUUUUCGAUUUCAAGUUAGAGCGAAUUACGGUUUUCACGUUUUUCCGUAGUAUGAUUAUUCGGUACGGAGUGAGAAUCAAAUUUGAUAGGUAAGAGUGACUUUUGGAUGAAGAAAUAUUAUAUGAUUAGAAGUGAUAAUAAUAAGUUAUUGAUUAGAAGGUAAAAACCCUAGUAUACGCGAUUUAAGAAAAAUCGGUUCACACCGACGGGUAUCGAUCACUACCGAUUGAACGCACCACUUGACCACCACUUUCUUACCGUAUAAGCUCAUUAAUAUUUGAGCAAAAUAUCUCCUUAUUUCCAGCUGGCUUUGACCGAAAUUUAGGGCUAAAAUGCAAGGAAAGAAAGAGAAAUUUUGGUUGGCUUUGGUGGUGACAAGUGUCACCACCCUAUGGCUCUUUGAUUGAUUUUUUUGUCUUGCCUUCUUAUCCCUUAUUUCAGCCCAUUUUCCUCCAUUUUUAUGCUACUUGGCCGAGACAAGAGAGGAGAGAAAGAGAGCAAGAAACAAACUUCCUUCUUCUUGAGUUGAGCCAUCCAAGUAAGGACUUAAAAUUCUAAACCGAUUAAAGUGUGAGUUGUGAGCUUGAGAAGCUAGGGGAACCAAGAAUUCCAAGAGGAGGUGAAGUAUUACUCUUGCAAGCUUCAUUUGUUGAGGUAUAAGGCUAAACCAUGGCUUUGGUUCUUUUAUUUUGGUUUAAGUUGUUGUAUAAUUCAUGAUGUGGUUGGAUUAGCAGUGAUACAAGUUGUUAUGAUGAUUUAAAGGUGAUAUAUGUGAGUUAGGGUUUGAGGUAUUUGCUGCCUAUACUUGCUAUAUGGAUGAGAAAUGUUGUAUCUAAGCUUAUAUAAGUGGUUGUAGUGAUGAUUGGAGCAAGAAAUCAAGAAAGUUUCAUUGAAUCCCAAAAUUUCCAGAUUUCUGGAAAAUUUCAGUUCAGUUCUGUCCGAUUUUAUUGCAUCAUGAUAGAAGCCAAAUGAGGCUUAGAGUAAAACAUGAAAGUUGUAGAGAAUGAUAUUUUAUGGGUUCCUACAAAAUUUCAGCUCAAUCAGAGCAACAUAACCUGUGAAACGACCAAAAUACCCUCGCUACCCUAGGAUAUUUCCAGUGAUCCGUUUUGGACAGUUCAUCCAAUUCAUUGUGUUUAUUCACUAUGAUCCGUGCUGAUUUAGCCAUUUUCCAAAACAUUAAAGUCUUAGUACUCUGUCUUAGCUUUUAAACGCCUCCAAGAACACCUUAAACGGACUUUGGUAGCCUGAGAUAUGACCAUUUAAAUGUGGUACGGUUAAUUAGCCGAUUUGCUGGAACCUGGUUCGGUGAACUGAGAAUUUGACUGGGUUACCCUGGAAAUUGGACCAAGUGAUCUUCAUGAAAAUUGUAGGCCUUCAUCUUAGCUUCGAAACGGUAUAGGUUGUAUCUCAAUCCAAUAAGCAUAGUAUCGGUAGUGUCAUUUCCGCAAAAACCCGUCAAAUCUGUCUUUUAUUAAGUCUCAUUUCCACACUUGUUAUUAACUUGAAUUUUUGUCUUUGUAUUGUCUUGAGCCUAUUGGAUGGCUAUUGAAGUUAGAUUGUUGUGUGUGUACCUUUGGGUUUGAAUGAGAAAGAUAAUGAAGUCAAAAUGGCUGGAAAAUUGGGUAAACACAAAGGGCAUGCUGCCCAAAUUUACGCUCGAGGACUAGAAAACUAUACUUAUACUUUGUACUAGUAGUUAUUCGGGUUUUCUUUAGUUCACUUAACCUUUGGAGGGGUUUAACUGUAAUAUUUUCUCUUGGUUAUUAUUAGGGUUUCUUGGCGAUUGAGAGUGUUAUCCGAGAGGAUACGUUGGACAUUAUUUUGCUUAAUUAGGUGAGUGUUCUAUAUACGUUUUGUUUCUAUAAAUAUGUGGAUUGUUGUGACAAUAUGAUUAUUUGUGAAUAUUUGAUUAAAUAUUAAUUAUUUUCUAUGAUUUCUAAAAUGAACUUUUGCUAGGUGAGUGUGUACUUUAUCGCACUCGACCUAAAUAAAUAUGAAAUUUUCGGUGAUUGAAUGUUGAAAUACUAAUUGCGCAUGAAUGUAAGCCUUUUUGGCUGAACUGGGCCCUUGUCCUUGUUACCGAUCGACUCGAGCCAGAAGCGGACUCGGUUGGGCGAUAUGGUGACCUGGGUGAACAUUUGGUAUACUCGAGUAUUACCUUGUUGUCAGGUGGAGUCCGGCAAACGUCCGGAUGGGGGGUAAAGCCUGGCCAACGUCCAGGAGGAGGUGAAUGAGAAUGAACAAACGAACGUAAAAAACGAGGGGUUUUAUUUACAAAGAUGCUUUUUUUUUAUAAUUGGAGGAAUAAGGGAAUGAAUAGGGAACGAGCGAACGAAUUGCUCCUUGUGAGCCUGUAUCCUUUUAAUGAAUGUAUUAUCAUUGCUUUAUAUUGGACAUGUUUUCUGGAUUAUUUGUUAUUACAUGAUUAAUGUCCUUGUUUAAUUACUUGUUUUUGUGUAUAGAAUCUCACUGAGCUUUUAGCUCACCCCUUUAGUUUUGUUUUCCUUAGCAGGGAAAGGCGAGCAAGGACGAGAGCCCGUAUAAACUAGCUUGGUCUAGCUCUUGGUUUUUUUUUUGUAGUGGUUCUCGCUCUAGUACUUGGCACGGGCUGGUUGUUUGGUUAAUUGAGAACCUUUGUAUAUUCGAUGUUUAUACUCUCUUUUGGCAUGGUAAUGUAUAUAAGUUCCGCUUUAAGUUUUGGAUCGUUGCCUAUUUAUUCUUGUGGUUUUUUUUCUGAUUUUAAUUGAGGACUGAAGUGAUCGACUGAGUCCCGGCGAGAGCUGGGCAGGCGACCUGCCGAACCCUGGGGUACGCCCUAGGGGGAGGUGGGGCCGUCACAGAGGACACCAAGAAGCUGUUUUAAUUUCCUGCUUUUGCUCUUGCUUUGCUCCGGAUUACGGUGUGGGAUUCCAAACUGUUUUGCACAAAAUUGCUUCUCGAACUUUUAUAACCACUGUUUGUAUAAUUGCAAAUAUAUAUAUAUAUAUAUAUACGUGAUAUGACUUGAUAAGUGCUUCUUACAUGCCUAAGUGGUCAAAUACUUGAUGAAUCUUGUUCACUUGAAUGAAAAACACUUAUUUCUAGGCGAGUGUGUACUUUAUCGCACUCGACCUAACUGUUGUUGUAUCACUUAACUAUUCAAUAUUUCGUUGUUUAUAUGUUAUUUGCGUAUGCUGUAGGCCAUGUGUACUUUAUCACAUCGGCUGAAUGUGAAGACUCGCAAAUUCCUUAUAUUUUUCCUCAAAAUUCCCUUUUAUUUGAAAAGUAUUUGGUAAUUAUUAUUUCAUGCCAUCCUAUAGUUCAACCACCCUAGAAAAGUGCAAAAAGUUAUAGGAAAUUAGGGUUUUCCUAUUCGUUUUCAAUUCAAGGUGAAAUAAGAAUUUUUCGUGUAUCCGCAGUGUAAUUAUCCGGUACAGAGUACGGAUCAAAUUUGGUGCUUAAGAGAGAAUUUUAAGUGAGAAAUAAUAUGUGAUUAGAAACAAUGAAUAAAAGUUAGUGAAAAGAAAUUAAAAACCCUAGUACGGGUAAUUUAAGGAAAAAUGGCGCGAACCGACGCGUAUCAUGUACUACCGAUUUAACCACCACCUGAUCACCACUUUCUUACCCCUACAAGCUCAUUACUAAUUGAGCAAAAUACCCCCCCCUCAUGGUCAUCUCUUGGCCGAAAAUUGGGACAAAAAAGUGCAAGGAAAGAAAAGAAAAUUUUUUGGUGAAAGUUGAGCCAAGUGUUGGCCCAACUUGUGGUUACAAUUAGUCCUAAUCCUCUUACCUUCUUAUAAGACAAACUAAGCUCUUUCUCCCUCAUUUUUUCUUUCUUAGGGCCGAGACAAGAGAGAGAGAAAAGAAGAGCAAGAGAAACAAAUUUCCUUCUUGAUUUGCUUCAACCAAGUGAGAAAAUCCAAUUCUAAACCGAUUAAAGUGUGGGUUGUGAGUUGGGAAGCUUGAGGAACUAAGAAAUUUCAAAGGGGGUGAAGUAUCACUCUUCCAAGCCUUGUCUUUGAGGUAUAGAAAUCUGAUCAUGAUCCUUGUUCCUUUAAAUUUUGGUUUAAGAUGUUAUUUAGAUCAUUUUAGCUUGAUUACAAGAUAAGCAAGUUGUUGUGAUGAUUCUUGGAUGAUAUAUGCAAGCUAGGGUUUGAUUAAUUUCUGCCUAACCUUGUUUUAUAUUUAGUAUAUGUUGUAUAUAGGAGUAGAUAAGGGGCUUUGGUAGAAUUGGAAGCAAGAAAAUGGAAGGAUUGACUUGAGAUUUCAAAAAUUCCAGAUUUCUGGAAUUUCAGGAUUACAUUCUGCCCGGUUUUAGUGCUCAUAUUUAGAGGACGAAUUAGGCUUGACCUAAAACAUGAAAGUUGUAUAGAAUGGUAUUUUAUAGGUGCCUACAAAAUUUCAACUCAAUCGGAGCAACGUAGCCUGUAAAAAGAUGAAAAUACCCUCACUGUUCUAGGUUACAUUCCAGAGUUCCGCGUGGACAGUUUAGUCUAUUUGGUUGUGUUUAUUCACUAUAAUCCGUUCGGAUUUAGCCUUUUUCCAAAACAUGAAGGUUUCGGUACUCUGUCUCAUCUUUUCAACGCCACCAAGAACGCCCUAAACGGACCUUGGUAGUCUGAGAUAUGGCCAUUUGAAUUCAGUACGGUUGAUUAGCCGAAUAGUUGAAUCCAGAUUAUAUGAAUUGGGAAUUUGAUUAGGUUACACUGAAAAUUAGACUAAGUGCUCUUCAUGAAAAUUGUAUCCCUGUGUCUUAGCUUCGAAACGGUAUAAGUUAUGCCUCAAUCCGAUAAGCGUAGCCUCGGAUGUGUUCUUUCCGCAACCACACGUCAAAUCUGUCUUUGCUAGGUUACAUUUCCGCACUUGUUAUCACUUUGGUUUUUGUUCUUAUGUUGUUAUGAGCCUAUGGAAUGGCUAUUUACUUGAAUUUAUGAUAUAUAUAACUUUGGGAUUGGCUGAUUGAAAAUAAUGAAUCCAUAUAUGGCUGAAAAAUUUGGUAAACACAAAGGGCAUGCUGCCCAAAUUUACGCUCGAGGACUAGAAAACUAUACUUGCAGCUUGAGUAACGGUUAGAAGUGAUUAUCACUUGAACUAUCGAGGACCUUUGCUACUUUGUUUAUCGAGGGUUAUACGUUAGGACUUGGUCGAACUUGUACCCUUAGGAAAAUGAUAUGAAUCACUAUGAAACCGUUUUACUUGCACUUUCGACUCAAAAGUCAUCUCCAAGCAAACAUGCUAUCAAAAUUUUCCGUUUGAAAAGCGAGCAACUAUUUCACGACUAUUUCUCAAAUGAAUUUCAAUUUCUUGAUUCUUAUUGAACGAAACGCUUAAGUUUCGAACUUUAGUCGAUUUUCAAAGUUCUCAAGUCCACUUUUAUCGCAGAUUUGGACUCCAAACCCGGAGUACCACCCAGACACGAGCACUAGAGGCACUACUUUUGGUGAGUGCUUCCAAAUAUCUGAUUGAACUCGAUAUUUGCUAUUUAUCUCUGAUCCACGUGAAUACGUGAGAUAUAUGUGAUGUGAUAGAGCAAGGGUGUACUUUAUCGCACUUGCCCUAUCCAAAUUUAUUCUUGUUUAUCAAUUUCACUUGACUUGCUUUACAUGCACAUGAAUUAUAUCAUGCCUGGAAUUCCAGAAACCUUGUGGCUAGUUAAUCGAGUCGAGCCGGCAAGGGCCUGGUCGAUUAGAUAACAAACCUUGGGUCACUAGUAAAGUCGAGUGGAGUGUUACCUCCUCGGCAAAUCGGUAUACUCGAGUAUUACCACCCGUGUUUCAUGUGACGUUCGGGCCCGGUUGGGGGUUGAUUGGUGGACGGAGACUGGCGAGAAGUGGAGUUUUCUUUUUGGACUAGUUAUUACUUGAAAGUUGACGGAGUGUCAACUGCUAUUCGAUCAAGCUGGAAUGGAGCUGAGACAUGAGCAACUGUAUCCUUACUUGUGAACAUGAUCCAUACAUCUCUUGACUACUUGAAGUGUUAUCUCUUUACUUGAACUUGUUUGCUCGCUAUUUCACUAUUACAUUGUUAUAAUCUUGUUUGCUGGACAAUUUGAUAUCUGGAACAUCACUGAGCUUUGGCUCACCCUAUUAGUUUUGUUUACCUUACAGGGGUACGAGUGACGCGUGGGACGUAUAAACGCUAGCGUAGUCUAGUUAUUUUGACUUUUGACUUAUACUCGCGCUAUUCCUUGACUAGAAUGUUUUGUAAUGGGAUUUUAUACAAUUUGAACCAAUUUGGGUUUAUCGAGACUUUGUACCUUGAUUUGGUAUCAAUAUAAAUUAUAAGUUUGAACUGUGAUAUUAUUUAUGGUCCGUGGAUGUACGCAUGUGAUUCGUGUGAGCCAGUCCUGGCGAGAGCUAGGCAGGCGAUCCGCUGAACCCUCUGGUACGCCUUAGGGGGAGGUGGGGUCGUCACAGGUGGUAUCAGAGCUUAGGUUUGAAUUGAUCUGGAUAGAUUGAGUGCUUGACCUGAUAGGCUAGGGUUUUAUCCUUGAAUUUAGCCUUUAACCUUGUUUUCUGCGUGUUGAGUACUUACUUUUACAAUGUUAUUUGCAAACUUAGGUGAUGGUAGACACUGACGCUUCUGGGGGUGCGGGGCCGUCUCAACCCGUAGCUACUGAUGUACCCAUUGAUAUGCCUACUGACGUACCUACCGACGCUCCCGUGGUCGAGCCAUAUCUAGAGGGGCCCGUAUGCCGCGUGAUUACAUACUAGGAGAUCCCCGGUGGGCCAGUGCAGCGGUGGUCCCCAGCGCGCAAGAUCCGACGCUGCGAUUGCUGGAAGACCUACUCCUACCCUGACCGAGUAGUGCUCGCAGUGGAUGACGAGCGGAGACGAUUGGGUAGCACCAAUCGUAGGUGCUAUGCGGAGAUAGAGCGUCUUCGGGCUACACUCUGAGACCAGGGAGCCCGGAUCCGAGAGUUGGAGGCCUCGGUUCUGGAAGAGCAGCAGCGGACCGAUGCUUUCCGCGAGCAGGCUCAGGCGACGACUGGACGUCUGAUACGAGUAGUUGGAGAUAUACGAGACCGAACCAACCACAUCCUAACCGAGUGCGAGGCACUUGUAGAGGAUGUGAUACAGGACUUGACUGAGGAAGGUCAAGCGCCUGUAGUCCCUGAGCUUCCUGGUACUCCUGAGGAGGAUCCGGAUGAGGAUCCUGAGGAGGACCCAGAGGAGGAGCUGAGUGCAUCCUCGGAGUCGGUUGGGUCGGCGUCUAGCCAAACCACUUGUUAGGAUUGGGGUUUGAGGAGAUUUUUGGGGGAUAGUUAGGAACAUAGUGGGACGACACGUCUCCUUUUGUUUUUGAUUUUGACGUGUCAUGGUGGAAGUAAAUACCUUUUGUUCUAUGUUCCUUGGCUGUUAUAGCCUCUGACUAUGUGACUUUUCGGCCUGUAUAUAUAUGACUUGUUUGCUAUGUGUAUAAAGUGCUUGUUUAUUAUGUGCUCGAUUGCCUCUAUUUAUUCUUUUGCAACGUGUUAUACGAGUCAUACCUUACUUUGUCUGUAUAUUUAUAGCUGGUUAAAUCCAAAACAUGGAGGGUAGAAGAAGUCAAACCAGGGGAACUAACCGAGGACGCGAUCCUAGUCGAGGCCGUGGGGAUAGACACGCACAAGAACCUGUACAAGAACCGAGGGAAGAGAGAGAGGCCACGAUUGAGCCACAACCAGAACCCCAAGCUGCAGGGGGAGAUCAAGUGGCAACUGCUAUCCAGCAAAUGACCAAUAUUUUGGCUCGUUUAGUGGAACAACAGGGUCAAGCCCCUGUAAAUCAGCCUAGGGAUCCCGAAAUGGGACAAGAUAGAGCUUUAGAGAGAUUCCAAAAGUUCUCUCCACCCAAGUUCUUGGGAGGACCAGACCCGGAGGGAGCCGAUAAAUGGCUACAGGCCAUGAUCAACAUCUUUGCCGCCUUAAACUAUACAGAGGAUAGGCAAGUGCAGUUCGCUGUUUUCCAGUUUGAAGGGCCAGCUAGGGCAUGAUGGAAUGUAAUUAGGGCCAAGUGGGAGAGAGAAGGAACUGCGUGGAUCUGGUUAAACUUUGUACGAGAGUUUAACGAGAAAUAGCUUCCACCUAUCGUCCAAGAGAAGCGAGAGGACGAUUUUAUUAAGCUUUGACAGUGGCGCUUCUAGUGUAUCUGAGUAUGAGACUCAGUUUACAAAAUUGUCAAAAUUUGCUCCUGAGUUGAUUGCUACGGAGCCAAGAAAAGUACGGAGAUUCGUGCAAGGGCUCAAUGUGGAGAUACAGGAAGCUUUGGCGGCAGCCCAGAUUAAUACAUUUACGGAGGUUUUGGAGAAGGCCCUAAGAAUAGAGAUUGUCAGGGCACAAGUGAAAAAUUUCCACGCCAAAUGGAAAGGAGGACCUAGUGGAGCCCAAGGGUCAGUACGGAGUGAUCAAAACGCGCCACCUGCCAAGUUCGGUCGUGGGGCUGGAGGUGGACGGUUUUCAAGUGCGUCUAAGGGAGGUGCUCCGAGAGGAGGUACUCAGAGGGGAGGCCAAAGUGGUAGGGGGCAAGGUAGAGGAAUUCCACAAGGAGGCCAGACCUCUACUUCCCGAGUGACGUGCGGAUAUUGUGGAAAACCGAAUCAUACAGAGGAUGAAUGCUGGAGAAAGGUUCGAAAGUGCCUAAUGUGUGGGAGUACGGAACACCAAAUAAUCAACUGCCCGUUGAUCAGUGAUACCCAGUCGACUGCCAGGUCAAACCCAAAACCGACCAAUGCUGGAGGGACUAGGUCGAGAGUUCCGGCCAGAGUAUAUUCACUGGACCAACAAUCCGUGCCUGAACCAACGGAAAUAGUUGAAGGUACGAUCCCUGUCUUUUACCGGUUAGCAAAAAUUUUGAUAGAUCCUGGUGCUACUCAUUCUUUCGUUAACCCUACAUUUAUGCUUGGAAUUGACAUGAAAGUUGAAAAGCUACCUUAUGACCUAAAAGUAAGAACACCUACGGGUAACCAAGUUUUACUUGUGAAUGAAGUAUAUAGAAAGUGCGAUAUUUGGGUUGGUGAACGAAAGUUAGUAGUCGACCUCAUUAGUCUAGCCAUAAAAGGGUACGAUGUCAUUCUAGGUAUGGAUUGGCUAGCUCGCUACCAUGCUCGGGUAGAUUGUAGAAUGAAGGUAGUGGAGUUCUGCAUACCAGGUGAGGCAACUUUAAAGUUGGAUGUGAGGGGUAUGUUAGCCUCAUCUGUGCUUAUUUCAGGAAUAAGGGCUAGGAAGUUGCUUAGUCGUGGGGCACGAGGUUACUUAGCUUUUAUGAUUAACACUCCAGGAGAAAAGAUUAAGUUGGAAGACAUGCCAGUAAUCAGUGAAUACCCGGACGUAUUUCCGGAGGAGUUGGAGUCUCUGCCACCCGAAAGGGAGAUUGAAUUUAAAGUUGACCUAGUACCCGGAAUUACUCCUAUUUCGAAAACCCUUAUCGUAUGGCACUUGCUGAACUUAAGGAGUUAAAGGUGCAAUUGCAGGACCUGCUAGAACGAGGGUUUAUUCAUGAGAGUGAGUCCCCGUGGGGAGCUCCAGUGUUAUUUGUUAAGAAGAAGGACAGGAGCUUAAGGUUGUGCAUUGACUAUCGAGGGUUAAAUGCAGUAACUGUUAAGAAUAAAUAUCUUUUGCCCCACAUUGAUGAGUUGUUUAAUCAGUUACAAGGGGCUGUGGUGUUUUCUAAAUUGGAUCUGCGACAAGGGUAUUAUCAAUUGAGAAUUAGAAAGGAGGAUAUGCCAAAAACGGCGUUUAACACUCGAUAUGGGCAUUUUGAGUUUGCGGUAAUGCCAUUUGGUUUAACCAAUGCUCCAGCGGCAUUCAUGGAUUUAAUGCAUCGAGUGUUUAAACCUUACUUGGAUAGGUUUGUAGUGGUGUUCAUUGAUGAUAUCCUAGUAUAUUCAAAGUCAAGAGAGGAGAAUGAACAACACUUGCGGAUAGUGCUGCAAACCUUAAGAGAGCACCAAUUGUUCGCUAAAUUCAGCAAGUGUGAAUUUUGGCUGGAAGAAGUAGCGUUCUUAGGUCAUGUAAUCUCAAAGGAUGGACUUGCUAUAGACCCGGUGAAAGUGGAGGCUGUAGCGAAAUGGAAGCGACCAGAGAAUCCCACUGAGGUACGAAGUUUCCUAGGUUUAGCAGGGUACUACCGCCGAUUUAUAAAGAACUUCUCGAGAAUUACGGGACCCUUAACUAACUUGACCAAGAAACAAGGAAAGUAUAUUUGGGAUGUUAAGUGCGAAAGUAGUUUCCAAGAGCUUAAGAAGCAGUUAACUAUGGCUCCAGUUUUAGCCUUGCCCAAUGGGAACGAUAGCUACACGGUUUAUACCGAUGCUUCAAAAGAAGGGCUAGGGUGCAUGUUGAUGCAAAAUAGGAAUGUGAUUGCCUAUGCAUCUCGGAAGUUAAAACCUCAUGAGCAGAAUUAUCCGACCCAUGACUUGGAGCUUGCAGCUGUAGUGUUCUCUUUGAAGAAAUGGCGACAUUAUCUCUAUGGUGUAAUUUUCGAGGUUUAUACGGAUCAUAAGAGCCUUAAGUAUCUGUUUUCUCAGAAGGAGCUAAAUCUAAGACAACGCCGGUGGGUAGAGUUCUUAGAAGAUUAUGACUGUACAAUUAACUACCAUCCUGGAGAAGCUAACGUUGUAGCAGAUGUUUUAAGCCGAAAGGCUCAACUAGCAAGUUCCAUAGUGGGAGAGUGGAGCCUGUUAGAAGAUGUCUGUGAGUGGAAACCUCGUUUGGAACCGGAGAAGGUGAUUUUUGGAAAUAUUGAGGUGAGGUUGGCAUUGAUGGAGCGGAUCAAAGAGGGCCAAGUAAAGGAUCCAAUAGUGCAAAAGUGGGUGGAAAAAGUGAAGAAAGGGGAGUUGCCUAACUUUAAUAUAGGUCCUGAUGGAAUCUUGAAGUUUCAAAAUCGUGUCGUUGUACCUAAGGAUGAGGAAUUAAGGAGAGAGAUUUUGGAGGAAUCACACCGCUCUAGGUAUACGGUGCACCCAGGGAAUAAUAAGAUGUACCAAGAUCUUAAAGGCCAGUAUUCUCACAAGUGAAUGUAUGGCUCUAGUCAUGGUUAUUUAUACUGGUAGCAUUGUUAUUGGGUCCGAGGGAAAUCUGGAUGAAAGGUGGUUCCAAUUUGAAUAGGAGUAAACUUCUAAUCCUAUAUGGAUUGUUGGUAGGACAUUGAAAGAAAGUAACUUCAUGUACAAUUGAGAAUGGAGUCGGGCGAGCUUUAUUGCUUUGAAGUCAAUUUGUGAAGAAAUUGGGAACUCAAGUUUAAUGUCAAUUAUGAUUCUAACAUCAAUUUGGCUUCAGGACUUCAUGCUCGGUUAAUUAGAUUUUGUUAUGCGUGGUUAGUAGAAUUCUAACGAAUCUCAAACUCUACUUGGAAUUGUCCGAUGGCAAUUGGUUUCUGGUUCGGCUUGGGAAUGUGGAUAUGAGGCUAAAGAAAGUGGAUUGAUCUUUUGGAAAUUGGAGGUCUUGCUCUUAUGAUAUUCAAUCUGAGUUAAAAAAAGUACUGAAACCUGUUCGUGAAUGCUAAAAAAAAAACAAAAACAAAACAAAAAAAUUGGAGCGGAUCUCAACAAAUGUUAACACAAUUUGUAUUGGACUUCCUCUUGAGUUUUUGGAUUUAAUUCAGCAACAAGAGUGUGUAGCCCACCAAGGAUGUAAAUGCUAGCUUUGGGAGGUUGUUCGAACCGCACAAGGGAAAGAAUUAUUGUGUGCGUGAUGCUCAAAUUCCUACAAGUGAAAGGAGAUUUACAUGAGUCACCAACUUGAGGAUAUUGCAUGGUAUGGCUGGCCUUGGAAAUUGAGAUGGCUUAUGUCUUUGAGGGAUAAGGGAAUGCAGUUUCCUUGUGUAAUUAAAAGGUUACGCCUUGGUAGGAGUUGUCUACAAUUCUCGAAAGUAUACUUUCCAGGUUUCGCGGAUUGAGCCUGCCAUAAAUUGAAUUGACUAAUUCAUAAGAUAUAAGAAUUCUAGUCAAGCUUUGAGAUGUCACGCGUGUAUGUCGUUUGCAUCCUAAGGAGCAAAAGAAAGCUUGGGAAUUCGGCCAAGAUAAUGAAGAUGUCAUUUGGUCUUGGGAGCCUACACUGCCAGAUGAUGCAUACAUUUGAUAACAUAGCGGUGGAAUUUAAAAUGUCUUGCAGGACUAUCUCAUGUUGAUAAAAGCAGCCCUCUCUACAUUAUCAUUGGUCUAUAUUGGUCUAUGAGGCAUUUGAUAACACCAUGUCGUCAUUGGUUCAAUAGCCACGGCAUUGCAGAGCUUUGAAUAAAGUCCAUGCAUUGAUAUUUGAAUUACAAAAAGUCAUAGCAUUGAAUGGACUUUACUUGGAUUAAUAUUCAAACGGUGGACAUAAAGCUUCCAAAUGAAGUGAUCCGGCCUCGGGAAAUUGAAGGCACUAGUGAUCUUGGAAAUUGAGGUCAUUAAGGAUGCAUUGGUGGUGUUUCACGUGGAGUUUGAGACCACUAAAUUGUUGGACUAUUAUUUGAGAUCACCAAGUCACUAAAUCUUCAAGUUUAGUCUAUUUAGGGACUUAUUUGAGAAUUCAUAUCCCGACGAUGCUCAAAUAAAAAAAAUGUCGAAACUUGUCCGUUCAAAUCUCGCUUCAAUCUUCAGUAUUCGCGAACAAGUUUCGAGGGGCAUUUGUAGACAAUGAAAUUUUAAAAUUACUAUUGGUCCAUAAAUUGUUUUUUUUGUGGCUUAUUUCUAUCCAAUCGGGUAUCGCCAUAUGUCAUGUACACUUGGAAAAAUUGGUUAUUAAAUGGCCAAUUAUAUUUUGCCACAUGUUAAAGUGAGGUGUUUCAAAUCAAUUCAAAUUGUAGGGAUAUCUCCACCAACCAAAUCAUUUCAUAUCACGUGGAUAAAUAUCUAAGUAUUUAUUUCUUAUUAAAGGGAUAAUAUUUAGAGUUGUGUAAUCCAAGUAUAUUUCUUAUAUACUGCAAUAGCUUAUCUAGUUAAACGGCGCCACGUCACAUGUCCCCACGAGUUUGGCCAAUCGAGGAAUUACUUAUCUUUUUAUUAAUAAAUAUAAAAUGAAGAGAUAAUAUUUGACUAGCACAGUCCUAAUAUGACUACACGUCUUGCAAGGCAAUUAAAGUGGUACACCGGUCUUCAACCUCUACCUCUUGUUACAGCUAUAAAUAGGGGUCUCUCAACCAAAUCAAGGGGAUACAGAGACAUCUAGAGGCAUCUCAUACGCUCAAGCAUUGAAACUCCAAGCCACGAAAGGUCCGGGUCUUCAAGCUCUUCAAGUCUCCCAUAUAUCAAGACUUGAGUCUUCAAAAUUUCUUUCAAGUUCUUCGAAUCUUCCAUCUCAAGAUUUGAAGGAACCGGUGGUGGAUCCAAGAACAAGUUACGAAUCCCUUGGAUUGGCGUUCAAGGAGGAGAAUCGAGGGGAACUCUCUACAAGUCCAAGAAAAUCCCAGAGAUUGUACUCACAUAUUUUCUUAAAUUUAUAUUACACAUUUGUCGUGUAUAUUUCUUGUUUUUUUGCAAACUCGAAAUUUUAUCGCAUACAGCCAUAUAUACAUAUUUUCAAUUCCUUUUUGUUAAAGACAACAACAACAAAAGAAUGGCAAGAUUGAGGAAGAAAAACAAGUAUUCCGCCUUCUUCAAGAGAAUGAUCAGCCACAAAUUCCAAUUUUGAUGGAAAUUCUUUUUUAUCAUUUUCGAUGACAUAAAUUUUGCUCCCAUUCUACAAUACUAUCGUUGGAGUUGUGCUUUGCUCAAGGGAAUAAUCAGCAUAUUUUAAACUUCCAAUAAGCAACAAAUUUAUAAAAAGUUUCAAUUAGAUCACAAUAAAGUUCUAAUGCCGAGAAUUUAAAAUACAACAUAGAGAUACAUAUCAAACAAUACUUAAAGACACAGGAGUAAAAAACUGAUAAAAAAAAUUAAGAAUCGUGCAAUCAUGGCUAAGAAAGGGAUUUAUAGAUGAUGUAAUUGUCUUGGAAAGUGUUUGUUGAUCCAUGCAUUGUGCAGUCAAACAAAGAGAUGAAAAAUUCUCUCCUAGAAUGGAUGCAAAGUCUAUAUGUAAUGGCGUGCAAUCAGUAACUUCUUUUUGUAAAAGCAGGAUAGAAAGAAGUCUAAACCAUGCAUGUAAGAAUAUUACAUGACUGAAUAAGGAAUGAGGAUUCAAUUUGAAGGAACAAAAAUAACAUACCGGAGUUGUUAAAAGCAAAAUUCUGAAGGGAACAAAAUGAAGAAAAAGACAAAAGAUAGAGAACAAAAGUUUAACAACUAUACCUAUAUAGCCACAAAUAUAUCAAAUAAGUAAUUAUGGUCAGAUUAGCAAUGACUUUUCUACAUUAUAAAGCAAGCUGAGGUAGACACUUUAACAAAAAUGGGCAUACAAGUUUCAAAAUGCCUACCUAGAAUACAAAAUAACUACUAAAUCACAAGCCAGUUCUGGAUUCAUGUGUCUAAUAUUGAGACAAACAUAUUAAAAGGUAACGAUCAGACAAAAAGUACCUGUGAUCAAACUAUCAAUGUCGCCCCUAUUGUAUUUAUAUAAAAAAAACCAGUCUAACCACUUAACAAAAAUAGUCACACAAGUCUAAAUGUACCUGCCAAGAAGAUAAAAUAACCACUAAACCAUAUGCAAGUGUUGGCUUCAUACAUUUGAUAGUCAAACAGAUUAGUAAGUAAUAAUAGGAAGACAAAAGCAGUAACAGAAACACUUUUACAAUAUCACACAGAUAGGUAUGGAAAAAUAAAAUGAGAUUUGUGUUUGCCAUAUUAUAUUGUAAAACAAGUAUUUUGCCUUCUUCAAGAAUGGUAUGGCCAAUCACAUAUAUAGCUCAAAAUAAGUCAAAAACAAUAAAUACAAUUUAAACCUGCAACUCUCUCAUAUAUUCAUAAUAUAUUGUAAAGAACUUGCUUACAACUGAAUUUUUCUUUGGUAUUGCUCUACCUCUUGCUUCCUGAUUGCCAAAUCAAAGAAAAAAGGAUUUAAAAUGGAUGACUUUACUUUAGUACAUAUGUGUGGCAACAAUAAUGUAAUAAAGUUCGGUUGUAAUGUAUGUCAUACCAUUCUUUGAUGAUAUUAGCAUUUGCAAAGAUAGACCUAACUCCUCAACAGCUAAUAGCUACUGGAGCUGUGAUUUACAUCAGUUUUAGGAAUCCUCCUCUAGCAUCGUAGACUACUGAAAAACAAUUUAAAGACAAUGUAAAAUUUCUACAAAUAUUAAAACAGUAAUUGGAUUAGAUAUGUGCCAUAAAUGUAGUCAAAUUUGUAGGGUCCUACGUGAUUUUACCAAUCUUAACACUAAUGAAAUUUCAUGCAAGAGCUCUUGCAUAGUCUCUAGCUAAUAAAAUCCCUAGACAGAAUUUCAAGUCAUCAAUUUAAGGAAGAUGUUGUUCAAGCUCUGGUACAGCAUAGAAUUGUUAAUUCAUAUUAAGCAAAUCCUUGUUCUAUCAUUAACAAAAUCAAAACCUCUUUGGAUGCUCAAAAGGUUCUUUUACUUUAUAUGUAGCAAACACCACUCUCUUUCAUAAGCAAGGUGGUCAACUACAUAUGUUUGGUCAUGGCACAAACUCCAUGUGACAUUCAUAAAAAAAACCAACCAAUCGCUACAACAAGAUAUAAAACACUGACCAUAUAUUUAACCACUAAUUUACAAAUUAUAGUAGAAAUACAUAGCGACUUUAUAAAAAACAUAGGACUUCUUUAAACACUCUUGAAGGUCAAACAAACCAUCUCCACUAACCAGACCAAAUGACAAAUAAAACUAAGACCAUGACAACUCUAUCUGAUUCAGAUUAAAGCAAAUAAAAAGUAUAUGGUUGAGAAACAAUCAUUAAGAAUGGUCAAUUCUAAAUAAUGAGAAUUCACAAACUCGCCUAUUGAAUAUGUUCAGCCACGUAAUCAAGUAGUUUCUUUCCAUCUUGAACAUGGAAUCCUGCUAAAAAAAAAACAGGUUAAAAACAAAAAUUAAGUCUAAAUUCAAAAUUUAUUUCAAGUAGAUGGGGAGUGAUAAAAAAUUGAAGAAUUAUAAAUCACCAUCCAUAAAUCUGUCUCAAUCUAAAGAAACAUAAACUCAUUACAUUAUCCCAUAACAACCUGAACCAUCCAAUAAAUUGAUGAGACAAAUGUGUAAGGGAAAAGAACCAAAGAAAUGUCCAAUUUCAGCACUUGCGCAUGAAAUUGAUAAAAAUACUAAAAGAGUAAAGGAGAAAAAGAUAAGAAAGGAGAAAAAAAAAACCCAAAGAGGUUUGGCCAUACCACUUUAAAAGAAAACCCAAAAAAUUGAUGAGAUCAGAUACUGAGAAAUCCAAGAGCAGCAUCCCACUGAUCAUCUCUGUUUUAAAAGAAAGUAUGGAAAAAAUACAUUUUAGAGAAAAUACUGAUUCGGCAACUUCUAAGCUCAAUAUGGAGUUGCUAAUGAAAAUUAUGGAAACUAAGCCUAUUUAAUAUCGAACUGGGGCACUUGCUAAUAGAAAAAAAGCCAGAACUUGCCAAGUGGACAGAUGACCACUACAAGGAAAAGAGGAAUGAGAAAUUCUGAGGAGAAACUGCUGGAAAACGAGCAGAGAAGGAAAAACAAUUCAGAGUUAUGCAACGAAUUCUUGAUGAGAGGAAAGCCGAAAUGGCAUCUGCAAAUGGGAAUGAUGCUGAAGAGAAAGGUUUCUAAAAUCUUCUGAUGAUACAGUAAGGGAAGGAGGAAAGGGAGUAAUGGAGGGAUACAGAUAGGGCAAGGGAGAGGAAAGGGGAAAGAAG